This 179719-nucleotide long non-coding RNA is filed under the name Malus domestica (apple). The record is from RNAcentral. Lineage: Eukaryota; Viridiplantae; Streptophyta; Magnoliopsida; Rosales; Rosaceae.
AAGAGACAAUGCUAUUAUCUACAGGAUACAAUUUUGCAAGCCCAAAGUCAGAAACCUUUGCUUUAAAGUUCUCAUCAAGAAGGAUGUUAUGAGGCUUGAUGUCGAAAUGUAGAAUUUGCAUUUCACAACCUUGGUGUAGAUAUUCGAUCCCUUGAGCCACUCCAAGAGAAAUCUCGUACAUGUUCUUGAUAGUUAAGGGGACACUUCCUUCUUUGGAAUAAAUGUAUUUAUCAAGAGAACCAUUAGGCAUGAAGUCAUAUACUAGAGCGCGUUUUGAUCCCUCAACACAGUAUCCAACAAGUUGUACCACAUUGGCAUGGUGAAUCCUUCCGAUUGUAGCUAUUUCGCUAAUGAAAUCUUGGCCAUCAGCUUUGGGCUUGCCCAAAACUUUAACUGCUACAAAUCGACCACUGCGUAGCUUUCCCUUAAAUACAGAGCCAAAGCCACCUUCGCCCAACUUGUCCUUAAACCUGCGAGUCAUUUUCUUGACGUCCGAGUAAGAGUACCUUAUAAGCAUGAUGUUGUUAUUGCAUUGCAGAAAAUCUUCUAUUGUGCUAUACAUUGAUAAAUGUCUUCUGCGCCAUGUGUAGAUUAGAAAUGCAGUCACAACUGGAACUCCAAAAACAAAUCUGGCUAGGAAAAAUAACCCUGCAUGCAUGGACAAUAAUAUGUUAGAUCCACUGUGUACUACUUUUUCUUCCCUUUCUUUCCAAAUUACUUUAUCUUUGAUGUAAUUAAAGAGAGAGAAUGGGAAAUCUACAUAUGUUGAUAAUAUAAUCUCGUCUUAGUCCUUACCGAUCCAUAUGAGUAUAAACCAUCCAAGUGCUGCAAAAAAAUCAAUCGACUAUGAGUUUGAAAAGUGCAUAAAGUGAAAAAAAAAAAAAAAAAAAAAAAAAUCAAAGGGUGCCUUUAUUGACACCCAAAUUUUAGUUAGUUUUACUCAACUAAAAAAUUUUUGUCAUCAAACUUUUUAAUUUGCCGUCGAAAUUGAGUUCACCCAACCACAAAGCAGCAACUACCACUCACAAAAAAACCAACAACACACAGCCACCAGUACCAUUCACCAAUAGAAAGAGAAGGAACACACAGACCCACCAAGGAGCCGGCAUCGACGCAUCUACGAGGGAGGGACCGGAGGGUGGUGUAGUUUUGUUGGGCGCGCGGUGGUUGUUUUGUUUGUUCAUUUUCUCUUUCUUUUGGUAGGUGGAGGCUGGUGUGGAUUUGGGCGAACUUAAAAAUGAGGGGAAACUAUGAAGUUUGACAAAAUGUUUUAGUUAGGGGAACUUAACUAAAAUUUGGGUGCCGAUAAAGAUACCCAAUUUCAAAAAUACUUGAGCUUAUAGACUAAUUAAAUGAAGUUGAUCUUACAGAUCUCGUGGCUGUAUGAUGAAUGCCACUUGCCAGCUGCAAUAGAUACCACGGAAAAGUGAAUAAAGACAUACAGUUACUAGGUUUAAGAAGUACAGAUAGAGCACACAAAAAAUAAAAGAAGCUUUUGGGAAGAAACUUCUUACGCCAAUAGUUGUGUUCUUGACCUACAGUAAAAAAUGUGAAGAAGAAUACACAACAUUAGCAAUAGCUCACCCAGUCUUCGGAAUUUAAAAAAUCAAGUUUGUCUCGAUCGAAAACUUGUAAAUAAAACAAAAAGAGGACCCCUUACGGAUUUGGUGCCAUAGAUAUUGAAAGAAACCUACAAAAACAAAGAAAGAACAAGACCACAUGCAUUAGCAUAACAAGUGUGAGGUGUAUAAGCCGUUAGAAAAUAAAUUUAAAAUUCUAGUGCUGUCAAUACAUUGAUAAUAUAUAUAUAUAUAUAUAUAUAUAUAUAUAUAUAUAUAUGUAUUAUUUUUCUGAAAAUUUAACUUUCUCCCUCCAAACUCAUUUUUCUAGUCUCUAGCCCAUCAUAUAAUAUUUAUCAGAAUAAAACCAAAUGAUUAGGAUCCAACUAAGAAACUUACCAAAUUAAGUUUGUGUGUCCAUUUUUAUAUUUUUUGGAUCCCUAAUAUACCCCAUCUAAGCCAGUAUGGAAAGUUCUUGUAAUUUUGCUUUAAGUGAUCACGUGCAUUGAAUUUGGCAAGGUCUUGUAGCCAUGAAAUAUGGUUCCAGAUGGAGGAAUGAAUUUGGAUUUUUUUUUAAUUUCGGCAACAAAUUUCAAUUUGAAUAUACCUAAUUUAGUGUUUAUUUUCAACAAUAUCUAUUGUUUAAUUUUAUGAAAAUAAUUAACCUAAUAUGAAAAUUAAUUUUAUGAAAACAAUAUCUAUUGUUUAAUUUUAUACCUACAGGAUAAUUACAUGAAAAUAGUUUACCUACUAUGAAAAUUAAUUUUUUGAAAGCAAUAUCUAUUGUUUAAUUUUAUGAAGAUAAUUUACCUACUAUAAUUACAUGAAAAAAUUUACCUACUAUGAAAAUUAAUUUUUUGAAAACAAUAUUAUUGUUUAAUUUUAUGAAAAUAAUUUACCUACUGUAUAAUUACAUAAAAAUUAGGGAAAAUUAGAAUCCCCUACAGUUUUUAUAUAUCAUUUAGAUUAAACAUUUGUACUUUUUUAAAAUUUGAUUAAAGUGCUUUGACCAAUAGUUACCUCUAUUUUUUUAAAUUAAAAUAAUUUUUGAAUUUAUCCUUUUAUCUGCACAAUGCACUUUUCCUUAUUUAGUGGAGAUAUUAGUAAUGAAACUAUAUUUUCCCUUCUUCCAAAUAUGUUUUUUCGAUCACAGUUUUUUUUUUUUUGGGUAUGCAAACAUUUGAUAUUAUUUUUUUUCCAAAUGGUUUUUUCUUUUUCAAAUAGUUGGUGAUCAACAUAUAAGCUCUGUGUAUUUUUUUCAAUGUUUUUGUGAAAUUAUAUUUUUUUUGCUGUUUUUUAAGUAUAGUUGUUGACGAAUUAUUAUUAGGUACAAUACAUUACGUAUAUAUUAUCUGCGGGUACGUUUGAAUUUACUAAAAUCAUUAAUUGGUACGUUUGAUUUGAUACAUAUUGUUAAUAUUGGUACAUUAUUUUUAUUUUGGUACGUUUUAUUUUGAACACAUUUUGUAUUGGUACGUUUAUAGUAUUCUCAAUCCUAUUUUCUCUUAACGUACUAAAAGAAAAACUCAUUUUGGUACGUUUGAUUUUGGGGGAUUUAAAAAUAUUUUAAACUAUUUUGGAAAAAAAAAAAUCUUAAAUCGUAGAUAAUUAUUGCUAAAUUGUAGCAUUAUUGUGAAAAUAAAUUGAAUCUAACCAACUUUUUUUUUUACAAUUAUCUCUAAUGGAGGAGAGUGUAAUCAAAAGGCUAGAUUAUAGGAAAUUUGUUACAAUAUAAUGGGCAUAUAGCACCAAAAUUAUGAUAAAAAAAAGUUUAAUCAAAUCAUUAAAAGGCAUGGAUGUUUGAUCUAGAAAAUUCAAAACUGAGGCGUCUAUAUCAAAAGAUCCCUAAAAAUUAAUGUGCCUACUUUUUAAAUUUGUAACAAAAUUAAUUUACCUACUUUUUAUGGUAUUAGUAUACAUAAAUGUAGAAUAUAUGUCCGUAUAUAUUUGAUCUAAUUAGGUUUUGGAUUGGAGGAGUUGACACAAAAUUAUAAAUAUAUUAAACAAAUUUAUCUAUUCUAAAGUUGGAGGGGAAUUGGUCUGUACAUUGCUACAGUAAACAAAUGCUACUCAAUUUCACGUUAUUUACAACAAAGCUAUCAGAUUUGGGUUGGGUUGGAGGGUAAUUUGUUAAAAGUUAGGAGGGUAAUUUUGUGCAUAGGGUUUAGGUGCCCUCCUAUACAUGACCCUUGAGUUUACUUUAUUUACACCACUGCCAUCAAAUAUGUGGCUGAAUUGGAGGGUAUUAUUAAAAGUUAAGAGGGUAGUUUUGUUCAAGGGGUGGGGGCGACAUUCGCAGACGGAGGCCGAUGGGAGCCAUGCCCAUUGCACAGAGAGAAAGGGAGUGAUGGGGGAAAUUACAGACAGAAAAGGAAGGGAUGGGAGGAUUUGAUGGAUGGUCACAGAGAGAGAUUCGGUGAGGGAUGUGAGGGGAGAUUACAGAGAGAUAAAUAAAAGGGAGGGAUCGGGGGAUUUGAGGGAUGGUCAGAGAGAGAAAUAGUGAGGGAGGGAGGGAUGGGGGGGCUGAUUUUCGGUUCCUCCUUCAGAUUUGUUCCGUAAAACCUGUUGGGUACAAUUCAAUUUCCUCCCCCUUUCCCCUGAACGAAAAAUUCGAAACCUACAAUUCAAUUUCCUCCCUCCUUGGCUUUCCGCUUUACUCAUCUCCCGGUGGUUCUUUCUCUCCAUACGAUUCGAUUUCGGUGAGUUCUUCGUUGCCCUCAUGAUUUCCCAGUUUGAUUUUUUGAGCGUCCUUAGUCGUUGUUUUUAUCUGGGUUUACUGCAUUGUUGCUUUUAGUUUCUGGAUUUUUAUUUGUUCCGCGGUUCGAUGAAUCGGUUAAUAAUUUCACACCAUGGGAUUUUCGCAUGGAAUUGAGCGCGGGGAUUCGGGGUGGGGUUUUACUGAUAAUUUGUCUUCAUUCAAAUGAAUGGUUAAAAUUUCUGAAGUGAGUGUGCAGGUGGGCCCGUUCACUAACUAAGCUUUCAAGGGAACCCAUCAGCGGUUUGCUUGCUGGGGGAAUUCGGAGACUACCAGUGUAUGAUUUAGUUAUCAUUUAUUUUUUUACUUAAAUUUAUCCAUAUAUAAUAUGUGGGUAAAUUUACACUAAACAAUUGUGAUAAGCCAAUAUGCCAUACGACUUUGAAAGCAUUGAUUUUGUGUUUAGUUUGCAUUUUUGCAUUGUGAAUGUUGAAUUUUGUGUUUGAAUUUGUAGCAUGAUCUUCCGCUGCAGCAUCCAAAUUUUGCAUUUGUAAAUUGUCAAAGAAAAACGAAGUAUGAGGAAAUUAUAGGAGAUUGUGUCGGCUUUGGCCAUGAAGGGUAUCAGCAGCUUGUUCCCCCAUACAGGUGAUUAAUCGUUUUUCAGUCUGUGUUCUAUUUGGAUGAGAAAGUGAUUGAAAAUAUGAUUUUUUUAUUUGUUGGUUGAUUUUGUAUGGACGAUGUAUUAAUUUUAUUUUUUUUGGGAUUUUGUGUAUUGGGCAUUGUGUAGAACCAGCAAUGCAAGAGCAGGAUCUGAUCAGUCAUGCCUGAAAAGGGGUUUGUUUCUCAAAUCACAUUAAUUAAUUAGAUUAUUAACGUGCGUUGGAAGGCUCUUCAAUAUGAUUUCUAAUUUCUCCUUUCCAGCAUUCUCUUUUUGGUUUUUGGAGUAUGUAUGUGAUUUGUAUUUUUUUAUAGAAUAAAAAUUAAUAAAACACGAGAUGCAGCAAUUAAUUUGCAUCCUUAUGACAACACAUAUGAAAGUGCAUUCAAUUUCAAUGUGCGAAUGUGUGACAGGAUGUGCCUGCCCGCUGCUGCUGGUAUGCUUGCUGUUGUUUCUCGCGUUGUUAAUUUUUUGUGUGUGUUGAUUUGAUUAACAACUCAAGCGUAUCUUUUUUUUUUGUGUUGGUUAGCAGCCAGUUUUAUGGCCCCGAUCUAGUGAUGCUUCUCAGUGACUGUGGUAAUUGCAGUUCAUUGCCACCAGUUGGUCAGCUACCUGCUCUGAAAGAGCUAUACGUAGAAGGGAUGAAAGUUGUUAAGAGUGUUGGUGUUGAGUUGUACGGGGGAAAUCAACCAUUUCAAUGUUUAGAGAAGCUAAAGUUUCGGGAGCUAUAGCAGCCUAGUCCAAGUGGAUGUGAAAGUCCAGACUUUCCUCAUCUUAAGGAGCUGGGGUUAUACGAAUGUCCGAAGCUGAGAGGAAACUUGCCCACUCAUCUUCCCUCCUUGAAAACACUUCAUGUGAACAAGUGUGAGGUUCUACAUAAAAACAGGGCCAGUAAUACCCUGAACGUGGAAUCCUUACGAGGAUCUCUUGAAAAACUGACAAUAAAUGGAUGCCCGGGUCUCUCAUUGUUACUAGAGUCGACGGAGACGCUGCCGUCGCUUCAGAAGCUUGAUAUUGAUAAUGUGGUGGGAAAGAGUUGUUGGCGCAAAUGGUGCACAACAGCAAUCGUCUUCAAAGUUUGACUUUAUAUAAAUGUUCCUCACCCUUGUCGUUCCUUACAAAUGGUCUGCCCACCACGCUGACAUCACUGAGCAUAACAGAUUGCAAGAAAUUAGAAUUCCCAUCACGUGAGAUGAUGGCCAAAUUGACUUCCCUUCAGUCUUUGCGUCUAUCCAACAGCUGUGAACGCAAAGGCUUGAGUAUUUGCAGUUUAGUUUUUUUUUUCUUCAUUUUAGAGAUUUUUCUACUGUUUGGUUUUUGGGUUUUGUCUAAUUUUUGUGGUCUGCUUUAUAGAUUGUUCUCUUUGGAAGCUUCUUUCCAGCCUUGACCUUCUUCUUGCCUGGUGCCUUCUCAUUGAGUAUUGGAGGAGCAUUAAAACACAGGUGUGUGUGUUUUGUCGACAUAAGAGAUGAAUGACAUAAAAACAUCCGUCUCUGUAUUUUUUUGUGCUUUUUCUAACCCAUCAAUUUCUUUUGAGUCAACCAAAUAGUCCCAAAUUGCAACUUAUGUUGUGAGGUAUUAUUGUCUAAAAUUAAGUAUGCAUGUAUAUUUUAUGUUUGUGCCCGCGCACACAUCCGCAUGGUGUUAAUCUCUGUGGGUCAUCUAUGUAUAUGUAGAUAUAUCUAUAUGUGUGUGUGGAAUGCAACAUAUCGGAUUUAGGUUAUACUGUGCAUAGUUUUAUUGCCUGUUAUUAUCUACGAUAUCACUAUGCCAUUUCUAUGCAGGCUCUGAAAGUUAUUCAUGAGCUUUAUAAGCACUUACCAUAAUUUAAGCAGUCUGUUUUGGGUUCUUUUUCAUUAGGUCAUUAGCUACAGAUUAAUGGAGAAACGAGGACCAUGCCACUGAUUUGGGUUCUUUUUCUAAUUUUCUGAUUUUGGGGUUUUGCAGGGAGAACUCCGCCUAUGUACUUACAUUGCCGAUCCCAAGCUCGGAUAAAGGAGGAGGGGGAGGGCGUCAGGUAGUCGACAGUCGGCACUCCAUGAUCACGUCGAAUCCUUAUGAAAAUGAAUUCAGAAUAAAAUUGCGCUAAAGCUAGGGCGUCACCCGUAAGUGGCGCGCUGUGUGGCCCGAGCACAGUGAUAAGUGAGCAAGGGUCGCUGUAUCUCCAUCGGCACCCGGAUGCAGUGUUAAAUGAGCAAGGGGGGCAUAGGAACUUCUUUUCGAACGACUCCACUCAAAGUUGUUUGGGAGCAUAUGCUCCUAUCAACUUUACACGGGACACACAAAAGAAGUACUUUGAUCCUAUUAGACGGGGGAGGGUGAAGAAGCUAGGACAGAAGGGUAGAGUUCAAGAAAGCAAAAUGCGUUUAGGAACGUGGAAUAUAGGAACCUUAACGGGAAAAUCUAUGGAAGUAGUGGAAGUUAUGGUGAGGAGAAGGAUAAAUAUUAUGUGCCUACAAGAAACUAAGUGGGUUGGUAGUAAGGCAAUUGAUCUAGAAAACUCAGGGUUUAAACUUUGGUAUUCGGGCACAAAUAGAACGAGAAACGGUGUUGGCAUCAUCGUGGACAAGACCUUGACACAAGAUGUUGUAGAUGUCAAGAGGGUAGGAGAUAGAAUCAUGGCAAUCAAGAUUGUAAUAGGACAAGAACUUAUCAAUGUGGUUAGUGCGUACGCACCUCAAGUAGGGUUGGAUACGAGUUCGAAGGAGAAAUUUUGGGAAGACCUUGGAGACUUGGUGUAAGGAAUUGCUCAGACGGAGAAGUUAUUUAUAGGAGGAGAUUUAAAUGGACACGUGGGCAGAGAGACAGGCAACUAUGGAGGUUUUCAUGGUGGCCAUGGUUUUGGGGAGAGAAAUGAGGAUGGGGAAGCUAUCUUGGAUUUUGCAAUGGCAUAUGAUCUCUUUUUAGCCAACACCUUCUUUAAGAAGAAAGAAGAACAUGUGAUCACCUACAAGAGUGGGUUGUCAAAAACACAAAUAGAUUUUCUUCUAAUGAGAAACGAGGAUGGGGAAGCUAUCUUGGAUUUUGCAAUGGCAUAUGAUCUCUUCUUAGCCAACACAUUCUUUAAGAAGAGAGAAGAACAUGUGAUCACCUACAAGAGUGGGUCGUCAAAAACACAAAUAGAUUUUCUUCUAAUGAGGAAAGGGGAUCGUAUAACUUGUAAGGAUUGCAAAGUUAUACCAGGAGAGAGCGUGGCUAAUCAACAUCGCUUGUUGGUGAUUGAUGUACAUAUCAAAAGAGUGAGACAAAAGAACAAGACUUGGAAGUGCCCAAGGACUAGAUGGUGGAAUCUAAAAGAAGAAAAACAAGCCAUUUUCAAAGAGAAAGUAAUCAUCCAGUGUGUGGGAUAGAGAUGGGGAAGCUAGCCAAAUGUGGGAUUCAAUGGCUAGUUGUAUCCGAAAAGUAGCAAAAGAGGUAUUAGGAGAGUCAAAAGGCUUUGCCCCACACCAAAAAGAAUCUUAGUGGUGGAAUGAGGAGGUACAAACAAAGGUGAAGGCUAAGAAGGAAUGUUGUAAAGCCUUAUACAAGGAUAGAACUGAUGAAAAUGGUGAAAGGUAUAGAAAAGCGAAGCAAGCUGUGAGAGAAGCUAAGUUAGCGGCUUACGACGAUAUGUAUAAACGACUAGAUACCAAAGAAGGAGAGUUGGAUAUCUAUAAACUAGCUAGAGCAAGGGAAAAGAAGACAAGGGACCUAAACCAAGUGAGGUGCAUCAAGGAUGAGGAUGGAAAUGUUCUUGCUACAGAGAACGCGGUUAAAGACAGAUGGAGAGGUUAUUUUCAUAAUCUUUUCAAUGAAGGACAUGGAAGGAGUGCUUCUUUAGGGGAGUUGAGUAACUCAGAAGAGUGUAGAAACUACUCUUUUUAUCGUCGAAUCCGGAAGGAAGAAGUGAUUGUAGCUUUGAAGAAGAUGAAACAUAGAAAAGCAAUAGGCCCAGACGAUGUACCAAUCGAAGUGUGGAAAGUUUUGGGAGAGACAUGUAUAACAUGGCUCACUGACCUUUUCAAUAGGAUUUUGAAAACGAAGAAGAUGCCAAAUGAGUGGCGAACGAGCACUUUGGUGCCUAUCUACAAGAAUAAGGGCGACGUACAAAAUUGCAUGAACUAUAGGGGUAUUAAGCUAAUGAGUCAUACAAUGAAGCUCUGGGAGAGAGUCAUUGAGCAUAGAUUGAGGCAAGAGACACGGGUUUCGGACAACCAAUUUGGGUUCAUGCCAAGGCGCUUAACCAUGGAGGCAAUCUAUCUCUUACGAAGAUUGGUGGAAAGAUAUAGAGAUGGGAAAAAGGAUUUACACAUGGUUUUUAUAGAUUUGGAGAAAUUCGUAUGAUAGGGUCCCAAUAGACAUUCUUUGGAGGAUUUUAGAGAAGAAAGGAGUACGAGUAGCAUAUAUCCAAGCUAUAAAUGAUAUGUAUGAAUGAGCAAAGACUGCUGUAAGAACUCAUGAAGGACAAACUGAAAGUUUUCCCAUAACUGUAGGAUUACACCAAGGCUCAUCCUUAAGUCCCUACCUUUUUGCGUUGGUAAUGGAUGAGUUAACAAGACAUAUUCAAGAUGAUAUUCCUUGGUGUAUGCUUUUCGCAGACGAUAUAGUGUUGAUAGAUGAAACACAGGAAUGGGUAAAUGCAAAGCUUAACCUUUGGAGAGAAGUGUUGGAAUCUAAAGGUCUUCGCCUAAGCCGAUCAAAGACAAAAUAUAUGGAGUGCAAGUUCAGUGCAAAUGGAGGCCAAAACGAGUUAGGGGUGAGGAUCGGAGAUCAAGAAAUACCAAAGAGCGACCGUUUUCGUUACCUAGGAUCUAUCUUGCAAAAGAACGGAGAAUUAGAUGGAGAUCUCAACCAUAGAAUACAAGCUGGAUGGAUGAAGUGGAAGAGUGCAUCCGGCGUGUUGUGUGACCGCCGUAUGCCACUGAAGCUCAAGGGAAAAUUUUAUAGGACGGCAAUAAGGCCGGCGAUGCUGUAUGGCACAUAAUGUUGGGCGGUGAAGCAUCAACACGUACACAAAAUGGGUGUAGCGGAGAUGAAGAUGCUUCGUUGGAUGUGUGGGCACACGAGAAAGGAUAAGAUUAGGAAUGAGGAUAUCCGGGGUAAAGUAGGAGUAGCCGAAAUUGUAGGAAAGAUGAGAGAAAAUCGGUGACGGUGGUUUGGACAUGUGCCAAGAAGGCCUACUGACGCUCCGAUUAGAAGAUGUGACUACUGGACAGAGGUUCAGGGCCGAAGGGGUAGAGGAAGACCUAGAAAAACUUUGGAAGAGACUCUAAGAAAGACUUAGAGUACCUGGAUCUAACGAAGGACAUGACACAGGACCGAGCAUAAUGGCGUUCUAAGAUUCAUAUAGCCGAUCCCACUCAGUGACUUGGAUUUUCCAAGUCUCCAGCCGAGAAGUUUUCCUCACUCAGGAAAUUAAGGGAACACUACCCCAACCUACAUGCUCCACUCACAAAGCUUCAACAAAAGAAAAUUCAAAGAACUUAGCGAAGAAGGCUUUGAUGUAUUUAACACAAUACGUUGAAAUGAAGGAAAGCUUAUUUAUUGAUAUCAUCGAUAAGCUACAAAUAUGUACAUAUACAUAAGUCAAAAUAAACAAACAAGAGGGAGCCUUCACAAAGGUUGCUUAGGAGAAGUCUCAGCAGUCGGUAGAGCCCCAGAAAGAGAAGGCACCGGAGGGGGAUCAUUCGGAGCCUCAGUACUGGACAGAACCCUAGAAGGAGGAGGCAUAAGAGGUUGAUCAUUUGGUGCUUCAUUACGCGGUACAGCCCCAGAAGACGAAGGCAAUAAAUGCCUUUGGAACAAACCCACAAAUCUCUGAUGAUCAAGUAAAACCUGACCAUCAGAUUCCUUCAUCUGGUCAAGCUUCCUCUUCAUGUUUGUAGCAUAGUCAUGUGCGAGCCGGUGCAACUGUUUAUUCUCAUGCUUGAGCCCUCUAAUCUCCUGUUUGAGACUCAUCACUUCAGCCGCCAAUGAUUCAACUUGGCGGGUUCGAGCAAAUAGGUGUUGGGCCAUAUUAGACACAGAACCUGCACACUGAACACUGAGAGCCAGAGAAUCCUUAACAGCUAACUCAUCAGACCGUUUGGAAAGUAGUCUGUUAUCUUUGGGAGUGAGAAGGUUCCUGGCCACCACCGCAGCGGUCAUAUCAUUCUUCAUCACGGAAUCCCCAACGGUAAGAGGACCAGUAGGGGAGACGAAGGAUGGGCGCCAUAUGUUGUCUGGAGAAGGCGGGGCUUCCUCUUCAACAAGGUUCAAGUCAAAACGACGGUCGGAGGGGCCAGACAUUUUCAAAUGUGUUGAAGAGAGAAGAGGUCGGACAAAUCAAGAUCUUAGAAGUGUAAGAAUGGAGCUUCUACUGGUGGAGAUUCAAGUGUGCUUUGGAACUUAAUGUCAGCCCCUAUAAAAAUCUGCACUCAACGGAGCUUCAGAAAUCGAAGAGGCGCCUGCUCAGAAAUCGAAGAGGCGUUUGCUUUCUCAAAAGCAAGGCUGCUCAGAUACCACGAGGGUCGAUCUCAGAAAUCGAAGAGGCGUUUGCUUUCUCAAAAGCUGGGCAGCGCAAAGACCACGAAGGCCGAUCUCAGAAAUCGAAGAGGCGCUCAAAAGUUGGGCUGCUCAGAGACCACGAGGGCCGAUCUCAGAAAUCGAAGAGGCACCUACUUUUCCAGCCUUGUCAGUACCUGUCACACACACACUCAGCUUUGCGAAAAUUAUGGGGAUUCGGUCGAAGACUUCUGGUGAAGUAGAAAGCACAUGAGUCUUACUGUUCAAUCACCCACUUCCCACACGCAACAGUAGCUCAUGGGUACCACAUAUAACUUUUCCAAAGUUCUCUGCCAAAGUUGAACACGUGAAGUUUGCAGCUCCCACUACAUCGCUCUGAUCAAGAAGGGUAAAAGAAUAGCAAAGAAACAACACUAACAAAGUUUAGACACAUAAAUUUUGAUGGUCGAGCUACCAUAUUAUUACCCACAAGGGUAAAGGAACAGUACCACUGCUGGAUAAUUGGAAAGUCCCUGUGUGUCAACCUCUGUGCUUCGUGGCAAGGUAGACUAUCAAACAUGCCCAACCUUUACUCACAUUCGAGAAAACACUCCCAACAAGAUUGCUUGCUCCAAAAUCGAAGAGGCACCGUCCUUCGAAUCUCGAGAGCCAGACUCCCAACAUGACUACUUUCUCAAAAAUCGAAGAGGGUAAAGGAACAGUACCAUUGCUGGAUAAUUUGAAAGUCCCUGUGUGUCAACCUCUGUGCUUCGUGGCAAGGUAGACUAGCAAACAUGCCCAACCUUUACUCACAUUCGAGAAAACACUCCCAACAAGAUUGCUUGCUCCAAAAUCGAAGAAGCAUCGCCCUCCGAAUCUCGAGAGCCACUCCCAACAUGACUACUUUCUCAAAAAUCGAAGAGACAUCGCUCUCCGAAUCUCGAGAGCCAGACCCCCAGCAUGAUUGCUUUCUCAAAAAUCGAAGAGGCACCGUUCUCCGAAUCUCGAGAGCCAGAUCCCCGAUAGGAUUGCUUGUUCGAAAACCGAAGAGGCAACACUUUCCCAAUUUCAAGAGCCGGAUCUCCUUGGAUAAAGCUAUCUGUAAUCUUCACUCGCAACAUUAGCUUUCCAGCUACCACAGACCACUUUUUCAAAGUGAUCUGACAACGUUAAAACAUGUGAAGCUGGCAGCUUCCACUACCGUGCUAUGACCAAGUAGGGUAAAGGAAUAGCAUUACUACUUGUUGUUAAGGAGACUCCUAUAUAUGUCGACCUCCAUCCCCAACGGAUAGGCAGACCUGCAAAAAUGCUCAACUCUUCCUCAUAUCUGAGAGGGCACUCCCAACGAAGCCUUUCGAAAUAUUCAGCUUUCUUUCCCCCCGAUAAUACCUCUGCAAACAAGCUAUACUAGAGCAAGAAUAUCUCAUAUCAUCAGGGUUAAAAGCAAGAGUAUCCCAUAUCAUGCUUUUUCCUUGUCUUUUUCUUUGGCCUUGUUCUUACCUGCAAGACAAGAAGAAAGAGAGCAAUCAGUCAGUACUUGGAAUCAAGCUUCCAGCCAGGAACUGACUGCCUGGAACCCCUUACCUGAUUACUUACCUGACAUUGUUCUCGAGUACUCAUCUUCAACAUCUUAUGCUUCCAGGGAAGAUACCGCAUCUGCCUGAGGAACAGAUAGGGCAAGGGAGAAGGAUAUAAGGAAGCAUGUGGAGACAAGCGUAACAGCACACGUGCCGAUACAUCCAUUACUCUGUCAAAGCAAAAGUAUCCCAUAUCAGUAGGGUCGAACGUACUCUAGAUUUGAUGGACUUGUUUUGACCCUCAAAUUCUUCAGUCGGCCUUAUACUCUGGAGGAAACCAGAAAUUUCUCCAGCUCAGUGCAAGAAUAAGCUUGUGGAAAGUUACUUCUUCAAAAGCAAAAGUAUCACAUAUCAUCUCUUCUCAUUUUCUUCUCUUUAUCCUUCAUGCUGCCUGCAAGAUAGGGAGAUUGUGAACAAUCAGCUGGAGCUAUGAUUGCUUACCUUGUCUGUCACCUCUUUCAGCAGAUCCCCUAGCUCGGCGAUUUGGGGGACUCCUACUACAUGGUUUGUAUCGCGCUUGACCAAGCCUGAAACUACAAGUAAGCUUCAAGUGAAAUUGAUACAUUACCUUGUGCAUCUCCACCAGUUAAAGAUACUACCCCUGGAUGGAGGAAGAGUACUUCCAGAGAAGAUGCCCCAUCUACCUAUGAGACAGAUAAGGCACGUCAAGACGAUACCACACUCUGAUACUUAGAAGUUUCGUGAUUACGAGAUCAUUCUCCCACAAUAUUUCCUAAUGUCAUUUGUACUAAAUCAUUCACUUGUACUCACUAAAGGAGAGCUUGAACCUAUGUACUUGUGUAAACCCUUCACAAUUAAUGAGAACUCCUCUAUUCCGUGGACGUAGCCAAUCUGGGUGAACCACGUACAUCUUGUGUUUGCUUUCCUAUCUCUAUCCAUUUAUAUACUUAUCCAUACUAAUGACCGGAGCAAUCUAGCGAAGAUCACAAAAAGCGACCGUUUUCGCUACCUAAGAUCUAUCGUGCAAGAGAACGGAGAAUUAGAUGGAGAUCUCAACCAUAGAAUACAAGCUGGAUAGAUGAAGUGUAAGAGUGCAUCCGACGUGUUGUGUGACCGUCAUAGGUCACUGAAGCUCAAGGGAAAAUUUUAUAGGACGACAAUAAGGCCAGCGAUGUUGUAUGGCACAGAAUGUUGGGCGGUGAAGCAUCAAUACGUACACAAAAAUGGGUGUGGCGGAGAUGAGGAUGCUUCGUGGGAUGUGUGGGCACACGAGAAAGGAUAAGAUUGGGAAUGAGUAUAUCCGAGGUAAAGUAGGAGUAGCCGAAAUUGAAGGAAAGAUGAGAGAAAAUCGGUUCCGGUGAUUUGGACAUGUGCAAAGAAGGCCUACUGACGCUCCGGUUCGAAGAUGUGACUACUGGACAGAGGUUCAGGGCCGAAGGGGUAGAGGAAGACUUAGAAAACCUUUGGAAGAGACUCUAAGAAAAGACUUAGAGUACUUGGAUCUAAUGGAGGACAUGACACAAAACCGAGCGCAAUGACGUUCUAGGAUUCAUAUAGCCGACCCCACUUAGUGGGAAAAGGCUUUGUUGUUGUUGUUGUUGUUGUUGGGGUUUUGCAGGGAGUACUAAUGUACUGAUUUUCUGGGAUUUUUUUUGUCCUUGCAGGAUUUUUGGUCUUUGAAAUGGGUAUGUGUUGUUUUUAAUGUUUCAGUUCUAGCGUUUUCCGUUCUUCGUUGCUUCGUGAUUCUCAUUUUUCAGUGUUGGGUGAUGGAAAUUUGUUAAAGUAGUUGGUAGUUUUUUGAGAAAGUUGGCAUUUUUAGUUAUAUUUUCUGUUUAAUCCUAAAUGUUUUGAAAACUCAUAAUUUUUUUGUUCUGGGAUUUAAAAGCAUCUUUUCCAGAUUGGUUACAAGGGUUAUGUUCUCUUCAAUUGGUUCACCUAAUUUUGAUUAGUUUUAAGUUUUGUCCUUUAAGUUUGUCUUUUAAGUUUUGUUCUUUAAGUUUUGUCUUUUAAGUUUUGUUCUCUAAGUUUUGUCUUUUAAGUUUUGUCUUCUGUGCUGUAAUGAGAGAUUUCCGUUGGCCUUUCGGAUUUUGGCAUGGGAAAGUUCACUUAUUUGCAAGGUUCUAAAAAACGCUAGGCGUUAGUUGGGCGGUGGGCUAGCGCCUAGCGGCUAGGCGGCUAGGCGGGAUCUAGGCGGGAUCUAGGCGGGCGCCUAGGCGGCCUAGGCGGAUUUAGGUAAAUUUCUUAUAUAUUUUAUGAAUUAAUUAAAUUUACUAUAUCAAAUGUAAAUAAUUAUUAACUAAUAUGUUAUUUCUUAUAGAAGAACAUACAUAGUGAAUGUUUUAUGUACAUAUAUAAUAUAUUUGUCUAGGAAAAAAAAAUAUUAUCUAAAUAAUUUUUAUAACAUAUAUAUAUAUAUAUAUAUAUAUAUAUAUAUAUCCCAAACUUUUAAAAAUAUAAAUAGCAUUGGGAGAGGGGCGUAGGGUUUCUAAAAGCACACUCAGAAAUAGAGCAUAUUUUAGUCUUUAUUUUAGAAUCCUAAGGAGCACCCUACUCGGAUGCACGACAUGUGUGCAAAUCUGGAGAUUCUUGCUGUAUCGGAUACACCAAUGCUUAGUCAAAAUUUCCUGCUAGGGUUUAUGGUGGACAUGUGUGUGUGGUCUUCAUUAUUAAACCCAUUAGCACCUCACCUUUUCACAUCACCCGUCCAUCACCUUGGGUGGUUUUGAUAAUUAAAACCAUCAACAUCCAUGGUUUUGAUAAUUAGAACUACCAACUUUUCCUUGGAUUUGAGAAUCUGAGAUCCCAUUCAUCGCCAUCAAAUAUUGAAAUGUUUCAUUGUUCAUCUCUUUCUCCCUCUUCUCACUCUCUAUUCCCUCAUCUUCACAGAGAUGAGUUACAGAAAUUCUCCGGUAAUCUCUCUCUCUCUCUCUUCGUAAUCGACGAGCUCCUCGACUUGAAGUCGCAGCCAAGUUAUGAAGAAUCGAGAUGCGAGAGCAAGUGGAGAGUGGAGACUCUGGAAAUUGGGAGUGACGAUCGACGACGAUGAGUCGAUGACCCAGGAAACCUCUUGAAGUUGCAGCAGGUGAGUGCACUGCAGUUGAGGAAGAAGAGACGAAGAGACUUAGUUUCUGAAAUUAGGGUAGCUGCAAGGCACGGGAACUUAAAAACAAAAAAACAAAAAGAAAACCGCCUAGCUCCGCCAGCCGCCUAGCCUGCCUAGGCGCCUCCUAGCCCGCCUAGGUGCCGCUUAGCCACCGCCUAGAGCCCAGCCGUUUUUUCCCACCGUUUUGCACAAAAACGCCUUGGCCACCCUCCGCCUAGCGCCUAGGCGGCCGCCUAGGCCGUUUUUUAGAACACUGCUUAUUUGUCUAAUUAGAUUGUGGAUGCCUUCGAUUCUUUAUUUAAUUGUUCUGUUUGCGUUCGGGUGUGAUGAUCUAAAUUUCAUAUGUUUGGAAUUAUUUACUUAACACCAAUUUGUUACAUUCAGAUCUCCACCCCACAUUUCACUAGUUCAAAUUCCAUAGAAGUUGGUUAUUGCAGAUUGCGUCUACAAUUAGAUCAGAGAUCAACUACUCUUUUGUUAUCCUGCAGAAGAUUGCUUUUGGGAAGGAUCUGAAGUAGUUUCUCUCUGUAUGUUUAUUCCCAUGUAGCUCUGUCUUUUCUAAUUGAUGGUGUUGAUAUUACACUGUAAUUCAUGAUGAUGAUUUAAUUGUUUAUUGAUUUGUAAUUGUUUGUGAAUAAUGUGGCAUAUAUGAAUUGCAAUCUGUGUUUGUAUGAAAGGGAUGGCAUAUUAUGUUGCUGACUUAAUUGUUUAUGUUUUUCAUAUUUGCGAAUGGUGUUAUGAUCAAUUAGGUGAUUGCUGACCUGUGACUUUGUUUGGAGCUCAAAUUUUGUGAGCAUUACAUUGGAUUGUUUUGAUGUUGUUUUGGUUGACAAUGCAGGGAUAGGAGAAACAAAGAGGAUGACACUUAUAACUGCCAUUCCCCAUCGGCCGUCUUCAAAUUUGGAUCACAAGAAGGGAGCAACAUAGGUGUUUUCCUUCUUUAUUUAGAUAUGGUUAGUGUAAAUAAUUGGACAAAAGAGCCAAACAAACCCUGUUCUCUCAAAUGGAGUUGAUGAUGUGGUCGACGGCCACCAGCCCCAACUCAAGAGUUUGGCCUUCAUAUAAUUGGAUUGUAGUAUAAUUUUAUUUUUGUUCAUUUCUUUUUUCCUUUAUAUAAGUGCAGGUGUUGUGAUGUUUUGAAUAAAGGGUGAUGAAAGGUGGUUCACACUUCCUCCUUACUUAAAGCAAGUGGAGAUGACGGUUUGUAUAAAAAGAAAAACUUGCCACGUACUUCAAUUUUCUAUUUUAUUAAUUAUUGUUUGGUUUUCCAAAUGUUGUAUUCACAAAGAGAGACCAAUUAUGUCUUUGAGAAACAAGUUUCUUUGUCUACAUUGCGAGAAUUUGCAGUUUGCAACUUUCAUUGGUUAUUAUAUUUGAUUGAGUUAAACUUGGAUUUCUGGAUUCUGACUUUUUCGUUUGUUUCUUUGUUGCAGAGUUGGCUUCAUUUCAUUCCAGGAACUCUCUAAAUAGGGCCAAGAACUCACUAAAUAGGUAGUCAAGAGGAAUUCAGUUUUGCCUUCAAUUUUUGCCUUCUGUUUACAUUCUUCCUGGAUGCACUCUCACCGCUUCUCUCGCUUACCACUUUUUUCUCACUCACCGCUUCAUCUCUUCUGUUGCUUACAAGGUCGUGUCAUAUAUUUUUUAAUUUUGUGGUUUAAUUUAUUGAAUAUUUGAAAAAAGAGAUAAAAUUAUAAGAUACUAUAUAAGAUACUAUAUAGUAUCUUAUAAAUAAAUGAAUCACAAAUGAUACUAUAGUUGUUAAAAAAUCCCAUUACUCAAAACUCCAAUUCCCUCCCAUUACUGAAAGCUCCAAUUCCAUCAAAACCGAGAUGGUAAAAGUACAAACUGGCUAGUUUCCACCAAAAAAAAAAGUACAAACUGGUUACAAAAAUAUGUUUUGUCCCAUCCAAUUGACGAAAAGAGAUAAAAUUUUCAAUUUACAAUUACUGAUAUGAUGUUUGUUUUGAAAAUCAUUAAGGUGAAUGGAGAGAUUUACAACCAUGAAGAGCUGAGGAGCCGUUUGCCAAAUCAGAUUUAUAAGGUCUCAUCAAUUAUGAAUAAACGACUUUUCAUUCCCAAUGACCUUUAUCGUUUUUCUUAAUGGGUUAGCUGAACAUGAGGUAGAUGCUGACUUUAUCAAAUAUGAGAAUGUUUUAGGAUUUCAUUCUAAUUUUUUGGCUGUUUGAUUACUUUGCUUUUCGUAAUUUGUUUUGCUUAUCGUCAAUUGGAUGGGACAAAACAUAUUUUUGUAACCAGUUUGUACUUUUUUUUUUGGUGGAAACUAGCCAGUUUGUACUUUUACCAUCUCGGUUUUGAUGGAAUUGGAGCUUUCAGUAAUGGGAGGGAAUUGGAGUUUUGAGUAAUGGGAUUUUUUAACAACUAUAGUAUCAUUUGUGAUUCAUUUAUUUAUAAGAUACUAUAUAAGAAACUGUUAUUAGCACUCUAAAAAACUCAUUCUACACUCGCGACAAGUGUAUUUUUCUUUUUAAUUAUGGAAAGUUUGAAGGGCAAAAUGAGAAUUUUGGAGUGCCAAUAACAAUUCCCUAUUAUAUAUAGCUCUACUGGGAAGGCUACUGUAUAUGUCUUCAUCCUGUUAAAUUGUAUAUGGCUCUUGAUGUCGGCUGAAUUAAAUCAAAAUGAAAACCAAGCUGAUCUUACCAGCCGAUAUCACUUAUCACUUGCUUAUUUAAAUUAUUUGAAGAUGCGUAUGUGGAUUGGUGAUUUUGUUGGAUUCACUUAGCUCAAAUAUAUGUUAUCUGAGUCGCUACAUUUGAGAAUGUGAUUCUGUUCCUACCACCAUUUUGCCCACUUUUUGUGGAAAUUAUUCAUUCCUGUUGUGAAUAAUACAUUCAUCCCCGGCAACGAAGUGCGGGCACAUUUUAUAGUUUAAAUUAAAUCACACAAUGGGUCAUCAAUAAUGACAAACUCGUCAUUUAUGCGAGUCAAACAUGAGGCCACCUACCUACUAGUUUAGUGGAAUACCACAAAGUGACAUGUUGAUACCUUUAAGUCUCAUAUAAUGGAUUGCAGAAUUAGGAUAUACCUAGACUAAUUUAGUCAGUGCGUGAACCCGAACAAUUAACAAGGGUUUUAUUCUUGCUUGAAUGUUUGUUAUAUGUUCCUAGUUUGACAAGGCAAUUAUAUUUCCGAUUACAAAAGUUAUUAAUUUAGUCGAGAAUUGACGCACCUGAAAUGGUGUGAGGAAAACAUGUAGACACAUCAACCGCAGUCCACUGUCCUGGGCAUCUAUCUUCCCCGAAACGAAGCUCAAAGCCAUACAUGAGGGCAUUGUGUAUGUCUUUAUAAGAGAAGUUGCUGUAGUCUUCAACGUAGCCGGCAGCCAAACUCAUCCACUCUACACUGCAACCCUCAUCCAAAUCCCAUGCUUCCAACCUGCCCCCGACAUAGUCAGCGACCAUGACAUAGCUAUACGUUUUUGGUUGACUCGAAGAAGAAGAAGAAGUAUUAUUCAAGCAUGGAGCAGUGUCCACGUACAGAGAAGAAUUCGAUGGAUUCGAACACUUCAAGUAAUAUAUAGAUAGAGAAUUGAUGUCAUAGGUGGGCCAAUAUGGAGAAUUGAUGUCCUCGGUGGUGGGCGGAAUAUUUUGAGACAUGGAAGAGCAAUUGUUGUUGUCAAGCCCAGGAUCUAGAACUCGGAUUGUAUUGUUAAUGUAGUUGAUUGCCUGGACAUAGUAUUUUCCGGAAGAAGGUACGUCUAGUACAGUAAUGUUGCUCUCACAGUACAGAGUAUACAUUAUGUUGCCACAGUACUUUGGAUCAUCGUUCAGUCGAAAAGGAUGGCUUAUGUAGUGGAUAUGGCCGCAGGAUGAAGUGCAGGACUUGGCACUACUGUUGUCAGCGUUACAAGUUUCACUGCAAAAGCAAAGAAGAAGAAAGGCUAAACUUAAGGUGAAGGACCUGCUUCCACUAAUUUCCAUUGAUCUGAGAGAGAGAGAGAGAGAGAGAGAGAGAGAGAGAGAGGGUACUAUAGCUUGAACACCAAGGAGUUAUAUAAUAUGGGAGGGGUUAAAGCGCUUCGCUUAAAGUUGCAGUAAGCCCGGCAAAUAUCCUAGGGAAAAGUCGGUCAAUGGUGUCCUAUAGAGAAAAGUCGGCCUUGGUGUUUGACACGGUCACUCACUCUCUCUCUCUCUCUCUCUCUCUCUCUCACAUUGACGAGGGACACUGUAAUUAACAAAAAAAUUGUUCUUCAGAGAUAGAUUUUGAAAUUCUUAUUUUAUAUAAAAAAACACCUAAUAUUAAUCAUUCAAAUGAAAUUCCUAAAAUUAAGUAUAAAUAAUACAUAAUAAAAACUGAACACAUACAAUCAACGGUCACGAUCAUGAAAUCCUUCGGAUCCUCAGAAAAAAAUCCGACGAUGAUCUUUUUCUGUGUAAAAUAAUUUGAGGGUAUAAUACUGGAUGUGCGAUUAAACCGAAGAACCCACCCACCUCCAUCUUCUCCGACCAACUUGAACCCAGCCACUACUACAUGUCAUCCCGACAACCCACUCUCAGCUUCCCAAACCGCCAUUUUUCACCCAUUCACCUACCACUGCCAUUAUUCAUUCAAUCAACCCAAAACACGAGAGCCACCCCCAUCUCACCAGUCGAACAGAUGCAGCCACCCACCCAUUUAAUCCCAGUCCAAAAUCAAACCCUCUCCUAAACCCACCCCAGAAUCCAAUAAUUUCAAAAAAUGGCUGAUUAUAUCAUUUCAAGAACCUCACAAUUCCAAAAACUAAAAACCCACUUCAAAGAUGUAAUAUUUUUCUCUCUUCCUCUUUUUGGGUUUUUUUUUCUUUUUUUUUAUCAAUUCUCUUCUGGGUUUUUGUUUACAGUGUAAAAUCAACACUAAUUUACUAAUUUUGCUUUGAUUUCAAACACUAUUGAGGCGUGAUAACCUGUUGCAAGCUCAGCCAUGGCGGCUACUGCGAAAUCUAACGGAAAAACCAUCACAGACUCUGCCAUUUCAUCCAAGGUUCCGACAAUAGCAAAACGAAUAGCUGUCGCAGAUUUCUUCCAACAUCAAUCACUACGCGAAAUUAAUUGUCAAUGAAGACGAUCCCAUUCCCCUUCGAAAUCUGCUGGGGAAAGAGACCUUCUUUCAGAUCUGCUCUGAGACCGGUUUAUGCGAGAGAGUGGUGAGCCUGACGACAGAGAGAAAUAAGGGCAGGAUUGGAAAAUUGGAAAGUUCAUUUAUUGGUUACUGUUUAUCCGUGUUUCUUCGAAAUAAGCUGCUUUUUCCAGCUUUGGGUUUCAGUGUUUUUUAACCCAUAAUUUUGAAAGAAAAAAAACUGAUUUUAAAUGUUUAUCAAACACUUAAAAUGUUCCAAUCUUUUUUCAUACCUACUUUUUAUUAAAAGUUAAGCUAAACAAAAAUCAAGAUUAAGUUUACUACUCUGAAGUUUCUUGCUUUUCAACAUUUCAUACAUUGAAUUUUUCUCAUCCAGUGUCAUAUCUAAGGUGGGAAUUGUGGGACACUUUUAUACAUCCGUUAGAUUUUAUGUGAAUUGCGUGGCACUUUUAUACAUCCGUUAAAUUUUUUGUGAGAACCUUCGCUGACCCACGAUGCGGCAUGCAUGUGGACAUUAAAAAAAUUCAAAAAAUUCAAAAAAUUUUAAAAUUUUAAAAUUUAAAAUUCAAAAAUACUAAAAACCUAAACUUUUCAUAAUAUUGAAAGACUGAAUCUUUUCACAGUCAGCCAAAUUUUCUUCAAAUUUUAAUUAGAUGAAAUAAUGAAUCUUGAACAAAGCAAAACAAAACGUAAUAUUGAGAGAUUCAGUCAUUGAAGUGGACGUGGAUGUUGGGUACUCAAUAGUCCAAGAAUGAAAACUCUCAUAUCAGUUUCUAUCCAAAAUUUUGGAAUUAUGUGUGUUGCAACGAUUGUCCAAAGGAUUAUUCUUCUUUUAUUAAAUUUCCAUGAAAAAUGAGCAUGGAGCACAAAAGUUGAACGAAUGAUUAUUCUUCUUUUAUUAAAUUUCCAUGGAAAAUGAGCAUGGGGCACAAAAGUUGAACGAAUGAAAUUUCAACGAUUUGAAAAGGGAUUGUGAGUUUGACAUGUCAUUUUUCUUCCUCUAAUGCAAUCAUGUUUAUUAAAAGACAAAAAUAAAUAUGACUUUACAUAAGGAGAGAGAAGGAGUAGUUUUCUUUGAAAAAAUCAACCAUUUAUUGAAGAGGAUGUGGAUGUUGAUUGAUGCGUCGUGAAUACGAAAAAAAGGACCUUGAAAGGAGUUGAGACAUUCAUUAAAAGCUAGAAGAAAAAAAAGUUAAAAGUGUUUUAGAAAAAAAGCAAGAAAGCCUCAUUUUCAAAGUUGUGGUCAUUGCACAAUACUUGAUUAGAAGAAAACUCAUAGUAUUGUAUUUACAAUUUCAAGUCUUUAUGGGGAACGAGAGAGCAAGUUUUCCAAUUGGAAUAUGAUAUGAAAUUUCUACAUAACUAUAUAUGACAAUGAAAGAAGUCUAAGUUUCUAAAUGGAAGGGCUUCCAAUUGAUGUGAGUUUGUUGAGAAAUUAGUGAACAACAGAACAAGUUGCUUCUCCUUUGGCCUUCUAACAUGAUAUCACAGAAAACAAGUUGUUACUAAUAAAUGUAUCUGAUUGGUGGACUUAGACGUGCGCGGUACGAUUUUUGAUAACUAGAGAAGAUGGGCAGUGUCAUGACAAAAUUUAUCCAAGUAGACCCAAAGGAAUGACUUAGGAACUUCAUAUGCAGUGGGAUAAAAUCUUAAGCUAAUUUCCUUACCUAUCUUAUAGGCAUUAAGUAAAAUGUAUAUGCAUAUUUCUAGACACACCAAUUUACUUAAUAUUAACUUCUUUCAAAUACCCAUUUGCAGAAACGCAAAGCUCUCUUGCAUGCUUGUUGUAAUGCUUAUGUAGUGCGUAUCCUAUAUCUUAUAUAUAUAUCUUACUUUUUGUGAUCCAUUUUUUCAUCACUAUGCCAAACGAAUAGCAAAACGAAUAGCUGUCGCAGAUUUCUUCCAACAUCAAUCACCACGCGAAAUUAAUUGUCAAUGAAGACGAUCCCAUUCCCCUUCGAAAUCUGCUGGGGGAAAGAGGCCUUCUUUCCGAUCUGCUCUGAGACCGGUUUAUGCGAGAGUGGUGAGCCUGACGACAAAGAGAAAGAAGGGCAGGAUUGGAAAAUUGGAAAGUUUAUUGGUUACUGUUUAUCCGUGUUUCUUCGAAAUAAGCUGCUUUUUCCAGCUUUGGGUUUUCAGUUUUUUUUACCCAUAAUUUUGAAAGAAAAAAAACUGAUUUGAAAUGUUUAUCAAACACUUAAAAUGUUCCAAUCUUUUUUCAUACCUACUUUUUAUUAAAAGUUAAGCUAAACAAAAACCAGGAUUAAGUUUACUACUCUGAAGUUUUUUGCUUUUCAACAUUUCAUACAUUGAAUUUUUCUCAUCCAGUGUCAUAUCUAAGGUGGGAAUUGUGAGACACUUUUAUACAUCUGUUAGAUUUUAUGUGAAUUGUGGGGCACUUUUAUACAUCCGUUAGAUUUUUUGUGAGAACCUUCGCUGACCCACGAUGCGGCAUGCAUGUGGACAUUGAAAAAAUUCAAAAAAAAUCGAAAAUUUUAAAAUUUUAAAAUUUAAAAUUCAAAAAUACUAAAAACCUAAACUUUUCAUAAUAUUGAGAGACUGAAUCUUUUCACAGUCGGCCAAAUUUUCUUCGAAUUUUAAUUAGAUGAAAAUAAUGAAUCUUGAACAAAGCAAAACAAAACGUAAUAUUGAGAGAUUCAGUCAUUGAAGUGGACGUGGAUGUUGGGUACUCAAUAGUCCAAGAAUGAAAACUCUCAUAUCAGUUUCUAUCCAAAAUUUUGGAAUUAUGUGUGUUGUAACGAUUGUCCAAAGGAUUAUUCUUCUUUUAUUAAAUUUCCAUGAAAAAUGAGCAUGGAACACAAAAGUUGAACGAAUGAUUAUUCUUCUUUUAUUAAAUUUCCAUGGAAAAUGAGCAUGGGGCACAAAAGUUGAACGAAUGAAAUUUCAACGAUUUGAAAAGGGAUUGUGAGUUUGACACGUCAUUUUUCUUCCUCUAAUGCAAUCAUGUUUAUUAAAAGACAAAAAUAAAUAUGACUUUACAUAAGGAGAGAGAAAUAGUAGUUUUCUUUGAAAAAAUCAACCAUUUAUUGAAGAGGAUGUGGAUGUUGAUUGAUGCGUCGUGAAUACGAAAAAAAAAGACCUUGAAAAGAGAUGAGACAUUCAUUAAAAGCUAGAAAAAAAAAAGUUAAAAGUGUUUUAGAAAAAAGCAAGAAAGCCUCAUUUUCAAAGUAGUGGUCAUUGCACAAUACUUGAUUAGAAGAAAACUCAUAGUAUUGUAUUUACAAUUUCAAGUCUUUAUGGGGAACGAGAGUGCAAGUUUUCCAAUUGGAAUAUGAUAUGAAAUUUCUACAUAACUAUAUAUGACAAUGAAAGAAGUCUAAGUUUCUAAGUGGUAGGGCUUCCAAUUGAUGUGAGUUUGUUGAGAAAUGAAGAUGAAGAUGAAUAUUGAUGUUGAUGUUAGUGAACAACAGAACAAGUUGCUUCUCCUUUGGCCUUCUAACAUGAUAUCACGGAAAACAAGUUGUUGCUAAUAAAUGUAUCUGAUUGGUGGACUUAGACGUGCACGGUACGAUUUUUGAUAACUAGAAAAGAUGGACAGUGUCAUGACAAAAUUUAUCCAAGUAGACCCAAAGGAAAGACUUAGGAACUUCAUAUGCAGUGGGAUAAAAUCUUAAGCUAAUUUCCUUACCUAUUUUAUAGUAUUAAGUAAAAUGUAUAUGUAUAUUUCUAGAUGCUGACACACCAAUGUACUUACUAUUAACUCCUUUCAAAUACCCAUUCGCAGAAACGCAAAUCUCUCUUGCAUGCUUGUUGUAAUGCUCAUGUAGUGCGUAUCUAAUAUCUUAUGUGUAUAAUUUUUUGUGAUCCAUUUUUUCAUCACUAUGCCAAAAUCCCUUUAGAAUUUGCAAUUUAUCCAUUUGGUUAUGGUAAAAAAAAAAACUCGGAAUUUCAUUUAAACUCGAAAAUCUAGAAUUGGGAAAGCAAUUUUCCCUUGUUCGGCAACUUGUAGCGAUAGCAAAGGCAAAUUGUACCGGAAAAAAGUGGAAAUUGGGGAUGAAGAUCCAAUUUUAAUUUCGUCAAAAUAAGUGUAAUUUCACAAUUCCAACAACGUUGAGAAUCACAAAUGCAUUGUGGGGAAAUCUUGCGACCACCAAACUUUACGAUUAGAGCGCCAAAUUUCAUGAUAAAACGUAAUAAGGGUUUAGGACUGCAUCGUUCGCUCUGUUAACUCUCCAAUCUUCGACGGGAUUUUCAACUCGUGCAUCAUUUUUUGCUUUGUUCUAGGUCAAAGCCUACUCUUUUCUUUCUUGAAUUAUUUUAGCUUUGCGGGUAUACUCUUUAGGCCAAUUGUGAAUUUUGCUAGUUAUUUUUAUUUUCUGAUGGUCAUAUGUUUGUUUUUUUUUUCUUCCAAUUGAGCUGUGUAUUGGUUGGAUCAGUAACUUUUUUUUUGGAUUUUUAUUUUUAUUUUUAUGGAUUUUGGUGUUAGUUCCUUGUUAUAGAUGUAUAGAUGUUGUGGAGCAAAAAAUAAUCUCAAAAAUCGUGGAGGUGACACACGGAUUUUUGGACAAGAAUGACAAAAUUAUCCUCGAAGCACAUCAUGAUUCCCACGUGCAUGCAACGGACAAUAACGGCUCAAUCAUGGAAGAGUCAAAGGUGAUCAAUAUGGUAUUUAUUCAAAUCCCUCUCAUCACUCCUCAUCAAUCCCUUUUUGAUUUUAUUCAAAAGGUAACUCCCAAAACUUCCUAUUUAAUUUAGGGAUCAUUGUCAUGUUAAUUGCAAGAUAUUAUUUCACAAAAUAUCUUGUAAUUAUUCUUCAAUUACCACCAUGUAUGGCCGGCCACUCCUCACCCUAUGGGCCGGUCACUCCUCACCCUAUGGGUCGGCCACUCCCUAUAAAUAGCCCUAUUAUUCCACUAAUAAGGAAGCCAUUUGCUACCCACAAACUCCUAAACACAUUCUUUCAGAAUUCUAACUUUGGCAUUGGAGAUUCUUAGGCCAAAUCCCCCCUCCCAUUCAUCGUGGGCGCAUAAGGCUUUUGGCCUUAGUCUUAGGUAUUAUUAUUUUGCAGGUGCAUUUUCGUCAAAGACGAAGAUGGUGGAAAUUUGGAUCCACAAAUUGGUGUUUUCAUUGAGAGUUUGAUUCACAAGCUCGAAGAAGACUCUCGCAUUCAAAGUUUCACAUUUCUCAUUCAUAAGUAAAUUUUUCAUACGUUCUUAUUCCUAGAAUUUUUUUAAAUCUUUGAAUAGACGUAGGAGAGAAAUACAAUGGCUAGAAAUUUAGAAACCACGACGAACGAAACUUCCUACGUUCAAAGAUCCAGAUCAAAUGAUGGAAAUUGCGAUGUAGCCCCACCACGACGAUCCACGAAGCUCAACGUAGUGGCAAAAUGAGUAACUUGGCCACCACGGAGUACCACCACCACCAUAGCCAAGGCAACCCAUGUUGCAGUGGGGAGUGGGACAACUCCAUGGCAGCAAGGCCACGAAGCAACAACAGAUGCCAUCUUGCAGUAAUGAGCCCAAGCCUGUGUCACAAGGUAGUCAACCCAGCGCUAGGUAACCUAGAUCUAGUAGGCCCACGACGUUGCCAUAGUAGCUGAGGCCUAAAGCAAGGCCCAAGCAGCUGCGACUGCGGCAAAUGGAGCAACACAACACUGGCGGGGCCAAUGCACCCUUGGCCUAAUGCCAAGCAGGCUAAAUCGCACCACACCCACUAUUCAAACUAACCCUAAGUUGAGUAAGUAGCAUUGAAGGUUGUCAACCGCAAGGCGUUGAAGUACGAAUAAAGUUACACACCCCGCACAUGACUUGGCCCACUUCCGCGGCCCAACUUGCUCGCAAGGUCCACCUAGUGAUCCCGACCAGUCGAAGGCCAGUUCAAUCAUCCCAUCUUCAGAUUUCUGGACUGACGAUUGAAUCGGGGGUAUUUUCACCCCGAUUUUCUACAGAUUUGACAUAUCUCAACACAAAUCUCGCACUUGGAGUCCAUUGCACUUCCAUUACUCAAGGAGACGCAUACCAUUUAAGAUCUUCCAUCCCAAAUGGCGAACAACACUUGUCUUGACAAGUCAUAGAGUUGACAUGCACUUUUGCGCAGUAGACGACCUUAGUGAAUCAGCUUUUGCAACGCACAAAGAUGCAGUAUGCCCCAGACGAUGUGUCCCGAAGCAGGACAAGUAUAGACGACGAUUCUCUCCAGCAGCGUCCCAACAAGCAGCCGCUCGACUAGCCACGAACCGAGCAUUCUGGCAGUGUACACUCCCGUCUAGGUCCUCAAGAAAGCAUAUACUCUCAUCUUAGCGCGCGGAUGAGCGUGCACUCCUGGUUAGGCCUACGGACGAGCAUACAUUCACGGUUGGGACCAUACUCUUAUAAUUAACAUGGACAACCUGCUAGACGAAGUGUUCAUUCGCGGCUAGGCUCGCAAAGAGCAUUUUCCACCUCAUAUUGGAGUAAGCAGCACAGAAGACGAAGAUAAGCAGUCAAUUAAUCUGGCUCAAAUUCAAUCGGCCACCUGUAAGUAACUAGCUCGCCUGCCAAGAACGUACCAUAUGCAAUGUAGCCACGACAUAGACUAGCUGAGCACAACGAUGAGCAACCUAGACUAACAGGUUACGACUGGGGGUAGCCAGAAGCUUCACUGCCCCAAUAUAGGUAAAUUUAGAAAGAAGUUGAGAGGCUUCUGACAGAACGAUUGUGCGAUUUCCAACGCAAUGAAGCUACUGACAAGGCGCUUAAACGAUACACGACCAACAUAAACGGGUCACCUUUUAUUGACAAGAUUGAGCAGACAGAACCAUCCUACAUACACUGGCGGAUACAAAUAUUACUUCUAUUUUAACAUACGCAUCAACUCAGCCUAAUGGCGUGUCGAGGGCAAAUGGGUUCCAGAAUGGCACACUAACCCAACCACCAAGAACCAGGGCCAAAUCUUAUUUUCAUCACUCCACACGAUUCAAUGCUUGAGCAUCACAUCACCAGUAAUAGAGCACCGCAGACCUAAUGGUCCAAUUCCUCCUGAUGCACACAAGCUCACCCCAGCUCCACGCUCAAAGCCGUGCCUACCUGCUCCACAACACUCAGCCACCCUUGAUUUGUCACCAUGGCUCACAGUUAUGCCAAUUUUGCACCACAGCUCCCAGCCGUGCUAAUCUUGCCAUGCGGCUUUUAACUACGUUAACCAAGCCCACGAUACUUCAUACUUCAAAACAUCCAAUGACGAAGUAGAACAUGAGGCUCUACUAGCAGCCCCUGCUAGUGAAAGGCUUUGCGGUGAAGAGGCUUCCAAUCCAUUCAAAUUCUCAGUUGACCACCUGUUGGGUUUUACGGCUCAAAAUUAGGAUGAUGCAAAAAAAAUUGUGUUACCUAUUUGGUUUUGGUGUCGUAUUUGGGUUUGGAUUUUGACCUCUUAGUUGGUUUCCUUGGUGGAGAGAUUUUGUUAAUUACCUAUUUGAUUAGGAUUUGGAUUUACUUCCUAUUAAGAUUCUUAUUGUAACCUAAGUCUUAUGCACUAUAAAUAGGACCUCAGGGUUAGUGUAUUUUGUGUGGCUCAUUCGUGUGGCAAUUUGGUGAGAGUCAAUUUGUGAGUUUGUGAGUUAGAGAGCAAUUUGGGAGAAUCUUCUCCGUUAGUUUUGGGUUCUCUACUCGUUUGGUUUAGGGUUUGUAAUUUGUGGGAUUUGGAUUGUGAGAGUUUAAACACUAUUUUGUAAUCUCCGUUUGUUUAGUGAAAUUUCUUGUCAUGCUUCGCUCGUGGACUUAGAUUUUACACCGAACCACAUAAAUCUCUUGUGUUAGUUUGAGAUUGUUUGUUUUAGUUUUCACCUACAACGUUGAUAUCGGUACUUUGCUAUAAUUUGCUUUCCUUUGCUCAUAAAAGUACGACAAGUGGUAUCAGAGCCCAGCUUUCGGCUUGGGCUUUUCUUGGCAAUCAAUAUGAAGCCUUCUGUGUCGUCGGUGAAAGUUGAUAUUGAAAAGUUCGAUGGCAAUGACUUUGGUAUUUGGCAAUUGAAGAUGCGUGCUUUGUUAAUUCAACAAGAGCUUUUAAAAACGCUAAAGGGUGUGAAGGCUUUCCUGAAUUCGUGGACUGAUGAAGAAAAACAAAGAAGUUAUGGAGCGGGCACUUGGAACAAUCCUGCUGACUUUAUCGAAUGAAGUCUUGCGUCAAGUUGGUAGCAUCAAAUCUGCACCGAAGUUGUGGCUAAAAUUGGAGAGUUUGUAUAUGACCAAAUCCCUUGCUAAAUGGUUGUAUUUGAAGAAAAGUUUGCGUACUCUUCGUAUGGAUGAAGGUACGUCAAUUCAUAAGACCAAAUCCUUAUUGCUGCCAAAAGUCCUCAACAGUUCCAAGGGAGAUGGGUAAGAGUUCGUAAUAGUGAGAGAUUGAAUCUUUUCACACUUGGCCAAAUUUUAAUUUUAAUUAGAUGAAACAAUGAAUCUUGAACAAAGCAAAACAAAAUUUAAUACUGAAAGAUUGAGUCAUUGAAGUGGACGUGGAUGUUGGGUACUUAACAGUCCAAGAAUGAAAACUCUCAUAUCAGUUUUUAUCCAAAAUUUUGGAAUUAUGUGAGUAUUGCAACGAUUGUCCGAAUGAUUAUUCUUCUUUUAUUAAAUUUCCAUGGAAAAUGAGCAUGGGGCACAAAAGUUGAACGAAUGAAAUUUCAAUGAUCUGCAAAGGGAUUGUGAGUUUGACAUGCCAUUUUUCUUCCUUUUAUGCAAUCAUGUUUAUUAAAAGACAAAAAUAAAUAUGACUUUACAUAAGCAGAGAGAAAGAGUAUUUUUCUUUGAAAAAAUCAACUAUUUAUUGAAGAGGAUGUGGAUGUUGAUUGAUGCGCCGUGUGAAUAGGAAAAAAAUGACCUUGAAGGGAGACAAGACAUUCAUUAGAAGCUAAAAAAAAGUUAUAGUGAUUUAGAAAAAAGAAAUUUUAACGAAAUAUUUCCGGUAUUGUUCACUCUUUACGAAAAACCACAUUUUUACAUUUCCUGGCUACUAUUCACUACACCUUUAUUUAUCAUUUUUCAUUAAAACUAAAUUUGUUUUUGAACUUUUCGUUAGUUUCCUUUAGAAAAAAGCAAGAAAGCCUCAUUUUCAAAGUGGUAGUCAUUGAAACAAUACUUGAUUAGAAGAAAAGUCAUAGUAUUGUAUUUACAAUCUCAAGUCUUGAGGGGUAACGAGAGUGCAAGUUUCUAAUUGGAAUAUAAUAUGAAAUUUCUACAUAACAAUAUAUGACAAAGAAAGAAGUCUAAGUUUCUAAGUGGAAGGGCUUCCAAUUGAUGUGAGUUUGUUGAGAAAUGAAGAUGAAGAUGAAUAUUGUUGUUGAUGUGAGUUAGUGAACAACAGAACAAGUUGCUUCUCCUUUGGCCUCUAACAUGAUAUUACCGGAAAACAAGUUGUUACUAGUAAAUGUAACUGACUGGUGAACUAAGACAUGCGGUACGAUUUUUGAUAACUAGAGAAGAUGAAUAGUGUCGUGACAAAAUUUAUCCAAGUAGACCCAAGGGAAAGACUUAGGAACUUCAUAUGCAGUGGGAUAAAAUCUUAAGCUAAUUUCCUUUUUAAUCUUAUAGUCAUUAUGUAAAAUGUAUAUGCAUAUUUCUAGAUACAUACACACCAAUGUACAUAAUAUUAACUCCUUUUAAGUAGUCAUUUGCAAAUCCCUCUUGAGUGCUCUUUGGAAUGCUCAUGCGGUGCCGUUCUAAUCUCUUAUAUAUAACUUUUUGUGAUCUGUUUUUUCAUCAAUAUGCCAAAAUCCCUUUAGAAUUUGCAACUUAUCUUUUUGGUUACGGUAAAAAAAAACUCGGAAUUUCAUUUAAACUCGAAAAUCUAGGGAUGUGAAAGCAAUUUUCUCUUGUUCGACAACAUUUAGCGAGAGCAAAGGCAAAUUGUACAGGAAAAAGUUAGAAAUUGGGGAUGAAGAUUCCCAAUUUUAAUUUCGUCUAAAUAAGUGUAAUUUCACAAUUCUAACUACGAUGAGAAUCACAAAUAUAUUGCAGGGAAAUCUUGCAACAGCCAAACUUUACGAUUAGGGUGCCAAAUUUCGUGAUAAAACCUAAUAAGGGUUUAGGGCUGCAUUGUUCACUCUGUUAACUCUCCAAAUCUUCGACGGAUUUUCGGCUCGUGCAUCAUCUUCUUGCUUUGUUCUAGGUCAACGCCUCUACUCUCUUCUUUCUUGAAUUAUUUUAGCUUUUUAGGUAGGCUCUUUAUGGCUGUUGUGAAUUUUGCUAGUUAUUUUUAUUUUCUGAUAGUCAUUUGUUUGUUGUGCGUUUUUCCUUCCAAUUGAAUUGUGUAUUGGUUGGAUCUGUAACAUUUAUUUUUUAUUUUAUUUUAUGGAUUUUGGUGUUAGUUCUUUGUCAUGGAUGUUGUCCCUUUGAAGGUUAACAAUAGCCAAGACUAAACAUGAUGAUAUUGUUAAUUACUUUCUCAUGAUACUAAUGCCAUAUUGUUCUCUCUUUUGCACUUACAAGUGAAGAGAAAUAUCCUAGACCCUAACUGGAUAUGUUAUUGUCAUGGUCAUGCAUUGGUAUGGUAACAAUAUGUUUGGAUAAGGAAAAUAAACUUAGAAUUUGACAAAAGAUAGAAUUUAUAAAUUGAUACAAUCAAUUCCUUUGUUUAGAUUCAUAAACAUAGAAAUUUAAACUUUCCGUGUGAGAAAAAACUUGGAAUUUGGGACCUUCAAUUCUCAUGUUUAAAUUUUAUGUAAAUAGGUGUCAUUUCUAAAUUUCAGCAAGUGAGAAUUUAAAAAUAACAAACAUGUAUUCAAAUUUCAUUCCUCUUUUAGGUUAACCAAACAAGAAAUUUUAUAAAUUCUAGAAAAUAAAAUUUCGUUAUUUCAAUUUCUGUUAUUUUAAAAUUAGUAAUCUUAAAUUUUCCCAUCCAAACAAAGAGUUUCCUUGUCAUAGAACUUUCAAUUGGGAUCAAGGAAGACAAUCUUUUCACAACUGAUUAUUCUCACCAAAUUUUAUUAUUAUUUUAAAGCAGAUCAAUACCAAACUUCAAAAGCAAAGUAGGAAGGCUAAAAUUAAGGUGAAGAACCUACUUCCACUAAUUACCAUGGGAGGGGGAGAGAGAGAGAGAGAGAGAGAGAGAGAGAGAGAGAGAGAGAACCAAGCGAGAGAGAAGAGAGAGAAAACACCAAGUAGUAUUAUAAUAUAGGUGGGGUUAAAUCACCUUUCGUGAAGUUGCGGUAAGAGCAGCUCCAGCGGGAGGUCCAGCUUGAUGGACCGGUGAGAUUUCCUACCCAAUAGCCCCAGCUCCUUGCUCCAGCCCAUGCGGGCGAUUGGGCUGAGGGGGUGCCCGAGUGAGAGGCCUGACUCGAAUCGGUAGCCUGAGAGCUUGAGGCCAAAUGAUGCAUGGACGUCAGCCACGUUAUAAGAAGGAAGCAUAAACUAUGAAUAAUGAUAGAGAUUUAGAUUUUGGUGUGUGAUUUCAUCGGAUGGAUGGUGGGUUAUAUGGAGGAAAAAAAAAAGAUUAGGUUGUAGAUAAUGCCACGUGGCAUGCCGUCAUUCGUUAAAAAUCUGAUCGAAAUCUAUCAUCAAAGAUUUUAAACAGAUUAUGACACGUGACGCAACGUGAUUGGUUAAAAAUCUUAUCAGAAAUCUAUCCUUAACGAUUCUGAAAAGGUAACGAGAUGGGGCACGACGGCAUUGGAUAAAAAUCUUAUCGAAAUCUAUCACCAAAAAUUAUCUUUUUGGAUAAUGACACGUGGUGCAACGAGAACGAUUAAAAAUCUUAUCCGAAAUUACAAAUAGAAUUAUUUUGUAUUAUUUUAUAAAAUAAAAAUACUAAUAUUUUAUUGCCUAUUGACAUGACUAUUCAAUUAUGGGUGUGGAGAUGCAGAAGAUAAUUAUUAUUAAUUAAAGGUAAUUAUUGUUCAUUGGAGGGGAUUGAAUAUGAAGUUGCAGUAGAAGGCCUUUGUCACAGCAAUAGGCAGUUACUGUUCUAAGGACUUCUAUCCUAGAACAGAGACAAAAACACCAAGUAGUAUUAUAAUAUAGGUGGGGUUAAAUCACCUUCCGUGAAGUUGCUGUAUGGACUUCUAUCCUAGAGAAAAGUCGGUCAAUGGUGUUUGACACAGUCAGUCAACGACAAAGACAGAAUUGUGUAACCAUAAUUCUCUCUCUAUCUCUUUUUCAUUAACGGAGGACAGUGUAUAAUUACUACGUAUAUAUCUCUGCUCAAUUAUUGAAAAGAAAAAUCCAUGUGCAUUAUUUUUAUUAUUAUUAUCUCAGAAAUGCAGAAAUUGAUUAUCUCUUCCUUCUGCAUAUUGAUACUGGUUUUCUUCAAACUAGUUGAAGCAAGCCAAUAUGUGUGCGCGAAAUCCAACUGUAGCAAUGAUCAAGGCCCGGCUAAUUUCCUUAGGAGGGAGAGAGAGAGAGGGGAGAGAGAACCAAGUGAGCGAGCAGAGAGAGAAAACACCAAGUAGUAUUCUAAUGUUGGUGGGGUUAAGUCACCUUCCAUGAAGUUGCAGUAAGGACUUCUAUCCCAGAGAAAAGUCAGUAAAUGAUGUUGACACAGUCCGUCAACGACAAAGACAGAAUUGUGUAACCAUAAUUCUCUCUCUAUCUCUUUUUCAUUAACGGAGGACAGUGUAUAAUUACUACGUAUAUAUCUCUGCUCAAUUAUUGAAAAGAAAAAUCCAUGUGCAUUAUUUUUAUUAUUAUUAUCUCAGAAAUGCAGAAAUUGAUCAUCUCUUCCUUCUGCAUAUUGAUACUGGUUUUCUUCAAACUAGUUGAAGCAAGCCAAUAUGUGUGCGCGAAAUCCAACUGUAGCAAUGAUCAAGGCCCGGCUAUCCAUUUCCCAUUGAACAUCAGGCGCACACAUCAUUGUGGAAAUUCUGGGCUUGAAUGCAAUGGGAGAUAUGAGCAGCAAAUACUAAUAAAAUUAUUUGUCAAAGACACAGAUUACAAGCGUCAGGAAAUCCAAGUCUAUUCCCCAAGUAACUGCCUGCUGCUAAAGCUUGUUGAAAUCCCAAACAUGCCACCCUCUCCCUUCGUGCCAGUAGUCGAUUACAUGAUUAAUUUCAUAAACGUUACCUUAUUCAGUUGUCCUACUUCUGUUGCAAUACGAGAUACGUAUGGUUGUCAAGUCCCCUGCCUUGGCGACCGUGGCAAGAGAACUUAUGCCAUUGAUUCUGGGGUUUAUUUUGAAACUCUCUUCCAGAAUCUAGAAUCCUGUACAAAAAUGUAUGAUGUUUUAUCAGUUCCAAUAGCCGAUGAAUAUUAUGUUUUUCGUUUCAAAUGGUCUAUACCAAAUUGCAGAAAAUGUGGAGAGGGAAAGAAGUGUGAAUGGCAGAACAAUGAAAUUAAAUGUCUUCCCUGGAGGAAACCAAGUAAGGAUAACAUAUGUAUUCAUUGCUAGUUUUAAACAUCUUUACAUUUAUGUCUUAGUAAUUAUUAUUUGAAGGAUGUUGUCCAAUCCAUUUUUACUAGGAAUAUUACCUGACAGUCUCGUUUAAAUUCGCAAUGAUCUUCUACAGGCAACACAUGGAAAAAAGUGGUUACAGGUGGAAUCCUGUGUGCUUUGCUUCUUGUUCUACUGACGAUUGCAGCAUAUCGGGUAUAUAGCGCUGAUAGAAAGGAGAAAGAGAGUCGAUUAAGAAUUGAAAGAUUCUUGGAGGACUACAAAGCACUCAAACCAAGCAGGUAUUCGUACGCAGAUAUUAAGAGGAUUACAAAUCAAUUCAAGGACAAGUUGGGCGAAGGAGCCUAUGGAACUGUCUUCAAAGGAAUGCUCUCUUCUGAAUUCUUCAUUGCUGUCAAAGUCCUCAACAGUUCCAAGGGAGAUGGGGAAGAGUUCGUAAAUGAAGUGCGAACGAUGGGUCAUAUCCACCACGUAAACGUGGCUCGCUUGGUUGGAUUUUGUGCUGAUGGAUUUGUACGAGCUCUUGUUUACGAGUUCUUCCCCAAUGGUUCCCUGCAGGAUUUCAUUUCAUCUGCAGAUAGUAAGAAUUCAUUUCUUGGUUGGGAUAAGCUACAAGAUAUUGCCCUAGGCAUAGCCAAAGGAAUUGAAUAUCUUCACCAGGGAUGCGAUCUACGAAUCCUGCAUUUCGACAUCAAACCCCAUAAUGUUUUGCUAGACCAAAACUUCACUCCAAAAAUUUCUGAUUUUGGUUUGGCCAAGUUAUGUUCCAAGGAUCAAAGCUUGGUGUCCAUGACUACAGCAAGGGGGACCAUGGGCUACAUUGCACCUGAAGUGUUCUCCAGGAAUUUCGGAAAUGUGUCGUACAAGGCAGAUGUUUAUAGCUUUGGAAUGCUACUGCUUGAGAUGGUAGGAGGAAGGAAGAAUAUUGGUUCAAUUACGGAUAACACUACAAAUGAAAUUUACUAUCCACAGUGGAUUUAUAAUCUUCUAGAGGAAGGGGAUGACCUACGAAUCCACAUUGGGGAAGAAGGAGAUGGUAAAAUUCCAAAGAAACUUGCAAUUAUAGGGCUAUGGUGUAUCCAGUGGCACCCGUCGGAUCGUCCUUCCAUGAAAAUAGUGGUUCAGAUGUUAGAAGGAGGAGGAGAAAGCUUGAGUAUGCCGCCUAAUCCCUUUGUGCCUACUGGUUCUACAACUAGGAAUGCAAGACACCUAGAGCUAGAAGCUAUUGCUGAAUUAGAGUAAAAUGUAUAUGCAGAUAUGUAGACGUAUAGAUAUAGUAAUAUUUAUAUUGAAUAAGAGGCCGUUUGAUAACCAUUUCGUUUUCAGCUUUUAAUUUUUAUUUUUCACUUUUUUGAAAACUAAAAACUAAAAUCUUGUUUGGUAAAUACUUUUAGUUAAAAAAAAAUGAAGACUGAGAACUAAAAUGUGAAAGCUCAAAGGAAGUAGAUUAAAAGUAGUUACCAAACAAACCGGAAUCUCAAUAAAUAAAAAAGAUUGAAUUGCACAAUGCAAUCCAAACCAAUCAAAACAUUUAAAAUAGCAAAAAAAAAUUAAAAUUCUAGUUGAUUAGAUUCUAAACAUAGUAAAAAUGAACAGAUCCGAUGAAAAAAACAAAAAAUUCUCAGAUAAAAAUAGGGAUAAAGUAAAAUAUUUAUAAAUAGCUCUUUGUCUCUUAUGCCAUCAAUUAUUUCUAUAGUAUAUACACGUUUUUGGAAAAAUUAGGUUCCCAUCCCUUAUUUUCAUAUUACAUUGAUUGAAAUCUUAUUAUUUUUCUAUUUUAGAUCAAGGUCCCUUGACUUAUUCUAUGUCAUCAUUUUAGUAUUUAAAAUAUUACACGUUAUCAUAAACGAAAUCUCAUCCCUUUCUGCAUUUAAGGCAAAAUAAACUAUAUGAGUAAGUUUAAAACAAGGAAAAUCCAUUUGAACUCCUCCAUUCUUCUUCUUCUCUUAUAAACAUCUGGAAUCUACAACACCCCAAACCCAAUUUUCUCCAUUUUUUCUCCUUUCCUGAAUUGAUCCAAUGCAUAUAUGUUGAAUAAACCUAUUGUGAUUAAAAUACAAAUUAGCAUCAAUGGUUUUAUUGGCUUGUGAGAUUUGUGUGGCAUAGGCAAGGCAAUGCAGGCAUCGUUUUCUCAAGGAAUCUGGUUGAUUCAAACAUGCAGAGACUGUAGAGUGAGUGGGCUAUGUGAAAACUGUACCAUUCUGAAGUCAUUUUCUUUUGUUCUUUAUAUUUUUUUUUCUUUUUCUUUUAUUAUUAUAUAUUAGUCUUGGUUAUUCAAUGCCUGGUUGGCUACACUUAUAUCCAUGGGUACAUUUUUAAUCUACAUGUUUCGUUCUAAUAUAUCUAUUGCUAUAAUAUGUUUUGGUUGGUUCAAAUUUGUUUUACAUAAAUAUAUGGGUACAAAGUUUUUGGAGAAUAUUAUGUAAAUGGUUUUUAAGGUUGCUGCAUUUUACGUACCCACAUAUGCAUGUCUAUAAAACAAUGUGGUAUGAUGUACAUUCUUUUCUUUGAGUUUUUAAAUGUACCCAUGAGUUUUUUUGUAAAUUCGGUAUGUACCCAUAUGCUAUUUAUGUUAUGGGUACAUACAUUAUUUUUGGUCUAAGUUCAGGGUACAUUGCUUUUGUAUGUAUGAAUUCAAGGGGUACAUUAUUUCCCUUAAUACUACUCAAUAAAAUUCACAAAAUAUGUGUAGUGUGCAUGAUUUUUUAUUGUAGAAAUUGUUUUUUUUUAAGUCUCAUAAUUCAUGAAAUUUGUACAUAUAUGAUCCCAUAAAUUUUUUAAUUUUAUUAAAUUUCUUUUAGACUUGAUCGAUUGAUUGAAUCUCAUCAUACUAGGAUUUUGAAUUACAUAAAUUCUUGGAUUUAAAUCCCUUAAAUGUUGGACUGCAAUCAAUAUUUUAAAUUAUAGUUUUUUAUUUAAGAUAUCAAAAAGAUGACAUGGAAAUAUAGUAAUACUAAAAUGCUGAGGUGUACAAAGUCAAAGGACUUUGAUCAAAAAAUAAAAAACAAUAAGAUUUCAAUCUAACAAUUAAAUUGACUAGGGACCGGAACCAAAAUGACCCUAGAUUUUUAUUGAGUUUAAUCUUAAUCAAAAAAAGACUUCUUGUAUCACAGAAAAUACAAGAACCAUUAUUUGAAUGAAAUAAAAGCUAUGGGAUGGAGAUAUAAAUGGAUCAUUUUAUUCACAAUCGGAUUAUAUUUAUUUGAUACACUAUUGUCAAUAUGAAUGUUGAGAAAAAGACUACAAAAGAAAAAACAAUUUAUAAAUAUAACUAACAAUUCCAAUUUCAAUCAAUUAGACAAUUAGAUAAUACAUCAGUAAACGCGGGGUGACUCAGUGGUUAGAAACGAAUUUUAGGCUCGUAUUCUAUACAAUACGUCUUGGGUUCGAUUCCUGACAAUGGUGAAUCACGCGACGGUAGAUAUAGGGGUGUUGUUGGAAGUUUUGAGACUCAAGUCCUUUAUAUAGAUUUAGUGCUUUAGUUUAGUAAUUAGAAUAUGGGUCAUUUGGAAAUGGAUUGAAGGUUUGGGCCUUAUGGUUGUGUGGAUUAGGCUUGUAUAAUAUAGCCUAAAUACAAUUAAUAUUAAUUAAUCAAGACAAGGGCCUUGGGCCUUACUUGGGGCCUUGGAAUUUAAAAUUAAUCUGAUUCAUUAAUUUUAAUUUUCGGAUUAAGUUUUUAAUUAAUUUAUUAUUAAUUAAAAACGUUUUGAUUAAAAGACACAGCUCUUAGAAAAGAGUUAUGAACCUUCAAAUACACUGAACUGGUAUUUGAAAGGGUGUGAAACAACCUAUAUAUCUGCAAUCCAUGGUAUCCAAAUAAAUCAUCUUUUCUUCUUCCUUUUCUUCCGUACAAACUUUCCAGAGAGAGUAAACACACAAAGCAAUUCGCUAGAAUUCUAUAAUUUAGUGCGGGUUAUAGGAUUAGGUAGUUGUAUCCUGGUCGAGCAGACGUUAUAGAACCACAAGCACAAGAGUGGGACGGAAUUACUGUUCGAAUGACAUAGCUUUUACGUUAGCCUCUACCUUCUGUAAUCAAGUUAGUACCGUUGACAUUCUUAUAUUAAUUUCUGUAUUUAUUGUAUACUUUUCAUUUUGUAUAGCAAGUACCUUUUGUUAAAUAAAAAUUGUGAAUUUCAAGUUCUGUUUAUUUCUGUUAUUCUGUUUAUUUCUGAAUUGUUCUCCAACACCCCUAUAUCUACCGUCGCGUGAUUCACCAUUGUCAGGAAUCGAACCCAAGACGUGUUGUAUAGAAUACGAGCCUAAAAUUUAUUUCUAACCACUGAGUCACCCCGCGUUUGAUUAUAUUUCACUUAGACUUAUCUUGCGGUAUAGCAUGUCAUCCCCGCCCAAGUUUUUCUGUUGGCAUUGAGUUUGGGAUACCAAAACUUGCCAAACAAAGUAGAUUGAUUAGUAAGCGAAGCUAAUUAUUCGACUAAACAUUGUUUAGAAUUUUAAUUAAAAGAAACAAUAUGAAUCUGUUUAUUUUUUUUUUUGACAAACUAUAACGUUAAGGAGUUAAAUUGUUAGUUAUUAAGAGUACAAUGAUAGGUGAGGAUCGAACCUCCACCAGAGUGCAUAGACAUUAUUGGUUCUACAACUGCGGUAAAUCACAUAAAACAAAACGUAAUACUUUGAGGAUGGAAGACACUUCGUGGAUAGCGGGCAAUCAACACUAUCAGUUGCUAUCCAAAACUUGGAAUUAUGUUUAUUGUCCGAAGGAUUUUUCUUCCAUUAAAUUGCUAAGGAAGAUGAGGAUGGGUGGAGUGUCUAAAUGUCAAGGUUGACAAGAACGUGUAUGGUGUUCAGCUUGCGAUUGAGAUUUGUUAGAGUGGCACAACAAACCACAUAAAAUUUUCUAAAUGAUAAGCUUGAGUAUAAUUUUUUAUCACGUAUUUAUCUUUAAAAUCAUUAUAAUUAGAUUUUCUCUUAAUUAAUAUAGACCGUUAGAUUCAUCUAAUGACCCAAGUUUUUUUCCUCUUUUCUUUCCACUCUUUUCCAUUCACCGUGUAGCAGUCGUUCUUCCCCAACUACGUUUCUUAUUUUUCUUCACAAAAAAUUUGUAGAAAAUAUUAAGAAAAGAAAAGUCAUCAAUAUCAGACUCGACCAGGUAAUCGUUCCAACCUUCCCAGCAACUCUCAGUCUUAACUAGGCACCAAAUUUUCUCCGCCACCUAACUCGUCAUUCAUUCAUGGGUGUUUCAAGCUUGGUGAAAAUUGAUAGAGUUCCAUGUGUGUACACGGAUGUGAACAUAUUGGCCACUCUCUAAGAAUGAGUCAUUGGAAAAGUUGAAGGAAAGAUGUAACCGAUGAAAUUAAUGGAUUGGAAUUACAAUGAAGUCUGUGUUGGUUUAUCACAAAGAACCCAGAUACAAAAUUUUAAAAGCAAACAAUUUCAACUUCUCAAAUAUUAUCUAACAAACUUUCAAUGAAAUGUUGCUCAUAAUUGAAAAAAGGUUGACGAAGGACGGAGUUGGGGUUAUUUUAGAUGAGGAAGAGUUAAAAGAAGGAAGCACCAUUUAAUUAAUAAAAGUGAUUGGAGAAAUGGUAAUUCAAUGGUGGGCGUUUUUAAGGUGUGGACCUUGUAUCACACCCUGAUCCCAACAUACAUUGAGGAUCGACACGUGACAUGGGGACAUAGGGGACAAAAAUCUUACAUAAGAUACAGAAUGAAAUACUAUAUAAUAUCCCAAAAUGAAUAUGAUAGUGGGUUCACCCCUAUAAAAUACAUACGAGUUUGUACAUUCACAAAAAAAUAAAAAAAAUAAAAAUAAAUAAAAAUAAAAAACACACACACAACUCUCGCUAGGCCAAGACUUGCCCAUGGUGCUCAAAGGAAAGUCCCAAAAGAAAUAGUACAAUGAAGGAUAAAGGGGUAACCUAAACACUCCAAGUCUCUGAUCUCUGCACUGCUACCCCCACCGGCUCCUCGUAAUCUACUCAGACCUGUCACAUGUACAAACAGUGCCUACAUUGUGGGAAUGGUGCACCAGGCAAACAAAAACCCGGAUAAGCUGCAAAACUCGUGUGAGUGACAAUAAUGCAACGUAUGUGAUAAUCAAGAAAAACAGACCAUCGAUCACAGUUUAUAAAUCUCAAAUAUAACUUCAUACUUAUGAAAUCAUAAUCAAGUCACUGAAAACUUCGAAUGAGUCACCCAGACAUCUAACGACUUUUCUAAAUCAAAUCUCAGAGAUUCCCAAAACUAUCGUUCACAAAUACACUAAAAACUAGGGCUAGAGUGACACAGUUCAGCCAAAGCCUACAUAAGUAACCAAAUAAGAAGUGGCCCCCCAUAGCGGAUUAACCAAGCAGAGCCACUCCUGAGAAAGUAACCAAGUAGGUAGUGACCCCCAUCACGGAUUAACCAAGCAGAGUCACUCCUACGAAACUGUUAGGUAGUGAUCACCCAUUACGGAUUAACCAAGCAUGAUCACCCCUAAGCACGUAUGGCCAUACCUAAGAAAUAAGGAUCGCCCAUCGCGGAUUAACCAAGCACGAUCCAAAAAUAUUAUGGGUCCCCUAUCGCCGAUUAACCAAGCAUGACCAUCCAUGUACCACUGCUACAUGGUGUAAAUUCGGUGUCACCUAACCUCGUGACACUAGGGUAACGGUCCUCUAGUAGCCCUCACGUUUUUCAAACAUUUCAAAUAUAUAAUUUAAAACACAAUUCAUAAACAUUUCGAAUAGGGAAGUCACAUAGUGUUUAAUAAUGUAGGUCAAUGGCAAACUUUAAAAACAAUUAUUUAGCAUAAAACAUAUUUUAGAAAUCCAUGCUGUAUCCACAAAGUAUACUAGCACGGGAGAUUUUCAGGGUAAUAACUCUAUCACAUAUAUUAAAGUCACUCACCUGGAGUCCGCACUAACGCACCCUGGCACGAAUAUCAAGACGUCGCGUACUAUCAUCUGCAACAUCCCACAUCGACCAACGAAGAGGGGGUGAUGUGCCUUCUAUGUACAUGCCCACCUCCAUAGCAUGAGGCAUUUUGGGAGCUCACUGGCUUCAUAUUCCAUCGGAACUCCAAAGUUAAGCAAGUUUGGGCGAGAGUAGUCCCAGGAUAGGUGACCCAUUGGAAAGUUAUUGUGUGAGUCCUAGAAACAAAACCGUGAAGGCGUGGCCCGAGGGGGCCCAAAACGGACAAUAUUGUGCUACGACGGAAUCGAGACUGAGAUGUGACAGAAUGGUAUCAGAGCCACUCUGCCGUGUGGUGCGAGUGUGCCGACGAGGACGUCGGGCCCCUAAGGGGGGUGGAUUGUAACAUCCCACAUCGACCAACGAAGAAGAGGUGAUGUGCCUUAUAUGUACAUGCCCACCUCCAUUUAGCACGAGGUCUUUUGGGAGCUUAUUGGCUUCGGGUUCCAUCGGAAAUCUGAAGUUAAGCGAGUUCAAGCAAGAGCAUUCCCAGGAUGGGUAACCUACUGGGAAGUUCUCGUGUGAGUUCCCAGAAACAAAACUGUGAGAGCGUGGCCAGGGCCCAAAGUGGACAAUAUCGUGUUAUGGCGGAGCCGAGAUUGGGAUGUGACAUUGUCACCUAAGACAAAGUACAGAUCCACAUUUAGAGUUCUUCAAGUAUUCACAUAAUAAAAAAUUUCCAUACGCCCCCUACAACUAAUGAACAGAAAUCGAGACACGUUGACAAAAAGUCAACCGUCGAUCAACGGUAGGGUCCACAACCCUACAUAACUCGAUCCGCAAUAUCCAACCACUGUAUUUGUGAUUCAUAAGUUCAUAAGGUCUUCAAAUCCUACCUACAAUAACAUACUAAACUUUGGUGAUGAUCUAAUGGUCGAAUCAUCAUUUGCUAUAAUGUUCAAAUGACGCAAAUUCAUCAAUCAGAUGUCAAAUAUGGAAUCAGACAUCGAAUUUAGCUUAGGAAUGUCAAGUGGUGUCUCGAGCACGCACCGCCGUGCGCAACAGCUGGCAACCUAGAUUCGUCGGAAAAAUCACCUAAUUCCAAAAUGAAUGUUGUGAGACGUGGAGUAAAUUGUAUACCUGUGAAGAAGCCCAAUUUGGCCGGGAAGUGGCCUGAAAUCACUUUAGACCGUCGGAAACCCUAAAAUAGGUGAAUCUCGAUUCGUCAUCCCCGGUAUUCCACCGUUCUCAAACUUGUUUAGGGUUUGCUCAUGGUCUCAAAAGAAUGCUAAUGAUGGUGGUGAUUGAAAGAGAACGUUUCAGAAAUAGUGAAUCACCAAUGAGGGUUUCACGAAACCGACAUGGGUGUUCCUCGUGGAACCAAGACCAAAUCUCAACGGUUUUGGCUAGAAAUGGAUGCUGGGAUGUCAUGGUGAAGUUUGGUAGUGAUGGGAGGUUGAAGAAAGACAAAAAAAAUCGACAAAAAAAUCGUCGUCGGAGUCGCAAGAAACGAGUUAGAAAAAUGAGUCGUCGGGUCUGAAACGUCGAAGGCUUUUGAGACAACUACUUACUCUCUCUUCUCUGAUUAGUCACUCCACUCACUCUCUCAUUUGAUUGGUCCAGCCUUCCCACAUGGUGGGAGUUCCCUCAUAUAGUAACCCAAAAUUUACUAUUUAAAUCUGGUAUUGAACGUCCGUAACUUUUUCGUUAUGGUUUCGAUUCGCAAACGGUUUUCACCUAUGCGCUCGUAUGAUCGAAUUAUACUCAAAAACAUUAAUUAUGACCUCGAAAAGGUCUACGAGUUUUAAAAGAUUAAUUACAAAAAUUCACACCUUGUAACUAUACGAUUCAAAUCCUAAAAUUAACGGAAUUAAAAUAAACUAAAAAUAAUGUAAACACGAAAUACAGACUUUAAUAAUGAAAUACGUAAUUAAUAGUGGAAUUCCGGGGAUGGGAUUUCACAACUUGCGUCCGGACCUUCAAUGCGGAUCAAAAUCCAAAGGUCGUGAUCUGACGAGCUCAUGCAUAGAACAGAGUUGUUGUGACCCAAUGCAAUUCAAAACUUUUAUGUUUUUUUAUUUACUGGGUACGUUUUUUAUUUACUGGGUACAUUUUUGCAAGACGUUAAAGAAAGCGCUUCUUGGGAGGCAACCCAUGUAUUCAAAAAAGGAAGAUCUAUGAAUCGCUCUACAAUUAGUUUUGCGUUUCUAAAAACCUUCCCUUUUCUGCAUUUCUAUUUUGCCAUGAUUGUCAUUUUUUAUUUUUGUUGUUUAUUUAAUUAUUUUUGGGUGUGGGUUUAUUUUUGAAACAUUGACAGAUAUGCAAGAUAUUCUUACAUUCAUUUUCAUGAAAAAAAGAAAAGGGAACAUUAAGCAGGAAAUUACAAGAGGGAGCCUUCACAAAGGCUGCUUAGGAGAAGUCUCAGUAGUCGGCGGAGCCCCAGAAGAAGGAGGCAGCGGAGGUUGAUCAUUUGGAGCUUCAGUACGCGGUGCAGCCCCAGAAGACGAAUGCAAAUGUUGUUGGAACAAACCCACAAACCGCUGAUGAUCAAGUAAAAUCUGACAAUCAGAUUCCUGCAUCUGGUCAAUCUUCCUCUUCAUGUUUGUAGCAUAAUUAUGUGCGAGCCUGUGCAACUGUUUAUUCUCAUGCUUAAGCCCUCUAAUCUCCUGCUUAAGACUCAUCACUUCAGCCGCCAAUGAUUCAACUUGACGGGUUCGGGCAAAUAGGCGUUGGGCCAUAUUAGACACGGAACGUGCGCACUGCACACUGAGAGCUAGAGAAUCCUUUACAUCCAACUCAUCAGACCGUUUGGCAAGUAGUCUAUUAUCUUUGGGAGUGACAGGGUUCCUGACCACCACCGCAGCUGUCAUAUCAUUCUUCAUCACCGAAUCCCCAACGAUAAGGGGACCAGUAGGGGAUAUGAAGGAUGGGCGCCAUAUGUUGUCUGGAGAAGGCGGGACUGCCUCUUCACCAAGGUUCAAGUCAAAACGACGAUCGGAUGGGCCAAACAUUUUCACAGGUGUUAAAGAAAGAAGAGGUCGGACAAGUCAAGAUCGUAGAAGUGCAAGAUGAGAGUUUUUACAGGCAGAAAUUCAAGUGUGCUUUGAACGUCCUACGUACUUCUAUAAAAAUCAGCACUCGAUGGGAUUUCAGAGAUCGAAGAGGCAAGCUCAGAAAUCGAAGAGGCCAACUAAAAAAAUUAAAGAGGCGCUAGCUUUCUCAAAAGCUGAGCUUGCUCAGAAACCACGGCCAAUCUUCUUUUCCAGAUUUGUCCGCACUUGUCACAUGCAACUCGACGGGAUUUCAGAGAUCGAAGAGGCAAUUCCAGAUAUCGGAUAGGCAUCUGCUUUUGCAGACGUGUCAACAUCUGUCACAUGCAGAGUAAGCUUUGCGAAAAUCACGGGCAGUUUGUGAAGCGCCGAUUCCAACCAUCUGCUUUUGCAGACGUGUCAACAUCUGUCACAUGCAUAGUAAGCUUUGCGGAAAUCACGGGCAGUUUGUCGAAGCACCGAUUCCAACCAUCUGCUUUUCCCGACGUGUCAACAUCUGUCACUUGCAGAGUCAGCUUUACGAAAAUUACGGGCAAUCUGUCGAAGAUCUCUUGUGAAGUUUACUAUUAAAUCAUCCAACGGUUGCUGACAAGAGUGAAAGAAUAGUACCGACUAUUAAUUCCUAUAAAUGUCAUCCUUCACCCUCAAUUGCAAGGCAGACAUACAUAACCCCCUUCUUCUCAGAAAAUGCCUUUCCAACACACCCUCUCGAGUCACUCAGUGUUCCUAAUUCCUUGGGGUACCUCUGCAAACAACUCAUCCAAAGCAAAAGUAUUUCAUAUCAUGAAGGUUGAAAGCAAGAGUAUCUCAUAUCAUGCUUUCUCCCUGUCCUUCUCCUUGUCUUUGUUUUAGGACAAGGAGAAAGAGAGCAAUCAGCCAGCACUUGGUAUCAAUCUUCCGAUCUGGAACCGACUGCCUGGAACCCCUUCCUGAUUGCUUACCUAGCCUUGCUCUCGAGAACUCAUCUUCAUCAUCUUAUGCUUCCUCUUCGUCUACCACAUCUGCCUGGGGAACAGAUAAGGGAAGUGAAAAUGAUACCUCGAAGCAUGUGGAAACAAUUUACCAAUUCAUCCUUAGCUAGGGACAAGGAGAAAAAAAGCAAGAGGUGGGCACUUGGAAAGAUUGAAGAAAGAAACAGACCAACACCUCUACCUCAUGCCUGCCCGCCGUGCAGAAGAAUCAAGCAGAGAAGAAUACAGACUGCACAAUCAAAUCAGGGAACUCUCAUAUUUCUCGCUCAGAAUUCCAAACCAGUUCAAGAUCAACGCUGUGGAAAGUCAACAAGAUCAUCUAUCUCCAAAACCAGAUUUGCGUUCUUAAACUCUACUCUGUCUGGUUUUUACUUUGCUAUACUUGUCAUGUUUAUUCGUUGUUUGUUUGUUUGCUUGUUGUUGUGUGAGUUUAUGUUUAAAACAUUGAGGACAAUGUUUGAUUUAAGUGUGGAGGGAUAACCAUUGUUUUGCAUGAAAUUCGUAGGAGUUUAUCACCCAUUACUUCUAGUGUUGUUCCUUGCUGUUUUAAGUGUUUUAAGCUGUUUUGGAGUGUUUCAGUGUGUUUUGACAUAAAAAUCCGAAAAUCUCAUAAAAAUUUGAAAAAUUGUUUUGAAAAACCAAAAAAGAGUUGUUUUUGUAUGUUUAUUUGUGUUUUAGGGUACCUUCCAACACAAUGAUGAGGAUUUGGUUUUUAAUUACAUGACUGUUAAAGAGAAUUAUAAACAUGGAUGAAAAUUUGAUUUACUCUUUGGUGUAUGCUUGGUUGUGGUUAUAAUUUAUGAAUUCACAUGCAAUCAUAAAGGAAAAAUCAAUUUUGUAACAUGCUUGAAAGAAGGAACUCAAAUGUACGCUACAACCUUGUGAGACUUGAGCCUAGACGUUUAUUUGGAGAGUUAAUAAUGUGCAUUUUUGUUUUCUAAAGUCGUUGUAUGAUCUCAUUAUUCUUUGCUUGGUUGCUACCUAGAAUGCGUUCAUCAUUAUAGAUCCACAUACUAGAACUCAUGCCCGUUCCAUUCAAAGCAUGACAUUAAUUUGCAUAACACAUAUCCAAGAUGAAGUUGUUUAGUGAACCAAAGCCAAAAUAGCCGAACCCACCUUUGUCAUUUGUUUUGUAGGUUUAAACCCCGUUGAGCCUUGUUUAGCCUAUUUUCUUUGUUAAACCACAUCAUCUCUACCUAACCUAGAAUAGGACUAUCCAUACCCUUGUUCUUGAAGUAUAGUGGAGCAUAACUUAGAAAGAAUUCAUUUUGAAACUUAUUGGGGGAAUUUAGAUUUCAAAUUUUUUGUGUGCCAAAGAAAACGGCAAGAGAAAAAAUUCGUGAAAAAAAAGAAAAAAGAAAAGAAAAAUUUGCAAAUUUUCCUGUGUUUAAAAGUAGAUGCCUAAAUUAACCCUUACAUUAAUUUUCCUUGAAUAAUUUCUCAUUCCAUCUAAUUUAGAUCCAUCUUGCUCACUAUUCUUUUUAAAUUUGUGGAUUUUGAAAUUUCAAAUGAGAAUGAAAUUGGAUGAGUUCAAUUUUCGUUUAAUUCUUACAAUUAAUAAGAAAUUCCGUCGAAAACAUUUUGAGUAUUGUUUAAUUUUUCAAUAUUACCGUAUUGUGUCAUUGAAAUAAUUAUCAGAGGAAUUAGGGAAUUCUCUUAAGGAACAACUCAAAAUGUAGUACAUGAUUAAAUAAUUCCUUUGAAUGGUCAACUAUGAUCAACAUAUCUUGUAUCAGAUCUUAGUCAAAUACCUGUUAAGAGUGUAAAUUUCUUGUGUGAAAAUGAGUGUAUCUAGUAAUUUUGGCAUUAGGAUGUUACUACAUUCUCAAAAUGCUGUUUUUUGAUUAAAUGAGCUGUGAGGUACUAAUCAAAUAUGCUCGAGGGUAAGAAUGGCUUAAAUUAUGUGAGUGGUGAUCUGGUUCAUGUUUCAUUAAAAAUCCCUGAGGCAAAUGUUGGAAGAUUUAGGUUAUGUUUUGUUUGUUUCGUUUGUUUUGUUUUGCUCGAGGACUAGCAAAAGCUAAGUGUGGGGAAUUUGAAUUUGAUAGGAGCAUUAUUAUGCGACUGAGUUAGCUUGUUCUCAUGCAUUUAUGUUGUUAUUUCUUAGUUAAUUAUGUAUUUUAAGCUAUUUUCGUGUGUUUGUAGGUCCAUAGGCCUUAUAAAGCAAUAAGGUGCAUUUUGGAGCAGUUUUGGGCUUGGAAUGGAUAGCACAUGCAUGGAGUAAGGUGAUGGACGAAAUUGAAGACUAAAGAGGCUUGGAAUGUGUUAAAAAGAAAGAAUAAUUAAUGACAAAGAGCUCAGCAACCAAACAGGGAACAUGAGUCAAGAUUACCUUAUUUUGAUUUAAUCUUUCCUAAUCUUCAAUGUCCCUAAGUUCCAACAACAUUCCUUGUCUAUUUCAUUCACUCAUUGCCUAGCACCACCCUUGUUCCCUCCAUCAUUCCAAAUUUCUUGCAUCAAUCAUCACUCCACCUUAACCCUUGACUCAUUUCUACACCAUUCCACCUCCCUUUCCUUUCUCUACCAUGUGCACAAUCAUUCAUGUUCCCUACUUGCAUUCAUUGUUGCAACACCACUCCAUUUUACCCCUCAUGCUUUGCAUCAUUACUUCACUUUCACCUUUGAAUCAUUUCAACACCACUUCAUUUUACCCAUGGUUUGCAUCAUUACUUCACUUUCACUUUCACCUUUGCAUCAUUACUUCACUUUCACCUUUGAAUCAUUUCAACACCACUCCAUGUCCCCCUCCAUUGCCUUGCCCUUCCUCUAUAAAAGGAAGUGUGUGUAACAUAAAUUUAGUUCAUAUAUUUUUUUAGAUCAUUCACUCCCAUUUCAAUACAACCUUCAUCCAAACACAUUCAUUCAUCUUCACAUCCAUUCCUCCAUACAAACAAACCUUCAAACACUCACCAACACCUUGUGCCAUAGCAAAGGAAGGAAAGGAAAAUGCUUGGACGUGCGUGCUGUCAACUUGGAUCGUUGGAGCGUUUAGGUGUUUUCUUUCUUUUGUUUCCAAUGUUAAAUUCAUUUUCUGAUUUUGUUGCAAUUAUGAGUGGCUAAAACCCUAUUUAGUUAGGGGGAAGUUUGAAGCCAUGAACAUGCUUGAGAUAUGAAUUGAUUUCUUCCAAUUGUGAUUUGAUAAGUUGUGAUUGCAAUUCAAUUAUCUAUUUUAUUCAUAACUGAUUCUUGUAUGUUUAUUAAGGAUGCAUACUUAAUUUUCAUGCAUGAAUUAGAUGCUAGAAUAUAAAUGAGUUUCACCUAAUCGUUACAAGUUUAUAUUCAUGAGUAGUGAAGGUUGUUUAUCACAAUCUGACACACCCCGUCCCGAAGGAGGGCGUGCUGGCCGUCACGUGAGAGUGACGUAACCAUUUACACAGUUCGGAAGCUUUAAAAAAAAAUUCCAAUUACUAAUAUAACACACCCGAGGGUGAGUCCUACUUUUGUGAAUUCUGUCAGAACACCGUUGGAUUCCUCGUGGCCACCAAAGCUCUGCUAACUUGAACCUGGGGCGCAAAACAAAAGCUUGAACUUGAACCUUUCAGGCGCAAAACAAAAGUUUUUUCGAAAACUUUUCAUUUAAAACAUUUCUAACCCCUCACUGUAAAACCUGUAUACUUUCCCAGAAAAUAGUGUAUAUAUAAACAUAUAUAUAAGCAAAAAUCUCGAAUCUCAAACCUUUAACACUUUUCAGAAAUAUAUAUAUAUAUAUAUAUAUAUAUAUAUAACCAUUUGAAAUCUCAAGACUUGAAUCCCAAAUCUUUAACAUUUUUCAAGAAAAGCAUGCCAUGCCAUAAAUCAAAAAUAUAAAUCAGGUGAAAUAAGGAAUCAAUCGGAGACCCUGCAGUUGGUCCUAUACGAUUAAUUCAAUAGCUCAUUAUCUCACUAAGCCGGAGUCACCACAGUAACCUAUACGGCCCUACUCUGCACAUCACUCAGAACUACGUAAGGUAGUCUAUACGAUGAAAGGUGUAAAAAUACGCUCUAGUGCUUCUCUCAUCAUAUCAUCAGCGCGCAUAACUAAGAUCACCCACUAGUCGGAAUCACGCCUAGUGAUCUAUACGACUAGCAUGUCGGAACCCUCACAUGGUCUGUACGACAUCCACCUACUUGGAUCCAAGGCGAGCGUGCGGUGUGGUGAAUAAAAUAAGCACUAACACCUAGGGUGCAGGUUAUGAGCUUAAAACAUCUUAUCAACAAUCAAUUAAAUGAAUAAAUGAACUCACCUGACUUACCUGUGCCUCCACCGCACCAUGCAACAUGUAUGCAUCAAAUAUCAAUUCGUAUAACUCAUACGCAAUUCACAUUUUUCAAUUAAUUCUAUGCAUGGCAUUUUUAAAACAUAUUUUCAUAUAAAUUCAUUUUAUGGGAAAAAUCAAUAGUAUAAAGGUAAUACAAAAACAAAACUGCCCACUCACCUGGAGUUCGCCCAACAACUCCCUAGCACCACACAUCAAGGCGUCAUGAAGAUUAGUGCCUAGAACAAUAAUCAAACCCAACCUCAGAAAUCAUGCCGAUAGAAUACAUAACUUAUAUAAGACGCGUCCCUACGUAGUUCGAUCCGGAUGAUCUGCAACUCGGAUUUCAAAUCCGUAACUUCCAGAGGUCCACAAUAUACCUCUAGGACAACAUCCUAAAAUUUCAUUACCAUCCAACGGUCGGAUCUCCGUCAAUUUCCAAAACUAAGUGCCGGUUAACAUUCUAUUUUAUGAACUUACAACUCCAAUUCCGGAAGAUCCGUAAAUCGGAUUCCCAAUCCGUAAGUUCCUAUAAUCCUCAAAUAUUACGUAUUACAACGUAUCAACGUUUGGUGACGAUCCAACGGUCGGAUCGUCAAUUCACAUUUUCACCUAACUACGAAUCGUAACCAACUUAGGUUCAAUUACUCAAUUUACGUCCAUCAAUUAUCAAAACUGAACCUAGAGCCUUAAUCACAUGCUAAUAAUGACAUUGGCGGGCCAUUGGCCAUGCGCCGCCGCGCGGGCCGCCGCGGGUGGCGGUUGGCCGCCCCCGGCUCGCCGGAAAAUUCAACUAUUUCCAAAAAUUACCAAAAUUUGCAGAUUUGAAGAUAUCAAUGAGUAGAACAACUUUCAUACCUGUGGCCAAGGCCAAUUUGGCCUGGAAGUGCUUCAAUUUCACCAAAACCGUGAAGAACCCUAGAAUUAGGUGUUUCCAAUUCGACCUUCAAACUUGUUCCAACGCCUCAAUUACCUCUUAGUAUUUGUUCUAGGUCCUAAAGGAAUGCUAAUGGUGUUAGUAAUUGAAAGAAAACAUUUCAAAAUUUCAAGAAUUUAAACAAAAGGGUCGCGGCACCCGUGUGGGUGUUCUUCGCGAAAUCACCAUGAAAUUUAAUGAUUCUUGGGGUGAAACGUGAAGAGGGAAGGCCUAGAUGUUGAUUAGGAGUGGUACCUUGACUCAAUUCGUCGGAAAUUUGGACGAAAAUGGUGAGAACCCGCCGAUUGGAAGUCGCGGGUCGCACGGGUAUACGGGUUGGGAAAACCCAUUUCUUCCUUCUCUCCUCCGCUUCUCGCCCUCUCUCCUUUCCUCCUUUCCUUCCUCUGGUUGGUCAGCUUCUCCCUCUCUCUUCUUCUGAUUCGCCUCUCCUCCUUCUUCUCCGAUUGGGCAGUUUUUGCCCAAUCUCUCUUCUUCUUUCUGUUUUCUGGUUCUUCUCACGCGCACACACACACACAACUUCCUUUUUCUCAUCCCAGCCAUCUAUUUCAUUCAUCAUUAAAUCUGGGUCGUCCAUUUUCAUAAAAGAAUUUCUAUUUUACUAAAAUUAUAAUUCCUUAAAAUCCCAAAUUUCAAACGUUAAUAACUUCUUCGAUAUAACUCCAAAUCACGAACCGUCUACGCCCACGCGUCCGUAACGACGAGUACUACGAGGAUAUGUCAAGAAAACAAAUCUUAGAUGGCACGACACAACGAUUAACCUCGAAUGAUGUGCGUGCCUCAAAGGGCAUUUUUGUAAAAUCCUUUAUGAAAACUUUAAAAAUUCUUAAAAUUAGGGACGGGCUGUCACACAAUCGCGUUAAUUGAAUUCUUGGCAAUUGUAUCAUGCAUUCAUAGUUAUAAUUGUCUCGUCAACACUUAUGAUUUUCAUUGAACGUAAUGAUCUCUGAUUGUAUCUCUAUUAUGCAUUAAUAUAGGGGACUUUUAGAGGAUGAUUUGGGUUGUCGCAUGCAUUCAUCCAAUUCAAUGAGUAAAGGAAAAUCUGAGGGUUAAUUUGUGCAUCACGGUUAAUCUGGGUGUUGAGCAUAAUAGUUUAUUGAAAAGCAAUUGGAAAUCGAUUCAUGUACAAGUGUGUCAUGUGUGAAGAACGGACCUCUAACUAAUCCAUCCAUCAUUUUAUUUCUCAAAUUCAUUUUAUAAUCUGCCUAGUUUUAUAACUUGCUUGUUUAUUUCAAAUUCAUCCAAACCAAAAUCCCCUUUUUACUUUCUUGUUUCAAAGUGUUAAAUUUCUGUUUUGUUUGUGUUUUUGAGUGUUUUGAUUCAAGCCAAAACACUAAAUUCAUCCAAAGUUGAUUUAAAGUCCAAAUCUGACUAGUUUGUGUUUUUAGGCAGUUUUGAGUGUUUUUAAGUUGUUUUGAAUCUUUAGAAUCUGUUUUGAGUCCCUUGAGUCUAUUCAAACAUUUUUAAUUUUGUUUUUAUGUUUUUGAGUCAGUUUAAAGGUUUUAGCAAGCCCUCCUAAUCCCCGGUUUAGAACGAUCCCUACUUGCAUUUAUACUACAAUUUGACAACAAGAGGGUUUAAUUUGAGUGCUUAACUUUCAUCGCAUCAUGUGAGUUCCCAGAAACAAAACUGUGAGGGCGUGGCCAGGGCCCAAAGCGGACAAUAUCGUGUUAUGGCGGAGCCGAGAUUGGGAUGUGACAUUGUCACCUAAGACAAAGUACAUGUCCACAUUUAGAGUUCUUCAAGUAUUCACAUAAUAAAAAAUUUCCAUACGCCCCCUACAACGAAUGAAGAGAAAUCGAGACACGUUGACAAAAAAUCAACCGUCGAUCAACGGUAGGGUCCACAACCCUACAUAACUCGAUCCGCAAGAUCCAACCACUGUAUUUGUGAUUCAUAAGUUCCUAAGGUCCUCAAAUCUUACAUACAAUAACAUACUAAACUUUGGUGACGAUCUAAUGGUCGAAUCAUCAUUUGCUAUAAUGUUCAAAUUACGCAAAUUCGUCAAUCAGAUGUCAAAUAUGGAAUCAGACAUCAAAUUUAGCUUAGAAAGGUCAAGUGGUGUCUCGAGCACGCGCCGCCGUGCGCAACAGCUGGCAACCUAGAUUCGUCGGAAAAAUCACCUAAUUCCAAAUGAAUGUCGUGAGACGUGGAGUAAAUUGUAUACCUGUGAAGAAGCCCAAUUUGGCCGGGAAGUGGCCUGAAAUCACUUUAGACCGUCGGAAACCCUAAAAUAGGUGAAUCUCGAUUCGUCAUCUCCGGUAUUCCACCGUCCUCAAACUUGUUUAGGGUUUGCUCAUGGUCUCAAAAGAAUGCUAAUGAUGGUGGUGAUUGAAAGAGAACGUUUCAGAAAUAGUGAAUCGCCAAUGAGGGUUUCACGAAACCGACAUGGGUGUUCCUCGUGGAACCAAGACCAAAUCUCAAUGGUUUUGGCUAGAAAUGGAUGCUGGGAUGUCGUGGUGAAGUUUGGUAGUGAUGGGAGGUUGAAGAAAGACAAAAAAAUCGACAAAACAACCGUCGUCGGAGUCGCAGGAAACGGGUUAGAAAAAUGAGUCGCCAGGUCUGAAACGUCGAAGGCUUUUGGGACAGCUACUUACUCUCUCUUCUCUGAUUAGUCACUCCACUCACUCUCUCAUUUGAUUGGUCCAGCCUUCCCACAUGGUGGGAGUUCCCUCAUAUAGUAACCCAAAAUUUACUAUUUAAAUCUGGUAUUGAACGUCCGUAACUUUUUCGUUAUGGUUUCGAUUCGCAAACGGUUUUCACCUACGCGCUCAUAUGAUCGAAUUAUACUCGAAAACAUUAAUUAUGACCUCGAAAAGGUCUACGAGUUUUAAAAGAUUAAUUACAAAAAUUCACACCUUGUAACUAUACGAUUCAAAUUCUAAAAUUAACGGAAUUAAAAUAAACUAAAAAUAAUGUAAACACGAAAUACAGACUUUAAUAAUGAAAUACGUAAUUAAUAGUGGAAUUCCGGGGACGGGAUUUCACACCUUGCAUCCGGACCUUCAAUGCGGAUCAAAAUCCAAAGGUCGCGAUCUGACGAGCUCAUGCAUAGAACAGAGUUGUUGUGACCCAAUGCAAUUCAAAACUUUUAUGUUUUUUUAUUUACUGGGUACGUUUUUGUAGGAGGAAAAGGGGAAGUCGAGAGAUUCUUUGCGCAUUAAAGAGGGAAAGAGAGAAAGGGGGAGCUAAGAGGUUCUUCGCGCGUUAAAUUUUUGCUUCUGAUUUUGCAACCUAGAAAUAAAGUAUUUUCUUUAUGGUUUAUGGUUCAAGAAUAUAAUGGAUACAGCCUAAAAAUGUUUCUUUUUUUAUUUUUUACUUUUUUUUUCUUAUGUUGGCUUUUGGUUUAUUUUUAUAAUGCACUAUAUAUUAACUAAAUUUAUAAACAUUUUGUAUCUUUGUUGCAGUCAAAUUAAUCAUAUGGGUCGGCAUGACGAAGUUCGACUGAGACAUACAGAUGUUUUGCAAUCUUAAGUCUAACCUGACACACCCCGACCUCAAUAUCUAGUGGACACCAAAAUUGAGGUGUGAUGGCCAUCAUCCGGAUGGGUGAUGAAACCAUAAUAUGCAUGAAACAUAACUAAAUUAUCAACCAAUAAAAUCUAUUGAAAAAUUUGGCAGAACAUCCCUUAAAAUAGGGAUAUGCCCAAAUUAAAAACACUUGCACAUGAUCAAAAUUAUUCAACACUUCCCCGAAGGGCCACACUUAAUGGGACUUCGACCAUCUAUUACAUGCAUGAGAAUAUGUUCAGAGCAUAAUUACCCAAACACGUCUUAUUAAAAUAUUGAGUAAAUACCAUACAAGAUAGAAUACGUCAGAGCUGUUGCAAAAUACCUCAAUGUCCGAUGUAAUCACUGAUAGAAUUACUGAAUCAUGUAUAGAUGGAAAGCUGAUAAAUACAUGUAAUUUGAGUGGAUACUUACCAGCAGCAUGGAUACAAUAUCAUCCACCGGUCGUAACUAAUGACAAGCUGAGAGUAUAACUGUAGUACCUCUUAUUAGUGCAAUGCAUGAUAUGAAUUCCAUCUCACAUAUAUAUGCAAGCCAUAAUCAAACCAAUAAACAUCCAACAAAAGCCACAAUCCUUUUAACAUUCGACCACAAGAUCAAUUUUCAUAUUUCCCAAACCUAGGUUCCAAAGCAUUGUUUCGAAUUAUUAAUACAAGAAACCACCACCACCUCAAUCAACUCCUAUUCCCAAGUGUAAGCAAUUACUAAAUGCAUCACUUUCGACUCUAGUCUUAAUUAGAUUACUUGGGAUACUCAUUCACACCAUCAGAUCCAAGUACUAUUUUGAUAAACUUUAAAUAGCAUGGUUAAAAUAAAUGAAACACUUUUAGAAAAUAAGUGAAGAUGUUGUUUACAAAUAUAGAUGCAUCUGUAUAUAAAAGCUUUGGCGGUUGAUCCGUAUACACUUCCAAAGAUAUAAGCAAGUUCAUUGGAAUAUACAUGCAUAGUUAAUGUAUUACAGUAUAAUUAAUAAGAAAACAAUUGCAUCCCUUUAAGAAUAUAUAUAUAUAUAUAUAGACACACACACAUACAUACACACAGGCCCUUUAUGCAAAGGAAUUUCCAUUUUUUUUCAAAAAAUGGGGAUUAGUUGUGGGGCCCACGUUGCAUUGAACUUUAACGAUCCGAACAGUCUAUUUUGUAAGUCUCGAUUCAUAUAUCAUCCUUGUAAAAAUUCAAUUCAAUCCGAACCCAUUUGCCUAUUUAAUUAUCAAGAUAAAAUUUUAUUGUUUCUUAUAUAACAAAGUAUUCGUUAAUUUCUUUGAACUCAAUUAGAUAUCUUAAACAUUUCCGAUUUGGUUAAUAUUUUGUAAGGAUGAUCUAUGUGGUGCAACUUGAAAAAUAGACGAUUACGAUCGUUAAAGUUCGAUGUGGUGUAAACCCUACAAUUAAUCUUCAUUUUUAUAAAAGAAUGGGAACCCCUUCCCUUAAAGGUUUCCUAUGUAUAUAUUUGUUCUCCAGACAUAUGCAGAAGGUAAUGUAAAACUAAUGAGAACUUAAAUGGAUAUUCCAUACAUAGGACAAUUCCAUAUAUGCUUUUUCAACAUUUAUAUCGAAAAGCCAAAUUGUUUUGAGGAAAUUAAUUGUAGCAAUGAUCCCUUAACUUUUAUCUUAUUGGAACAAUGGUCUCUCAACUAAAAAUUCAUGACCAUUGGUUCCUUAACACCACACAACGUGUAGUUAUGGUCAUUUUCAUUAACUCCGUCAGAACUUUUGUUAAAACAAGUAAUGUUAGAAGAAUCAUUGCUACAAUUAGGUUAAAGUUGGGGACCAUUGCUCUAAUUAAAUUAAAAUUGAGGGAUCAUUUCUCCAAAUUGCUUAAAGUUCAAGGACCAUUUCUACAAUUUUCUCAUCUAGUUUCCCAUAUUUACCCCAUGAUUCAGCUUCACAUGCAUUGCACAUGACUCAUUUUGACAAAAAAUUUAACAAAAUUGACGAAAAUGACCAUAAAUGCACGUUUUGAAGAGUUAAGAGACCAAUGGUCGUGGAUUUUAGUUGAGGGAUCAUUGCUCCAAUUUGGUUAAAGUUGAGGGAUCAUUGCUACAGUUUUCUCAAAUGUUUCGUAUGCGAAAAUAGGCAUUUGUAAAGUUUGGCUUGUUUAUGGCAUUAUUACUUUAGUCUAAAGUAAGGCUGGGAAUGGCACUGUAGAAAUGAAUAGUGUUCCAAUCCGAAUUUCAGUUUAAUUACAACAAUGCCAUUGCUCUUUGUGUUGCCUUUAGGUGAGCAGCCCGGCUUGCAGUCAGGCCCAAAUGUAUUGGUUUUAGCUGAGAAGCCCGGCCCUUGGUCAGGCCCAAAAUUUUAAAUUACAGUUUUGCCCAUACAAAAUAACAAUCCGAUUGUAUCGGGAAGGACAAUUUUGUCCUUUCAGUUUUGGGUGAGAUAAGGGGUAACAGGGUAAGUUUCAUUUGCUGUCGUUUAAUGAGGGUUUCGGGGAUGAGGGCUCUGUGUGUGUGUGGAUGAGAGAGAGAGAGAGAGAGAGAGAGAGGGAGAUGGCGAUGGAAGGAGAGCGAGGGGGAAGGGAAGGGUUCUCGGCACUGUUGCUGCAUGUGGAUUUCACAUGUGGGAGAGUGGGUAUGGUCAGAGAAAACCAUAUAGGUCAUUGGGAUUUCAGGGAAACGGGGUAGGGGUCAUGAAUGAACUCUGCUGAGAGUGUGGGUACCGGAUCUUGCGCUGCAUGCCUCAAAUCAAAGAUAAGUUCGUUUUUUUAUUGUAUUUUUUGUGGUAGCUUAGCUUUUGGAAUUGUUUAGUAUGUUAGGUCCGAUUUUGGGGGAUUUAUCUUUUUAGAGAGAGAGAUGGACAGGGAGAUAGAGAGAGAGAGAGAGAGAGAGAGGAGGAGGAAGCAUGACUGUGUGCAAUUUUUGGUGUUAAUUAAUGGGUUGGUGCGUAGGGUGAGUGACAGAGUGACAGAGUGAAGGAGGGACGUGUGGGAGGGUAUGAGUUUUCAGUUCUUUCUUUUGAUUCAACAGGUUAUACAUUGUUUGAAAAACCUUUUUUUAUUAUUUUUUUCUCGUUUGCUUUGUUAAAACCAUCAUUUGAAUUUUUGGGUUUCACUGUGUUCAUUUCUCUGCUUCUUCAUAAUUUGCUGGUGUUUGCUUUUCAUCCCUCUAUUGGUAGAUCUUUUUCUCAUUUCUUGGUUCCUUAUGUAUUCUUUGGUACAAAUCUAUUUACUUUUUGGCUGUGUGAUAAUCUUAGCAGGUGAACUAUAUGAACGUUUUUUUUGAAACGAGUUAAGAAGAUCCAGCUGAAAAGAGCAUGCAAGAUAGAGAACUGGUAUGCUGCUCGCCAGGGAAAGGCUGCUGGAGAGGCUGAGACGGAUGCCUCCUUCAAAAACCAGGUCAGUUUCCUGCUACUCGGCGUCUUAAUGUAUCCAAAUUGUUUAUCUUUUGAUGAAAUUAGCUGGCUUUAUUUUCUAUUUUAUUUAUCUGCAUAUUAUUUUGGUUUGUUGAAAUUUUGACUAUAGUCAUUGUGUCACAUGGGCGCCCAGCCCAACCCAAAUUAGUUGAGGAUAUUUAAAUCUUCACCAUGGUAUUAUAGUACUCACUCACAGUUGUGAAUACUAAGGUGCAGGCAUGGCAUGAAGAAGUGGACCGUGCACGCCAAGGUCAGAGGGAUGCAGAGGGCAAACUUUUUUCUUUGGAGGUAAGUAUCCUUUGUUUAUUGCCCAACAGUGUUGUUAUUAUCAAUUUGUAGCUUUGCGUUCUGAAUUUUUUGCUUUGUCAAACAACCUUUUUGAAAUGCUCGAUUUCAAGCCGAAGUCCAAAAAAUGAGAGUUGAGAUGGCUUCCAUGAAGAGGGAUGUAGAGCAUUACUCGCGCCAGGUGAAAUCUGCUUCCUCUCUUUUCGUAUAUCUUCAUAUGAAGAGUUUUACUAAGUUAUAUUGAGAACUAUGUUAUUUAUAGGUUAUAUUUUCCAUUUUGCAAGAACACAUGGAGCUAAGGAAGAGCUAUCGUGAACUCACUGAUCUACUGGUAAUGUCACUCAAACUGCUUUAUUUGUGCAUGCUGCUACUAUGCGCUUGAAUGCAUUUUAUUACUGGCGGGAUGCGAAGAAUGCUAGAUAUAUGUGCUGGAUCGCUUGAUUAGUGUUAGGGUUUUAACAACUAAUUGUUAGCAGCUAGAAGCUCUGGUUAGAUGAAUGCUAAUUUGAUUUUCCUUACAGUACUUGAGUGCCAGUUUCAUAUUGUUUGUUCCCUGCUGGAUACAUGCUGUACAGUUUCAUUUCUGUUUCUUCAUAACUUUCUUGGCCCUGCGAUAUAUGCAUAUUGAGUACAAUGAAUAUCCAUUGUUCUCUAACUGUUGGGCUUUACUAUCUUUGUAGCAGCCUGCCUAACAUUUUUUAGGCUCUACACUCUACCAUCCAAUUUAUGAAAAAUUCAAAGAUUGGACGGUAUUGAUUGCAUAAAUGAAAAAAAUACUAUGAUAUUAGAAAGGUGAAUGUAAUUGUGUUAGAAGAAGCGUCUAGCAUGAUGGGUAAUAUUUUAAGUUUGUAUUUCUAAAAUUUUUUCGUUCUGGAGUAUGAUUUACCUCAAUUGUUUUGUACUUUAAUCUUUACUAAUUUUCAUUGUGGAGUAUGAUUUGCCUCAACUAACAACUUUUCAUUGUUUAACUUUUUCCUCCCUUAGAUAGUUGCAUAUGUUUGAUUUGUUAAUCUGCUUCUUACACAUGUUGUUUCCUAAUGGUGUAGGUGGAUUGCCGGAUGCAUGUGCAGAUUACUUGAAUAGACGAAGCUAAGAAUGACUUAGUAUUAAGUGAGAAAGAAGCUUGGGUCAGUUGGAUUUUGACAUUUGAUUUAUUCAUGUUUUUUUGUUGCUUGCAAUGUUCUCUCAUUGUUUGUUCUGAGAUUCUGUGAUCUUAUUUUUCAUAGGAACUGACAUUGGUUUGCCAUAUAAUGUUUCAGGAACUAAUACAACAACUAAUCACCUUGCUUAGGUCUCAAGACACAUACUUAACAGGUUAACAAACGCUAACCUAUAAACUUAUCUACUAAGCUGGACCAUUAACCUCUGUUUAUAUCCCUGCCACUCAUCUUUUGGCACUUAUCAAUAGCAAAAUCUAGAGUUGUUGAAACCCCAAUUUUAAUGAAUAUUAUUUUUAGUUGAUAAUUAAAAUUAAUUGAUGAUUAAUCUAUUCCAUUGUGCAUUAUUUUAUCGCCAAAUACUUUGAAUAUUCAUUAGCAAAAGAUAUAGGGUUCACUAUUUAAUGAAUAGAAUUUUGAUGGUGGAUUGCAUUUCCUGAGUUAUAAAUGUGGUGAAUCCAUUAUUUACUAGCUGAAUAAUCAUAAUGUUUUGGCCACUUACCUUGAAUUUUGUUCAAAUUGAAGAAGUCACAUGUUUCUUUCUGUUGUUGAGGUAAUCUCUCUGUUGAAAGCUUCUAUUUCUUUUUUCUUUUUCUUUUUUUCAUUUGGGUAGAUUUUUUUUUUAUGGAUUUAUGUAUUUUUUUUCUUCAGAGAAUUCGAAAUGAAAUAAGAAUAGCGGAUUGAGCAUAAACAAAUUGAUGAAAUUUUUAUUUGAGUGUUUGUGUUGGUCCUUUUUUGAUUUGUUGAGGUUUGGAAUUAUUUGAGUUUUUUUGCUGUUAGUACUGUGAAGGAUGCUUGGCAAUCGCGAAAUGGGGGCUACCUCUUUGGAAAGAGAAGUCUCGCUAUCCAACCUCUCAUGAAUUACAAACAGGGUGCUUUCUUGCUGAAAAACCACUGAAUCAGUAGAACUUUCCUCGGUUCUUCAAUUCGAUUCGAAUAAUUUUUUUACCCAGAAAAGCCAGCGUUUCCUGGUGAGUUUUACAGCUUUCUCAAUGUUUUUUUUAUUUUGGAUUUGCAAAUUUGUUUUCUGUUCAAAUUUCCUUUUGUGAUUUUGGAGGUUUUGUUUAUCGAUUCUCUCACUCAUCUCUCAGCUCUCUCCCACUUUUGAGGUACAUGUCGUUGGAUUCCGUUUGCUGCUGUUGAUCUGCAGGUAAAGCUUCAAUUACCAUACAAAGUUUACAUUUUUCAUGAUUUCUUGAAUUUGGGUUUUAAACAAAGGAAAUAUUGCUAGAUUCUUAUCUUAUGUGCAAAUUACUGGCUAUUUGGAUUGGUGCUUGAGAUUUAGAGAAUGUCUCGCAGCUUUAAUUUCUUUUUCCUUCAUUAUUACUGUUUUCAAAAUUUUUAUUGCUGGGUAUUGAUAAUUUGUAGUAUGUGAGGGCUUCAAUAUGUUGGAAUUUUGAAUGGUUAUUGCUUCAUCGGAAUUUGGGUGGUCCAAAUUUUGAAUUAGAAGAAACCCAUUUGAUUAAUAUUUUUGGUGGAUUGGUUCUCUGUGUUUUCUUUGCUAUUUCUCCCCCAGUUGGAAAUUGGAAGCCCCAACUUUGAGCUCAGAGCUUGAAUUUCUCAAUCGUUCGUUUCUCUACACUCUCAUCAGUCACUCUUGAUCCUCUAUCUAAAGAACUGGGUAAUUUUCCAGCUCUAUCAAGUAAUACUCAAUUUAAUUGCUUAAUUGAGGUUUUUUGUUUCUCUUUUUCGCUCUUUCAUCAGUUCAUUGGCUUUGAUGUUGAGCUUAAGUAAAUGGGAGAUCAUUAAUUGGCAUUGUUCAAAAUAUAAUUAUGUGUUUUUGGAUUUGUGAAACGAUUUGCCUAAUGAUGAUAGUGGUUAAAAUAAAUUUUUCGUUAUGAAAGAGAACAUUGUUCUUCAUUUGCCUACGGUUUUAACUACAAAGUUAAACUACUAUGCUUUUGUUCAAUUGAUUGCAACUCAUGCCGCAGUUUGCUUCACAAACCUCUAUGGUUAGCUUCCAUACAGUAUGUUGCAAGUUUGAGGAUAUCUUUACAUCUUAAUUUUUGCUCUCUCUGGUUGCUUCAAGUUUGUAAUUUUACGUGUUACAUUGCUACUUGAUUUGAUUAUAAAAAUGCAAAAGAAAAUCCAUUUUGCUUUUAUUCAACUUAAAUGUAUCCUUUUGUUUGUUCAUAAUUGUGUUGAAUUUAUUCAACUUAAAUGUGUUUUAUUCAUCUGUUUACGCUUAAAACAACUGGUUCCCCUAGCAAUGCGCGGACCUAAUUUCUAGUACAUAUACUAAAAGCCAGCAGAAAAUUACUGUUCAUCAUGGGAGAUAGAGCACUGUUCAUUAACAGUGAAAGGGAAAAAAUGCCCUCGGUUUCUUCUUUACUUCACGUACUGUUUACGAAUUGCUACAGUAUAAAGUCCGUUUUGUCAUUCCUGUCCACGCAUCUUUCAUCGUCCGUUUCUCUUGCUUCGACCGCAUCUUUUUCGCUUUACCUUUCCUCUUCGUUUUUCGCCUUCGCUAGGCUGCAAUUUUCGGAGGUGGAUUGUUUGCCCUUCUAUUUCCAUGCUCUCCCCAUGCCCUCCAUUGAUGUGUGGUCACGGUUAAACUAUGUCAACAUUUUAUAUUAAUUUUUUUAUAGAAAUAAUAAAAUAAAAAGUAAUAGGUAUCCAGGAAAUUUUCGUCAAAAUAUCCAGGAAAUAGGUAUCCAGGAAAUUUGCUUUACCGAUAUUUUAAUAGGUAUCCAGGAAAUUUGCUUUACCGAUAUUUCGCCGAUAUUAUCGGUUUUUUGCUUUACCGAUAUUUUAAUAGGUAUCCAGGAAAUUUUCGUCAAAAUAUCGCGAUAUUAUCGAUAUUAUCGAUAAUAUCGCGAUAUUUUAGAUAAUAUCGAGACAUUUUGGUUUCUCGACAGUCAGUCACAAUCUCGCCGGAGAAUCAGAAUAACUCCGAGCAAGAACAAAACCUGCAACCAAACGGAACAAAAUCAUCACUAUCUUUCAACAAAAAUCACCACUUUAUACCAAAAUCAGUGACAAAAUUACACUAAUCCGAGAAGCAAGGGCUUGAAUUCGAGCAAGAUCUGGAAGAAAACAGUAGAAGCUGAGAAAUCGAGUACCUCACCGGCAGUUACAGUGCUAAAGAUCAUCAUCUUUGGAAGGCCGCGGAUCAGACGGAGCUGAGAGAUCAAUGAGUAAGCAUUUCAUAGAUCGUAUUCGAUGAGCAGCUGAAAGAGAGGAGAGAGAAAGCAGAGAGAGACGCGGACGAGGAGGAUCUCGCUGAUGGGGACGACGAAGGAGAGGUAGAGGUCGCGGCCCGCGGGACAUGGUGACGGGCUCGACGAGGAGGAAGGCGAAGGAGGAGCAGAGGAGAUGGGUGCGUGCGUGCUGCGGUGCAGAGAAGAGAGAUGAGGGAGAUAUGAGAGAGAGAGAGCCGAGAGGGAGACAGAAGAAAAAGAAAAGAAAACAGAAAGAAGAAGAAAAGAAGAAGGGAGUCGCGGGGGAACAAAGAGAGAAAAGAGAAAAGUGGAGGGGCUGCCACGUGGCCACUUCAGAAAGAAAGGGAUCCAAUGUUUUGGAUCCUGAUUGGGUAGUCAAAGAGGACCAAUUUGAUAUAUUAAAAUGUUUAGGGGAUAAUUACACAAAUAUAUCUUUAUAAAUGGGGGUGGGUGUUACAUAUUGCCCUAAAAAACUCCAAGUAAUUACAACAUCGUAUUAGAAUUGUAAUUGAUCCUUGUUAGAUUUGGUUUAGAAAUUCUAUGUAAUUUAGUGAUUGUUUCAUAUUAGAUUUAGAUUUGAAUUUUUUACUCCAUUCAGAUUUUAAAUGAUUAUAAUAGAUUUAAAAAUUUACGAACUUUGAUGAAGUUUAAUAAUUUUUAAAACUUUUAUGUAAAAUUUUAAGUGAAUUCCCUCAAAUUUUCAGGUAGCGAUUUGAGAAUGUUUAAAAUAUUAUGUGAAAUAUUUCUAAUUUUUUCGAGUUUCCCAGCUUUUUAAAAAUCUCUUUGAAUCAAUUUCUAAAUUAAUACAUUUGGAAUGUAUGAAUUUCUUAAAAAUCAUGAUCGAAUACCCCUUAAACUUUAAAGAAUCACUUAAAAUCCUAAUUAAAUGCCCUUAGAUUUUUAAGGAGAAUUAAAAUGUUUAUAAGCCCCAAUUGGAUGUACCGCUUAAUUUAACUAAUUGACACAACACAACAUAACCAGUUAAGAUUACAAAUUAACACAAAAGACGACUUGAUGCGAGGUCAUAUCUACAAAACUUGCCGCAAUAAGCCCCAAUUGGUGUGUUUAAACUUCUUUCAUUAAUUACUACAUAUUUUCUACACUCAUAAUGUUUGUCAGCUCGCUAUAUAAUCAACUUGAUAAUGUUAAAUCCAUCAUGCAAUGCAUUUCCUUCCAAUUUUUUGUGAUAAACUAAUAGAUAAUUGACUAAAUAAACAUCCUGCAAAGUUUCAAUAAAAAUUUUCAAGUUUUUUUUACAAUUUCCGUGAUUUUCAUGUAAUUUUUAUCGGUAUCGAUAUUAUGCCGAUAUUUUUAUCAAUAUUUCCGUGUUUUCGAGUACAUAUUUCCGAUAUUACCGAUUCAUCCGCGAUUUUCUCCCUUUUCGCCAGCCCCUCUUUUGCUCUCAAAUCCUUGCUCUUUCUUUUUCAAACUAGUCUCAGAAGAGAUCCUGGGUUUAUCUAAUCCUUUGUUGUUCGGCGUUUUGUUCUCAUCUUGCGAUCGUCGGGGCAGCAGCUUUAAGGUAAGUUUGUUUUUAAUGAUUUAUCCUCAAUUUACGAUGUCUGGGCUAACAAAUUUAAGAUCUUUAUUUUUCUUUUUGCUGUGGAUCUGCAGGUUUUGACAAGUUUUUUGUGAAAUUGGUGCUGUCAGUGGGUGUUAAUAUCAGGUACCCAUGUUCAGUUUUUCGUUUUGAUUUGAAGGAAUUUCUUGCGCAGAAGAGCUAGGUUUCUUGGUGAGUUCUUCGGGUUGUGCAUAUGGGUAAUUUUCUUUUAGGUAUAACCCUCUGCUUCUGCUGCUCUCUCUCUCUCUCAUCCCUGCCUGCUCCUCUCCAAUUGUUUGCUGUUCUUAAAUAUUGUGUUCAUUGCCUGAUACAAGGAGCUGCAGCAAUCUGUUUUAUCCUACACGGGACAACGAGGCAAUGGCGUGACAACAAGUGAGCUUGGAUAUCCAAAGAAAAAGAACAGUUGGUUCAUCUGCUGGAGUCUGAAGCUCAGAGAAGUGGAGGAAAAUUGCAGGUGUGCGAGAAAUUUUAUUUUGCUGAUAGGACUCCUUAUUUACCGAUGCAUUUUGAAUUAAUUGAAAAGUUGGAUUUGAGUUAACAGCUAUAAAAAUGUAGACAUGAUUGCUGAGAUUAUGCUAUGAAAGUGGAAUAAAAAAAUGGUAGUUUAUAAUAUUGCGUACCAAUUUUUUUCUCUCUUUUUUACCAAAUGAUAAGGGUGGUGGCUCAGGCCGCCCCCCUACGCGUCCCCACUCUUCGACAAGUUGAAAUCAUGGUGAUAGUUUAUGGGUUGCGGUCUUGGGAUUCUGCAAAUAGAAUAAAAAACAGACACUUAACUAUCUUGUUAUUAAGCAUUUCUGCAUCAUUCAGUUGCUCUUGAUUUUCGUCUUUUAAGCGCUCUUAUUUCUGCGAUCUGACUUGAGGAGGGGUUUUAGACCUAUGGUUGUGGGUGUUUUGUCUGACCCCAUUAAAUUGGUUUCCGAGAUUUGUAGACUUGCGAUCGGCGGUCAAACAUUUCGUGAUUCUUGCUUUUUUUCCGACUGGGAUUGACGAAUUUUGGCCGAAUCUGUUUCCUGUUUUCUUCUCUGUUUGAGCGGCCGCUGCCUUUCGGUCGUUGAGCGCCGGCAGUCUUUAGAUCUUUGGCAAAUCAAUUUAAUACAACCGAGGUAUGUUUUAUAACUGCUGUCUUUCAAUUUUUGUUCUGUAUUUUUGUUAAUUUGGAUGAAGCUCUAAUAAUUUUGUUUUGGAUCAGUUGUGGUCCUCUGUUAGGAUUUUCCUGGCUAAGAGGGUAUUUGCAUUUUUGUUGCUUGGUUGGUCGAUCCAGUGUAUUAAAAGCGUGAGGCGUGGGCGAGGCGUCCGAGGGAAGCUCGGCCUAGGCGUGAGGCGUGAGGCGAAGCCUCAUGGGACCUAAAUUUUUUAAUAUAUAUACAUUGAGCGUACACAUAUAUUAUAUUAAAAAUAAGAAGAUUAUUAAUCAAUAAUCACCUUGAGCACACACAUAUAUUAUAAAUAUAUACACACACACAUAUAUAUACAUAUAUUAUAUUAUAUAUGCAUAAAAUAGAGGAUGAAAAACACAAUGAGCACACAUAUAACAAUGCACGCAAACAACACACACAUCCAUUAUAUAAAAAUAAAAAUCAGAAAAAAGGCAUAGAGACAAAAGUGCAAGGAAGAUGUAUGAGACAGUUAAAAUCCUACCCAAAAUUUGGGUUUGGGAGUAAAGAAAAAAAAAAAAAAAAAAAAACUCACUGAGGCGCGCCUAGGCGGCUCCGGCGACGCCUAGGCGGCCUUUCGCCCACUCCAGCAAAACUGAGGCGUUAGCCAUGGAGCCAAGCCUCAAGGGCGCCCUAGGCGCGCCUCGAGGCGAGUUUUUUAAAACAUUGGGUCGAUCACAAAUUUACGAACAGCUGUGGUGGUCCUGUUAGAGCCAAGCCUCAAGGGCGCCCUAGGCGCGCCUCGAGGCGAGUUUUUUAAAACAUUGGGUCGAUCACAGAUUUACGAACAGCUGUGGUGGUCCUGUUAUUUUUUUGGUAUGUUUUUUCUCCUUUUUGGUUUUUUCCCGGUUUGAGCACCCAUUCAUGAAGAAUUAAAAUGUGUUUAUAGUUUUUCAGGAGAGAUUAGAAAAGUGAUUUCAAUUUGGGAAAAUUUAAUGUUGGUUAAAAUUUGUUUAUAAUUUUUGGGAAGGAAUGAGAGGACCCAUUGAAGUAUGUGUUGUGAUUAUUUUUUAUUCAUAUUUUUAACAAAUUGGGCAUGAAUUGGUAGGUUAACUGUGUGUGUUUAUUAUUUGAAUCGGCCAUGUUUGUCUUUCUAUGGUUCUAAAAAAUUUGUAAAGGCUGUUAACUUGGAAGAAAAUGGGAUCGAGGGUGAGGGGAAAACAGCAGAGAAAGCAUGGAAGAGAGAUUUGGGAUUAGGGGUAGGAAAACAGAUGAAAAGAAUAUGAUAGAGGAAUGGGUUCAGUUCAUUUUCACUAUUUUUUUUAACUGAUUUGGAUUUUGUUUGGGUUUGAGGCCAUCAUUGGCGUUAAGACGUUUAUUAUCAGAUCGUGUGUGUUUUUUGCUAACUUUUAUUGGUAAUUUUUAUGUUGUUCUUAUGAUUUUGUGUGGUAGGGUUUCUGAAUUUUAUCGUUGUUCAUUUGGUUUUUUCUGAAUUUUAUCUGAUUUUGUGUGGUGAGUUUACAAAAUAAUACUAAAUAAAUUUAUUUGUAAUUUCGGAUGAUUGUGAUUCAAUCCUACUACAAUUGAAAUUCACAGAAAGAAUGAAAAACCAGAACAAAACUGCAGCACCUAAAAAGUUGUCAUACAAAAAAACAUGGAAUGUAAAAAUAUGUUAAGAAAUCUAGUUCGUUAAUUUCCAGCUGGUAAGCGGCAUUAUGUAACUUUAGUAGUAUAACUAAUUAACUACUUAUCUAGUGGGUUGCACUUCUAUCCUUGAUCUCAGUUGUGGCUGCAAAGUGCAGGCCACCACCAAGUCUCAGUGUUUGUGUAUUAGCAAAACACUUAAAUAAAUUAAAUUCUGAAAUGUAAAUUAUAUUCCUAUAACUUUAAGAUGCACAUAUAGUAUUGUUGAAGUCGAACUGAAAGCACUGACAAUUCCAAGCAACAGAGCAGCAAUUAUUAAGAGCCAAAACUCAUUCCUAGUCUCCUCAUCCUGGUACUCUACUCCGUAAUCUUCGUUCAGCAUCAUUGACUGAAAUUAGGAGAGAAAAAGAAAAGGAAUUUCAGAAAUUGUCUAUGAAGCAAAGGAUACUGCAGUUACUUCAAGACAUGUAAAUUGCAUAUGUAUAAAGUAAUUUUCUACAUAAAGUAACGAGGCAUAACUCUCUCUCUCCUCUUCAAACCCUAAACAGAGCAAAGCCACAAACUUUACAGAGAUUAGAAUGAGAACUGGAAUUAAUAGAACAAUGACUGAAAAGUAACAUACUUGAGGAGUGAAUGAUUUAGUGUUUCCAUCAUCGGAAAGCCGGAGUAAGUCGCUAAGAGAGGUCGCAAACAGCCCAAAGGGACAAACCCAGACCCCCGGCCCCGAUCCAUACCCUUCCCCCUCAAAUCCCGACGGCCCCCAUACUUUUCUCUGACUGUACCCCCUCUCCCACUCAUGAAAUCGAGGAUCUGUAGCAAUGGUACUGAGAUCCCCACUCCUCCCCCUCCCUUUCUCUCUGUCACUCUGUCUCCCUCUCCCUCUGUCUGUCUAUCUUUAUCCCAGAGCGGCAUGGCCUCGCAUCCCUGAAACCCUCACCGAAAGGUGGCAAUUUUGUAAAUAACUUGAAAUCCACCAACAGCAGGGGCAGAGAAUUGAAACAGACAUUUAGGCUCGUUCGAUAACCAUUUAGGCCAAAACUGAGCACACCUAAACCAUUCCUACUCGUGCCAAAUGUUAGCGGGGAAGCAAGAUGAUGACUUUAUUGUUCAAAACCAAAAGAAAAAAAGAGAGAAAACAAAAUAACAAAUCUAAUGGUUGUAGUGUAAAAGCUGAGAACGUAAAUAAACAUGCAGGGAAAAAAAUUGAAGAUACAAAGUAGCUGCAUCAUGAAACACUUGCUCCAAUUAGACGCAAAAAGUGAUGGUGAUGAGAAGAGAGAGAAAAUGCAGUCGUUUUGAUUUUUCUGGCUUUUAAAGGGAGCAGCUUUCUUCGACCACCAAAAAAAGGAAGCUGCUUUUCGUGUGGUUGUGAUUUCCUGAGUGUAUGUGAGCGGGUCUAUGGCACUUGCACUUUUUGUGUCGGUUACGGUAACCGGGCGAGGUGGACACGGCGGCGUGGGACUGAAUUCGGAGAGGUGAGAAAAAUUAAAAACACAAAAAGAAGGUGUUCAUUUUGUCACAUUUUUAUUACUAAAAAUUCAAUAAAGUACAUUCAUUAGUAUGGUAACUUAACUAUUUAAUUCCAUCUCAUUAAACUAAAAAAAACAAUUACAUAAAAAUAAGGGAAACCUUGUCCAGAGAGACCUGAGAGAAAGUGACGACUUCUCCUCUCAUUCCACUCCAUACUUGAUCUCUAAAGUCCAUUUGGCAUGUAAUUGAUGUUCAAUUUCAAAUUUAGUGGUAGCAAUUAGCAAAGCUAAUGAAAGAAUAAAAUAAAAUGAAAGAAAAAGCAUCAUGAAAUAAAUCAAGAUGAAGAAUGAAAUUUUGGCAACUCGCCAUUCUCUUCUUUUAUACAAAAGAUACAUCCUAUUUGUAGUGAAAACAGGUCCCGACAAACCCAGUUAUCGUCAAGAAGUAUUUUGUAUGACUUUAAAAACAUAUUCCGAGAAAUUAUCUCUUGGCUGAGAACAACAACAAAUCUUCAUGCAUAGCUUGUAGAGAAAGACAUCAGGCAUACAAAAGAACACGCAAGCAUAAAAUAAACGACGCAGGGAAAACCAAAAAUACAAUUGGAUACGCUGUCAAAAGAACAUAAAUAAAUGAAAAUUACAAAACAAAGAAGUGAUGAGAAACCAAAGUACCCAUUUCAUAAUCUAAUUGCUUUUUAGUUUGCUUGCCAUUUUUAGUUCUUCAAUUUAGAGAGAAACCAUAAUUCAGCACAUGAAUAAAGUGAAAACAUAAAAGAUAUGUGGGAUAAGCUAACAGCCAUCCCUGAGUAAUGCAUUCACUUCUGAACCCCAAACACACCAAAACAAAAAUUCACACACAUGAACUACAGCUCUGCUAUGUAACAAGAAUUAAAAGCAUCUCAAAACAAAAUGGCAAACUAUAAGAGCAAUGUAAAAGUAAAAUUGCAAGAAAUCUAAUACUUGGAGGGCAAGUACUAAUCAGACGAAAAUGAAAGAUUGAACUACCUCGCGUGGAACUGUGCCUUGGUUUUUUCCCAUGCUUACAGGAAGCUUUGCACUGAGCUCUUAUAGCCCAAAUUUUCUCUGAAGGGAAAAAAACACAAUUUUGAAAUAAGAUUUUCAUAUUAUACCUUAAAGAGAAGAAUUAGACAACAAAAAAGAGAACAAUGAGUACUUUUCAUCAUAUAUUGUUAGAGUAUGUGGUCCUCUAGUCCAAUGGUCCUGCAGCCAUAUUUACUUUAUAACUCUUUCUUUAGUCUAAAAACAUCUUGGAUCUCAAAUUAAUAUGAAUACGGAUUCAUACGCAUGCAUUGCAUUACAAUCACAAUGCAACAUCUCAUUAGAAAUCCCCACACAAAAUUCUUUUAUUGCUACUUUGAUUUUAGUUUAUAUUUUUUCUGAAGCACGAGGGAGCUAAUUUUUUUUUAAAAAUUUUUUAUUCCAAUAAUGUUAUAGGGUUGAAAGGAUAUUAUCAAUUUAAUUGAUUGUAUUUGAUUGGUGGAACUUCUAUAUCUAUAUUUCAGGUUUUCAAAUUCAGCACUGGGAGAGUCAUUCAUAAAAUGUUUGACAGUGAGAUUACCUCCAUGGAUUAUGCUCACAAUGGACAGCUCAUUUUCCGCGGUGAUGGGACAAUAUAUUUCAGUCAUUCGCCAUUCAAUCAAUUCAAACCGAGGAACAAGCAACAUCAAGAAGAGGAUCUGCCAUGUCAGGAUCACUGUCGUCCAAUUAAUACAAAAAAUCUAGAUAAAAACGAUCAAUUUACAUAAAAGCCUUUCAUUUUCUCAGCAACCAAGCAAAAGAAAAUACCUAUCCGUUAAACACUCGAUUUGGGAGUAAACGUUGCUGAAACUGGACUUCAAUCCCCUCAACCGCAACAAUCGAAUCGAGGUGUGCAAGUCAUUGAAAAACUCACCCAAGAUUUCAAAAUCUGCAUAAAGAAAUAAAUAAGCACAUAAAUUAGCCAACCCUGUUAUGAUCCCACAUCGGGUACACAAGAAAUUGUGUAGUGGUACUUAAGUGCAAGGGGUCAUCCCACCUAUUGGACUAGUUUUUUGGAUUGGGCUCUUCCCUUGGGCUUGAGUACCUAACAUUGGUAUCAGAGCCUAGGUUCCCGACGCUGCGAGACUUGGCGAGUGGUGCCGCCUCAUGGUGCCGCCUUGGGAGUAUGGGCUCCCAAGGGUCUUGGAGACGGGCAAGGUAUGAAAUGUCGAUAUUAUCGCGAUAUUUCGCCGAUAAUAUCGGUUUUUUGAGUUACCGAUAUUUUAAUACUUAUCCACUGAGUUUUCGUCAAAAUAUCGCAAUAUUAUCGAUAAUAUCAACAAUAUCGCGAUAUUACCGAUAAUAUCGCGAUAUUUUGGAGAUGUGCGAAUCGGAGAAGAAGGCCGGAGCUUCUACAGCUCCUGCCGACUGUAAAAGAGCACCCUAGACUCCGAUCUAGGUAUCAAAAUGAAAUACAAGACGAGAGGAAUGUUUUUAUAACUUCCGUUUGCCGUGAAACGGUCGAAGGUGUUCGGAAAGUUCGUCGACACCCACGGCCUCGCCAGAGAUGGGUGUGCCUAUUCUCGAGCCGAUUUCGUCCCAAAAACCUUGCAAAAACACGAGAUAGAACUUAAAUUUCACAUCUAAGCUUCAAUCUAGAAUAGAAUGAGGUAAACCCGAAGCUUACCUAACCGGAGAAAUUCAAGAAACUCGCCAGAGGGUUCCUGCGUCGCCGAGUUGCAGAGACGAGAAAGAGAUGGAGAAAGACGAGGUUGCUGAUAACGAUGGGUGUCUUCCUCAAGCAGGUGCGAUGGUGUGCGUGUGUGUAUGUGGGUCUCGGUGCAGAGAGAAAGGAGAGAGAUGAGAGUUUCAAGAAAGAGACGGCGCCAACGAGAGCUAUUUGUUUUUUUUUAUCUUAAAAAGAGAGAGGUCUAAGAGAAAUGGGAAGAGAGGGCCGAGUGAAAUGAAAGGAGGUCCUUGAAUUAUUGAGAGAUAUCUCUGAGAGAGGCCUAGGAUUUCUAAAAGGUAAUUAGAAAUGGGAAAAAUGGGGCACAUCUUAGCCUUUAUUUUGGAAUCCUAAGAAGUUCACCACAUGGAUGCAUGACAUGUGUGCAUGCCAUGUCUGUUGAAUGGGAAAAGUCUGACAUGGAAAGACAAAGAGUCGUUUGGUCCUCUGGGCUCGAGGCAAGAUAGAAAGUGCUAGGGUUUUUUUUUCUGAAAUGAACAUAAGCUGCUAAAUUCGCAUAUAUUAUAGUUGUUGCUAAAGAUUGACACUAGUGCGGACUUGGACGUGUUGGUCAACAUGUCCUCACAAUCCCCAAGUUCUCCGGUUCGAACCCUUACGCCCAUCAAAUUUUUCUUUCUUUUCGAUGCGCUUUUUCCAUGGCUCUAGGUCUUGAUUUCGAAUCCAGGUGAGCCCUUUCCUUUUUCUUUUUUUUUUCUUUUUGUUUUAUUAUUUGUUUAUUUUAAUUUAUUUGUUUCUUUUAUGUUUUUCCUUUCUUUUAGUUUCUUUGUCUUAGGCGUUCGUGUUUAUUAAAGUAGGAUGUAAAAUCAAUUAUCUUAAAAUUAUGUGUUUUUAAAUUUUGGACUUGUUUGUUGGAUACUUUUUUUGCAUUUUAUCAUUAUUUUAUUAUGAAAAUAUGCUAAAAUAUGCUAAAAUAUCACUUAUGUUUUUGUGAAAAUAUGCUAAAAUAUUUAUAUAUAUGGUUUUGUUUUGAAUUCUUUUUGUACUAAUUCAUUAUAUAUAAAUGAUUAUGGUGUGUUUAAACUUCUUUAAUUAAUUACUACAUAUUUUCUAUACUCACAAUGUUUGCUAGCUCGCUAUAUAAUCAACUUAAAUCAGUAAAAUCCAUCAUGCAAUGCAUUUGCUUCCAAUUUUUUGUGAUAAACUAAUAGAUAAUUGAUUAAAUAAACAUCCUGCAAAGUUUCAAUAAAAAUUUCCAAGUUUUUCUUACAAUUUCUGUGGUUUCCAUAUUAUUUUUAUCAAUAUCGAUAAUAUCCCGAUAUUUCCAUCGAUAUUUCCGUGUUUUUGGACUACCGAUAUUUCCGAUAUCAUCGAUAUUUAUACCUUGGCGACGGGGGACUUGCCGACUGGUGCCGCCAUGGACGUUGGGUCUUUCGAAAGGUGGUGUAAUGUUAUGAUCCCACAUCGGCUACACAAGAAAUUGUGUAGUGGUACUUAAGUGCGAGGGGUCCUCCCACCUAUUGGACUAGUCUUUUGAGUUGGGCUCUUCCCUUAGGCUUGAGUACCUAACAAACCCAUAAAUCAAAGAAAUCAAAAUCCACCCAGAAUCAAAGAAAUCAAAAUCCAUCCAAAACCAAAGAAAUCAAAAUCACACACAGAUAUACAAGGUGUACAGUAUUGACAUGCCUUAAAUGAUAUUAUUCACAAGAUUUAUAAAGCUCAUGUUGUAAUACUUGUGCAGAAUCUAUCAUUCACGGCGUCACUUUUGUGCAAGUCGUAAAUAAAAUUAUUCACGAUUUAAACAUUGUGUGUCGUAUUUGACAAUUUAUACUACGCACUUUCUUUUUCUUUUAAAGCUUUGCGUUAUGUCGUAAAGUUGACUUUCUAUAUAUUUGGGUUGUACCUUUUAUGGCGCAAAUAACACGUCGUAAAUAAUGGCUUUUAGCACAGAAGUUUUGUGGUAAAGAAGCCCGCGCACUAAUUCAUUCUCGCGCCUUCUCUUUUUUAUUUAGCCGCUUCUUUUUUUGGUUUUUUUUUUUUUUAAAAUUCCCCUCAAAUCUUAAAAGGGUUUGUAUUUUCUUUGGUAAACUUGAAAGAGAAACAUUGCAAUUGCAUUUUCAUUUACCCAAUAUUAAUUGUCGAGAGCCCACCCCCUUCCCUUCUCUCUGACAUCGUAACUCUCUCCUCUCCAUCGAUCUCGCUCCAUCUGCUCGCCGUCGCUCUAUAUGCUCGUCAUCGCCGUCGAUUCGUCUGCUCGUCGUCACCGUCGCCCAUCUGCUUUCCGUCACCGUCGAAGUGCCCCGCCAUUCAAAAUCUGAAAUCCCCAAUACAGGGUGCUUUGCGGCAUUUCGUUCUCCAAAACUUUAGGUAUGCUCUCAAUCUGUAUCAACCCUAUCCUGUCACCUCUACUUCAAGGUGAACAAUUUAUAGUUUAUAAAUUUUACUUGUGUUAAUAUAUAUUUUUUGGUAAAUGUUAUGGAUAUUUUAUCAAAUCAGAGAGUAAAUUCGUAUUAAGUGAAGAUUGGCAAAGAACAUAUUGUUUUGAAAGGUUGAAUAAUGUUUGCAGAUCACAUAAAUCAGUAGUUGUCAAGUCCAUAAGAGAAGCAAGAAAUCGGAAAGCAAGGCUUCGACUAAAACCAAAUAAUGUCAAAUUAAUUCAAGAUUGGAAGACUUUCCUUGCAAAGUGUAAGCUCAUUUUCAUUUUCUUUCAUUUCUAAGAUUAGUUAUCUUCUUUUGAGUUCAAAAUUGGGUCAGAGAAAUCAAACUGAUAGUAGUUAAAAGUCUAUUUCAACACCAAGCCUUGUCUACACAAGAAUUUGGUGUUAGUUAAACAUGUGUAUGAUUCUAUCUUGAUUGCAUGUUAAUUUAGUUUGAAGAUAGAUUUGGUACAUGCUAGCUAAUUGAUACGUGAUAUGAAUCUUUGGUUUCCUUUUGAUAGGACAAAAGUGAAACAUUCAGAGAGAUGAAGUCUAAGCAACUCCGCACACAUGUAGUCGCAAGGGAUAUGGUAGGUUGGCCGAGGAUUUGGUAAUUACAUUUCAUUCUAGUGCCUUCUUUUCUACAGGACAAGAACAAUUUACUAAUUUUAUUCUGUGUUCUACUGUGUGUUUACUACAUAUAUGUUUCUAUUUUGUAGAAAAGAAAAAGUGUAGACCCUUCUCUAGUUUCUAGAGGUGAUGUUUGGAUUGCAGCACAUACUAAAAAGGGUGGUGGACCAUCCAAUUUGCUUGCUGCAGAGACUAUUGUAAGUAAUUUUUAACCAUUUAUUUCUUCUUGUUUGUUGAUAUGCAAUGACGGAUGAGGUCUUAACUUUGAUGUGCAACGUUAGGAAAAAAAUUAAGCAAUAUGGAAAUGGAUCAUCAUCUGGUUUUCGAGGUGACGUUCUUUCCAAAGUUUUUGGUGCUGAGCGACAUGGUCGUGCAAGAGGAGUUGGAGGUGGUGUUCCUCCUACAAAGCUUGGAAUAUUUUCACAACAAAAAUUGCGUAAUCACCAAAUGGAUGAAAAGGUGCACAAUUUAACUAAUCAGGUCAGAGCACUGACAGAAUUGGUGCAUCUUUUUAUGAAAAAUCAGGUUAGUGAUUUAAUAACAUUGGUAUCAUAUUGAAUAUUUGUGAAAUCAGUUGUAGUGACACAUCAAAUCACAGGGUAAUGAUCUACCAAGUGAGGCAUCUCCUGACACACAGGUUGCAGCUCCUGAGGCACAUGUUGAUACUGUCGCAAGAACUGAAACUCGUCUUUCCCAAUGCGCAACAAAUGAAUCGUGGUGGCGAGGUUGAUACACUUUUUCAAUGAGCCUUCUAACUAUUAAUGCUCAUUGACUCUGUUAAAAGCUCUGCCAUUUUCAAUCUAACUAGACACUAGAAAUGAUCAUUGACUCAGUUAAAAGUUUUGAUGCUUUGGUCCUUUUGCAUAGUUGCGCAUCUACUGAUUUCUAUUUUUUUUCAAAUCCUGCAGGUUAUUUCUGAAAACAUUGAAACAUCGUGGUGUGCCAGAUGGUUUGAUUAUAAGACACCUUCCUUUUGGUCCACCAACUUAUUUAUAACUGCUAAAUGGUACGUAGUGUGAUAAUUUUCAAAUAUUUUGAUAUUAAGACAGGUGUAGGACAACAUAGAAAUUCUUAGGGCCUUCAGCAACAAAAUUAUGAAAAAGUGAGUGAGAUACAAUUAAAAAAAUGAAAGAGAAGGAUCAUGAUUCAUGAUCUAAAGGUUUGAAUAGGGUAGAAAGGAUUUAGUUUCGUUGUUAAAAUCGAUUUGUGAGUCUAUUGUUAUUGUAUUGUCAAUUUGUUUAUUUACUUGAACUUCCUAGUAUCAAUUUGGUUCGAUAUAUCUAGCACCACCAUAGAUAUAUCUAGUAUCAAUUUGGUUAGAUAUUGUCAAUUUGUUAUUUUAUUGUCAACUAUAGAAUGUGCAUCAGUUGUAAAAGGAACAAAACAAUUCAGAUUUUUUGUUUAUGUCCAAACUUAGAAUUGUAUUGUAAUUGACAAUUUCUACUAAUUAAUCCAAGUAUUUGGAGUUUAAUAUGUUUAUGAUCAAUAUUGUUAUCCUUGUAUUGUAUCAGUUUAGAUGUUAUGAAGUGAGGUCUGUCUAAAAAUGAUAUGCUAAAUAUAGAUGUAAAUUACGGCAUCUAAAAUCAGCAAUAAUUGUUGAUGGUAGUCUUUUUUUUACGAUGUAUGCCGUAAUCACCUUCACAAUAUUACGACACUCAACAAAUGCUGUAUCAAAUAUAAAUUACUGCACACUAGUAUGUCGUAAUUGUUUUUCAGUAUUACGACACCCUAUUAACGCUGUAACUAAUACCAAUUAAGGCACGUAGGACAUGCCUUAAGAACAUUUAUGGCGUGUUUUACUUAAAUUAUUCACGACUAUUAGAGUACGUUGUAUUUGUCAAAACAUCUUUUACAACAGGGGCUUUUACUGCUUGGAGGCUCAAGCCGUGAAUUUCCAUUUAUGGCACCCUUUGUGCGCCGUAAAAGGCCAAUUCUAUUGUAGUGAUCCAUGGGUACAUUUUUAAUCUACAUGUUUCGUUUUAAUAUAUCUAUUGCUAUAAUAUGUUUUGGUUGGUUCAAAUUCGUUUUACAUAAAUAUAUGGGUACAAAGUUUUUGGAGAAUAUUAUGUAAAAUGGUUUUUAAGGUUGUUGCAUUUUAUGUACCCACAUAUGCAUGUCUAUAAAACAAUGUGGUAUGAUGUACAUUCUUUUCCUUGAGUUUUUAAAUGUACCCAUGAGUUUUCUUGUAAAUUCGGUAUGUAUCCAUAUGCUAUUUAUGUUAUGGGUACAUACAUUAUUUUUGGUCUAAGUUGGUGGGUACAUUGCUUUUGUAUGUAUGAAUUCAUUGGGUACAUUAUUUCCCUUAAUACUACUCAAUAAAAUUCACAAAAAUGUGCAGUGUGCAUGAAUUUUUAUUGUAGAAAUUGUUUUUUUUUAUUUUUAAUUUUUAAGUCUCAUAAUUCGUGAAUUUUGUACAUAUUGAUCCCAUAAAUUUUUGAAUUUUAUUAAAUUUUUUUUAGACUUGAUCGAUUGAUUGAAUCUCAUAAUAAUCCCUUAAAUGUUCCAAUCAAUAUUUUAAAAUACAGCUUUUUAUUUAAGAUUUCAAAAAGAUGACAUGAAAACAUAGUAAUACUAAAAUUUUGUUUUAAAUUACAUUUGUGUAACAAUCAAUGGUAUGUUAAAACUGGGCAAAAAAAAAAAUGGUAUAUUAAAAAAUUAUAAUUUAUUCUUUUUUUCAUAACUGUCUUCUGCUUAGAUUAAUUUUUUCCAACGUUUCUCUUCGGGAGAAUUAGUUCUUACCAAUAUAUAUGCACAUUAUCUGCUUUUUACCUGGUCUUAACACAUGAUUAAUUACUUUCCUACCUGCUAACGCGUUGACUUGCGCAUCCAAAGUAUUAUCAAAGUCACUGCCACCAAAAAGGUGCCCACUCCACAACCUUUGGUUGAACCAAAGAACAUCACAACAAUAAGGAAAUCGUUAAAUCUAUCUCCGCAACAUUUUUAUUAAUCAUUAGAUAGAUUAAACGAUCCCCCUAUUCAUAUUGUGUUCUUUUGUUGAACCAAACCAUGUCAACAAAAUAUAUCUAUGGUUAAAGCAUCUAGAUUCAAGCUUUUGGAUGUGCAACUUAAACCCCUCAAUGAAUAGCCAAGCAAUUUAUCAUGUGUUUACAGUAGGUCAAAAGAAGAAAGUGUUUGUCUAUAUAUUAAUAGGAACUAAUUCCUCUGAAGAGGAGAGAUGGAAGUGAUGAUAAUAAAAAAAAAAAAAGUCGUAUUCAGUGCACAAGGCUCCCGCUUUACGCAGGGUCUGAGAGAGGUGAAUGUCGGCUAGCCUUACCCCCAUUUUAUGGAGAGGCUGCUCCCAAGUCUCGAACCCGAGACCUACCGCUCAUGGGCGAAGACACUUGCCAUCGCACCAAGUGCGACCUCUAAGGGAUAAGAGAGUAAUCAUGAAAAUUUUGAAAGUGAAAGCAUUGCCUUGGAAUAUAUAUUCUCUUUAGGAAUUCUGUGCCCAACUAAAUUCUAGAUUCUCAAAAUAUGAAAUUAGCAACUUCACCAAACACUUGGACAUGUAACAGGUCACACGUAUGGUACCAACCUUACCAACCUUACCAACCAUCUAUAUACCUAUGUUUUCGAACAUCGUUAGAUAAUUAAAGUACAGUUCACACAGCAUUUCACAUAAAAAUGGCAUCAUACAACACAUGAGAAGUACUUCUUACAGUAGCAGUCUCGUAACAUGACUAUAGUUUUUGUUACUUCUUAAGAAAAAAGAGUUUAAAAUCCUAUUGAAAGAUAAUUGUAGAGACAGAAACCCAAACUAGUUAAUUAGGUUUCUUUACAUCUCAAUAAAAUUGAAGGGAAUGUAUCUAAUAUUAUCUACUAGAGCCUCUACAAUCAUCAUAGAAUCCACAACCCACAUUUUAAUUAAUCGAAAUUCCAUGAACACAAAUAAGCAAAAGUUGAGUGAAGCCUAAGCAAUAUGUGAUCAUUUAGAGAGUCAAACUCCAUCUUUUUAGAAUUAGGGACUUUUCAAUAUGAAAAGGUAACCUCCACAAUCCAAUAUCAUAUGAAAAGGAAAACCCAAGAAAAAUACAGUAUAAUUGUGUGCAAGAGCAACACAAAAAAAGUUGAAGAAUUAGAAAUCAUAAAGAGACUUGAGACGAUUGUUGCUCACUUAGCUAAAGAGCAUUUGCACUUGAGGUCUCGAGUUCGAUUGCCCCCUUUCUUUAGAUCGCUUGAGAGGAAAAACCUACCAUUCUCUAGUCUAAAGAUAUAUGCAUCUUUGACAUGAAUGACUAGAGGGGAAGAAAGUGCAGACAAAUCACACAUACCUUCAAAAAAUUUUAUGGGGUUGGUGAAUGGUGAUUAGGGAUACUGACUUUUAAUAGCCGUUGAUCAGUGUAUAUUGCACACGCCUUCAUCAAUGGCUAGCGUCGGUACAACUGUGAUUGGGAGGGCCUUUUUACGAUAAUAGAUGGGUAAAGGUUUCAUUAGAAGGGGAAUUUUGUUCUGGUUUGCCAUAAUAACUUGAAAUUAAUGGUUUUUUGUAAUCCUUAAGUUAUUGUCAUUUUAGGUUAACUUUGUACCUGGACUCUUUACUGGAGCUAUCAAUUGAAACCCCCAUUUUCUUACCAAAAUAUGAAAAACAAAGAGUCCCAUUUUUACAGCACAGUCCUACUCUAGUUGAAAUCCGAUCGACGGUCAAGAUUUUCUAGUCAUGUGAAAGUAUCACAUAUAUAAAAUUGACUGGAGAAGGCAUGCCACAUUGCCAUGCCCUUGACAGCUUUACUUUGUUUACAAACUUUCUAAAAGAAAGAAAGAAAAAAAUCUAAAAUGGAAGGUGAUAGCGAUUUUACCACUUGUAAAACAAAGGGUUAAACCAUAGAAAAUUCUUGCAAGAGAACAAGUGUUUGUAGUAUAGAAUGGCUCAAGCAAGGUCGAUCUCCUCAGGGACUGAUAUAAACAAUUUACGAGUUUUUAUGUAUUUAACUUAUUUAACUCUAAGAAUUACACUAAUUUAACGAAACUAAAUAUUAUUGGAUGUGACUUAAACAAAUAUCUAAAAUGGGAAUUGGUUUUAGGGAAUAAUGAUUCAACUUAAACAAAACAAGUAAAUGAGGAAAUUCAAGAUAAAAUAAAUGAUUAAGAAAAAUAGAUUGACAAUAUGCUAGAGUUCAACAUUUACCAACAACACUCUUACGUAGCUAUUCCAAUUGCUUAAAUAAUUGAAAACACAUAUGCUUUGAAUGUUGGAUUUUCCUUGUGUAUGUUUUACUUGUGACAUUCAAGCUAAAACGCAUACCACUACAUGCAACUUAUCCAUGACAUUUGAAUUAAAUAUAAACAUGAGUGAUUCAUUAAUCUUGGUGAAAAUCCUUUUGUUAAACCAUAUAAUCCCUAAGAGCAUGAUAUUUACCUUAGGAGAUUACAAUUCUCAAUCACAAGAAGCACAACCAAUUUUAACGUGACAUUCGUUCAAAAUUGCAUCCGAUAACUUUUCUAAGCAUCCUAAUGGUGAUCAAGCAUCAAGGUACAUAGAUAGUUUAAUUCAGUGAUUGAAAAUAUCAAAACAAGCAUGUAACAACACUUAAGCAAUUGAAAAAUAAAACUACGUAUUCAUGUUGCGGCUCAUGGCCUCACUCUAGCAUAAUACUUUAAAUAAUUAAAGCCCAAACAAUUUACCAAAUUUCAUCUCUGUACUCCGCAGAGACGCUAAACGAGACAUAUUUGGUCCAUCUCUGAACAUCUUUUCUUACUGUUCUUACAAUAGAAAGGGCACAAAAUUGACUUACACAGUCUUGCACAAUACUCACUUUGCUUCAACCCAUAUUUCACUUUGUCAAAUCAUACACGUUCCUGCAACAGGUGAACUCAUAUUUAUCUACCACUUCUUGCUAAUUUUAAUUUUUCCAUUCCCAUUUUUACUACAAGUUUUCACAUAAUUUUUUUAUUGCAUUUGUCAAUUCUUUAUACUUUUUAAUUGUAUUUUUUUUUUUGUCUUUUAUGUGUUUUCUAUGUUGGCACAAGGUUACAACAGUAUUAAACAAUUACAGGUCCUCCAGAGGUUUGCUUAUUGCCCUAUUUCAUCAAGCUCGGUAUAAAUAGAUCUUAAUUUUUUACUACAGUUAAAUACAUGGACAUGCCUCCACAAAUACAAAUUAGUUCUUGCUUAAAUACUUUGUGUGUUUACAUAGAAAAUGUUCCCAUCGUCUACCAAAAUCCUCCACACAUGAAAACAAAAAUUCUUACUCAAAAUACUUAUUACAAUACCACCAUAUCUGUUGUUUUUUAUUAAAUUAACACACUGUUUUCAAUUUUAUCUUCAACACAAAAGAAAAUGCUCUUACACAAUGUGUUUGCUUACAUUUUAUAACUUAUCUACCACAUGUUAAUCGCAGUUAUAUAAAUAGGAAAAUACGUGUUCAAUAGAAGUGUGAUGCAUGUCACUUCGUUAACAAUAGUGGAAACUAAACAAUUAAAUAAUUUGUUUCAAUUAGUUAGUACAUUUUAUAAAUUUCUCAAUUAGAACUGUUUCAGUAUAUUUAAUACAUUUUUAAACAACUUUCCAGUUAGUUGCCCAAACUAAUUAUUCCAGCUUAUUCACAGUAUAAUACCAACAAUUUAACAACCAAUGAUACUUCGUUUAACAUAAACUUCAUUUGGAAAAAACAAAAAAAAUCUUUUUCUCUGCUGAAAAAAUCAACAGAUUUAAUGAUGUAGAUCAGUUAUACCAACAAAUUACCAUAGUUUACCCAAUGCUAUACAGGUUUGACUUUUGUUUAUAUUCUUGGAUCUGUUGCUUGGUUGUAUAAUUUGGCUGUGUGUUUUGUUUCAGGACAAUUUGUUCUUCGUUUCUUGAGGCUUCUAUGUGUAGAUUUGAACCGUUUAGCUUUCAAACCGUUUAUACUCAAGGUAAAUAAUUUCGUUUGUUUCUUUUUAACCUUUUUUGUAAGAAUUUUUUAUUUAAUGUUGUGAGAGUUGUGUUUUCUAUAGUAUGGAAAUUGAAUCUUUGUGAUCUUAUAUCGUUAGAUACGUUGCUUGGUUAAUGUGAACACGGAAAAUUCCCGAAACGAAAAAGACAAGAACAACGUGCACAAACAAAUAUUUUGUAUUUGAUGAUUAUUUUGGGUUACAAUCUCUCUCUAAUUUGAUCCUCUGAUUCGAUCUCCGUAAGAUAUUGGUUUGUGGAUGUGCGAUUGAUCCAAGGGCCGUCGAGGCUUGAUCUUGGAUGAACGGUGAUGAACGGAUCUUCAAGGGCUUUUGGGCUUGAUCUUGAAGAAUAGUGAUGAACGGGUCUUCAAGGGCUUUUGGGCUUGAUCUUGAAGGAUGGUUGGAUGUGUGGAUUUGUCGACGUUGUUAAUCCAAAGGGCUGUUGGGGCUUGAUCUUAGGAUGAACGGAUGAUGAACGAAUAACACUUUCUUCAAGGGCCGUCGGGGCUUGAUUUUGAAUUGGUGAAAGUUCUUCAAGGGCCGUCGGGGCUUGAUCUUGAAGGUAGAUGAUUGUUGAUCCAAGGGCUGUCGGGGCUUGAUCUUGGAAGAACGAUGAACGAAGAACGAAGAAGGCUUUCUUGAUUCUUCGGGAACCUGGAUGCUUGAGAGCUUCGGAGUUUCAGAGCUUCAGAGCUUCAAGGUGUAAUAUGAAUUUGGUUCCCUUAAAUGAAUGAAAUUGGCUUCUAUUUAUAGAAUUUUCCAAGGCCUAAUUUUGAAUAUAAUAUUCCAGAUGAAAUAAGUCGUUUCUGCCAAGUGUUGACACGUGUCCUAUUUGAUGACUUUUCCGACUCAUUUCAAUUUUUCGUCGAGUCACACACUACGUGUAAAAUUUAUGUAAUACAUGAGCGUUGAAACUUUGAUUUAUCAGUCAACAUUUAUUUACCAAAAUUUCGAUGUCUACAAAUGCCCCCACUUCAAGGCGCGUCGUAUACAUGUGCUUGUCACGUGUAGGAGAUGCGUUUUGAAGUCCCCUUACUGUAGAUGUCGAUCCAAGGGCCGUCGAGGCUUGAUCUUGAACCGGGCUGGAGAUUUCUUCAAGGGCCGUUGAGGCUUGUUCUCGAACUUUGUUCGAAAUUUCUUCAAGGGCCGUUGAGGCUUGAUUUUGAAUUGGGCUGAAAGUUUCUUCAAGGGCCGUUGAGGCUUGAUCUUGAAUUGGGUUGAAAGUUUCUUCAAAGGCCGUUGAGGCUUGUUCUUGAACCUUGUUUGAAAUUUCUUCAAGGGCCGUCGAGGCUUGAUCUUGAAUUGGGCUGGAAGUUUCUUCAAGGGCCGUCGGGGCUUGAUUCUUGAAGGUGGAUGAUUGUUUAUUCAAGGGCCGUUGAGGCUUGUUCUUGAACCUUGUUUGAAAUUUCUUCAAGGGCCGUCGAGGCUUGAUCUUGAAUUGGGCUGGAAGUUUCUUUAAGGGCCGUCGGGGCUUGAUUCUUGAAGGUGGAUGAUUUUUUCUUCAAGGGCCGUUGAGGCUUGUUCUUGAACCUUGUUUGAAAUUUCUUCAAGGGUCGUCGAGGCUUGAUCUUGAAUUGGGCUGGAAGUUUCUUCAAGGGCCGUCGGGGCUUGAUUCUUGAAGGUGGACUCGAACACAUGGCAAGCAGGCACGAGGUGAAGGUGACGGUCUGUUUCUUUGCUCAAUCUUUCCAAGUGCCGACCGAUUGCUUUUCUUUCUCCUUGUCCCGCAGGCAAGAGCAAGGGUAAAAGAAAAGCAUGCCAUGAGAUAUCUUUGUUUUUGACUCUGAUGAUAUGAGGUACUUCUGCUUUUGAAGAAGUUGCGGAUGAAUCGACACGUGCUUUGUUGUGCUUGUCUCCACAUGCUCAGACUCUUGGCAGAAUGUGAAAGGUGGCAUUUUCUCGAGUUACUCAACUCAGACUCAUUCUGCUGAGUUGACUGUGCGGGCCGCAUUCUUCUCUGCUUGUUUCUUCUGGCAGCCUUGCUCUCGAGUACUCAUCUUUAACAUCUUAUGUUUCUUCUUUGUCUACCACACUGUGGAAGACGAGUACUCGAGAGUAAUACCAUGUAAGCAAUCAGAAAAGGGUUCCAAGCAGUCGGUUCCAGAUCGGAAGAUUGAUACCAAGUGUUGGCUGAUUGCUUUCCUUCUCAUUGUCCUACAGGUUAGAACAAAGACAAGGAAAAGGACACGGAGAAUGCAUGAUAUGAGAUACUCUUGCUUUCUCCCUUCAUGAUAUGAAAUACUUUUGCUUUUCAAGAUUUGUUUGCAGAGGUAUCCUAUGGGAUGAAGAACACUGAGUGAGUUGAGAGGGUUUGUUGGAAAGCCAUUUGUCGGAGAUGACGGAAUGUUAUGUAUGUCUGCCUUGCCAUGGAGCGUGAAGGUCGACAUUUGUAGGAAAUAAUAACUGGUACUGUUCUUUCACUCCUGUCGGCAACCGUUGGAUGAUUGAACAGUAAACUUCACGUGAUUUCCUCAAAGCUUUUUCUGCAUGCGACAAGUGCUGACGAGGCUGAGAGAGACAUGCGAUUGGAAUCGGCGCUUCGACAAACUUUUCCAUGAUUUUCGCAAAGCUGACGAGGCUGAGAAAGACAGAUGGUUUGGAAUCGGCGUUUCGAUAAACUGCCCGUGAUUUCCGCAACGCUGACGAGGCUGAGAAGGACAGAUGGUUUGGAAUCGGCGUUUCGACAAAUUGCCCGUGAUUUCUGCAACGCUGAGUUUGCGUGUGACAGGUGCUGACGAGGCUGAGAAAGCUGACACUUCUUCGAUUUUUGAGAUCAGUCCGUGAUCCUUGAGUAGGCCUAGCUUUGGAGAAAGCAGGCGCUUCAUCGAUCUCUGAACUCGCCUCUUCGAUCUCUGAAAGCCCAUCGCAUGCUGUUUUUUUAUAGAGGUACGCAAGACAUUCAAAGCACACUUGAAUUUCUACCUGUGAAAAAAAACUCCCCUUUUGCAUAUCUGAGAUCUUUAAUUUGCCCGACCUCUUCAUUUUGUUGAACACCUUCGGAAAUGUCUUUCCCAUCUGACCGUCGUCUUGACUUGAAUAUCGAAGAAGAUAUUGACAUGUCUUCUCCAGGCAACAUUUGGCAGCUGUCCUUCGUAUCCUCCAACGAACCUCUUACGGUUGGGGACACUGUGAUGAGGAAUGACGCAACGGCUGCAGUGGUUGCUAGAAAUCUUCUCACUCCUAGGGAUAGUAAGAUGCUUUCCAAGCGGUCCGACGAGAUGGCUGUUCAAGACUCUCUGGCCUUCAGCGUCCAAUGUGCGGGCUCAGUAUCAAACAUGGGCCAACGCCUUCUUGCUCGAUCUCGUCAGGUUGAGUCUUUGAUGGCCGAGGUGGCUAGUCUUCGGCAGGAGAUCAGAGGGCUUAGGCACGAGAAUAAAGAGUUGCAUAUGCUAGCAACUAGUUACUCAACGAGCAUGAAGAAGAAGCUAGACCAACUGCAGGAGUGUGAAGUUCGGGCUCGAAAUGAUCAUCAAAGGUUUAUGGCGUUACUCCCGAGGCAUCUUCUGCCUUCGUCAUCUGGCGCUUCACCAAAUGUUGAGGCUCCGGAAAAUCAAACUCUGGCGCUUCGUCUUUCUGGAGCUUUACCAAGUGUGGAGGCUUCAGUUGAUCCACCUCCGGUGCUUCGUCUUUCUGGAGCUCCGUCGAGUACUGAGGCACCACAUGAUCAUCCUUGAAGAUCCUUUCCUGUAAAUUUGAUUUGACUUUUUUUUUAAGGUAUGUAUAAUGUAAAAUUUCUAGAAAAAUAAAAUGGACUUUAUUUCUCUGAACAUGUUUUUUUUGUUUUUUUUUUUGGCUGUAUAUUUUCUCUUUAAUCAUGGUGCACCCAUUUUCCACAUGGUGCCAGACGGACCAAAGAUCAAACAUUUCCUUUUUUUAUUUUUUUAUUUUUUCUUUAAUCAUGGUGGCAGACGCAUAAACAAUUUCAUUUAUAUUUUUUUUUCUUUUUGCUGGCACAUGGUGCCAGAUGCACCAUUCAUUUAUAUAUAUUAUUAUAUAUGUUUUUUUUAUUUUUUUUUAUUUGCACAUGGUGCCUGAUGCACCACCUCUUUUUUUUUCACGUGGUGCCAGCAUCACUUUGCUCCACCAUCCAUUUUUUUUAUUUUUAUUUUCUGUAUAAAUUUGGGUGAUGGGUAGAGGAUUUUGCAGGCAGGGAGCAAGGAGGCCGAGAAGAUGGUGCUUCGAACUUCAUGACCGGCUAGUCGUUUGACGGCGGUCGUUGAAGUCGUUGGCAGUUGCGAGGCAAAAGACGGAGGAGAAGGUGGAGUAGGUGACCUUGAUGUCGGAUCCAGCUAGAACCCAGAGCACAGCGACUGAGCCCAAUCACCGAGCACAACCGCUGCACACCCGUUGUACUGCCACCGAGCACUGCCACUGCGCAUCUGUUGCACUGCCAAUUGCUGCAAAGGAUUAUGUUUAACGGCGGAGACGCUGCCCUAUUUGCCAUGCUAUGCCGACGUGCUUCACAUAAUUAACCAUCCAGAAUUGUUAAACAUUCCAUCUGGGUUUAUCGCAAAAACAGAAGAAGAAAAAAACCAAGAUCCAUCCAUGCCAAACACCAAUCUGCCAUCUUUUUGGGAUUUGUACGACAUCAUCAGCCAAAACCUGCUUGGUCCGCUCGCAAAUUGUGGGAGAGGAAGAGUUGGCGGAGCAGCUGUAACACUGGAAAAUGGAGGACGUUGACGAGUCCUCCAAGUUGUUCUUGACGUUGGUGCUGGAGAAACCUGCCUCUCUCAUGACUCUGCUGACACUUGGGUCGUCAAGGAUGGGGAUGAUGAGCUGCUCGAGCUCGACUUUGAUGGUUAAGAGCGGCUGCUGCUGCUGCUCGAUGCAGUCUCUUCUCUGAUGGGCUUGGGCUCUCUUGAGGGCGUUGGAGAGAGAGGGCUGCCCGUGGAGGAGAGGGCAUGGAGUUGUUGGGAGAAAUCAGGGCCGGAAUGGAAAAUAUUCCCGAGCUGCAUCAACGAGGAGAUAACACCGCUAAGUUAUUCAUCUGGUUUGCUUUAGUCAAAUGGAUCAAUCCGCGGGUCAUGCUCGCUUGCCAUCAUCAUCCCAGUGCACAGGCAUGUCGGGCACAUGACCUUUCCAGCACCAGAGCAAUUUGGGCACCUCUCAGUUGUGGGCACUCGCAAAGGUUGGUCUGAUGCACUAGAUGCUGAUAUAGGAUUGAUGUUCAAGCACACUCCACUUGCAGAACAUCUAGCACAGGCCAAGUACCCAGUUCCAUGGCAAUAUUUGCACCUUUUCUUCUCUUGCUGCUCAACAUUAUUAGCUUCAAUCAACAUCAAUGCUGAAAUGACACCCACUGCCCCACCGGAGAAGGAUGCCACAAUAGGAUCAACCUGACUUAAUUGUAAAGGCAGAUGCAUGCUACGAAUGAAAUCUUCAUACGAGGUACCUCCUAUACCUAAUUUUAGUUCCAACGAUGGCGCAAUGAGACCCCCAAAUACAAUUACACUAGAUAUCAUAGAUAAGCUUGUGAGGUAGAGCUGCUUCAACGUCUUUGGUGUCAUAUGAGGGAGAAAAGGGAUAGUGGAUGGAAUGUCAGGCAUCUCAUUUGACUCUUCCUCACAAGCCUCAUCCAUAUCUCUCGCCAUCUUUAUCCGUUGCUGCACCCGCAAUCUCCUUAGCUCUUCCAUGAGAAGAAAAAUCUUGUUGUGCCGGCUUCUUAUGUUGUCCUAAAUUUCCUGUAGUUGCAUCUGCACAAAGUCCUGCACCGUCUCCGGCUCUUCUAUGAUACAAAAAGUGCUUGGCGUGUUAUCGCCGGGGAAUGAUUCCUUGGAAGCAGAACAGGAAAUUUGGGGAUGCGGGGAGGUGAAUUUGGACAGAGAGAGACGUCUAGGGAUUCCAUGGGAGGGGGGUUGAGAGUGGUUUUUUGCCGGCGCCUCUAGGGUAGUCGUCGUUGGCUAUUGCUAUAGAGAGGUCAAUGACUUCACCGGAGAUGGCGUUGUUCUGGAGCCCGAGCGUGAGAAGCCGGGUGAGAUUGUCUGGAAAGGGUCCCCAGAGGUUGUUGUCGGCGAGGUCGAGAAGCUUGAGCUUGGUGCAAUUGACGAGAGGAGAAACGGUGUCGUUGAGGCGGUUGUUGUGGAGGUCGAAGAGUGAGCUGGGCGAGAUCAGAGAACCUUGACGAAUUCGGAGCGUUGAGGGUUAUCAACACGAUCCCAUCGACGAAGAAGAAGCAGAAUGGGCCUCUUGCGGGGCCUAUGGCAUCAACCGGUCUUUGGGCUUCUGGGCCAGUAAAUUGGAGAGAAGCCUGGGCUUUUGACUUGCAGAGAGAUUAGGCUCUGGGAGCCGCUUGUAGUAUUGUGGCUAAAGGGGUUGCUUCCUGUGGCCACUUAUAUAUAUAUAUUUUGUAAAUACAUAAAACAUUUAUCUCUUUUUUUUUCUUUUUUUUUUGUACAAAGAAAUUGUAAUAGCAUCAAAACUUUUAAUAAAAUCUUUAUUCCUUAUUUUGGUGUGACUGAACUCAAAUUUUGAAUAUUCGAGUUGCCUACGUACCUCUCCAAAGAAGAGAUCAAGUCGUAACGUAGUUCAAAUGAGUGAUGAAUUUAACAGUGAUUUUGAUGAUGAUUUUGUCGUACACAGUUUAUGCUCUUGCGGGCCAGGAGCUUUGGUUCGUGCAGUUUAGGCUCGUGCGAACAAGGAGUGUUGGUGUUGCCUUUUAUGCUCGUGCAGACCAGGAGCGUUGGUGUUGCCUUUUAUGCUCGUGUAGACCAGGAGCUUUGUGCCAUGCAGUUUAGACUCGUGCAGGCAAGGAGCGUUGGUGUUGCCUUUUAUGCUCGUGCAGACCAGGAGCGUUGGUGUUGCCUUUUAUGCUCGUGCAGACCAGGAGCUUUGUGCCAUGCAGUUUAGACUCGUGCAGGCAAGAAGUGUUGGUGUUGCCUUUUAUGCUCGUGCAGACUAGGAGCUUUGUUGUGCCAUGCAGUUUAGGCUCGUGCAGGCGAUGAGCUUUGGUUCAUGCAGUUUAGGCUCGUGCGAACAAUGAGCAUUGUGCCAUGCAGUUAGGCUCAUGCAGGCGAGGAGCGUUUAUUGGUUCGUCAAGCGAUCCAGGAGAGUCGUUCCUCGCAAUCUUCAUAGCAAGGAGCCUUGACUGAGUGAUUGAAGAAGUCUUUGGGGAAGAAAUCGCGCAUCGUGAUGGGGAUGGACGAUAUUUGUGUCGUCAUUUCAUCAUCUUCAACACUUUCACUUUUCUUUGAAGGUUGACAAGAGCUGCUUUGCCCCAUUUCCGAUUGGCGGACUUGUGGAUGAGACGUAUGCUUCUUCUGCAGUUUCUCUAGAGUGACAUGAGUCAUUCCUUCAACUUCGCUUGGCUCAACUGGCAUGGUUUUGGAGCAUGCCCCCAGCGAUUGAGGUGAAGAUUUUGAGUUGACAAAGCCGGAAGUGACGUCUUCUUCCAUGAUUUCAUCUUCUUUGUCUUCUUGGGCUUGUUGGCGUGAAGAUUGGCCGGCGUAGAUGAUGGUGCGCCUCUUUACCUUCAGUGGUCCUUUUGUGUCGACCUCCCAAGCUGUUUGGCGCUUUAUCCUUGAAUGAAUCAAGCUUCGAACGUCGUCUUUUCCUGCUAGACCGUCGAGCUUUUCUUCCUUUGGCGUUGUCUUCCUAUUUCUAGAAUGCUUCUUGGUUUCUUCAAGUUUUUCCAAAGCCGAUCGUUGGGGAGGAGAGCCAGCCUUGCUGCUUUGUUUCUUAGGUUUUGACAACCUUUCAAAAACAGAGCUUUGGGGUGUUGGCGUGUUAAGCCGUUUGAAGAUGGAAGUUCGGUCUUGCCCACCAAUGCGAUCAAGUGCCGACCUUCUGGGUUUUGAACGAUUCAGCCUAUCGAAGACUGACACUCGAAUAGGAGGUUGAGGCUCCUCUUGAUCUUGUUCAAUCCUCAAGCUGAUGUGUCGAGUGCUAGCAUUUUUUGCUUUACUUGAAAUCUUCACGGGUGCAUUUGGUGUGAAGCCAAGUCUAGCUCUGUUGUUGUCAACUCCGUAAUCAUGCUUUUCCAACUUCUUCUGAGUCUCGGUGAAGUCAUGAUCUUUGUCGUUGAUGGUGUUUGAAACCUUCUUCUCAAGAUUUGAAGAGGAAGCAAAGUCGUACCCAGCCUUUAACAUGAGUUCGUAGGCGUUUGGGUUGAGACCUUCUUCGGUCCUCUUAGUUGGAAUGAAGCUUGGGUUCGCUUUGACGCCAUGAUGCGCCUCCAGACGGUUGAUAAGUCCAACGGUUUGCAAGUUUUUCUCCUCCGCAGUCUUUAUCAGCCUUGCAAUUGUUUCCUUCAUCUGAACUAGUUGUUCUUCAAUAGAGGUAGCGCCGAUGGUCAUGACUUGUUCUUUGUUUGAAGCCAUGAAGUGUGCUUGAAUUUCUUGAACAGAGAAAGAGAUGAGAGGUAGAGAUUGUCCCACUGGGCGUGCCAAUUUGUGAACACGGAAAAUUCCCGAAACGAAAGAGACAAGAACAACGUGCACAAACAAAUAUUUUGUAUUUGAUGAUUAUUUUGGGUUACAAUCUCUCUCUAAUUUGAUCCUCUGAUUCGAUCUCCGUAAGGUAUUGGUUUGUGGAUGUGCGAUUGAUCCAAGGGCCGUCGAGGCUUGAUCUUGGAUGAACGGAUCUUCAAGGGCUUUUGGGCUUAAUCUUGAAGAAUAGUGAUGAACGGGUCUUCAAGGGCUUUUGGGCUUGAUCUUGAAGGAUGGUUGGAUGUGUGGAUUUGUCGACGUUGUUGAUCCAAAGGGCCGUUGGGGCUUGAUCUUAGGAUGAACGGAUGAUGAACGAAUAACACUUUCUUCAAGGGCCGUCGGGGCUUGAUCUUGAAUUGGUGAAAGUUCUUCAAGGGCCGUCGGGACUUGAUCUUGAAGGUAGAUGAUUGUUGAUCCAAGGGCCGUCGGGGCUUGAUCUUGGAAGAACGAUGAACGAAGAACGAAGAAGGCUUUCUUGGUUCUUCGGGAACCUGGAUGCUUGAGAGCUUCGGAGUUUCAGAGCUUCAGAGCUUCAAGGUGUAAUAUGAAUUUGGUUCCCCUAAAUGAAUGAAAUUGGCUUCUAUUUAUAGAAUUUUUCAAGGCCUAAUUUUGAAUAUAAUAUUCCAGAUGAAAUAAGUCGUUUCUGCCAAGUGUUGACACGUGUCUUAUUUGAUGACUUUUCCGACUCAUUUCAAUUUUUCGUCGAGUCACACACUACGUGUAAAAUUUAUGUAAUACAUGAGCGUUGAAACUUUGAUUUAUCAGUCAACAUUUAUUUACCAAAAUUUCGAUGUCUACAGUUAAAUGAUUUGGCUGUGUGCAUUGUUUCAGGACAAUUUGUUCUUCGUUUUUUGGGGCUUCUGUGCGUAGCUUUGAAGUCCUUUGUAGUCAACAUAAAUAAUUUUAUUUUUCUUUGUUUUUAGUCUUCUAUGUAAGAAUUUCUUAGUUAAUAUUCUGAGAAUUAUGUUUACUAUAGUAUGAAAAUUGAAUCUUUGUGAUCUUCGAAGUGUAACGUCAUUGCAACAUGGACGACUGCCAUUAUCGAACAUGAAAAACAUUUUGAUUUCUGUACUCCGUCUAGUAGAAAACUCUCGACUUCUUCAGAAACCACGAGAAACUUAAAACUGAGAAAGCUUCGCGGUCUCCCUUCCAUCUCUGCUACGCGGUCUCUGCUUUGCGAUCUCUGCUUCCUUCGUGAUUUCUUCCUUCCUGAACGACAUCUAUUCGAAUUGAAAACCUUCUGGAGCUCUCUUCCCCAAAUUUCAGCAGCAACUUUGCUCCAGAUCUUUCCAAUUGAAAUUCCUCUCCUUCACAUUUUGCAUAUUGAAUUUCGCAUCAUCAUCAUCUCCCUAGAACCUAGGAGUUCGGUUCGGUUUCGAGUUUUCCGACGGAAAUCCGGCGACAGCGGCCAUCGAGGUUGGUCUGAAACUAUUCCUCAUCACCACAGGUACUUUCUACACCUAUUACAUUUUAGAAAAAGUUUCAUGACUUUGUGGAAUCCAAUUUAACGAUUAGAAAAAUUUUCAUUAAUUUUCUGGGUUCGUGAGUUGGAGGGGGAUUAGAAAUUUUUUCAUUAUUUUUCUGGGUUUGUGGUUUUUUUUUUCCAAAACGUUUUUCCUUUCUACUAAUCCAAGUUCCUUCACAUCAAUCUCUCUGUUUUGUUCUUGAUCUUCCUCGAGUAGAAUACCUCUUCUUGCUCUGGAGCGCGUGGGCAGUCUCUCUAAGGCAGCCCAUGACGUCAUUUUCCGAUUCGACUCGGAGGAGGUUGGCUGCUCUUCUUGGCUGAGCUUCAUGGCUGGCCGAAUUCCCCUAUUCCCUUCCUCUUAUACUUUUUUAUAUUCGUUCACCAAAACAAUAGGAAAACGUCUCCGUCUGUUUGAUUGACGGCGAAAAAAAAAAAGACGGAGAAUAAAAGCCUGACGGAAGCUGAAAGCUUGGACUCUGUUUGUAUUUUUAAUGGAUUUUCAGAACACAGGUCAAGAAUAUUGCGAUUUGAGAAAAAAAGAAAGAACCACGUUGACAUAAUAUAUUCACAAUAGGUGUACAAGGUUCAUAAAGCUUUACUGUGGUUCCAUUUUUUGUUAAUGGAAUUAGCCUUUUGUUUUAGGAAGAACUUGGAACCCCCUCCGUCCAUUCUAUCCCCAAUGGAAUUAACACUUAGAUAGUACUAUGACAAUGUGUCAUUAUUUGAUGCAUACCUGUAUAAAUUUAGGCUAAGUGUUUUAUACACAAAUUGAUACAGAUUAACUAUACAAUGAUAACUAUAUACCGGAGAGCUAACUAUACAAUGAUACAUUCUUAUCUGUUAAUUAUCUUUGGUUACCAGCUAUCCAUGUUGCUGUCAUAUUAAACUACACAACAUCAGUUGUAAUUUAUGUCUUAUUAGUAUCAUCAUUUUUGUUCAUUAUUUCAAUGUCUAACAUAACUCCGCCUAUGUCUUACAUGGCCGGUCCCAAGCCCGGAUAAAGGAGGAGGGGGAGGGCGUCAGGUAGUCGACAGCCGGCACUCCAUGAUCACGUCGAAUCCUUAUGAAAAUGAAUCCAGAACAAAACCCCACUUAGUGGGAAAAGGCUUUGUUGUUGUUGUAUUUCAAUGUCUAACAUGAUGAUCUGGUUUCAAUUUGCUACAGGCAUUAUUUCCAGACAAUAGCUAUGGUUUUGAUUGUAGCGGUGACUGAAAAAUUAUUCCGAAACUAACAUUUGAGGAAUUCAAGGUUUGUUAGUUAAUUUGUACAUCAGAAUACCAUGACAAACUAUGAAGUUGUAAUUGUUGACCUUACAAUGUAUCUUUUUUGGUUUGGAGCAUUAGACUUAUAUGUGUUGCUUUCACCUCAUGAAGGCUAACUCUUUAUUUUAGGCCGUAAGAGUAUAAUUUCUUGGAGAAUCUACAUUGUUGAUAAUUUUUUGAACAAUAUUAUCCCCAAAAUUUCUCCGCAUGUUACCCUCAACGUAGACAUCAUAUAACCAUCAUUGAACUUCUGAACCAAAAAUUUGAGUUUUAUGAUUAUAACUAAACGUCUAUAAACACAUGAUACAGAUUGAGACGAAUGUCAAAUUUAAAAUGGCAUUAAUACAGCUGCAAACUCUGAUUUGCGGGAUUUGAAAUGGAGCAGUUACUUCUUGCUUCACUUCAGCAGCAUAGUCCAGCUUCUAAAUUCAGUUCUCAGGUAUGAGGUUUCUCAGUUACCUCUUUUUUGUAAUAAAACAUUUGAUCAGUACUUGCCAGGAUAUCCAAUUAAUUAGGUCAGUUUUUGUUAGCAGUAAUAAUUUGUUUUUGCAGCUUUAUAUGUGUCUCUGUCUCCAAAUAUGAUGAUCUCUUAAUUUGCUUCUAUAGCUUUUGUAAUAUAAUGAUCUCUUAAUUUUCUUUUGCAUAUCUUCUUUGCUUCCUCUGCUAGCUCUAUAUGAGAUUCCAUCUCCAAAUAAUUAUUCCUUAUUUCCUAUUUUUACCAGAAGCAAAUCAUUGAAUACACAUGGUAAAUUAAAAGGGUUUUAGUUUUUGGAGUAGUUUAAAUUUUUUGUUUGUUAUUGCUUGUAUUGCUGUUAAAUAUUUGAUGGGUAGUUUGAAAUGGGGAACUUGGUUGAUUGAGUAUUAACUUUUAUUAAAUUAAUAUUCUUAUUCAAUAUUGAAUUAAGACUCCUCUUAUUAAAUUAAGACUCUUAAGGCUCUAAUCUAAUGUUCAUGCUCAAUAUCUCCUCUAUCUUUCUACAAUUGGUAAAACUUUUGUAUUAUUAUUCCAAUUUUGGUUACUGGGUUGUGGAAUUUUCCAUUUUUUUUCUGGGUAAUCAAUACUAUAUAUAUGCAUGACAAGUAUAAACAAUAUUUUGGGGCAAAUUUAGUUGUUUAAUUUUUAAUUUUUAUGUGACAGUGAGAUUAUGGUAGGAUUUCGUUUAGAUUCUGCGGCCCAAUGGGAGUCUCUGCUUUGAUAAGAUUGGGGUUGAUGCCAAGAAAGCCAAUAAGCCUACUGUGGACGCCGUAGCCGCCUGGCGCUGUUUUCCAAAAUCCUCUCUCACUUGGUUAAGCAAUUAAGACUUUUUGGUUCAGUUUUUAUUAUGCCCAAUUUUGUAUUUAAACCUUAAAAAAAUUUAAACUGAUAUGGGGAUACUGAAAUAGGCUGCAGAGCUGCCAUCCCUGAAUCAGAAGAUGUUCAGAAGGAAGAAGAAGAACAAGAAGAAAGUCGUGGAAUAUCAAAAGCUUUUAGCUUUGUGAAGGUAUGCUUUUUCCCAACUCACCUCUUGCUUUUGUUGCACUGAAUUGGUAGAUUGGGUUCAAAAAUAUAUAUAUGUGAUUUUUCGUGUAACUAUUUCUUUACAUAAUUACCAAUUGGAGGUGAUUUGAGAUCAUGUAACAUUUCCUCGCUAGAACCGAAGAUUGCCGUCGCUCAGAGCUGCGUUUCAUGAAACAAGUUCAUCUCCUGCCAAUUUUGUGUACCCACCUUUUAUUCAUGAGGGUUGGUGCUUGCUUGCAACACAAUUUGGUGCUAUUAAGUUUUGCGGUUUUACAAUUUGUUCAUGCUUAAACCUCUUUCAAAUUUUCAUUUCUAUGUAAAUCUUGCAGGUAGGACGACACACCUAUCUUGGCAAUGUCGGGAUGUCUAGGCUUGGGUGGAGACGUGGUCUUAUGGAAGAGGUGAAGUAGCUUAGCUCGAUCUCAUUAGCUCUUAUCUGUUCUAUUAUGCUAAGAUCAAUAGUAAAAAGUUCUAUUGAUUUUAUAAUCAAAGAUACAUAUAUUAUAGAAACAGAGGGUAUAUAAUUAAUUUCUUGAUGUAAACAAUUAUAACUUGAGGAACCAUUUAAAGUAUUUUGGUAAUCAGCAUACUUAAACUUAAAUGUGAUAUAUCCGUUUAGUAUUUUUUUUAUACAGUGAUAAUACUUAAGUAUAAUUUACAUCAUAUAUCUUUUGAAGUACAUGAAACUAUGAAGAAAAUGAUAAACCAAAUCCCAUUCCAUCUCUGUUUGCUACUGCACAAUCACAAUCCAAUUCCAACAUGGAAUCCUCAGACGACAUGCCUACUGCAGAACAAGUUUCAUCCUGACUUAACUUAUAUUUAGUCCACGUCCUGUUUAGAUUGUAAUCCUAGUUCUACGUGUGUUUGUAUAGUACUCCUAUAAAUAUCAAUGAACAUCGCUCACUCUAAUUAAGAGUUGAGAUUCUGCAAAUCAUAUUUACUAUCUUUCAUGGUAUCACGAGCCAGCGUCUAACGACAACGGUUCCUAUUAUAAUUUUUUUCUCUUUUGCAGAUCCUAAACUAUGGCAUCUUCUUCCUCCUCCGCUGCUCCCUCCAUCACAAAUUUUCUUACGAUCAAGCUCGACCGCAACAACUACCCUCUUUGGCAUGCUCAGUUUCUUCCCUUGCUGCGCAGCCGCAACUUACUCUCUUAUGUUACUGGCGAAACUCAAUGCCCCUCUUUCUUCUUGAUGACAAUGGUAAAUUCACCGAUAAAGUCAAUCCAUUAUAUAAUGAAUGGAUCCAGACUGACCAGAUGAUCCUAUCUUGGAUUACGAGUUCUCUUACUCCCAAGGUUCUUGCUACGAUCGUCAACAAAAUUGAUUCGGCCUCUGCUUGGUCGUCAAACUCGAAUUAAUCUGAUUGUGAGGGUUUUGUUUUAUAUCAAUAUAUUGCAACAGAAGUCACACUUUGAAGAGUUCAUGCUGCACAGAAAGAUGAUGAAAUGCUACCCGUUGAGUCUAUCAUUGCUCCAUUGGAGACAGAGCUGAAGCUUACUGCAGGAGUUAUACAUUUGUUAUGCAAUAUGACCCCUUUAAUUUUAUUUUAAAACUGAUACAAAAAUACUACAAAAAUUUAUGUAGUAUUUUUGUAUCAGUUUUGAGUGUCUAUUUUGGCUUCCAUAUAUCGUCUGUACAUGUGAGAGGUAUAGUGUUCAAUAUGUAUUUGGUUUCUAUAUUGUUAAUGGAUCCUUUUUUUUUUUUUAAUUUUAAUAUAAUUUUAUUAAGGUAACCAAGUUGCAGGAUGACAUCAGAACACUUGAUCUGCAGGUAAACCUUCAAUUUCCAUAUGAAGUUUGCAUGUUCGUUGUUUCUGGAAUUUGAGUUUUUAUUAUUUCUCAAUUCUAUCACAUAGAUUACGAUUUCACAUAUGUGAUUAUUAAUGGCAAUUAUAUGAUAGAAGAAUUGGGAUUGGAAGAAGAUAUUGAGUUGUUUAUUUAUGGGGAUUAGAAAAUGAUUAUCAUACAAGUGAUAUUUAUUUUUGUGUGGAUUGUUAAUAUAUAAAACUAUAAGCUUUUGAGAUUGGGAGAUAAAACCCACAAAUUCAAAUCAGACAAAAUAAAUAAAAAAUUUAACUGACUUAAAGAUCAAACUCCAAAAGGGUAUUAAAAACAAGGCUUAUUUGAUCCAUUGAGUGUGAAAGUUUUGAGCUUUGAAGAAGCAUAGGAGGAGAGUUGUUAACCAAGCUGCAUUAUCCAUGUAUUAGGAUGUUGAGGGUAGGCAGGAAAAAUACUUUUUGACGCCAUAUCCAGAGGAGCAUAACGACAGGCCUGCAUUUUUGCAGCAAGGACCAAAACAAGUAGAAGUGAAGGCUUGACUGUUUGGGUAUUAAUCCUAAACCUAAUUAUUCUUAUUUAGGUUUAGGAUAAAUGAUUGAGUGUGUCUCGAUGAUUGUAUUACCAUGUUUGAUGAAUGACUUGAGGAGUUGGAAAUGGUUUAUUGCUUAUGUUUUUCUUAGGUGUGUACUUUGGUUAUUUCCGAGCUUUUCACGACUCUUGAUACCUAAUAGAGAAAAUGGAAACCCCAACUUUAAUUUUAUGAAUUGGUUUUGGUGCCUAAAAUGAAAUCUAGCAUAGUGAAAUCUUGCAUAAUGAAAUUAUGACAAAUUUCCCUUCAUCUUUAGAUUUUCAUUUAGUUCAAUUUGUAUGCAAUUUAGGGUUAUUCAAUUCAUGAGUGAUCAAAUUAUGUUUUUAAUUCCUUCUUCUUUUGAUUUACAGUUCAACAUUGUCGUACAAAAUGAAAAAGGUGCCAGUAACAUAGUUAUGGAUUUGGAUGCCUUUAGCGGAAUAAAACUGAAUUUUUUAACUUUGUAUAGUUGUAAACAUAAAAUACUCCAUCAGAUAGACUCAUAGCAUUUGAAAACAAUCCUUGAGGAUGGCAUAACAACAUCUCCAACUUUUGUCAUGUAAUGUAUGAAUGUAAAUAGCACUUUGUAAACAUAUGGAUGUAAUAUAUGUAUAUAAACAGUCUUUAGCAUGUAUAUUUUUCAAAACUUUCUACAUCUUCAACAAUGUUUCAAUGAUUUCUUGAUGUAAACAAUGAUAAUUUGAAGAACCAUUUAAAGUUUUCGGUAAUCAGCAUACUUAAGCUUAAAUGUGAUAUAUCCGUUUAGUAUUUUUUAUACAGUGAUAAUACUCAAGUAUAAUUUACAUCAUAUAUCUUUUGAAGUACAUGAAACUAUGAAGAAAAAACCCUAAUUAAUCUGAUUAUGGGGGUUUUGUUUUAUAUCAAAAUAUUGCAGCAGAAGUCACACUUUGAAGAGUUCACGCUGCACAGAAAGACGAUGAAAUGCUAUCUGUUGAGUCCAUCAUUGCUCCAUUGGAGACAGAGCUGAAGCUUGCUGCAGGUGGUAUACUUUUGUUCUGCAAUAUGACCCCUUUAAUUUUAUUUUAAGACAGAUAGGGUUGAAAAGAAUUUAUGUAGUAUUUUUGUAUCAGUUUUGAAUGUCUAUUUUGACUUCCAUAUUUGGUCUGUACAUGUGAGGUAUAGAGUGUUCAAUAUGUAUUUGGUUUCUAUAUUGUUAAUGGAUCUUUUUUUUUUGUUUUUUAGGUAACCAAGUUGCAGGAUGAAAACAAAACACUUGAUCAGCAGGUAAACCUUCAAUUUCCAUAUGAAGUUUGCAUUUUUGUUGUUUCUGGAAUUUGAGUUUUUUGCAGGAUGAAAACAGAACACUUAAUCUGCAGGUAAACACUUGAUUUGUUAUUUCCAAGCUUUUCACGACUUUCGAUACCCAAUAGAGAAUAUGGAAACCCCAACUUUAAUUUUAUGAAUUUGUUUUGGUGCCUAAAAUGAAAUCUAGCAUAGUGAAAUCUUGCAUAAUGAAAUUAUGACAAAUUUCCCUUCAUCUUUACAUUUUCAUUUAGUUCAAAUCGUAUGGUUUAGGGUUAUUCAAUUCAUGAGUGAUCAAAUUAGGUUUUUAAUUCCUUCUUCUUUUGAUUUUCAGUUCAGCAUUGUCGUAUUUUGGAUGCCUUUAGUGGAAUAAAACUGAAUUUUUUUAACUUUGUAUAGUUGUAAACAUAAAAUACUCCAUGAGAUAGACUCAUAACUUUUGAAAACAAUCUUUGAGGAGGGCAUAACAACAUCUCCAACUUUUGUCAUGUAAUGUAUGAAUGUAAAUAGCACUUUGUAAACAUAUGUAUGUAAUAUAUGUAUAUAAACACCACUCUUUAGCAUAUAUAUUUUUCAAAACUUUCUACAUCUUCAACAAUGUUUCAAGCCCCGCGGCAACGGGCGGGUACACUUGCUAGUAUACAUCUAAAAUUAUAAGACUAAAUCCUUUAGUUCUUGGAUUCAUCUAAGAACUACUUAUUCCAGCAGAUGCUAUGCUUGCACUACUAGAAUUUAUGGCUUGCCCUGUCAACUAUUGCGCGACAGAAGAUUUCGUCGGUUUCACCUUUUUUAACCGACAGAAUAUAAGUUUAGUAGGGCAAAAUCAGUCAACAAACUGGGUUGAUUGAAUAAAUUUACAGGAUGGCUAGAGUUCGUAGGUUAAGACAUCGGUCGUUGGGCAAACAUUUGGAGCGAAGAUGUGAGUGUUUUAACUGACGAAUAAGCUGGUCGUCAUGUAGAUCUUCUUUCCCGACGGACGGUUCAACAGGUAGCUCUUUGGAUAAUAAUUCAUCUUCAAGGGGAACAGGUUGCCCCUCAGAUGAAUGGUUAGAGGCAAUUGUGAGACUAUAAUUUUCUAGGGCCGGAAUAAAAAAUACAUAAACCCUCACCUAUUCUGUCUCUGUAACCAUCCACCAAAUACCCAUUUUUCCCUUUCUAUUUCUCUCCUAGUAAUUUCCCCUGACCGAAUCACACAAUCCAACCAACUCUCUUUAAGCCUCCCUCACUGAUUCCAUGGAUUUCAUGGACUUAUCCCACCCUCUCUCCUUCCUUCUAUAUAUAGCAAGUCCCCUUGCCUCAGUGUCCCUGGCAACAGAAUUUAUGGCGUUUCUUCGUUCUUUCAAUUAUUUGAAAGCUUCCCUGCCCUGCAAUCUUGUAUAAAGGCGUAUGGUGUUUCAUCAGUUCCAUUUGGUGGUCGGGUGGGAAAUGAAAUUAAAACACUGCAUUUCAAAUGCAUUUCAAAUGGUCUAAACCAAAUUGAAUCAAAUGUGAAGCAAAGGGCAAGAGGUGUAGAUUGAAGAACAAUGGCACCAAGAGCGAAAUUGAACUUGUUGACAGGAGGAAACCAAGUAAGGAUAACACGUCUAAAUCUUAUUUUGAAUCCAUUCAGCUCAUGAUGUUUUGAAUGAUGAUGAUCGGUAUACUCUGCUACAUGCUGUGAUUUUUCCGCUUUCAUGUAAUUAACGGCUUAUAUUUGUGGUAACCAUAUUGAUUAAAAAAGGUCGUACCCAGUGCACAAGGCUCCCGCUUUACGCAGGGUCUGAAAGGUGAAUGUCGGCUAGCCUUACCCCCAUUUUAUGGAGAGGCUGCUCCAAAGUCUCAAACCCAAGACCUACCGCUCAUGGGCGAAGACACUUGCCAUCGCACCAAGUGCGAUAUUGAUUAAUUUCGAGAAAUGACAGUCUAAUUUUUGCAACUGUCUUUUGCAGGCAAAACAAAGACGUUUGCAAGGGUGAGUUGUGUAGGAGCUUUGUUUCAUGUCCAAAGGACACUUGAGAAUAAAUGUUUACACUCAUGGAUAAUAUCUAUCUAUUUGCAGGAGUAACCCUGGGUUCAUUUGUUCUGUAACUGCUGGUCAUUGCGGCAUAUCACGCCUAUAGCACUGACAAAAGUAAAAAGAGAAUCGAAUGAAAUUUGAUAAGUUUUCAGCGGACUACAAAGAUCUUAAGCCAAGCAUAUAUUCCCAUGCAGAUAUUAAGAGGUUUACAAAUCAAUUCAAGUACAAGUUGGGCCAAGGAGCAUACGGAACUAUUUUUAAAGGAAUGCUUUUUUCUGAAUGCUUUGUUGCCAUGAAGUACUUAACAAUGGGCCAUAUUCACCAUGUCAAUGUGGUUCACUUGGUUGGUUUUUGUGCUGAUGGAUUUAGAUGAGCUCUGGUUUAUGAGUUCUUUUCCUUUGGUUCACUCCAGGAUUAUAUUUCAUCAGUAGAUAGAUUUCUUUCCUUGGUUGGCAUAAGUUACAAGAUAUUGCUAUCAGCAUAGCCAAAGGAACCAAGGAUGUGAUCUACAAAUCCUCCAUUUCGAUAUCAAACCCCAUAAUGUUUUGCUCAACCAAAAAAUCACGCCAAAAAUCUCUGAUUUUGGUCUGGCCAAGUUAUGUUCCAAGGAUCAAUCGGCGUGACUAAAGCAAGGGGGACUAUGUGACUAAAGCACCCGAAGUGUUUUCCAGGAAUUUCGGAAAUGUGUCUUACAAGGCAGAUGUCUUGAAUGCUGCUGCUUGAGAUGGUAGGAGAAAAGAAGAAUAUUGGUUCAACCAGAGGACACGACAAAUGAAAUCUACUAUCCAAAAUGGAUUUAUAAUCUUCUAGAGGAAGGAAAUGACCAACAGAUCCCUAUUGAGGAAGAAUGUUAUGGUAAGAUUCCAAAGCAACUUGCAAGUUUAGGGCUCUGGUGCAGCCAGUGACACUCAGUGGAUCGGCGGUCCAUGAAAACGGUGGUUCGGAUGUUAGGAGGAGGAGAAAACUUGAUGAUGCAAGCAACCCUAAAAGCCUCAUACAGUUAGAAGCAAUUGCUGAAUUAGAGUAACAUACGUAUAUGUAUACGCACCAACACAAGUCGUUCUUAGAUGAAUCCAAGCCAAACAAUUACAGACAAUAGUUAUUCACUAAAUCACUUUAAGGCAAGAAUUUAAUUAAUAAUACAUUACUGCACUUUCUUAACCAUUUGACUAUCACCUAGCUGACAAUGAACACGUUAGCUCCGCGUUAGAACAUCUUGGGUUCAAUUCAUUGUCUUGAAUAUCACCCACUGUCACAGGCGUCUUUUGGGGGCAUAGAGAAGGCCUGAGAGGCAUUUGCAGACAUUCAACAUCUCCUCCAAGCAUUUUGACAACUUUGGACAUCGAAGGGCGAUCACUUGGUUUCAUUUGAAUACACCACAAGGCGGUUAUAACCAUCUUUCUUAUUACUUUCUUUUCCUCCUCUGUAACAUUGUCCAUUUCCAAGUCAUUUCCUACAAUAUACUGAUCGUAUACCCACAUUGGGAAGUAGAUUUGGCUUGAAUGCUCUACCGUUGGAUUCAAAUUCCUCCUUCUGCUUGCCAUUUCCAUCAACAACAUUCCAAAACUAUAGACAUCUGACUUAUAUGAGACGCCUCCAAUAUUUUUGUAGAACAACUCAGGAGCAAUAUAUCCCAGUGUACCCCGUGCUGCUGUCAAAGAGACAAUGCUAUUAUCUACAUGAUACAAUUUUGCAAGCCCAAAGUCAGAAACCUUUGCUUUAAAGUUCUCAUCAAGAAGGAUGUUAUGAGGCUUGAUGUCGAAAUGUAGAAUUUGCAUUUCGCAACCUUGGUGUAGAUAUUCGAUCCCUUGAGCCACUCCAAGAGAAAUCUCGUACAUGUUCUUGAUAGUUAAGGGGACACUUCCUUCUUUGGAAUAAAUGUAUUUAUCAAGAGAACCAUUAGGCAUGAAGUCAUAGACUAGAGCGCGUUUUGAUCCCUCAACAUAGUAUCCAACAAGUUGCACCACAUUGGCAUGGUGAAUCCUUCCGAUUGUAGCUAAUUCGCUAAUGAAAUCUUGGCCAUCAGCUUUGGGCUUGGCCAAAACUUUAACUGCUACAAAUCGACCACUGCGUAGCUUUCCCUUAAAUACAGAGCCAAAGCCACCUUUGCCCAACUUGUCCUUAAACUUGCGAGUCAUUUUCUUGACGUCCGAGUAAGAGUACCUUAUAGGCAUGAAGUUGUUAUUGCAUUGCAGAAAAUCUUCUAUUGUGCUAUACAUUGAUAAAUGUCUUCUGCGCCAUGUGUAGAUUAGAAAUGCAGUCACAAUUGGAACUCCAAAAACAAAUCUGGCUAGGAAAAAUAACCCUACAUGCAUUGACAUUAAUAUGUUAGAUCCACUGCGUACUACUUUUUCUUCCCUUUCUUUCCAAAUUACUUUGUCUUUGAUGUAAUUAAAGAGAGAAUGGGAAAUGUACAUAUGUUGAUAAUACAAUCUCGUCUUAGUCCUUACCGAUGCAUAUGAGUAUAAACCAUACACGUACUGCAACAAAAUCAAUCGACUAUGAGUUUGAAAAGUGCAUAAAGUGAAAAAAAAAUAAAAAAAAUCAAAGGGUGCCUUUAUUGACAUCCAAAUUUUAGUUAGUUUUACUCAACUAAAAAAUUUUUGUCAUCAAACUUUUUAAUUUGCCGUCGAAAUUGAGUUCACCCAACCCACAAAGCAGCAACUACCACUCACCAAAAAAACCAACAACACACAGCCACCAGUACCAUUCACCAAUAGAAAGAGAAGGAACACACAGACCCACCAAGGAGCCGGCAUCGACGCGUCUACGAGGGAGGGACCGGAGGGUGGUGUAGUUUUGUUGGGCGCGCGGUAGUGGUUUUGUCUGUUCAUUUUCUCUUUGUUUUGGUAGGUGGAGGCUGGUGUGGAUUUGGGCGAACUUAAAAAUGAGGGGAAACUAUGAAGUUUGACAAAAUGUUUUAGUUAGGUGAACUUCACUAAAAUUUGGGUGCCGAUAAAGAUACCCAAAAUCAAAAGACUAGAUGGACUAAUUAAAUGAAGCUCUUACCCAUAUAUAACGAUGGACGCAACUUGCCAGCUGCUGCAGUACAUACCACGGAAAAGUGAGCAAAGACAUACAGUUACUAGGUUUAAGAAGUACAGAUAGAGCACACAAAAAAUAAAAGAAGCUUUUGGGAAGAAACUUCUUACGCAAAUAGAUUUUUUUCAUGACCUACAGUAAAAAAAUGUCAAGAAGAAUACACAACAUUAGCAAUAGCUCACCCAGUCUUCAAAAUUUAAAAAAUCAAGUUUGUCGAUCGAAAACUUGUAAAUAAAACAAAAAGAGGACCCCUUACCGAUUUGUUGCCAUAGAUAUUGAAAGAAACCUACAAGAACAAAGAAAGAACAAGACCACAUGCAUUAGAAUAACAAGUGUGAGGUGUAUAAGCCGUUAGAAAAUAAAUUUAAAAUUCUAGUGCUGUCAAUACAUUGAUAAUAUAUAUAUAUAUAUAUAUAUAUAUAUAUAUAUGUAUGUAUGUAUUAUUUUUUCUGAAAAUUUAACUUUUCCCGUCCAAACUCAUUUUUCUAGUCUCUAGCCCAACAUAUAAUAUUUAUCUGAAUAAAACCAAAUGAUUAGGAUCCAACUAAGAAACUUACCAAAUUAAGUUUGUGUGUCCAUUUUUAUAUUUUUUGGAUCCCUAAUAUACCCCAUCUAAGCCAGUAUGGAAAGGUCUUGUAAUUUUGCUUUAAGUGAUUACGUGCAUUGAAUUUGGCAAGGUCUUAUAGCCAUGAAAUAUGGUUCUAGAUGGAGGAAUUAAUUUGGAAUUUUUUUUAAUUUCGACAACAAAUUUCAAUUUGAAUAUACCUAAUUUAGUGUUUAUUUUCAACAAUAAAUGUGCCUACUUUUUAAAUUUGUAACAAAAUUAAUUUACCUACUUUUUAUGGUAUUAGUGACACACCCUGUCCCGAAGGAGGGCAUGCUGGCCGUCACGAGAGAGUGACGUAACCAUUUGCACAGUACGGAAGCUUUAAGAUACAAUUUAUAAGUUGAUACACCCGAAGGUGAGUCCUAAUUUUUGUCCAAUCUGUCAGAACACCGUCAAAUUCCUCGUAGUCACCACACCUUUGUGAUUCCUGAACCUGGAGGGGCGCAAAACCAAAAUUGAGUGGGUCAGUAAAACAAUUCUUUUCCAAAUCCAAACAUUUCUCAAAACGUUGUAACCCUCUCCGUAAAACUUGUAUACUUUCCCAGAAAUGUAAAAUAUAAAUAUACAUAUAUAUUCUCAAACUUCAUUUUUACUAUCUCAACAUUUUUCUUUAUCAAACAUGCCAUGCCAUGUCUAAUUCAACAGUUAAGUAUGGAUGCAUCAACAAUAAUCAUAUCAGGUGCAAGAAAGUAAUCAACCGGAGGCCCUCUAAUAGCCCUGUACGGUUGAACCUAGAGCUCAAAAUCUAUCACUCUCACUCUGCCGGGAGUCACCUCUGUGACCUGUCCGGCCUUCUGCACACAAGUUACGCUCUAGUGCUUUCUCAUCAAUCAUCUGUGCACAUAAUCUAAGGUCACCCACCAGUCGAAAUCUCACUAACACUCUUCGACUGGCCCGUCGCACCCACUCCGCGUGGACUGUGCGACCAGCAUCUACUUGGAUCCAAGGCGAGCGUGCGAUGCGGUGAAUACUAUAAGCACUAAACCAUGGUGCAGGAUUUGAGCUCAAUAUAUAUCAACAUCAUCAUAACAGUACUUAAAUACUCACCUGAUACUCACCUGUGCGUCCGCCGCACCAAUUCAUACAUAUGCAUCAUAUUUCAAUUCAUAUCAUUUCAUGCAUGGCAAUUCGAUUCACAUUUCUAUAUACAUUUCAUAUACUUCUAUGCAUGACCUUUCAAUUCACGUUUUCAUAUAAUUCUAUAUACCUUUCAUUUAAAACAUAAUUUCAUUCUAAUUCAAUUUCUGGGAAAACGUCAAGUAUAUAUAUACGGAAAACAAAACUGCCCACUCACCUGGAGUUCGUCCAACAACUCCCUAGCACCACACAUCAAGGCGUCAUGACGAUCGCCGUCUAGAACAGUAAUCAAAUCCAGCCUCAGAAUUCAUAUCGAUAGAACAUAUAACUUAUAUAAAAUAUGUCACUACGUAGAUCGAUCCGGAAGAUCUGCCACUCAGAUUUUAAAUCCAUAACUUCCAGAGGUCCACAAUAUAUCUCUAGGAUAACAUCCUAAAAUUUCAUUACCAUCCAACGGUCGGAUCUCCGUCAAUUUCCAAAACUAAGUGACGGUUAACAUUUUAUUUUAUGAACUUACAAUUCUAAUUCCGGAAGAUCCGUAACUCGGAUUCCCAAUCCGUAAGUUCCAAUAAUCCUCAAAUAUUACGUAUUACAACGUAUCAAAGUUUGGUAACGAUCCAACGGUCGGAUCAUCAAUUCACAUUUUCACCUAAUGCGAAAACUAUAAAACGUUAUUCGAACACCUAACCAACAAUCCUUAAUAACUUUCUCAUACGGUGUUCAAUUUGGGUAUAUGAAUAUACCACAGUGAUCUACUCAUUAAAAUAAUUUUUUACUGUAGCACGCGCCCCCACGCGCCAAGGAAGGCACGGACCUACGCGCCCCCACGCGCACCUUCUUCUUCCUUGGGUCGCCGGACUGGUUUUUCCGGCGGCCGUUUUUCAAAUUGCCAUAACUUUGUCAUUUCUCAACGAAAUCAAGUGAUUCAAAAACGAAAGUUGUAGCCCUUGAAGAGACAAAGAGAAUGGUACCUUGCACAACACCUAGUUCGCCGUGGUUUGGCCGGAAACUGCUUCGAAAGCCUCGGAGGUCGCCAGAAACUGGGUAUUUUUCAAAUCAGUAUAACUUCUUCAAUACUCAACGAAAUUGAGUGAAACAAAAAGGAAAGUUGUAGUACUUGACGAGACGAAGAGAUUGAUACCUACCUCGACUCCUAACUCACCGGAUAUUCGCCGGAAAAUGCCUCGAAAGCUCCGGCCAAACUUUGAACUUGUCGAUCUCCGUGUUCUUACAUCCAAAAACUUCCAACGAAGCACUCCGAGCUUCCUUGGGACCUCACUAAGCUCGCUAUGAUCUUGUUUUAGCCUAAAACGUAGUCAUUUAGAAGAUCAUGAACAAUACCAUUUCACGGGAACUUUGAAACUAGGGUUUUCCGAAGCAAAACUUACCUGAAAUGGAUACCAUCGUGAUCGUGGAGGUUCCAGGAGUUUGAUGGUGGUCUUAACUCUGUCGUUGGUGGAAGUUUAAGGUUGUUUUGUGGUUGGUUUGUUCGAACGGAGAAGAAGAGUGACAGAGAGAGUGAGAGAGUCGUGAGGGAAGAGAGAGAGAGACAGCAUGCAGAAAAUAGGGAGAGGAUUGAGGGGUGUGGGGAUCCCACGUGGUCCUUUUCCAAUCCCCAACUCCAAACCAUAAAAUUUUAACCUAAAAAUCUAAGUUCAAUCCUUAAUAAAUUCCAUUUUAUUUUCAAAACUUAGGAACCUAGAUAAUUAUCAACUUGAGCUUCACAUACUUAGUAUUUCUUAAGGGCAAUUUCGUUCAUUCACAGCCACGAAUGUAAUAUUUUGGAACGGGCUGUGACAAUUAGUAUACAUAAAUGUAGAAUAUAUGUCCGUAUAUAUUUGAUCCAAUUAGUAUUAGGGAGAAUGACAAGUCAUCCAAGUCUGCUACUGUUAAUAAUUCUGUUACUGUAAAUUAACUGAUUGUAUUAGUUGUGAUUAGUUAAGAUAGUUAUAAAGUAGUUAGGGGUAUCUAUGUAAAUAGCCAAAGGCUAUAUAUAUUCCUACACAAUGUGUAAAGUUCUCAGUCAAGUAAAUACAAUCAAGAAAACUUACUGUUGAAGUUUUCUGUUUCUACAUGGUAUCACGCCAUUCCGCUUCACAGCUUCGAUCUUUCUCUUCGCUUGCUGCAUCGAUCGACUCUUGAUCGAUUUUUCUUCUCUGAUCUUCUCUUCGCUUGCUGCAUCGAUCGACUCAUGAUCGAUUUUUCUUCUCUGAUCGUCACUUCUUCCCUUCCGAUCUUGUAGUAUUUUCUUGAUUUCUGUCAGUAAUGGCGGCUCAAUCGACUGGUUCAUCUUCUCCGGUCAUCUCCCCCUCGAGCCCAAACCCUAAUUUUCUCUGGAAACCCUAAUUCCUCUGGAAAUCCGAGUCCUCUGACUUCCUACACUUCUCUCUCACAAUUCAUAACAUCGGCAGCAUGGUGCCGAUCAAGCUCAAAAGAUCCAAUUACCUACCAUGGCGCGCCCUGUUUGGCCCGAUUUUCCGGCGAUACAAGCUUCUUGGAGUAAUCGAUGGUACUGACGUCUGUCCAUCGCCAUUUCUGCCUGAUCGUAGCAUCAAUCCUGCUUUUGAGGACUGGUAUGAGAAAGAUCAAAAUCUUUUUGAUCUGGUUGAAUUCCACACUUUCUGAGGAAAUCAUCCCGUUCACGGUUGGGGUUUCAUCCUCUCGAGAACUUUGGGUAAAGCUUGAACAGCGCUUUGGUGGAAUUUCAGAGGCUCAUAUCCAUCAGUUGCGAUCGCGCCUUCAAUCUGUUCAGAAAGGAUCGCGUUCUAUCUCUGACUAUCUUCAAGAACUCAAGGAAAUUUCAGAUUCUCUGCAAGCUGCUGGUGCUUCUGUCUCUGAUCGAGAUCUUAUCGCCGCCACACUACAUGGCUUGCCUGAUGAAUUUGAGUCUUUCAUCGACUGUAUCAUGCUCCGAUUGUCCUCUACCUCUCUGAUGAACUUCAUGGCCUCCUUCUCACAAAGGAAUUGUCUAUGGCCAGACGCAAAACUGUCAGUUCAUCUCCUGUCCCUGAAUCUUUUCAGGCUUUCUCGGUGCAGUCUCAGCCUCAUCUCCUUCCUACUCCAUCUGCUUUUGCUGCUCAGAAUCUCCCUCUUCAAUCUGCAUCUCGGUUCAACUCUAAUCGUGGCAGGAACACUAAGGGCCAGUUCUUUUCCAAUCGAGGUCAUCGAGGUAAUCGUGGUAAUUUUCCUAAUAAACCGUGGCAAUCGAGGUUAUCAAGGAUUUCGCAGCAAUCAAGGCUCUUCUCACUUCAAAGUGCUUUGUCAAAUCUGUGGUUCUACCAGUCAUGAGGCUAUUGACUGCUUUGAUCGUAUGAAUCCUGACAUCUUGUGGUCGUAUUCCUCCAGCUAAGCUUGCUGCCAUGUGUGCCACAACAUUCUGCUAAACCAUCUCAGCCUUGGUUAAUUGAUUCAGGGGCAACCUCUCAUAUCACUAAUGAUGUUGCUAACCUCACCUCUCCUACUCCCUACACUGGCGAGGAUUAAAGUGUAUAUUGGAGAUGGUAAAGGUUUAUCCAUCCUCAAUGUUGGUUCAUCUACUCUGCACACCUCUCAUAAUUCUUUUCAAUUGCGAAAUGUUUUACAUGUUCCCCACAUAACCCAUAAUCUUAUCUGCUUAUCAGUUUUGUUAAUGAUAAUAAUUGUUCAUUGACACUUGACCCUUAUGGAUCCUAUGUCAAGGAUCGUAUUUCGGGGAAGAUGCUUUUACGGGGACCGGUUAGAGAUGGCUUCUAUCCUCUUCAAAGUUCCAGCAAUCUUCAUCCUCUUUCACAUACCGCUUUACUUAGUAUUAAAGCUCCAGUUACAAUUUGGCACAAGCGUUUGGGUCACCCUUCCUCCUCCAUUUUUAGAAGGCUCCUUUCAUCCAAUAAUCUUGCUUUACAAGGCAAGUCUACUGUGGACUUUUUCUGUUCGGAUUGUGCUCUUGCCAAGAAUCAUAAGCUUCCAUUUAAAGCUGCUACUUCAUCAUCAACUCACAGCCUUCAACUACUGCACUGUGAUCUGUGGGGACCUGCCUCAAUCACAUCAAGUAGUGGUUUUCAAUAUUAUUUGCUCAUUGUUGAUGACUAUAGCAAAUAUAGUUGGUUCUUUCCUUUGAAAUCUAAGUCAGAUGUAUUUUCUACAUUUGUUGUCUUCAAAUCAUAUGUAGAAAAUUCACUUGGAAAUAAAAUAAAGGUUCUGCGUUCAGAUUCAGGGGGUGAAUUUACUAGUCACUCUUUUGCAUCAUAUCUCAGCAAACAUGGCAUUCUUCAUCAGUUCAGUUGUCCCCACACCCCUGAGCAAAAUGGUUGUGCAGAAAGAAAGCACAGGCACCUUGUUGAAAACAGCUCGCACUUUGCUUCUUGCAUUCUCAUGUCCCUCAUAUUUUCUGGGUUGAAGCAUUCUCCACUGCUAUCUAUCUUAUUAAUCGCCUUCCUAUUUCUGGCAUUUCACAGUCCCCUUGGCAGUUGCUAUUUCACAACCAUCCAGACUACUCUAAGCUCAAAGUAUUUGGUUGCCAAUGCUUUCCUUGGCUCAAACCUUACUUUCAUAGCAAAUUGGAUCCCAAGAGCAAAAAGUGUGUUUUCUUGGGGUAUAGUCUUCAACACAAAGGCUAUAGGUGCCUUGAUCCUAUCACCAAUCGCAUCUACAUCUCUCGUCAUGUCUGUAUUCGAUGAAAGUACUUAUCCAUUUCAGUUGUCCCACAUUCAACACUCUUUUCCUGUUCCAAGUCCUCCAUCUUCCUCACCAACAAUUUCUUCCUCUCUGGAUCUUCAUUUUUUAGCAAACACAUUCCUCCUGUUUUCAGUCAGCCAUCUACAUCACCAUUAUGUGCUUCUGUGCCUGUUCCUAUUUCUUCAUCUUCAUCUUCCCCUGCACCUGUCUCAGUUGGCUCUUCUUUCCAGUUUUGUUCCUCCUUCAGCACAUUCAUCUUUCUCCCAAAAUCAACAGAGUCAUCCUCCUGCCCCUGUUAAUUCUCAUCCAAUGAUUACUAGAUCCAAGGCUGGUAUACUCACGUCGAGAGCCUGUGCAGCAACUAAGCACCCACUUCCGGUUGAUAUGGAUUAUGUUCCUACAACAUACUUGCAAGCUUCUAAGCAUGCUCAUUGGAGGCAAGCUAUGCAAGAUGAAUUUAAUGCCUUGCUAACCACUGGUUACUUUGGUCUCUUGUUCCUUCUCACCAUUCUCAAAACUUAGUGGGCUGCAAGUGGGUUUUCCGGAUUAAGAAGAAGCCCGAUGGCACUGUUGACAGAUAUAAAGCCCGGCUUGUGGCCAAGGGUUUUCAUCAACAAGAAGGUAUUGACUUUUCAAGAAAACCUUCAGUCCAGUUGCCAAACCGGUUACAAUUCGGAUCCUUCUUACCCUUUGCUGUGCAAUAUAAUUGGUUUCUCAAUCAAUUGGACAUUAGUAAUGCCUUUCUUCAUGGAGACUUAAAGAGAGGAUGUCUACAUGCAACAACCCCCUGGUUUUGUUGAUCCCUUUACCCUACAUUUUGUAAGUUGAGGAAAUCGUUGUAUGGUCUCAAACAAGCUCCUCGAGCUUGGUUUGAUAAACUGUUCCAAGCUCUUCCUCUCUUGGAUUCACCCAAUCAUCCUCAGAUGCUUCUUUAUUUGUUCUCAAUGGUCCUCAGUUUAGUCAUUGUCCUUGUCUAUGUUGAUGACAUUCUUGUCACCGGACCCUAUCCUUACCUCUGUCAACACUUCAUUCAGCAACUUGGGGCUCAAUUUCCAGUAAAAGACCUUGGUCCUCUUCAUUAUUUCUUGGGAUUAGAAGUACAUCGAUCUUCCCAGGGUAUAUUUCUCCAUCAAACAAAGUACUUAUUGGAUCUUCUCAAGAAAACAAAUAUGGAGGGUGCAAAACCUUGUUGUACUCCCCUUGGCUCUAAGAAAUUAGAUCACAGUGGCCCUCUUCUGUCCAAUCCUACUGAAUAUCGCUCCAUUGUUGGUGGUUUACAAUAUCUUACUUGGACUAGACCCGACCUUGCUUUUGCUGUGAACCAAAUCUGCCAAUUCAUGCAUGCUCCCAGGGAACAACAUCUCCAGGCAGCAAAAAGGGUUCUCAGAUUUCUCAAAGGCUCUAUCUCACAUGGUGUGUGGUUCACUAAAGGCCCUGUCCAUCUUUCUGCCUACUCGGAUGCCGACUGGGCUGGUUGCACAAUUGACAGGAGAUCAACCACUGGUUAUUGUGUAUUUUUGGGUUCCAAUCUUAUCAGCUGGAGUGCCAAGAAGCAAAGUACUGUUGCCAAGGUCCUCUACAGAGGCUGAAUAUCGCUCCUUAGCUCACACAGCUGCUGAGAUAACUUGGGUUUGCAGAUUCUCAAAGAUCUGCACUAUCCUCUCUCUUACAUUCCCUACUUUUGGUGUGACAACAUAUCAGCAAUAUCUUUAGCAUCUAAUCCUGUCUUUCAUGCUCGAACAAAGCAUGUUGAGAUCGAUUAUCNGAAGUUUUCUGUUUUCUACAUGGUAUCACGCCAUUCCGCUUCACAGCUUCGAUCUUUCUCUUCGCUUGCUGCAUCGAUCGACUCUUGAUCGAUUUUUCUUCUCUGAUCUUCUCUUCGCUUGCUGCAUCGAUCGACUCAUGAUCGAUUUUUCUUCUCUGAUCGUCACUUCUUCCCUUCCGAUCUUGUAGUAUUUCUUGAUUUCUGUCAGUAAUGGCGGCUCAAUCGACUGGUUCAUCUUCUCCGGUCAUCUCCCCCUCGAGCCCAAACCCUAAUUUCUCUGGAAACCCUAAUUCCUCUGGAAAUCCGAGUCCUCUGGACUUCCUACACUUCUCUCACAAUUCAUAACAUCGGCAGCAUGGUGCCGAUCAAGCUCAAAAGAUCCAAUUACCUACCAUGGCGCGGCCCUGUUUGGCCCGAUUUUCCGGCGAUACAAGCUUCUUGGAGUAAUCGAUGGUACUGACGUCUGUCCAUCGCCAUUUCUGCCUGAUCGUAGCAUCAAUCCUGCUUUUGAGGACUGGUAUGAGAAAGAUCAAAAUCUUUUGAUCUGGUUGAAUUCCACACUUUCUGAGGAAAUCAUCCCGUUCACGGUUGGGGUUUCAUCCUCUCGAGAACUUUGGGUAAAGCUUGAACACAGCGCUUUGGUGGAAUUUCAGAGGCUCAUAUCCAUCAGUUGCGAUCGCGCCUUCAAUCUGUUCAGAAAGGAUCGCGUUCUAUCUCUGACUAUCUUCAAGAACUCAAGGAAAUUUCAGAUUCUCUGCAAGCUGCUGGUGCUUCUGUCUCUGAUCGAGAUCUUAUCGCCGCCACACUACAUGGCUUGCCUGAUGAAUUUGAGUCUUUCAUCGACUGUAUCAUGCUCCGAUUGUCCUCUACCUCUCUUGAUGAACUUCAUGGCCUCCUUCUCACAAAGGAAUUGUCUAUGGCCAGACGCAAAAACUGUCAGUUCAUCUUCCUGUCCCUGAAUCUUUUCAGGCUUUCUCGGUGCAGUCUCAGCCUCAUCUCCUUCCUACUCCAUCUGCUUUUGCUGCUCAGAAUCUCCCUCUUCAAUCUGCAUCUCGGUUCAACUCUAAUCGUGGCAGGAACACUAAGGGCCAGUUCUUUUCCAAUCGAGGUCAUCGAGGUAAUCGUGGUAAUUUUCCUAAUAACCGUGGCAAUCGAGGUUAUCAAGGAUUUCGCAGCAAUCAAGGCUCUUCUCACUUCAAAGUGCUUUGUCAAAUCUGUGGUUCUACCAGUCAUGAGGCUAUUGACUGCUUUGAUCGUAUGAAUCCUGACAUCUGUGGUCGUAUUCCUCCAGCUAAGCUUGCUGCCAUGUGUGCACAACAUUCUGCUAAACCAUCUCAGCCUUGGUUAAUUGAUUCAGGGGCAACCUCUCAUAUCACUAAUGAUGUUGCUAACCUCACCUCUCCUACUCCCUACACUGGCGAGGAUAAAGUGUAUAUUGGAGAUGGUAAAGGUUUAUCCAUCCUCAAUGUUGGUUCAUCUACUCUGCACACCUCUCAUAAUUCUUUUCAAUUGCGAAAUGUUUUACAUGUUCCCCACAUAACCCAUAAUCUCUUAUCUGCUUAUCAGUUUGUUAAUGAUAAUAAUUGUUCAUUGACACUUGACCCUUAUGGAUCCUAUGUCAAGGAUCGUAUUUCGGGGAAGAUGCUUUUACGGGGACCGGUUAGAGAUGGCUUCUAUCCUCUUCAAAGUUCCAGCAAUCUUCAUCCUCUUUCACAUACCGCUUUACUUAGUAUUAAAGCUCCAGUUACAAUUUGGCACAAGCGUUUGGGUCACCCUUCCUCCUCCAUUUUUAGAAGGCUCCUUUCAUCCAAUAAUCUUGCUUUACAAGGCAAGUCUACUGUGGACUUUUUCUGUUCGGAUUGUGCUCUUGCCAAGAAUCAUAAGCUUCCAUUUAAAGCUGCUACUUCAUCAUCAACUCACAGCCUUCAACUACUGCACUGUGAUCUGUGGGGACCUGCCUCAAUCACAUCAAGUAGUGGUUUUCAAUAUUUAUUUGCUCAUUGUUGAUGACUAUAGCAAAUAUAGUUGGUUCUUUCCUUUGAAAUCUAAGUCAGAUGUAUUUUCUACAUUUGUUGUCUUCAAAUCAUAUGUAGAAAAUUCACUUGGAAAUAAAAUAAAGGUUCUGCGUUCAGAUUCAGGGGGUGAAUUUACUAGUCACUCUUUUGCAUCAUAUCUCAGCAAACAUGGCAUUCUUCAUCAGUUCAGUUGUCCCCACACCCCUGAGCAAAAUGGUUGUGCAGAAAGAAAGCACAGGCACCUUGUUGAAACAGCUCGCACUUUGCUUCUUGCAUCUCAUGUCCCUCAUAUUUUCUGGGUUGAAGCAUUCUCCACUGCUAUCUAUCUUAUUAAUCGCCUUCCUAUUUCUGGCAUUUCACAGUCCCCUUGGCAGUUGCUAUUUCACAACCAUCCAGACUACUCUAAGCUCAAAGUAUUUGGUUGCCAAUGCUUUCCUUGGCUCAAACCUUACUUUCAUAGCAAAUUGGAUCCCAAGAGCAAAAAGUGUGUUUUCUUGGGGUAUAGUCUUCAACACAAAGGCUAUAGGUGCCUUGAUCCUAUCACCAAUCGCAUCUACAUCUCUCGUCAUGUUGUAUUCGAUGAAAGUACUUAUCCAUUUCAGUUGUCCCACAUUCAACACUCUUUUCCUGUUCCAAGUCCUCCAUCUUCCUCACCAACAAUUUCUUCCUCUCUGGAUCUUCAUUUUAGCAAACACAUUCCUCCUGUUUUCAGUCAGCCAUCUACAUCACCAUUAUGUGCUUCUGUGCCUGUUCCUAUUUCUUCAUCUUCAUCUUCCCCUGCACCUGUCUCAGUUGGCUCUUCUUCCAGUUUUGUUCCUCCUUCAGCACAUUCAUCUUUCUCCCAAAAUCAACAGAGUCAUCCUCCUGCCCCUGUUAAUUCUCAUCCAAUGAUUACUAGAUCCAAGGCUGGUAUACUCACGUCGAGAGCCUGUGCAGCAACUAAGCACCCACUUCCGGUUGAUAUGGAUUAUGUUCCUACAACAUACUUUGCAAGCUUCUAAAGCAUGCUCAUUGGAGGCAAGCUAUGCAAGAUGAAUUUAAUGCCUUGCUAACCACUGGUUACUUGGUCUCUUGUUCCUUCUCACCAUUCUCAAAACUUAGUGGGCUGCAAGUGGGUUUUCCGGAUUAAGAAGAAGCCCGAUGGCACUGUUGACAGAUAUAAAGCCCGGCUUGUGGCCAAGGGUUUUCAUCAACAAGAAGGUAUUGACUUUCAAGAAAACCUUCAGUCCAGUUGCCAAACCGGUUACAAUUCGGAUCCUUCUUACCCUUGCUGUGCAAUAUAAUUGGUUUCUCAAUCAAUUGGACAUUAGUAAUGCCUUUCUUCAUGGAGACUUAAAGGAGGAUGUCUACAUGCAACAACCCCCUGGUUUUGUUGAUCCCUUACACCCUACAUCUGUUUGUAAGUUGAGGAAAUCGUUGUAUGGUCUCAAACAAGCUCCUCGAGCUUGGUUUGAUAAACUGUUCCAAGCUCUUCACUCUCUUGGAUUCACCCAAUCAUCCUCAGAUGCUUCUUUAUUUGUUCUCAAUGGUCCUCAGUUUAGUCAUUGUCCUUGUCUAUGUUGAUGACAUUCUUGUCACCGGACCCUAUCCUUACCUCUGUCAACACUUCAUUCAGCAACUUGGGGCUCAAUUUCCAGUAAAAGACCUUGGUCCUCUUCAUUAUUUCUUGGGAUUAGAAGUACAUCGAUCUUCCCAGGGUAUAUUUCUCCAUCAAACAAAGUACUUAUUGGAUCUUCUCAAGAAAACAAAUAUGGAGGGUGCAAAACCUUGUUGUACUCCCCUUGGCUCUAAGAAAUUAGAUCACAGUGGCCCUCUUCUGUCCAAUCCUACUGAAUAUCGCUCCAUUGUUGGUGGUUUACAAUAUCUUACUUGGACUAGACCCGACCUUUGCUUUUGCUGUGAACCAAAUCUGCCAAUUCAUGCAUGCUCCCAGGGAACAACAUCUCCAGGCAGCAAAAAGGGUUCUCAGAUUUCUCAAAGGCUCUAUCUCACAUGGUGUGUGGUUCACUAAAGGCCCUGUCCAUCUUUCUGCCUACUCGGAUGCCGACUGGGCUGGUUGCACAAUUGACAGGAGAUCAACCACUGGUUAUUGUGUAUUUUUGGGUUCCAAUCUUAUCAGCUGGAGUGCCAAGAAGCAAAGUACUGUUGCAAGGUCCUCUACAGAGGCUGAAUAUCGCUCCUUAGCUCACACAGCUGCUGAGAUAACUUGGGUUUGCAAGAUUCUCAAAGAUCUGCACUAUCCUCUCUCUACAUUCCCUACUCUUUGGUGUGACAACAUAUCAGCAAUAUCUUUAGCAUCUAAUCCUGUCUUUCAUGCUCGAACAAAGCAUGUUGAGAUCGAUUAUCACUAUAUUAGAGAAUUGGUUUUGGCUCAACUUCUCAAAGUCAAGUUCAUCUGCAGUGAAGACCAAUUAGCUGAUCUUCACACCAAGUCUCUGUCUAAAACCAGAUUUAAUUAUCUGUGUUCCAAGCUUCCCAUUGGUCUCAUUUCUGAUCCCCCUUCUCGCUUGAGGGGGUGUAUUAGGGAGAAUGACAAGUCAUCCAAGUCUGCUACUGUUAAUAAUUCUGUUACUGUAAAUUAACUGAUUGUAUUAGUUGUGAUUAGUUAAGAUAGUUAUAAAGUAGUUAGGGGUAUCUAUGUAAAUAGCCAAAGGCUAUAUAUAUUCCUACACAAUGUGUAAAGUUCUCAGUCAAGUAAAUACAAUCAAGAAAACUUACUGUUGAAGUUUUCUGUUUCUACAGGUUUUGGAUUGGAGGAGUUGACACAAAAUUAUAAAUAUAUUAAACAAAUUUAUCUAUUCUAAAGUUGGAGGGAAAUUGGCCUGUACAUUGCUACAGUAAUUUUUUUUUACCCAAUUUCACGUUAUUUACAACAAAGCUAUCAGAUUUGGGUUGGGUUGGAGGGUAAUUUGUUAAAAGUUAGGAGGGUAAUUUUGUGCAUAGGGUUUAGGUGCCCUCCUAUACAUGACCCUUGAUUUUACUUUAUUUACACCACUGCCAUCAAAUAUGUGGCUGAAUUGGAGGGUAUUAUUAAAAGUUAGGAGGGUAGUUUGUUCAAGGGGUGAGGGCGACAUUCGCAGACAGAGAGCGAUGGGAGCCAUGGCCAUUGCACAGAGAGAAAGGGAGUGAUGGGGGAAAUUACAGACAGAAAAGGAAGGGAUGGGGGGGAUUUGAUGGAUGGUCACAGAGAGAGAUUGGGUGAGGGAUGUGAGAGGAGAUUACAGAGAGAUAAAUAAAAGGGAGGGAUCGGGGGAUGUGAGGGAUGGUCAGGGAGAGAAAUAGUGAGGGAGGGAGGGAUGGGGGGGCUGAUUUUCGGUUCCUCCUUCCAGAUUUGUUCCGUAAAAACCUGUUGGGUAGAAUUCAAUUUCCUCCCCCUUUCCCCUGAACGAAAAAUUCGAAACCUACAACUCAAAACUCACUCAUUUGUCGUCCCUCCUUGGCUUUCCGCUUUACUCAUCUCCCGGUGGUUCUCUCUCCAUACGAUUCCAUUUCGGUGAGUUCUUCGUUGCCCUCAUGAUUUCCCACUUUUAUUUUUGGGGCGUCCUUAGUCGUCGUUUUUAUCUGGGUUUACUGCAUUGUUGCUUUUAGUUUCUGGAUUUUUAUUUUUUUGGCACUUGGAUGAAUCGUGGUUAAUAAUUUCACAUCAUGGGAUUUUCGCACUUCUGAUGGAAUUGAGCGCGGGGAUUCGGGGUGGGGUUUUACUGAUAAUUUGUCUUCAUUCAAACGAAGGGUUAAAAUUUAUGAGUAUUAACAAAUUUUGUAAAUUAUUCUUAUACAUUUUAUUGAGGGAUCUAAUCGAUUUCUUUCUGUAGUGGGAUUGAAAUUGGGGCUUUGUGGUACUCUCUCUCGCUCACUCUCUCUCCUAUGUGUAUGAAUUGAGUUCUGCAGUGAGUUUGCAGGUGGGCGCGUUCACUAACUAAGCUUUCAAGGGAACCGAUCAACGGUUUGCUUGCUGGGGGAAUUCGGAGACUACCAGUGUAUGAUUUAGUUAUCAUUAAUUUUUUUACUUAAUUUUAUCCAUAUAUAAUAUGUGGGUAAAUUUAGAGGUCGCACUUGGUGCGAUGGCAAGUUCCUUCGCCCAUGAGCGGUAGGUCUCGGGUUCGAGACUUGGGAGCAGCCUCUCCAUAAAUGGGGGUAAGGCUAGCCGACAUUUACCUCUCCCAGACCCUGCGUAAAGCGGGAGCCUUGUGCACUGGGUACGAUCUUUUAUAAUAUGUGGGUAAAUUUAUACUAAACAAUUGUGAUAAGCCAAUAUGCUAUACGACUUUGAAAGCAUUGAUUUUGUGUUUAGUUUGCAUUUUUGCAUUGUGAAUGUUGAAUUUUGUGUUUAAUUUGGAUUUUUGUGUUUGAAUUUGUAGCAUGAUCUUCCGCUGCAGCAUCCAAAUUUUGCAUUUGUAAAUUGUCAAAGAAAAACGAAGUAUGAGGAAAUUAUAGGAGAUUGUGUCGGCUUUGGCCAUGAAGGGUAUCAGCAGCUUGUUCCCCCAUACAGGUGAUUAAUCGCAGUCUGUUCUAUUUGGAUGAGAAAGUGAUUGAAAAAUAUGAUUUUUUAUUUGUUGGUUGAUUUUGUAUAACUCCGCCGUGUAAGUUUAUCUUACAUUGCCGGUCCCAAGCCCGGAUAAAGGAGGAGGGGGAGGGCGUCAGGUAGUCGACAGCUGGCACUCCAUGAUCACGUCGAAUCCUUAUGAAAAUGAAUCCAGAACGAAAUCGCGCUAAAGCUAGGGCGUCACCCAUAAGUGGCGCGCUGUGUGGCCCGAGCACAGUGAUAAGUGAGCAAGGGUCGUUGUAUCUCCAUCGGCACCCGGAUGCAGUGUUAAAUGAGCAAGGGGCUAUAGAAACUUCUUUUCGAACGACUCCACUCAAAGUUGUUUGGGAGCAUAUGCUCCUAUCAACUUUACACGGGACACACAAAAGAAGUACUUUGAUCCUAUUAGACGGGGAAGGGUGAAGAAGCUAGGACAGAAGGGUAGAGUUCAAGAGAGCAAAAUGCGUUUAGGAACGUGGAAUAUAGGAACCUUGAACGGGAAAAUCUAUGGAAGUAGUAGAAGUUAUGGUGAGGAGAAGGAUAAAUAUUAUGUGCCUACAAGAAACUAAGUGGGUUGGUCGUAAGGCAAAGGAUCUAGAAAACUCAGGGUUUAAACUAUGGUAUUCGGGCACAAAUAGAACGAGAAACGGUGUUGGCAUCAUCGUGGACAAGACCUUGACACAAGAUGUUGUAGAUGUCAAGAGGGUAGGAGAUAGAAUCAUGGCAAUCAAGAUUGUAAUAGGACAAGAACUUAUCAAUGUGAUUAGUGCGUACGCACCUCAAGUAGGGUUGGAUACGAGUUCGAAGGAGAAAUUUUGGGAAGACCUUGGAGACUUGGUGCAAGGAAUUGCUCAGACGGAGAAGUUAUUUAUAGGAGGAGAUUUAAAUGGACACGUGGGCAGGGAGACAGGCAACUAUGGAGGUUUUCAUGGUGGCCAUGGUUUUGGGGAGAGAAACGAGGAUGGGGAAGCUAUCUUGGAUUUUGCAAUGGCAUAUGAUCUCUUCUUAGCCAACACCUUCUUUAAGAAGAGAGAAGAACAUGUGAUCACCUACAAGAGUGGGUCGUCAAAAACACAAAUAGAUUUUCUUCUAAUGAGGAAAGGGGAUCGUAUAACUUGUAAGGAUUGCAAAGUUAUACCAGGAGAGAGCGUGGCUAAUCAACAUCGCUUGUUGGUGAUGGAUGUACAUAUCAAAAGAGUGAGAAAAAAGAACAAGACUUGGAAGUGCCCAAGGACUAGAUGGUGGAAUCUAAAAGAAGAAAAACAAGCCAUUUUCAAAGAGAAAGUAAUCACCCAGUGUGUGUGGGAUAGAGAGGGGGAAGCUAACCAAAUGUGGGAUUCCAUGGCUAGUUGUAUCCGAAAAGUAGCAAAAGAGGUAUUAGGAGAGUCCAAGGGCUUUGCCCCACACCAAAAGGAAUCUUGGUGGUGGAAUGAGGAGGUACAAACAAAGGUGAAGGCUAAGAAGGAAUGUUGUAAAGCCUUAUACAAGGAUAGGACCGAUGAAAAUGGUGAAAGGUAUAGAAAAGCGAAGCAAGAGGCGAAGAAAGCUGUGAGAGAAGCUAAGUUAGCGGCUUAUGACGAUAUGUAUAAGCGACUAGAUACCAAAGAAGGAGAGUUGGAUAUCUAUAAACUAGCUAGAGCAAGGGAAAAGAAGACAAGGGACCUAAACCAAGUGAGGUGCAUCAAGGAUGAGGAUGGAAAGGUUCUUGCUACAGAGAACGCGGUUAAAGACAGAUGGAAAGGUUAUUUUCAUAAUCUUUUCAAUGAAGGACAUGAAAGGAGUGCUUCUUUAGGGGAGUUGAGUAACUCAGAAGAGUGUAGAAACUACUCUUUUUAUCGUAGAAUCCGGAAGGAAGAAGUGGUUGUAGCUUUGAAGAAGAUGAAGCAUAGAAAAGCAGUAGGCCCAGACGAUAUACCAAUCGAAGUGUGGAAAGUUUUGGGAGAGACAGGUAUAACAUGGCUCACUGACCUUUUCAAUAGGAUUUUGAAAACGAAGAAGAUGCCAAAUGAGUGGCGAACGAGCACUUUGGUGCCUAUCUACAAGAAUAAGGGCGAUGUACAAAAUUGCAUGAACUAUAGGGGUAUUAAGCUAAUGAGUCAUACAAUGAAGCUCUGGGAGAGAGUCAUUGAGCAUAGAUUGAGGCAAGAGACACGGGUUUCGGACAACCAAUUCGGGUUCAUGCCAGGGCGCUCAACCAUGGAGGCAAUCUAUCUCUUACGAAGAUUGAUGGAAAGAUAUAGAGAUGGGAAAAAGGAUUUACACAUGGUCUUUAUAGAUUUGGAAAAAGCGUAUGAUAGGGUCCCAAGAGACAUUCUUUGGAGGAUUUUAGAGAAGAAAGGAGUACGAGUAGCAUAUAUCCAAGCUAUACAGGAUAUGUAUGAAGGAGCAAAGACUGCCGUAAGAACUCAUGAAGGACAAACCGAAAGCUUUCCCAUAACUGUAGGAUUACAUCAAGGCUCAUCCUUAAGUCCUUACCUUUUUGCGUUGGUAAUGGAUGAGUUAACAGGACAUAUUCAAGAUGAUAUUCCUUGGUGUAUGCUUUUCGCAGACGAUAUAGUGUUGAUAGAUGAAACUCAGGAAGGGGUAAAUGCAAAGCUUAACCUUUGGAGAGAAGUGUUGGAAUCUAAAGGUCUUCGCCUAAGCCGAUCAAAGACAGAAUAUAUGGAGUGCAAGUUCAGUGCAAAUGGAGGCCAAAACGAGUUAGGGGUGAGGAUCGGAGAUCAAGAAAAUACCAAAGAGCGACCGUUUUCGUUACCUAGGAUCUAUCUUGCAAAAGAACGGAGAAUUAGAUGGAGAUCUCAACCAUAGAAUACAAGCUGGAUGGAUGAAGUGGAAGAGUGCAUCCGGCGUGUUGUGUGACCGCCGUAUGCCACUGAAGCUCAAGGGAAAAUUUUAUAGGACGGCAAUAAGGCCGGCGAUGCUGUAUGGCACAGAAUGUUGGGCGGUGAAGCAUCAACACGUACACAAAAUGGGUGUAGCGGAGAUGAGGAUGCUUCGUUGGAUGUGUGGGCACACGAGAAAGGAUAAGAUUAGGAAUGAGGAUAUCCGGGGUAAAGUAGGAGUAGCCGAAAUUGAAGGAAAGAUGAGAGAAAAUCGGUUACGGUGGUUUGGACAUGUGCAAAGAAGGCCUACUGACGCUCCGAUUAGAAGAUGCGACUAUGGGACAGAGGUUCAGGGCCGAAGGGGUAGAGGAAGACCUAGGAAAACUUUGGAAGAGACCCUAAGAAAAGACUUAGAGUACUUGGAUCUAACGGAGGACAUGACACAGGACAGAACACAAUGGCGUUCUAAGAUUCAUAUAGCCGAUCCCACUCAGUGACUUGGAUUUUCCAAGUCUCCAACCGAGAAGUUUUCCUCACUCGGGAAAUUAAGGGAACACUACCUCAACCUACAUGCUCCACUCACAAAGCUUCAACAUACAAGCUUCAACAAAAGAAAAUUCAAAGAACUUAGCGAAGAAGGCUUUGGUGUAUUUAACACAAUACGUUGAAAUGAAGGAAAGCUUAUUUAUUGAUAUCCCCGAUAAGUUACAAAUAUGUACAUAUACUUGAGUCAAAAUAAACAAACAAGAGGGAGCCUUCACAAAGGUUGCUUAGGAGAAGUCUCAGCAGUCGGUAGAGCCCCAGAAAGAGAAGGCACCGGAGGGGGAUCAUUCGGAGCCUCAGUACUGGACAGAACCCUAGAAGGAGGAGGCAUCAGAGGUUGAUCAUUUGGAGCUUCAUUACGCGGUACAGCCCCAGAAGACGAAGGCAAUAAAUGCCUUUGGAACAAACCCACAAAUCUCUGAUGAUCAAGUAAAACCUGACCAUCAGAUUCCUUCAUCUGGUCAAGCUUCCUCUUCAUGUUUGUAGCAUAGUCAUGUGCGAGCCGGUGCAACUGUUUAUUCUCAUGCUUGAGCCCUCUAAUCUCCUGUUUGAGACUCAUCACUUCAGCCGCCAAUGAUUCAACUUGGCGGGUUCGAGCAAAUAGGCGUUGGGCCAUAUUAGACACAGAACCUGCACACUGAACACUGAGAGCCAGAGAAUCCUUAACAGCCAACUCAUCAGACCGUUUGGAAAGUAGUCUGUUAUCUUUGGGAGUGAGAAGGUUCCUGGCCACUACCGCAGCGGUCAUAUCAUUCUUCAUCACGGAAUCCCCAACGGUAAGAGGACCAGUAGGGGAGACGAAGGAUGGGCGCCAUAUGUUGUCUGGAGAAGGCGGGGCUGCCUCUUCAACAAGGUUCAAGUCAAAACGACGGUCGGAGGGGCCAGACAUUUUCAAAGGUGUUGAAGAGAGAAGAGGUCGGACAAAUCAAGAUCUUAGAAGUGCAAGAAUGGAGCUUCUACUGGUGGAUAUUCAAGUGUGCUUUGGAACUUAAUGUCAGCCCCUAUAAAAAUCUGCACUCGACGAAGCUUCAGAAAUCGAAGAGGCGCCUGCUCAGAAAUCGAAGAGGCGUUUGCUUUCUCAAAAGCUGGGCUGCUCAGAGACCACGAGGGUCGAUCUCAGAAAUCGAAGAGGCGUUUGCUUUCUCAAAAGCUGGGCUGCUCAAAGACCACGAAGGCCGAUCUCAGAAAUCGAAGAGGCUUGCUUUCUCAAAAGCUGGGCUGCUCAGAGACCACGAGGGCCGAUCUCAGAAAUCGAAGAGGCACCUACUUUUCCAGCCUUGUCAGCACCUGUCACACGCACACUCAGCUUUGCGGAAAUUAUGGGCAUUCUGUCGAAGAUUUCUGGCGAAGUAGAAAGCACAUGAAUCGUACUGUUCAAUCACCCACUUCCCACACGCAACAGUAGCUCAUGGGUACCACAGAUAACUUUGCCAAAGUUCUCUGACAAAGUUGAGACACGUGAAGCUUGCAGCUCCCACUACAUCGCUCUGACCAAGAAGGGUAAAAGAAUUAGCAAAGAAACAACACUAACAAAGUUUAGACACAUAAAUUUUGAAGGUCUAGCUACCAUAUUAUUACCCACAAGGGUAAAGGAACAGUACCACUGCUGGAUAAUUGGAAAGUCCCGGUGUGUCAACCUCUGUGCUUCGUGGCAAGGUAGACUAGCAAACAUGCCCAACCUUUACUCACAUUCGAGAAAACACUCCCAACAAGAUUGCUUGCUCCAAAAUCGAAGAGGCACCGCCCUCCGAAUCUCGAGAGCCAGACUCCCAACAUGAUUACUUUCUCAAAAAUCGAAGAGAGGGUAAAGGAACAGUACCACUGCUGGAUAAUUGGAAAGUCCCUGUGUGUCAACCUCUGUGCUUCGUGGCAAGGUAGACUAGCAAACAUGCCCAACCUUUACUCACAUUCGAGAAAACACUCCCAACAAGAUUGCUUGCUCCAAAAUCGAAGAGGCACCGCCCCUCCGAAUCUCGAGAGCCAGACUCCCAACAUGAUUACUUUCUCAAAAAUCGAAGAGAGGGUAAAGGAACAGUACCACUGCUGGAUAAUUGGAAAGUCCCUGUGUGUCAACCUCUGUGCUUCGUGGCAAGGUAGACUAGCAAACAUGCCCAACCUUUACUCACAUUCGAGAAAACACUCCCAACAAGAUUGCUUGCUCCAAAAUCGAAGAGGCACCGCCCUCCGAAUCUCGAGAGCCAGACUCCCAACAUGAUUACUUUCUCAAAAAAUCGAAGAGACACCGCUCUCCGAAUCUCGAGAGCCAGACCCCCAGCAGGAUUGCUUUCUCAAAAAUCGAAGAGGCAUCGUUCUCCGAAUCUCGAGAGCCAGAUCCCCGACAGGAUUGCUUGUUCGAAAACCGAAGAGGCACCACUUUCCCAACUUCAAGAGCUGGAUCUCCUUGGAUAAAGCUUGUCUGUAAUCUUCACACGCAACAUCAGCUUUCCAGAUACCACAGACCACUUUUUCAAAGUGCUCUGACAGAGUUAAAACAUGUGAAGCUGGCAGCUCCCACUACCGUGCUAUGACCAAGCAGGGUAAAGGAAUAGCAUUAUUACUUGAUGUUAGGGAGACUCCUAUAUAUGUCGACCUCCAUCCCCAACGGACAGGCAGACCUGCAAAAAUGCUCAACCCUUCCUCUUAUCUGAGAGGGCACUCCCAACGAAGCCUUUCGAAAUAUUCAGCUUUCUUUCCCCCCGAUAAUACCUCUGUAAACAAGCUAUACUAGAGCAAGAAUAUCUCAUAUCAUCAGGGUUAAAAGCAAGAGUAUCCCAUAUCAUGCUUUUUCCCUGUCUUUUCCUUUGGCCUUGUUCUUACCUGCAAGACAAGGAGAAAGAGAGCAAUCAGUCAGCACUUGGAAUCAAGCUUCCAGCCAGGAACUGACUGCCUGGAACCCCUUACCUGAUUACUUACCUGGCAUUGCUCUCGAGUACUCAUCUUCAACAUCUUAUGCUUCCAGGGAAGAUACCGCAUCUGCCUGAGGAACAGAUAGGGCAAGUGAGAAGGAUACAAGGAAGCAUGUGGAGACAAGCGUAACAGCACACGUGCCGAUACAUCCAUUACUCUGUCAAAAGCAAAAGUAUCCCAUAUCAGCAGGGUCGAACGUACUCUAGAUUUGAUGGACUUGUUUUGACCCUCAAAUUCUUCAGUCGGCCUUAUACUCUGGAGGAAACCAGAAAACCCUCCAGCCCAGUUCAAGAAUAAGCCUGUGGAAAGUUACUUCUUCAAAAGCAAAAGUAUCCCAUAUCAUCUCUUCUCAUUUUUCUUCUCUUUAUCCUUCAUGCUGCCUGCAAGAUAGGGAGAAUGUGAACAAUCAGCCGGAGCUCUGAUUGCUUACCUUGUCUGUCACCUCUUUCAGCAGAUCCCCUAGCUCGGCGACUUGGGGGACUCCUACUACAUGGUUUGUAUCGCGCUUGACCAAGCCUGAAACUACAAGUAAGCUUCAAGUGACAAUUGAUACAUUACCUUGUGCAUCUCCACCAGUUACAGAUACCACCCCUGGAUGGAGGAAGAGUACUUCCAGAGAAGAUGCCACAUCUACCUAUGAGACAGAUAAGGAAAGUCAAGACGAUACCACACUCCGGUACUUAGAAGUUUCGUGGUUACGAGAUCAUUCUCCCACAAUAUUUCCUAAUGUCAUUUGUACUAAAUCAUUCACUUGUACUCACUAAAGGAGAGCUUGAACCUAUGUACUUGUGUAAACCCUUCACAAUUAAUGAGAACUCCUCUAUUCCGUGGACGUAGCCAAUCUGGGUGAACCACGUACAUCUUGUGUUUGCUUUCCUAUCUCUAUCCAUUUAUAUACUUAUCCACACACUAAUGACCGGAGCAAUCUAGCGAAGAUCACAAAAAAGUGACCGUUUUCGCUACCUAGGAUCUAUCUUGCAAGAGAACGGAGAAUUAGAUGGAGAUCUCAACCAUAGAAUACAAGCUGGAUGGAUGAAGUGUAAGAGUGCAUCCGGCGUGUUGUGUGACCGUCGUAGGCCACUGAAGCUCAAGGGAAAAUUUUAUAGGACGGCAAUAAGGCCAGCGAUGUUGUAUGGCACAGAAUGUUGGGCGGUGAAGCAUCAACACGUACACAAAAUGGGUGUAGCGGAGAUGAGGAUGCUUCGUGGGAUGUAUGGGCACACGAGAAAUGAUAAGAUUGGGAAUGAGGAUAUCCGAGGUAAAGUAGGAGUAGCCAAAAUUGAAGGAAAUAUGAGAGAAAAUCGGUUCUGGUGGUUUGGACAUAUGCAAAGAAGGCCUACUGACGCUCCGGUUCGAAAAUGUGACUACUGGACAGAGGUUCAGGACCGAAGGGGUAGAGGAAGACCUAGAAAAACUUUGGAAGAGACCCUAAGAAAAGACUUGAGUACUUGGAUCUAACGGAGGACAUGACACAAAACCGAGCGCAAUGGCGUUCUAGGAUUCAUAUAGCCGACCCCACUUAGUGGGAAAAGGCUUUGUUGUUGUUGUUGUUGGUUGAUUUUGUAUGGACGAUGUAUUAAUUUUUUUUUUUUUUUGGGAUUUUGUGUAUUGGGUAUUGUGUAGAACCAGCAAUGCAGGAUCUGAUCAGUCACGCCCGAAAAGGGGUUUGUUUCUCAAAUCACAUUAAUUAAUUAGAUUAUUAAUGUGCGUUGGAAGGCUCUUCAAUAUGAUUUCUAAUUUCUCCUUUCCAGCAUUCUCUUUUUGGUUUUUGGAGUAUGUAUGUGAUUUGUAUUUGAUUAUAGAAUAAAAAUUAAUAAAACACGAGAUGCAGCAAUUAAUUUGCAUCCUUAUGACAACACAUAUAUGAAAGUGCAUUCAAUUUCAAUGUGCGAAUGUGUGACAGGACAGGAUGUGCCUGCCUGCUGGUGGUGGUAUGCUUGCUGUUGUUUCUUGCGUUGUUAAUUUUUUGUGUGUUGAUUUGAUUAACAAUUCAAGCGUAUCUUAUUUUUUUUGUGUUGGUUAGCAGCCAGUUUUAUGGCCCCGAUCUAGUGAUGCUUCUCAGUGACUGGUAAUUGCAGUUCAUUGCCACCAGUUGGUCAGCUACCUGCUCUGAAAGAGCUCUACGUAGAAGGGAUGAAAGUUGUUAAGAGUGUUGGUGUUGAGUUGUACGGGGGAAAUCAACCAUUUCAAUGUUUAGAGAAGGUAAAGUUUCGGGAGAUGCCAGAGUGGGAGGAAUGGCAGCCUAGUCCAAGUGGAUGUGAAAGUCCAGACUUUCCUCAUCUUAAGGAGCUGAGGUUAUCCGAAUGUCCGAAGCUGAGAGGAAACUUGCCCACUCAUCUUCCCUCCUUGAAAACACUUUAUGUGAACAAGUGUGAGGUUCUACAUAAAAACAGGGCCAGUAAUACCCUGAACGUGGAAUCCUUACGAGGAUCUCUUGAAAAACUGACAAUAAAUGGAUGCCCGGGUCUCUCAUUGUUACUAGAGUCGAUGGAGACGCUGCCGUCGCUUCAGAAGCUUGAUAUUGAUAGUGUUGGUGGGAAAGAGUUGUUGGUGCAAAUGGUGCACAACAGCAAUCGUCUUCAAAGUUUUGACUUUAUAUAAAUGUUCCUCACCCUUGUCGUUCCCUACAAAUGGUCUGCCCACCACGCUGACGUCACCGAGCAUAACAGAUUGCAAGAAAUUAGAAUUCCUAUCACGUGAGAUGAUGGCCAAAUUGACUUCCCUUCAGUCUUUGCGUCUAUCCAACAGCUGUGAAUGCAAAGGCUUGAGUAAUUUUUGUGAGUCUGCUGUUUGGUUUUUUUUUCUUCAUUUUAGAGAUUUUUCUACUGUUUGGUUUUUGGGUUUUGUCUAAUUUUUGUGGUCUGCUUUAUAGAUUGUUCUCUUUGGAAGCUUCUUUCCAGCCUUGACCUUCUUCUUGCCUGGUGCCUUCUCAUUGAGUAUUGGAGGAGCAUUAAAACACAGGUGUGUGUGUUUUGUCGAUGUAAGAGAUGAACGACAUAAAAACAUCCGUCUUUGUAUUUUUUUGUGCUUUUUCUAACCCAUCAAUUUCUUUUGAGUCAACCAAAUAGUCCCAAAUUGCAACUUAUGUUGUGAGGUAUUAUUGUCUAAAAUUAAGUAUGCAUGUAUAUUUUAUGUUUGUGCGCGCGCACACCUCCGCAUGGUGUUAAUCUCUGUGGGUCAUCUAUGUAUAUGUAGACAUAUCUAUAUGUGUAUGUGUGGAAUGCAACAUAUCGGAUUUAGGUUAUACUGUGCAUAGUUUUAUUGCCUGUUAUUAUCUACGAUAUCACUAUGCCAUUUCUAUGCAGGCUCUGAAAGUUAUCCAUGAGCUUUAUAAGCACUUACCAUAAUUUAAGCAGUCUGUUUUGGGUUCUUUUUCAUUAGGUCAUUAGCUACAGAUUAAUGGAGAAACGAGGACCAUGCAACUGAUUUGGGUUCUUUUUCUAAUUUUCUGAUUUUGGGGUUUUGCAGGGAGUACUGAUGUACUGAUUUUCUGGGAUUUUUUUUGUCCUUGCAGGAUUUUUGGUCUUUGGAAUGGGUAUGUGUUGUUUUUAACGUUUCAGUUCUAGCUUGUUCCGUUCUUCGUUGCUUCGUGAUUCUCAUUUUUUAGUGUUGGGUGAUGGAAAUUUGUUCAAGUAGUUGGUAGUUUUUUUAGAAAGUUGGCAUUUUUAGUUAUAUUUUCUGUUUAAUCCUAAAUGUUAGACUGGAAAAUCAUUGAAAUGACGGUUUUUUAAAAACUCAUAAUUUUUUUGUUCUGGGAGUUAAAAGCAUCUUUUCCAGAUUGGUUAUAAGGGUUAUGUUCUCUUCAAUUGGUUCACCUAAUUUUGAUUAGUUUUAAGUUUUGUCCUUUUAAGUUUUGUCUUUUAAGUUUUGUUCUUUAAGUUGUCUUUUAAGUUUGUUCUCUAAGUUUUGUCUUUUAAGUUUUAUCUUCUGUGCUGUAAUGAGAGAUUUCUGUUGGCCUUUCGGAUUUUGGCAUGGGAAAGUUCACUUAUUUGUCUAAUUAGAUUGUGUAUGCCUUCGAUUCUUUAUUUAAUUGUUCUGUUUGUGUUCAGGUGUGAUGAUCUAAAUUUCAUAUGUUUGGAAUUAUUCACUUAACACCAAUUUGUUACAUUCAGAUCUCCACCCCACAUUUCACUAGUUCAAAUUCCAUAGAAGUCGGUUACUGCAGAUUGCGUCUACAAUUAGAUCAGAGAUCAACUGCUCUUUUGUUAUCCUGCAGAAGAUUGCUUUUGGGAAGGAUCUGAAGUAGUUUCUUUCUGUAAGUUUAUUCCCAUGUAGCUCUGUCUUUUCUAAUUGAUGGUGUUGAUAUUACACUGUAAUUCAUGAUGAUGAUUUAAUUGUUUAUUGAUUUGUAAUUGUUUGUGAAUAAUGUGGCAUAUAUGACUUGCAAUAUGUGUUUGUAUGAAAGGGAUGACAUAUUAUGUUGCUGACUUAAUUGUUUAUGUUUUUCAUAUUUGCGAAUGGUGUUAUGAUCAAUUAGGUGAUUGCUGACCUGUGACUUUGUUUGGAGCUCAAAUUUUGUGAGCAUUACAUUGGAUUGUUUUGAUGUUGUUUUGGUUGACAAUGCAGGGAUAGGAGAAACAAAGAGGAUGACACUUAUAACUGCCCUUCCCCAUCGGCCGUCUUCAAAUUUGGAUCACAAGAAGGGAGCAACAUAGGUGUUUUCCUUCUUCAUUUAGAUAUGGUUAGUGUAAAUAAUUGGACAAAAGAGCCAAACAAACCCUGUUCUCUCAAAUGGAGUCGAUGAUGUGGUCGAUGGCCACCAGCCCCAACUCAAGAGUUUGGCCUUCAUAUAAUUGGAUUGUAGUAUAAUUUUAUUUUGGUUCAUUUCUUUUUUCCUUUAUAUAAGUGCAGGUGUUGUGAUGUUUUGAAUAAAGGGUGAUGAAAGGUGGUUCACACACUUCCUCCUUACUUAAAGCAAGUGGAGAUGAUGGGUUGUAUAAAAAGAAAAACUUGCCAGGUACUUCGAUUUUCUAUUUUAUUAAUUAUUGUUUGGUUUUCCAAAUGUUGUAUUCACAAAGAGAGACCAAUGAUGUCUUUGAGAAACAAGUUUCUUUGUCUACAUUGCGAGAAUUUGCAGUUUGCAACUUUCAUUGGUUAUUAUAUUUGAUUGAGUUAAACUUGGAUUUCUGGAUUUUGACUUUUUCGUUUGUUUCUUUGUUGUAGAGUUGGCUUCAUUUCAUUCCAGUAACUCUAUUCCAGUAACUCUCUAAAAUAGGGCCAAGAACUCACUAAAUAGGUAGUCAAGAGGAAUUCAGUUUUGCCUUCAAUUUUUGCCUUCUGUUUACAUUCUUCCUGGAUGCACUCUCACCGCUUCUCUCGCUUACCACUUUUGUCUCACUCACCGCUUCAUCUCUUCUGUUGCUUACAAGGUCGUGUCAUAUAUUUUUUUAAUUUUUGUGUGUUUAAUUUAUUGAAUAUUUGAAAAAAGAGAUAAAAUUUUCAAUUUACAAUUACUGAUAUGAUGUUUGUUUUGAAAAUCAUUAAGGUGAAUGGAGAGAUUUACAACCAUGAAGAGCUGAGGAGCCGUUUGCCAAAUCAGAUUUAUAAGGUCUCAUCAAUUAUAAAUAAACGACUUUUCAUUCCCAAUGACCUUUAUCGUUUUUCUUAAUGGGUUAGCUGAACAUGAGGUAGAUGCUGACUUUAUAAAAUAUGAGAAUGUUUUAGGAUUUCAUUCUAAUUUUUUGGCUGUUUGAUUACUUUGCUUUUCGUAAUUUGUUUUGCUUAUCGUCAAUUGGAUGGGACAACAUAUUUUUGUAACCAGUUUGUACUUUUUUUUUUUGUGGAAACUAACCAGUAUGUACUUUUACCAUCUCGGUUUUGAUGGAAUUGGAGCUUUCAGUAAUGGGUUCUGAGGGAAUUGGAGUUUUGAGUAAUGGGUUUUUUAACAACUAUAGUAUCAUUUGUGAUUCUUUUAUUUAUAAGAUAUUAUAUAGGAAACUGUUAUUAGCACUCUAAUAAUCUUAUUCUACACUCGCGACAAGUGUAUUUUUCUUUCUAAUUAUGGAAAGUUUGGAGUGCAAAAUGAGAAUUUUGGAGUGCCAAUAACAAUUCCCUAUUAUAUAUAGCUCUACUAAGAAGGCGACUGUAUAUGUCUUCAUCCUGUUAAAUUGUAUAUGGCUCUUGAUGUCGGCUGAAUUAAAUCAAAAUGAAAACCAAGCUGCUGAUCUUACCAGCCCAUAUCACUUAUCACUUAUUUAAAUUAUUUGAAGAUGCAUACGUGGAUUGGUGAUUUUGUUGGAUUCACUUAGCUCAAAUAUAUGUUAUCUGAGUCGCUACAUUUGAGAAUGUGAUUCUGUUCCUACCACCAUUUUGCCCACUUUUUGUGGAAAUUAUUCAUUCCUGUUGUGAAUAAUAUCCCCGGCAGCGAAGUGCGGGCGCAUUUUCUAGUUUAAGUUAAAUCACACAAUGGGUCAUCAAUAAUGACAAACUCGUCAUUUAUGCGAGUCAAACAUGAGACCACCUACCUACUAGUUUAGUGGAAUACCACAAGUGACAUGUUGAUACCUUUAAAUCUCAUAUAAUGGAUUGCAGAAUUAGGAUAUACCUAGUCUAAUUUAGUCAGUGCGUGAACCCGAACAAUUAACCAGGGUUUUAUUCUUGCUUGAAUGUUUGUAAUAUGUUCCUAGUUUGACAAGGCAAUUAUAUUUCCGACUACAAAAGUUAUUAAUUUAGUCGAGAAUUGACGCACCUGAAAUGGUGUGAGGAAAACAUGUAGACACAUCAGACGCGGUCCAUCCUGAGCAUUGUGUAUUAAGGAUAAAGCUCAAAGCCAUACAUGAGGGCAUUGUGUAUGUCUUUAUAAGAGAAGUUGCUGUAGUCCUCAACGUGGCCGGCAGCCAAACUCAUCCACUCUACACUGCAACCCUCAUCCAAAUCCCAUGCUUCCAACCUGCCCCCGACAUAGUCAUCGACCAUGACAUAGCUAUACGUUUUUGGUUGACUCGAAGAAGAAGAAGAAGAAGAAGUAUUAUUCAAGCAUGGAGCAGUGUCCACGUACAGAGAAGAAUUCGAUGGAUUCGAACACUUCAAGUAAUAUAUAGAUAGAGAAUUGAUGUCAUAGGUGGGCCAAUAUAGAGAAUCGAUGUCCUCGAUGGGCGGAAUAUUUUGAGACAUGGAAGAGCAAUUGUUGUUGUCAAGCCCAGGAUCUAGAAGUCGGAUUGUUUUGUUAAUGUAGUUGAUUGCCUGGACAUAGUAUUUUCCGGAAGAAGGUAGGUCUAGUACUGUAAUGUUGCUCUCACAGGACAGAGUAAACCUUACGUCGCCACAGUACUUUGGAUCAUCGUUCAGUCGAAAAGGAUGGCUUAUGUUGUGGAUAUGGCCGCAGGAUGAAGUGCAGGACUUGGCACUACUGUUGUCAGCGUUACAAGUUUCACUGCAAAAGCAAAGAAGAAGAAAGGCUAAACUUAAGGUGAAGGACCUGGUUCCACUGAUUUCCAUUGCUCUGAGAGAGAGAGAGAGAGAGAGAGGGCACUAUAGCUUAAACACCAAGGAGUUAUAUAAUAUGGGAGGGGUUAAAGCACCUCGCUUAAAGUUGCAGUAAGCCCGUCAAAUAUCCUAGGGAAAAGUCGGUCAAUGCUGUCCUAUAGAGAAAAGUCGGCCUUGAUGUUUGACACGGUCACACUCUCUCUCUCUCUCUCUCUCUCUCUCAUUGACGAGGGACACUGUAAUUGAAAAAAAAAAUUGUUAUUCAGAGAUAGAUCUUGAAAUUCUUAUUUUAUAUAAAAAAAAGGGGUAUUUAGAUUUUAGGACCUAUAUAAGAUAAUUUUUAGAUUAUAAGGUUUCAAAAUCUUAUUUUAGUCCCUAAUUUAAUAUUCAUCGCCACAUCAUAUUAUAAGAUACCUCUAUUACCUACCAUAUUUACAAACUUUGCCAUUUAAAUUGUCAACCUAUUCUAUAAUUAAGGCUUAAAUAUAUUCCGUUAAUAAACCAUUCGUCAAUAAGAUAAAUCCAACUAUGGUAAAUUAUACUAAUUUAUACUUGCUGACAAACAAAUUAAGUCUAUAGUAAUUUUAGGUCAGUCACCUUAAGAAGUCGAAGAUGAAAAAAUCAAAUACAAAACAAUAGGUUAAAAAAAUUAAAUAAUAACCCUUAAUAUAUAUAUAUAUAUAUAUAUAUAUAUAUAUCACAAAAAAAAAGUAUAACAACUCCUUAUUGUCUAUAUAUAGGAAUUGCAUAAGUGUCGGUACAUAUGUGUAGGUACAUACAUGCACAUAGGUACGGAAGUAUCGGUAUGGAAGUGCCGGUACAUACGUACACAUAGGUACGAAAAUAUUGAUACGUUAGCAUCGGUACAAAAGUAUCGGUGCGGAAGUGUCGAUACUUAUGUACAUAUAUAUAGGUACGCAAAUAUUGAUACAUAAACAUCAAAAGAAAAAAUCGGUAGAUUCGAUGUAUGAGAAGGUAAAAAUAAAUCAUCAACACUAGAAAAAAAUGAUAAAAGUAAAUCAUGCACUAUUAGAUGCAUAAGAAGAAGAAAUAUUAGAUGUGGAUGGUGGCCCUAGCCCUCUCUUCUAACACGGUUGAAGAUAAUUUUUUGGGUUGGACAAAAAGUUUCAUUUUUAAGGAGAACCAUUUAUGUUAGCAAUAAAACUGAAAAGUUAUAAAUAAAAUAAAUAUAAGACAUUAUAAUUCACUCAAGGAUAAUAUAGGAAGAAAAAAAUUACAUAAAAGGAAUUAACUCUGACAUUAAAUAUAAAUGCUGACUUGGACAUAAGUCAAAGGACUAUAAUUAGUUUUUUAUCUUGGUUAAGGUUUUAGUCUAAAGAUAAUCUUUUUCAAGGAUUAAUAUCUAGUUUCCUAUAAAAAAAAACACCUAAUAUUAAUCAUUCAAAUGAAAUUGUUAAAAUUAAGUAUAAAUAAUACAUAAUGAAAACUGAACACAUACAAUCAACGGUCACGACCAUGAAAUCCUCCGGAUCCUCAGAAAAAAAUCCGACGAUGAUCUUUUUCUGUGUAAAAUAAUUUGAGGGUAUAAUACUGGAUGUGCGAUUAAACCGAAGAACCCACCCACCUCCAUCUUCUCUGACCAACUUGAACCCAGCCACUACUACAUGUCAUCCCGACAACCCACUCUCAGCUUCCCAAACCGCCAUUUUUCACCCAAUGGAACAUUUAAAGAAAAAAUCCAUCUGCAAAUCGAAAACCACCGAAAAAAAUUAAAUCAGAUACAUUGGAAAAAACGCAAAACUCAAUGGAACAACACUGGCGUGGAAGAGAAAAAAAGCAGAAGGUGAGAAUGGAGAGAAAGAAGCGAACGGAAAGAAAAAGCAAAGAAGAGGUUGGAAACGGAACAACAGAAGAACAAUAGAAGAACAGAAAUGGGUAUGGGAAACGGAACAACAGAACAAAAAGCAGGCGGUGUAUAGAGCAAGAAAAGCAAACCUCACGAUGACCAACACGUGCUAAGAGAGGCCCCGGUUCACUGUGUAUCACAUUUUUUAAUAUUUUUUUUGGUCUUCCCACCGGCUAUACAUGGGAUUCCAAAAUUAAGAAGGUAUAAAUUUUUAUUGUUUCUUGUGCCACAAACCAUGUGGCCCAGUCUUAAUCACAUUUUUUAAAUAUUUUUUUUGCUCUUCCCAUCAGCAGUACAUGGGUUAAAAAAAUUAGGAAAGUAUAAAUUUUUAUUGUUUGUUGUGUCACAAACCACGUUGCCCGGUUUUAAUCACAUUUUUUUAAUAUUUUUUUGUCUGCCCACCAGCUAGGUUUAAAGAAUUAAAAAAGGACUAAAAGAAAGACUCCACAGAUGGAGGAACAUGGGAAUAGAAAGGGCAAAUUUGGGAUUUUACUGUACAAAAAAGACAAAAAGUAACUGCUGAAGACUAACUUGAGGGGCAUUUUGGUCUGCACACUGCCCUAGAACAGUAACCAUCGGAUUGGGUUUUAGUAUAUAUAGAAUAUGUUUAGAUAAGGACAAUAAACUUAGAAUUUUGCCAAAAGUCAGAAUUUAUAAAUUGAUACAAUCAAUUCAUUUGUUUGGAUUCAUAAACAUAGAAAUUUAGACUUUCCGCGUGAGAAAAAACUUGGAAUUUGGGACCUUCAAUUCUCAUGUUUAAAUUUCAUGUAAAUAGGUGUCAUUUAUAAAUUUCAGUAAGUGAGAGUUUAAAAAUAACAAACAUGUAUUCAAAUUUCAUUCCUCCUUUGGUUAACCAAAAAAGAAAAUUUAUAAAUUCUAGAAAAUAAAAUUUCUUUAUUUUAAUUUCUGUUAUUUUAAAAUUCUUAGGGCUUGUUUGGUAUUCUACUUGAAUCCAACUUUUUAAACUAAAAAAUAAUUUUCAAGUUUUAGGCCUUAAAAACUUAUUUGGUAGAACUAUUUAAAAAAACUGAACUUAAGACUAACUAAAAAAUAUAAUAUAUUAUCUAAAAACACAAAAAAUGAGUUUUUAGAAUUUUUAAACUUAAAUUCACUCAUUUCUUUUCUCUCCCUCCUCCCCUCUCACUCCAAAUCUCUCUCUCUCUCUCUCUUUUCUUCUUUCUCUCUCCCCUUCUCUUUUUUUUAACCUUUUUUUGUCUCUCAUCUAAUCCGCUCUCUUCAUUUUCUCGGUUCUUUCUCUCACUCAUAUUCCUCUCUAUCUCCUCCAAUUCUCUCUCUUCAUUCUUUUUCAACCAAUAAUUUCUUACUUUUUUCCUCUUCUCUCCUCUUGAUUCUCUCUCUUCAUUCUUUUUCAACCAAUCAUUUUUUACUUUUUUUCCUUCUCUCCUCUUUCUCCCUCGACUUCCUCUUUUUGGAUCUCUUUGUUCAGUUUGAGCUGUAAGAUUUAAAAUUAUUUUAAAUCGUAUACCAAACAAGUUUUUGAGUCUUAAAGAAAAUUGUUUUUCAAAAAAUGUUCUUAAGAAAUGUUUUGAGAAAUGAUAAAAAAUUUCAAAUAAGAUACCAAACAAGCCCUUAAUAAUCUUAAAUUUUCCCAUCCAAACAAAAAAUUUUCUUGUCAUAGAACUUUCAAUUGGAAUCAAAGAAGACAAUCUUUUCACAACUAAUUAUUCUCACCAAAAGCAAUUUUUAUUUUAAAGCAAUCAAUACCAAACUGCAAAAGCAAAGUAGGAAGGCUAAAAUUAAGGUGAAGAACCUGCUUCCACUAAUUUCCUUAGGAGGGAGAGAGAGAGGGGGAGAGAGAACCAAGCGAGCGAGCAGAGAGAGAAAACACCAAGUAGUAUUCUAAUGUUGGUGGGGUUAAGUCACCUUCCGUGAAGUUGCAGUAAGGACUUCUAUCCCAGAGAAAAGUCAGUAAAUGAUGUUGACACAGUCAACGACAAAGACAGAAUUGUGUAACCAUAAUUCUCUCUCUAUCUCUUUUUCAUUAUCGGAUGACAGUGUAACACUACUACGUAUAUAUCUCUGCUCAAUUAUUGAAAAGAAAAAUCCAUGUGCAUUAUUUUUAUUAUUAUUAUCUCAGAAAUGCAGAAAUUGAUCAUCUCUUCCUUUUGCAUAUUGAUACUGGUUUUCUUCAAACUAGUUGAAGCAAGUCAAUAUGUGUGCGCGAAAUCCAACUGUAGCAAUGAUCAAAGCGGGGCUAUCCAUUUCCCAUUAAACAUCAGGCGCACACAUCAUUGUGGUAAUUCUGGGCUUGAAUGCAAUGGGAGAUAUGAACAGCAAAUACUAAUAAAAUUAUUUGUCAAAGACAUAGAUUACAAGCGUCAGGAAAUCCAAGUCUAUUCCCCAAGUAACUGCCUGCUGCUAAAGCAUGUUGAAAUCCCAAACAUGCCACCCUCUCCCUUCAACGUGUCAGUCGAUGACUACAUGAGUAACCUUACCUUAUUCAGUUGUCCUACUUCUUUUGCAAGACGAGAUACGGAUGUGUAUCAAGUCCCCUGCCUCGGCGACCGUGGCAAGAGAACUUAUGCCAUUUAUUCUGAUUAUGGUUUUAGAACUCUCUUCCGGAAUCUACAAUCUUGUACAAAAAUGUAUGAUGUUUUAUCAGUUCCAAUACCCUCUGAAUAUUAUGUUCUUCGUUUCAAAUGGUCUAUACCAAAUUGCAGAAAAUGUGGAGAGGGAAAGAGGUGUGAAUGGCAGAACAAUGAAAUUAAAUGUAUUCAAUGGAGGAAACCAAGUAAGGAUAACAUAUGUAUUCAUUGCUAGUUUUAAACAUCUUUACAUUUGUUUCUCAGUAAUUAUUGUUUAAAACAUGUCCAAUCCAUUUUUACUAUGAAUAUUAACUGACAGUCUCAUUUGAAUUUGCCUUUAUCUUUUACAGGCAACACAUGGAAAUUAGUGGUCACAGGGGGAAUCCUGGGUUCUUUGCUUCUUGUUCUACUGAUGAUUGCAGCAUAUCGGGUAUAUAGCGUUGAUAGAAAGAAAAAAGAGAUUCGAUUACGAAUUGAAAGAUUCUUGGAGGAUUACAAAGCACUCAAACCAAGCAGAUACUCGUACGCAGAUAUUAAGAGGAUUACAAAUCAAUUCAAGGACAAGUUGGGCAAAGGAGCCUAUGGAACUGUCUUCAAAGGAAUGCUCUCUUCUGAAUUCUUUAUUGCUGUCAAAGUCCUCAACAGUUCCAAGGGAGAUGGGGAAGAGUUCGUAAAUGAAGUGCGAACGAUGGGUCAUAUCCACCACGUAAACGUGGCUCGCUUGGUUGGAUUUUGUGCUGAUGGAUUUGUACAAGCUCUUGUUUACGAGUUCUUCCCCAUUGGUUCCCUGCAGGAUUUCAUUUCAUCUGCAGAUAGUAAGAAUUCAUUUCUUGGUUGGGAUAAGCUGCAAGAUAUUGCCCUAGGCAUAGCCAAAGGAAUUGAAUAUCUUCACCAGGGAUGCGAUCUACGAAUCCUGCAUUUCGACAUCAAACCCCAUAAUGUUUUGCUAGACCAAAACUUCACUCCAAAAAUUUCUGAUUUUGGUAUGGCCAAGUUAUGUUCCAAGGAUCAAAGCUUGGUGUCCAUGACUACAGCUAGGGGGACCAUGGGCUACAUUGCACCUGAAGUGUUCUCCAGGAAUUUCGGAAAUGUGUCUUACAAGGCAGAUGUCUAUAGCUUUGGAAUGCUGCUGCUUGAGAUGGUAGGAGGAAGGAAGAAUAUUGGUUCAAUCACGGAUAACACUACAAAUGAAAUUUACUAUCCACAGUGGAUUUAUAAUCUUCUAGGGGAAGGGGAUGACCUACGAAUCCACAUUGGGGAAGAAGGAGACGGUAAAAUUUCAAAGAAACUUGCAAUUAUAGGGCUAUGGUGUAUCCAGUGGCACCCGUCGGAUCGUCCUUCCAUGAAAAUAGCGGUUCAGAUGUUAGAAGGAGGAGGAGAAAGCUUGAGUAUGCCGCCUAAUCCCUUUGUGCCUACUGGUUCUACAACUAGGAAUGCAAGACGCCUAGAGCUAGAAGCUAUUGCUGAAUUAGAGUAAAAUGUAUAUGCAGAUAUAUAGACGUAUAGAUAUAGUAAUAUUUACAUUGAAUAAGAUACCGUUUGAUAACCAUUUCGUUUUCAGCUUUUAAUUUUUAUUUUUCACUUUUUUGAAAACUGAAAACUAAAAUCUUGUUUGGUAAAUACUUUUAGUUAAAAAAAAAUGAAGACUGAGAACUAAAAAGUGAAAGCUCAAAGGAAGUAGAUUAAAAGUAGUUACCAAACAAACCGGAAUCUCAAUAAUAAAAAAGAUUGAAUUGCACAAUGCAAUCCAAACCAAUCAAAACAUUAAAAUAGCAAAAAAAUUAAAAUUCUAGUUGAUUAGAUUCUGAACAUAGUAAAAAUGAACAGAUCCGAUGAAAAAACAAAAAAUUCUCAGAUAAAAAUAGGGAUAAAGUAGAAUAUUUAUAAAUAGCUCAUUGUCUCUUAUGUCAUCAAUUAUUUCUAUAGUAUAUACAGGUUUUUGGAAAAAUUAGGUUCCCAUCCCUUAUUUUCAUAUUACAUUGAUUGAAAUCUUAUUAUUUUUCUAUUUUAGAUCAAGGUCCCUUGACUUAUUCCAUGUCAUCAUUUUAGUAUUUAAAAUAUUACACGUCAUCAUAAACGAAAUCUCAUCCCUUUCUGCAUUUAAGGCAAAAUAAACUAUAUAAGUAAGUUUAAAACAAGGAAAAUCCAUUUGAACUCCUCCAUUCUUCUUCUUCCCUUAUGCACAUCUGGAAUCUACAACACCCCAAACCCAAUUUUCUCCAUUUUUCUUCAUUCCUGAAUUGAUCCAAUGCAUAUAUGUUGAAUAAACCUAUUGUGAUUAAAAUACAAAUUAGCAUCAAUGAUUUUAUCGGCUUGUGAGAUUUGUGUGGCAUAGGCAAGGCAAUGCAGGCAUCGCUUUAUCAAAGAAUCUGGUUGAUUCAAACAUGCAGAGACUGUAGAGUGAGCGGGCUAUGUAAAAACUGUACCAUUUUGAAGUCAUUUUCUUUUGUUCUUUACAUUUUUUUUUCUUUUAUUAUUAUAUAUUAGUCUUGAUUAUUCAAUGUCUGGUUGGCUACACUUAUAUCCAUGGGUACAUUUUUAAUCUACAUGUUUCGUUCUAAUAUAUCUAUUGCUAUAAUAUGUUUUGGUUGGUUCAAAUUUGUUUUACAUAAAUAUAUGGGUACAAAGUUUUUGUAGAAUAUUAUGUAAAAUGGUUUUUAAGGUUGCUGCAUUUUACGUACCCACAUAUGCAUGUCUAUAAAACAAUGUGGUAUGAUGUACAUUCUUUUCUUUGAGUUUUUAAAUGUACCCAUGAGUUUUCUUGUAAAUUCGGUAUGUACCCAUAUGCUAUUUAUGUUAUGGGUACAUACAUUAUUUUUGGUCUAAGUUCAUGGGUACAUUACUUUUGUAUGUAUGAAUUCAUGGAGUACAUUAUUUCCCUUAAUACUACUCAAUAAAAUUCACAAAAAUAUGUGUAGCGUGCAUGAUUUUUUAUUGUAGAAAUUGUUUGUUUUUUUUAAGUCUCAUAAUUCAUGAAAUUUGUACAUAUAUGAUCACAUAAAUUUUUUAAUUUUAUUAAAUUUCUUUUAGACUUGAUCGAUUGAUUGAAUCUCAUAAUACUAGGAUUUUGAAUUACAUAAAUUCUUGGAUUUAAAUCCCUUAAAUGUUGAACUGCAAUCAAUAUUUUAAAUUACAGUUUUUUAUUUAAGAUAUCAAAAAGAUGACAUGGAAAUAUAGUAAUACUAAAAUGCUGAGGUGUACAAAGUCAAAGGACUUUGAUAAAAAAAUAAAAAACAAUAAGAUUUCAAUCUAACAAUUGAAUUGACUAGGGAUCGGAACCAAAAUGACCCUAGAUUUUUAUUGAGUUUAAUCUUAAUAAAAAAAAGACUUCUUGUAUCACAAAAAAUACAAGAACCAUUAUUUGAAUGAAAUAAAAGCUAUGGGAUGGAGAUAUAAAUGGAUCCUUUAUUUCACAAUUGGAUUAUAUUUAUUUGAUACACUGUUGUCAAUAUGAAUGCUGAGAAAAGACUACAAAAGAAAAAAACAAUUUAUAAAUAUAACUAACAAUUCCAAUUUCAAUCAAUUAGACAAUUAGAAUUAUAAGAAGAAAAAAAAAAGAAAUUUCAGUUUUCAGUUUAAAAAAAAUGAAAAAAAAAUGGUUAUCAAAGCCGUCCAAAUAAUACAAGUUUGUUUCCACUCUUUGUUUAAGCAUAGAUGCCAAUUUUUGUUUAUCAUUUUUUUAACCUUUAUUUUUUGUUACAGUAGAAGCCCUGGAAGGAAAUCGAGCACUGGACUUACCAAACUCUUAACUUAUUUCUACACACCAAGAGCUUGAUUUCGGUUCUUAUUUAUACUAUUUAAGCUAUAAGCCGUGACAAGAAUUAGAGAACUAUCAUUUGUUGUGAGCUUCAAUUGGUUAGCACUUUGUAUGUUUUCAUUAGAAUAUAUAUUUCACUUAGACUUUCUUAUUAAAAAAGGGAUCAGCUGGUGACUUUACCACGACAAUCCAAUUUUAUGGGGGUCAUGAAUACUCACAAAGGCAUUUCAGCCUCCCCCUAUAUCUACCGUCGCGUGAUUCACCAUUGUCAGAAAUCGAACCCAAGACGUGUUGUAUAGAAUACGGGCCUAAAAUUCAUUUCUAACCACUGAGUCACCCCGCGUUUGAUUAUAUUUCACUUAGACUUAUCUUGCGGUAUAGCAUGUCAUCCCCGCCCAAGUUUUUCCCUUCGCGUUGACUUUGGGAUACCAAAACUUGCCAAACAAAGUAGAUUGAUUAGUAAGCGAAGCUAAUUAUUCGACUAAACAUUGUUUAGAAUUUUAAUUAAAAGAACCAAUAUGAAUCUGUUUUUUUUUUUUUUGACAAACUAUAACGUUAAGGAGUUAAAUUGUUAGUUGUUAAGAGUACGGGGAUAGGUGAGGAUCGAACCUCCACCAUAGUGCAUAGACAUUAUUGGUUCUACAACUGCUGUAAAUCACAUAAAACAAAACGUAAUACUUUGAGGAUGGAAGACACUUCGUGGAUAGCGGGCAAUCAACACUAUCAGUUGCUAUCCAAAACUUGGAAUUAUGUUUAUUGUCCGAAGGAUUUUUCUUCCAUUAAAUUGCUAAGGAAGAUGAGGAUGGGUAGAGUGUCUAAAUGUCAAGGUUGAUAAGAACGUGUAUGGUGUUCAGCUUGCGAUUGAGAUUUGUUGAGUGGCACAACAAACCACAUAAAAUUUUCUAAAUGAUAAGCUUGAGUAUAAUUUUUUACCACGUAUUUAUCUUUAAAAUCAUUAUAAUUAGAUUUUCUCUUAAUUAAUAUAGACCGUUAGAUUCAUCUAAUGACCCAAGUUUUUUUCCUCUUUUCUUUCUACUCUUUUUUUCUUCUCUGAUUUUCCAUUCACCGUGUAGCAGUCGUUCUUCCCCAACUAAGUUUCUUAUUUUUCUUCACAAAAAAAUUGUAGAAAAUAUUAAGAAAAGAAAAGUCAUCAAUAUCAGACUCGACCAGGUAAUCGUUCCAACCUUCCCAGCAACUCUCAGUCUUAACAAGGCACCAAAUUUUCUCCGCCACCUAACUCGUCAUUCAUUUAUGGGUGUUUCAAGCUUGGUGAAAAUUGAUAGAGUUCCAUGUGUGUACACGGAUGUGAACAUAUUGGCCACUCUCUAAUGUGUUGGUUUAUCACAAAGAACCCAGAUACAAAAUUUUAAAAAGCAAACAAUUACAACUUCUCAAAUAUUAUCUAACAAACUUUCAAUGAAAUGUUGCUCAUAAUUGAAAAAAGGUUGACGAAGGACGGAGUUGGAGUUAUUUUAGAUGGGGAAGAGUUAAAAGAAGGAAGCACCAUUUAAUUAAUAAAAGCGAUUGGAGAAAUAGUAAUUCAAUGGUGGGCGUUUUUAAGGUGUGGACCUUGUAUCACACCCCGAUUCCAACAUACAUUGAGGAUCAACACGUGACAUGGGGACAUAGGGGACAUAAAUCUUAUGUAAGAUACAAAAUGAAAUACUAUAAAUAAUAUCCCAAAAUGAAUAUGAUAGUGGGUUCACCCCUAUAAAAUAUAUACGAGUUUGUACAUUCACAAAAAAAAAAAAAAAAAAAAAAAAAAAACACAUACACACACACAAAACUCUCGCUAGGCCAAGACUUGCCCAUGGUGCUCAAAGGAAAGUCCCAAAAGAAAGAGUACAAUGAAGGAUAAAGGGGUAACCUAAACACUCCAAGUCUCUGAUCUCUGCACUGCUACCCUCACCGGCUCCUCGUAAUCUACUCAGACCUAUCACAUGUACAAACAGUGCCUACAUUGUGGGAAUGGUGCAUCGGGCAAACAAAAACCCGGAUAAGCUGCAAAACUCGUGUGAGUGACAAUAAUGCAACAUAUGUGAUAAUCAAGAAAAACAUACCAUCGAUCGCAGUUUAUAAACCUCAAAUAUAACUUCAUACUUAUGAAAUCAUAAUCAAGUCACUGAAAACUUCGAAUGAGUCACCCAGACAUCCAACGACUUUUUAAAAUCAAAUCUCAGAGAUUCCAAAACUAUCAUUCACAAAUACACUAAAAACUAGGGCUAGAGUGACACAGUUCGGCCAAAGACUACAUAAGUAACCAAACAAGAAGUGGCCCCCCAUAGCGGAUUAACCAAGCAGAGCCACUCCUGAAAAAGUAACCAAGUAGGUAGUGACCCCCAUCACGGAUUAACCAAGCAAAGUCACUCCUACGAAACUGUUAGGUAGUGAUCACCCAUCGCGGAUUAACCAAGCAUGAUCACCCCUAAGUACGUAUGGCCAUACCUAAGAAAUAAGGAUCGCCCACCGCAGAUUAACCAAGCACGAUCCAAAAAUAUUAUGGGUCCCCUAUCACGGAUUAACCAAGCAUGACCAUCCAUGUACCACUACUACAUGGUGUAAAUUCGGUGUCACCUAACCUCGUGACACUAGGGUAACGGUCCUUUACUAGCCCUCACGUUUUUCAAACAUUUCAAAUAUAUAAUUUAAAACACAAUUCAUAAACAUUUCGAAUAAGGAAGUCACAUAGUGUUUAAUAAUGUAGGUCAAUGGAAAACUUUAAAAACAAUUAUUUAGCAUAAAACAUAUUUUAGAAAUCCAUGUUGUAUCCACAAAGUAUACUAGCAUGGGAGAUUUUCAGGGUAAUAACUCUAUCAUAUAUAUUAAAGUCACUCACCUGGAGUCCACACUAACGCACCCUAACACGAAUAUCAAGACGUCACGUACUAUCAUCUGUAACAUCCCACAUCAACCAACGGAGAGAGGGUGAUGUGCCUUAUAUGUACAUGCCCACCUCCAUAGCAUGAGACCUUUUGGGAGCUCACUGGCUUCAUAUUCCAUCGGAACUCCAAAGUUAAGCGAGUUUGGGCGAGAGUAGUCCCAGGAAGAGUGACCCACUGGAAAGUUCUCGUGUGAGUUCCUAGAAACAAAAUCGUGAAGGCGUGGCCGGGGGGGGGGGUUAAAGCGGACAAUAUUGUGCUACGACGAAAUUGAGACUGAGAUGUGACAGAAUGGUAUCAAAGCCACUCUGCCGUGUGGUGCGAGUGUGCCGACGAGGAUGUCGGGCCCCUAAGGGGGGUGGAUUGUAACAUCCCACAUCGACCAACGGAGAGGAGGUGAUGUGCCUUAUAUGUACAUGCCCACCUCCAUUUAGCACGAGGUCUUUUGGGAGCUCACUGGCUUCGGAUUCCAUAAGAACUCCGAAGUUAAGCGAGUUCGAGCGAGAGCAUUCCCAGGAUGAGUAACCUACUGGGAAGUUCUCGUGUGAGUUCCCAGAAACAAAAUUGUGAGGGCGUGGCCAAGGCCCAAAGCGGACAAUAUCGUGCUAUGGCGGAGCCGAGAUUGGGAUGUAACAUCGUCACCUAAGACAAAGUACAAGUCCACAUUUAAAGUUCUUCGUGUAUUCACAUAAUAAAAAAUUUCCAUAUGCCCCCUACAACUAAUGAAGAGAAAUCGAGACACGUUGACAAAAAGUCAACUGUUGAUCAACGGUAGGGUCCAUAACCCUACGUAACUCGAUCUGCAAGAUCCAGCCACUGUAUUUGUGAUUCAUAAGUUCCUAAGGUCCUUAAAUCUUACGUACAAUAACAUACUAAACUUUGGUGACGAUCUAAUUGUCGAAUCAUCAUUUGCUAUAAUGUUCAAAUGACGCAAAUUCAUCAAUCAGAUGUUAAAUAUGGAAUCGGUCAUCGAAUUUAGCUUAGGAAGGUCAAGUGGUGUCUCGAGCCACGUGCUGCCGUGCGCAGCAGCUGGCAACCCAAAUUCGUCGGAAAAAUCACCUAAUUCCAAAAUGAAUGUCGUUAGACGUGGAGUAAAUUGUAUACCUGUGAAGAAGCCCAAUUUGGUCGGGAAGUGGCCUGAAAUCACUUUAGACCGUCGGAAACCCUAAAAUAGGUGAAUCUCGAUUCGUCAUCUCCGGUAUUCCACCGUCCUCAAACUUGUUUAGGGUUUGCUCCUGGUCUCAAAAGAAUGCUAAUGAUGGUGGUGAUUGAAGGAGAAUGUUUCAGAAAUAAUGAAUCGUCGACGAGGGUUUCACGAAACCGACAUGGGUGUUCCUUGUGGAACUAAGACCAAAUCUCAACGGUUUUGGCUAGAAAUGGAUGCUGGGAUGUCGUGGUGAGGUUUGGUAGUGAUGGGAGGUCGAAGAAAGCCAAAAAAAUCGACGAAAAAACAGUCGUCGGAGUCGCAGGAAACGGGUUAGAAAAACGAGUCGCCAGGUCUGAAACGGGUCGAAGGCUUUUGGGACAGCUACUUACUCUCUCUUCUUUGAUUAGUCACUCCACUCACUCUCUCAUUUGAUUAGUCCAGCCUUCCCACAUGGUGGGAGUUCCCUCAUAUAGUAACCCAAAAUUUACUAUUUAAAUCUGGUAUCGAACGUUCGUAACUUUUUCGUUAUAGUUUCGAUUCGCAAACAGCUUUCGCCUACGCGCUCGUAUGAUCGAAUUAUACUCGAAAACAUUAAUUGUGACCUCGAAAAGGUCUACGAGUUUUAAAAGAUUAAUUACAAAAAUUCACACCUUGUAACUAUACGAUCCAAAUUCUAAAAUUAACGGAAUUAAAAUAAACUAAAAAUAAUGUAAACACGAAAUACAGACUUUAAUAAUGAAAUACGUAAUUAAUAGUAGUAUUCCGGGAACGGGAUUUCACACCUUGCGUCCGGACCUUGAGUGCGGAUCAGAAUCCAAAGGUCGUGAUCUGACAAGCUCAUGCAUAGAACGGAGUCGUUGUGACCCAAUGCAAUUCAAAACUUUUAUGUUUUUUAUUUGCUGGGUACGUUUUUGUAGGAGGAAAAGGGGAAGUCGAGGGAUUCUUUGCGCAUUAAAGAGGGAAAGAGAGAAAGGGGGAGCUAAGAGGUUCUUCGCGCGUUAAAUUUUUGCUUCUAAUUUUGCAACCUAGAAAUAAAGUAUUUUCUUUAUGGUUUAUGGUUCAAGAAUAUAAUGGAUGCAACCUAAAAAUGUUUCUUUUUUUAUUUUUUACUUUUUUUCUUCUUAUGUUGGCUUUUGGUUUAUUUUUAUAACGCACUAUAUAUUAACUAAAUUUAUAAACAUUUUGUAUCUUUGUUGCAGUCAAAUUAAUCAUAUGGGUCGGCAUGACUAAGUUCGACUGAGACAUACAGAUGUUUUGCAAUCUUAAGUCUAACCUGACACACCUCGACCUCAAUAUCCAGUGAACACCAAAAUUAAGGUGUGCUGGCCAUCAUCCGGAUGGGUGACGAAACCAUAAUAUGCAUGAAAACAUAACUAAAUUAUCAACCAAUAAAAUCUAUUGAAAAAUUUGGCAGAACAUCCCUUAAAAUAGGGAUAUGCCCAAAUUAAAAACACUUGCACAUGAUCACAAUUAUUCAAACACAUCCCGAAGGGCCACACUUAAUGGGACUUCGACCAUCUAUUACAUGCAUGAGAAUAUGUUCAGAGAAUAAUUACCCAAAUACGUCUUAUUAAAAUAUUGAGUAAAUACCAUACAAGAUAGAAUACGUCAGAGCUGUUGCAAAAUACCUCAACGUCGGAUGUAAUCACUGAUAGAAUUACUGAAUCAUGUAUAAAUGGAAAGCUGAUAAAUACAUGUAAUUUGAGUGGAUACUUACCAACAGCAUGGAUACAAUAUCAUCCACCAGUCGUAACUAGUGAAAACUGGAUAAUAUAAUCAUGUCAUUGCCGAGUAAUCUCAAGGCAAUGACAAGAUGAGAAUGUAACUGAGUAAUCAUAUCAUUACUAAAUAAUUUCAAAGCAAUGACAAGCUGAGAGUAUAACCGUAUAAUCAUGUCAUUACCGCGUAAUCUCAAAAUAAUGACAAGCUGAGAGUAUAACUGUAGUACCUCUUAUUAGUGCAAUGCAUGAUAUGAAUUCCAUCUCACAUAUAUAUGCAAGCCAUAAUCAAACCAAUAAACAUCCAACAAAAGCCACAAUCCUUUUAACAUUCGACCACAAGAUCAAUUUUCAUAUUUCCCAAACCUAGGUUCCGAAGCAUUGUUUCGAAUUAUUAAUACAAGAAACCACCACCACCUCAAUCAAUUCCUAUUCAUAAGUGUAAGCAAUUACUAAAUGCAUCACUUUCGACUCUAGUCUUAAUUAGAUUACUUGGGAUACUCAUUCACACCAUCAGAUCCACGUACAAUUUUGAUAAACUUUAAAUAGCAUGGUUAAAAUAAAUGAAACAUUUGAAUGAAACACUUUUAGAAAAUAAGUGAAGAUGUUGUUUACAAAUAUAGAUGCAUCUGUAUAUAAAAGCUUUGGCGGUUGAUUCGUAUACUUCCAGAGAUAUAAGCAAGUUCAUUGGAAUAUGCAUACAUGGUUAAUGUAUUACGGUAUAAUUAAUAAGAAAACAAUUGCAUCCCCUUCAGAUUAUAUAUAUAUAUAUAUAGACACACACACAUACACAUACAUACACACAGGCCCUUUAUGCAAAGGAAUUUCCAUUUUUUUUCAAAAAAUGGGGAUUAGUUGUGGGGCCCACGCUGCAUUGAACUUUAACGAUCCGAACAAUCUAUUUUGUAAGUCUCGAUUCAUAGAUCAUCCUUGCAAAAAUUCAAUUCAAUCCGAACCCUUUUGCCUAUUUAAUUAUCAAGAUAAAAUUUCAUUGUUUCUUAUAUAACAAAGUAUUCGUUAAUUUCUUUGAACUCAAUUAGAUAUCUUAAACAUUUCCGAUUUGGCUAAUAUUUUGCAAAGAUGAUCUAUGUGGUGCAACUUGAAAAAUAGACGAUUUCGAUUGUUAAAGUUCGAUGUGGUGUGAACCCUACAAUUAAUCUUCAUUUUUAUAAAAGAAUGGGAACCCCUCCCCUUAAAGGUUUCCUAUGUAUAUAUUUGUUCUUCAGACAUAUGCAAAAGGUAAUGUAAAACCAAUGAGAACUUAAAUAGAUAUUCCAUACAUAGGACAAUUCCAUAUAUGCUUUUUCAACAUUUAUAUCGAAAAGCCAAAUUGUUUUGAGGAAAUUAAUUGUAGUAAUGGUCCCUUAACUUUUAUCUUAUUGGAGCAAUGGUCUCUCAACUAAAAAUUCAUGACCAUUGGUUCCUUAACUCCACAAAACGUGUAGUUAUGGUCAUUUUCAUUAACUCCGUCAGAACUUUUGUUAAAACAAGUAAUGUUAGAAGAAUCAUUGCUACAAUCAGGUUAAAGUUGGGGACCAUUGCUCUAAUUGAAUUAAAGUUGAGGGAUCAUUACUCCAAAUUGCUUAAAGUUCAAGGACCAUUUCUACAAUUUUCUCAUCUAGUUUCCCAUAUUUACCCCAUGAUUCAGCUUCACAUGCAUUGCACAUGACUCAUUUUGACAAAAGUUUUAACGAAAUUGACGAAAAUGACCAUAAAUGCACGUUUUGAAGAGUAAGAGACCAAUGGUCGCAGAUUUUAGUUGAGGGAUCAUUGCUCCAAUUUGGUUAAAGUUGAGGGACCAUUGCUACAAUUUGCUCAAAUGUUUCGUAUGCGAAAAUAGGCAUUUGUAAAGUUUGGCUUGUUCAUGGCAUUAUUACUUUAGUCUAAAGUAAGGCUGGAAAUGGCACUGUAGAAAUGAAUAGUGUUCCAAUCCGAAUUUCAGUUUAAUUACAACAAUGCCAUUGCUCUUUGUGUUGCCUUUAGGUGAGCAACCCAACUUCCAGCCAGGCCCAAAUGUAUUGGUUUUAGCUGAGAAGCCCGACCUUUGGUCAGGCCCAAAACUUUAAAUUACAGUUUUGCCCAUACAAAAUAACAAUUUGAUUGUAUCGGGAAGGACAAUUUUGUCCUUUUAGUUUUGGGCGAGAUAGGGGGUAACCGGGUAGAUUUCAUUUGCUGUCGUUGAAUGAAGGUUUCGGGGAUGAAGGUUGUGUGUGUGUGUGAGGGAGAUGACGAUGGAAGGAGAGCGAAGGGGAGGGGAAGGGUUCUCGGCACUGUUGCUGCAUGUGGAUUUCACAAGUGGGUGAAUGGGUAUGGUUAGAGAAUACCAUAUAGGUUGUCGGGAUUUCAGGAAACGGGGUAGGGGUCAUGAAUGAACCCUGCUGAGAGUGGGUGCCGGAUCUUGCGCUGCAUGCCUCAAAUCAAAGAUAAGUUCAUUUUUUUAUUGUAUUCUUUAAUGGUAGCUUAGCUUUUGGAAUUGUUUAGUAUGUUAGGUCCAGUUUUGGGGGAUUUAUCUUUUAGAGAGAGAGAUGGACAGGGAGAUAAAGAUAGACAGAGAGAGAGAGAGGAGGAGGAGGCGGAGGAAGUAUGGCUGUGUGCUAUUUUUGGUGUUAAUUAAUGGGUUGGUGCGCAGGGUGAGUGACAGAGUGACAGAGUGACGGAGGGAUGUGUGGGAGGGUAUGGGUUUUUAGUUCUUUCUUUUGAUUCAAUAGGUUAUACACUGUUUGAAAAACCUUUUUUUUAUUUUUUUGUUCUCGUUUGCUUUGUUAAAACCAUCAUUUGAAUUUUUGGGUUUCACUGUGCUCAUUUCUCUGUUUCUUCAUAAUUUGUUGGUGUUUGCUUCUCAUCCCUCUGUUGGUAGAUCUUUUUCUCAUUUCUUGGUUCCUUAUGUAUUCUUUGGUACAAAUCUGUUUACUUUUUGGUUGUGUGAUAAUCUUAGCAGGUGAACUAUAUGAACGUUUUUUUGAAACGAGCACAGUGAAGCAAGCGUAGAUUGGGAGGCAACCCAAUAUUUCUAUUCAUUGCCUUUUUCUGUCAUUUUCAAUUUUCUUGCAUGCUAAACUGAAUUAUUUCUUUUCUUUGUAUUUGGGUUAUGUCCACCCUUGGAGUUGAUUGCGGAAUUAUAGUUUGGGGGUCAUCAUUUGAUUUCACUGCAAAUUGGGGAAGUUUUUAGUCCAAAUGCCGGAUCACUUCAAGUAUCACCUUCCAUUCGAAGUUCACUUCCAUGCCAUGGAACCUAUGGGAGUGUGACUGGAGGCAUCGUCCGGCUGCAAGACGUUAAAGAAAGCGCUUCUUGGGAGGCAACCCAAGCUUUCUAUCUUUCAUCUUUAUUUUGAAUAAUUUUAAAUGUUCUUGUUCUGUUUUUCUCUUAUUUUCUGGUUUUUGUAUUUAAGUCCUACUUUUGUUCCUUUAUGCAGGUAAUGAUUUUGCAAUCUCUACCACAACUUCUUGCAAGGUAGUUUUACAUUCAUAAAAACGAAAGGAACAUUAAGCAUAUAAAUACAAGAGGGAGCCUUCACAAAGGCUGCUUAGGAGAAGUUUCAGCAGUCGGCGGAGUCCCAGAAGGAGGAGGCAUCAGAGGUUGAUCAUUUGGAGCUUCAUUACGUGGUACAACCCCAGAAGACGAAGGCAAAUGCAAAUAAGGAAGAUCUAUGAAUCGCUUCACAAUCGAAAAGGAACAUAUGGUAGAAAAAUUCAAAGAUGAGCAUACAAACAAGAAGGAGUCUUCAUUGGUCAGGAGGUGUCGCAGCAGUCGAAGGAACAUCAGAAAGACGAAGUGUCAGAGCUUGAUUGUCCGGAGCACUUGGUGAAGCACCAGAUGAUGAAGGCAGAAGUUGCCUCAGGAGUAAAGCCAUAAACCUUUGAUGAUCACUCCGAGCCCGAACUUCAGCCUCUUGCAGCUGGUCCAACUUCCUCUUUAUGCUUGUUGAGUAGUUAGUUGCGAGCAUGUGCAACUCUUUAUCUUCAUGCCUCAGCGCUCUGACCUCUUGCCAAAGGCUAGCCACUUCAGCCAUCAACGACUCCACUUGACGAGUUCGAGCAAGAAGGCGUUGGCCCAUGUUUGAUACUGAGCCUGCACUUUGGACGCUGAAAGCCAAAGAAUCCUGAACAGCCUGCUCGUCAGACCGCUUAGAUAGCAUCCUACUGUCUCUUGGAGUAUGAAGAUUUCUAGCAACCACUGCAGCUGUUGCAUCAUUUCUCAUCACAGUGUCCCCAACUGUAAGAGGACCGUUGGAGGAUAUGAAAGAUGGCUGCCAAAUGUUACCUGGAGACGAGAGGUCAAUAUCUUCUUCGAUAUUCAGGUCAAAACGACGGUCGGAUGGGCUAGACAUUUUCAUAGGUGUUAAAGAAAGAAGAGGUCAGACAAGUCAAGAUAGUAGAAAUGCAAGAAGGGAGUAUUCACAGGCAGAAAUUCAUGUGUGCUUUGAACAUCCUGCGAACCUCUAUAAAAAAUAGCACACAAUGAGAUUUCAGGGAUCGAAUAGGCGAGUUCAGAGAUCGAUGAAGCGCCUGCUUUCUCCAAAGCUAGGCCUACUCAGGAAUCACAGGCUGAUCUCAGGUAGUGAAGACGCGCCUGUCUCUCUCAGCCCCGUCAGCACUUGUCACAUGCAGAGAAAACUUUGAGGAAAUCACGGGCAGUUUGUCGAAGCGCCGAUUCCAACCAUCUGUCUUUCUCAGCCUCGUCAGCUUUGAGGAAAUCACGGGCAGUUUGUCGAAGCGCCGAGUCCAACCGCCUGUCUCUCUCAGCCUCGUCGGCACUCGCUUUCUCAAAAGCUGGGCUUGAAAUCACAGGCCAAUCUUCAGUUUCUAAAUUUGUUCGCACUUGUCACAUGCAACCUCUGCACUCAACGAAGCUCAGAACUCGAAGCGCCAAUUCCGGAUAUUAAAGAAGCCUUUGCUUUAUCAGACGUGUCAGCAUCUGUCAAUUGCACAUCUGCGUUGCGUAAAUCACGCGCAAUCUGUCGAAGAUUUCUGGAGAAACGGAAUGCACGUGAAGUUUACUGUUAAAUUACCCCAGGCUUGCUGACACGAGUACUAGAACAAUGCCUUCCCAGCCAUUAAGAAAAAUUCUACAAAUGUUAAAGGCAACCUCACUCAACUUUCAGCCUCACUCAACCUUUCUUCCUCUCUGAGAAUGUAUUCCCGAAGAAGCCUCCCGAGUCACUCUGUGUUUCUCAUCCCUUGGGAUACCCCUGCAAACAACCCACCCAGAGCAAAAGUAUUUCAUAUCAUAACGGUUGAGAGCAAGAGUAUCUCAUAUCAUGCUUUCUCCCUGUCCUUUGUCUCGCCAGCACUUGGUAUCAAUCUUCCGAGCGGGGACCGACUGCCUGGAACCCAUUCCUGAUUGCUUACCUAACCUUGCUCUCGAGUACUCAUCCUUCUUAUGUUUCCUCUUCGUCUACCACAUAGGGGAAGUGAUAAUGAUACCUCGAAGCAUGUGGAUACAACGUGCUGAUUCAUCCUCAACUAAGGACAAGGGAGAAAGCAAGCAAGAUGUGGGCACUUGGAAAGAUUGAACAAAGAAACAGACUAACACCUCUACCUCGUGCCUGCCUACCGAGCAGAAGAAACAAGCAGAGAAGAAUGCAGACUGCACAAUCAAACAACCCAGGAACUCUGAUAUUCCUCGCUCAGGAUUCCAAACCAGUUUGAGAUUCGCCUACACAAAUUGGUGUGUUCUUUCCUUUUCUUUAUGUGUCUUUAUUUCAUUUUAUAUUUCUUUCCUUCCAUUUUCAUGUCUUAUUGUUCAAAAAUUCCUUUCAUUAUCAUUGGGGACAAUGCUAUAAUUAAGUUUGGGGGUAUUUGGAAAUAUAUUUCGUUAGUUUAUUUCUCUAUUAAAAAAAAAAAAAAAUUUUGCAUUUUUAUUGUUGUUUGUAGCUACUUCUCAAUUCAAUGAUGAGAUUUGAUUUUAAUUUCCUUCUUACUUUCAAGAAAGUCUAAGUUCUUUUCGUUGUCUUUGUGUUAACUGUGAUUUCCAGAAAUCAACUUGAAAAAAGAAAUGUGCCUAGUCUUGUCAAUGUGAAACUUGAGCAUGAUUUAGCGUUUCAUAUGUGAAUCAUGUGAGAUUAUGUAAACCUUGUGAGUUUUUUAGCCUAUACAUGAUUGAACCAUUAUGCAUCAAUCUCAUUCCUUCUUGUGCGUAUGAUCUCACUGUACAUGUAUCUCUAGAACUUGCUUUAUACUACUCGAUUCAUUAAUCAAUUCAUGUAAUAACUUGGAAGUGAUAUAGGCCAUCUUUGGAUCGUUUGAGCCUUUCAUGCCUACCUUAUAUGCUAUGUUUAUCCUUAGUAGCCCUUUGAGCCUUUAACUAAGCCAUUUCUUUGUUAACCACAUCUCUUUACCUUGCUCCAAUAUUGGAGUUGAGCCCAUACACAAAAAUCGAUUCCUUAUUGUUUUGAGAAAGUAUUACAUGGGUUGUGCUUUUGGGGGUUUCAUUUAUAUAGAAAGAUGGAUGGAGUAUGUGUAUACAAUGAAAUGUGAAUUUGAUGGGUGAUGUAGAUUUUGAAAAUUAUUUCAAAAGAAAAAAAAAACGAAAAAAAACGAAAAAAAUGAAAAUUGGAGAGUGUUGAUUUGUUGAAAAUGUGUCGGUAGAGUAUAAAUUUCCUUUUAAAGUUAAAUUUGGGGAGUAACAGGUGCUCGAGGUUUUAUUAUUUUGCUUUCAAUUUGAGGUGGUGUGAUAUUGAGGUGUUGGAAAACUACCAAAGUGUACUUUCUCAAAAUUUUUGAUUUCCAUAUCCUUUCUUUCAUUAGCCUAUCACCUUUAGCCCCAUUACAACCGUAAUAAAGUCCUAUUGAUCCAAGGUAUUACUUAAAUAUUGAUAAGCGAGUUAGGUGGACAAGCAAGCACAUGGCGGCAUGUACAAUGAGAUUACUUGAGUGAAACACAUUAACAAAAAAUUAUGAGUGAAUGAGCGUAUGUCUUGUGAGAAACUCACAUGUUUGCAUAUGAUGAUUUAAAGGAGCUUGGAAUUGCAUUGACAUAGCUAGCUCACACAUGGCAUUUCAACGUUUUGUUUGAAGGAAAUUUGGUUAACUAUUGGAUGAUGUUUUGAGCUCUUGCUUACUUCUUGGCAGUGUAUCUCAUGACUAGCACUUAUCUCUGAAAUCGAAAUUGAGAAGUUGGCUACUAAGUUGUUGAAUCUAGUCUUAGUUGAGUGGUUUUGUUUUGCUAGAGGACUAGCAAAAAUGUAAGUUUGGGGGUAUUUGAUCACUCAUAUAUUUCAUGCAUUUAUACCAUCCAUUUCUAAAGUCUUUGUGAUGUUUUUGUGUUAAAGUUGUGGCAUUUUACCUUACCUUGUGUUAAUGUACAGUUAAUUUUAUUUUAGGAUCAAUUUCAAAGAAAAUGGGCUGAAAAGAAAAUAAAAGAAAAGAAAUAAAUGGGACGGAAAGGAAGACACUGACAGAAUAAAAGAAUGAAGAAAGAGGUAGAACGGCAGAUAGAGAAGUGGGAAGAAAGUGGAGUGCGCAUGGGAUGGAAGUGGAACAAAAAGCAGGAGAGGGAGUGAGGAGUGCGGGAUAAAAGCAAAGAAAAAUAGAAGAAUAAGAAAGAAGUGGGAGGACACGGACUGAGUGGAAGAAUUAAAGAGAGAAGCAGGGUGCAGGCACGGACAGAAAGGAGAACUGAAGAAUAAAAGAGAAGACAGAGAAGCAGAAAAAAGAAGAGAAACUGACGUGAAAGCCAGUGCGCAGAGGGCGCAGAGAGAUAGGAGAGAUUGUGCGGGAGCAGAAGCACAGAAGCAGAGGGAACAAAAUCACAGACUGACAGCAGACGCAAGAGGCACGGCAGAGAGCAAAGCUUCACUCUAUUUUUCUUGGUUUUAUCUUCUCAAACCCAUGUUUUACUUUUGGUUUAAUUUGUGAAUUAUGUGUAACUAAAUUUUAAGUAGUUAGGGGCUGUUUUGAAGCCCCGAAUAUGAUUGUAAGUUUGUUGUGAUAUUUUGUUUGAAUGACUUUUAUGAAAGGAUGAAAAUUGUUUCACUACUUAUGUGAUUGAUAAAUUCUUUAUGUGUUUCUAUGGAUGCAUACAUAGUGAGCAUAUCUAGGAUUUUAAUGCUAUGAAUAUAUGUUUACCUGCCCUUGUUGAAUGAGGACCUACAUAUGUUCUAGAGUAGCACUUGUUAAUUGUGGUUAACAUGUGAACCGAUUUCUAGGAUAAGUAAGACAAUGCCAGUACUUAUCAUGCCUUGUGAUGACUCAAACUCUUUUCGUUCUUAAUGAUUUCUACUUGUUAAAUCUAUGAACACGACAUUCUAGAUUACAUGCUAGGGACUACGUUAAGUUGAAAACGCUAUUCUCUUAACAUACUACGUAAGAAAAAGUAAUAGGUUGUGUUCUAACAUUGAGCCAACUUGAGCAUCUUCAUCCGGAAAUAAAAGGAAUUUGAAUGAAACAUAACAUGUUUGCAUGAUUAUUUGGUGGUGGAUAGCAUUUCCCCUAAUUCGUUUUCUUAACUUGUGAAUUAAAAUCUAUUGGUAUUAUUUAAAACUGGUUGAGGUCCUGUUUUGUCCGAUUUAAUUUAAAUAGCUAAUCAACUUCAAAAAUCCCAAACAUUUGUGUGAGCAUAGCUUGGUGUGUCUAGUUUAUGUGUAUAAAAUUUCGUUGCAUUUGGAUAAGUGUAAGUUAGUCUAAUAAUUAUUGUUCGGUGGCUGGUCAGUGGAGACAACCAUCCUGUUUUUGUGACAUUUUAAGUGUUUGGAUAAAACAAUUUUCUGCGGAAAAGACCCUUAUUUUCAUAUGCUACAAUCGACAAAAUUUUAGUGUUAAUAAGGAAAAUCAAUAGGAUUAUUGUGGGCUACUUUGUGGUGCGUUAUAAUUACUACCAUGCUGUCAGUGGGUGUUAAUAUCAGGUACCCAUGUUCAGUUUUUCGUUUUGAUUUGAAGGAAUUUCUUGCGGAGAGGAGCAAGGGUUUCUUGGUGAGUUCUUCGGGUUGUGCAUAUGGGUAAUUUUCUUUUCGGUUUAACCCUCUGCUUCUGCUGCUCUCUCUCUUUCUCUCAUCCCUGCCUGCUCCUCUCCAAUUGUUUGCUGUUCUUAAAUAUUGUGUUCAUUGCCUGAUACAAGGGGCUGCAGCAAUCUGUUUUAUCCUACACGGGACAACGAGGCAAUGGCGUGACAACAGGUGAGCUUGGAUAUCCAAAGAAAAAGAACAGUUGGUUCAUCUGCUGGAGUCUGAGCUUAGAGAAGUGGAGGAAAAUUGCAGGUGUGCGAGAAAUUUUAUUUUGCUGAUAGGACUCCUUAUUUACUGAUGCAUUUUGAAAUAAUUGAAAAGUUGGAUUUGAGUUAACAGCUAUAAAAAUGUAGACAUGAUUGCUGAGAUUAUGCUAUGAAAGUGGAAUAAAAAAAUGGUAGUUUAUAAUAUUGCGUACCAAUUGUUUUCUCUCUUUUUUACCAAAUGAUAAGGGUGGUGGCUCAGGCCGCCCCCCUAAGCGUCCCCACUCUUCGACAAGUUGAAAUCGUGGUGAUAGUUUAUGGGCUGUGGUCUUGGGAUUCUGCAAAUAGAAUGAAAAACAGACACUUAACUAUCUUGUUAUUAAGCAUUUCUGCAUCAUUCAGUUGCUCUUGAUUUUCGUCUUUUAAGCGAUCUUAUUUCUGCGAUCUGACUUGAGGAGGGUUUUUAGACCUAUGGUUGUGGGUGUUUUCUCUGACCCCAUUAUCCGAGAUUUGUAGACUUGCGAUCGGCGGUCAAACAUUUUGUGAUUCUUGUUUUCUCUGCCUUUCGGUCGUUAAGCGCCGGCAGUCUUUAGAUCUUUGGCAAAUCAAUUUAAUACAACCGAGGUAUGUUUUAUAACUGCUGUCUUUCAAUUUUUGUUCUGUAUUUUUGUUAAUUUGGAUGAAGCUCUAAUAAUUUUGUUUUGGAUCAGUUGUGGUCCUCUGUUAGGAUUUUCCUGGCUAAGAGGGUAUUUGCGUUUUUGUUGCUUGGUUGGUCGAUCACAGAUUUACGAACAGCUGUGGUGGUCCUGUUAUUUUUUGGUAUGUUUUUUCUCCUUUUUGGUUUUUUUCCCGGUUUGAGCACCCAUUCUUGAAGAAUUAAAAUGUGUUUUAUAGUUUUUUCAGGAGAGAUUAGAAAAGUGAUUUCAAUUUGGGAAAAUUUAAUGUUGGUUAAAAUUUGUUUAUAAUUUUUGGGAAGGAAUGAGAGGACCCAUUGAAGUAUGUGUUGUGAUUAUUUUUUAUUCAUAUUUUUAACAAAUUGGGCAUGAAUUGGUAGGUUAACUGUGUGUGUUUAUUAUUUGAAUCGGCCAUGUUUGUCUUUCUAUGGUUCUAAAAAAUUUGUAAAGGCUGUUAACUUGGAAGAAAAUGGGAUCGAGGGUGAGGGGAAAACGGCAGAGAAAGCAUGGAAGAGAGAUUUGGGAUUAGGGGUAGGAAAACAGAUGAAAAGAAUAUGAUAGAGGAAUGGGUUCAGUUCAUUUUCACUAUUUUUUUUUAACUGAUUUGGAUUUUGUUUGGGUUUAACUCCGCCUAUGUCUUACAUGGCCGGUCCCAAGCCCGGAUAAAGGAGGAGGGGGAGGGCGUCAGGUAGUCGACAGCCGGCACUCCAUGAUCAUGUCGAAUCCUUAUGAAAAUGAAUCCAGAACAAAAUCGCGCUAAAGCUAGGACGUCACCCGUAAGUGGCGCGCUGUAUGGCCCGAGCACAGUGAUAAGUGAGCAAGGGUCGCUGUAUCUCCAUCGGCACCCGGAUGCAGUGUUAAAUGAGCAAGGGGGCCAUAGAAACUUCUUUUCGAACGACUCCACUCAAAGUUGUUUGAGAGCAUAUGCUCCUAUCAACUUUACCCGGGACACACAAAAGAAGUACUUUGAUCCUAUUAGACGGGGGAGGGUGAAGAAGCUAGGACAGAAGGGUAGAGUUCAAGAGAGCAAAAUGCGUUUAGGAACGUGGAAUAUAGGAACCUUAACGGGAAAAUCUAUGGAAGUAGUGGAAGUUAUGGUGAGGAGAAGGAUAAAUAUUAUGUGCCUACAAGAAACUAAGUGGGUUGGUAGUAAGGCAAAGGAUCUAGAAAACUCAGGGUUUAAACUUUGGUAUUCGGGCACAAAUAGAACGAGAAACGGUGUUGGCAUCAUCGUGGACAAGACCUUGGUACAAGAUGUUGUAGAUGUCAAGAGGGUAGGAGAUAGAAUCAUGGCAAUCAAGAUUGUAAUAGGACAAGAACUUAUCAAUGUGAUUAGUGCGUACGCACCUCAAGUAGGGUUGGAUACGAGUUCGAAGGAGAAAUUUUGGGAAGAUCUUGGAGACUUGGUGCAAGGAAUUGCUCAGACGGAGAAGUUAUUUAUAGGAGGAGAUUUAAAUGGACACGUGGGCAGGGAGACAGGCAACUAUGGAGGUUUUCAUGGUGGCCAUGGUUUUGGGGAGAGAAACGAGGAUGGGGAAGCUAUCUUGGAUUUUGCAAUGGCAUAUGAUCUCUUCUUAGCCAACACCUUCUUUAAGAAGAGAGAAGAACAUGUGAUCACCUACAAGAGUGGGUCGUCAAAAACACAAAUAGAUUUUCUUCUAAUGAGGAAAGGGGAUCGUAUAACUUGUAAGGAUUGCAAAGUUAUACCAGGAGAGAGCGUGGCUAAUCAACAUCGCUUGUUGGUGAUGGAUGUACAUAUCAAAAGAGUAAGACAAAAGAACAAGACUUGGAAGUGCCCAAGGACUAGAUGGUGGAAUCUAAAAGAAGAAAAACAAGCCAUUUUCAAAGAGAAGGUAAUCACCCAAUGUGUGUGGGAUAGAGAGGGGGAAGCUAGCCAAAUGUGGGAUUCCAUGGCUAGUUGUAUCCGAAAAGUAGCAAAAGAGGUAUUAGGAGAGUCCAAGGGCUUUGCCCCACACCAAAAGGAAUCUUGGUGGUGGAAUGAGGAGGUACAAACAAAGGUGAAGGCUAAGAAGGAAUGUUGUAAAGCCUUAUACAAGGAGAGGACCGAUGAAAAUGGUGAAAGGUAUAGAAAAGCGAAGCAAGAGGCGAAGAAAGCUGUCAGAGAAGCUAAGUUAGCGGCUUACGACGAUAUGUAUAAACGACUAGAUACCAAAGAAGGAGAGUUGGAUAUCUAUAAACUAUCUAGAGCAAGGGAAAAGAAGACAAGGGACCUAAACCAAGUGAGGUGCAUCAAGGAUGAGGAUGGAAAGGUUCUUGCUACAGAGAACGCGGUUAAAGACAGAUGGAGAGGUUAUUUUCAUAAUCUUUUCAAUGAAGGACAUGAAAUGAGUGCUUCUUUAGGGGAGUUGAGUAACUCAGAAGAGUGUAGAAACUACUCUUUUUAUCGUCGAAUCCGGAAGGAAGAAGUGGUUGUAGCUUUGAAGAAGAUGAAGCAUAAAAAAAGCAAUAGGCCCAGACGAUAUACCAAUCGAAGUGUGGAAACUUUUGGGAGAGACAGGUAUAACAUGGCUCACUGACCUUUUCAAUAGGAUUUUGAAAACGAAGAAGAUGCCAAAUGAGUGGCGAACGAGCACUUUGGUGCCUAUCUACAAGAAUAAGGGCGACGUACAAAAUUGCAUGAACUAUAGGGGUAUUAAGCUAAUGAGUCAUACAAUGAAGCUCUGGGAGAGAGUCAUUGAGCAUAGAUGAGGCAAGAGACACGGGUUUCGGACAACCAAUUCGGGUUCAUGCCAGGGCGCUCAACCAUGGAGGCAAUCUAUCUCUUACGAAGAUUGAUGGAAAGAUAUAGAGAUGGGAAAAAGGAUUUACACAUGGUCUUUAUAGAUUUGGAAAAAGCGUAUGAUAGGGUCCCAAGAGACAUUCUUUGGAGGAUUUUAGAGAAGAAAGGAGUACGAGUAGCAUAUAUCCAAGCUAUAAAGGAUAUGUAUGAAGGAGCAAAGACUGCCGUAAGAACUCAUGAAGGACAAACCGAAAGCUUUCCCAUAACUGUAGGAUUACAUCAAGGCUCAUCCUUAAGUCCUUACCUUUUUGCGUUGGUAAUGGAUGAGUUAACAGGACAUAUUCAAGAUGAUAUUCCUUGGUGUAUGCUUUUCGCAGACGAUAUAGUGUUGAUAGAUGAAACUCAGGAAGGGGUAAAUGCAAAGCUUAACCUUUGGAGAGAAGUGUUGGAAUCUAAAGGUCUUCGCCUAAGCCGAUCAAAGACAGAAUAUAUGGAGUGCAAGUUCAGUGCAAAUGGAGGCCAAAACGAGUUAGGGGUGAGGAUCGGAGAUCAAGAAAUACCAAAGAGCGACCGUUUUCGUUACCUAGGAUCUAUCUUGCAAAAGAACGGAGAAUUAGAUGGAGAUCUCAACCAUAGAAUACAAGCUGGAUGGAUGAAGUGGAAGAGUGCAUCCGGCGUGUUGUGUGACCGCCGUAUGCCACUGAAGCUCAAGGGAAAAUUUUAUAGGACGGCAAUAAGGCCGGCGAUGCUGUAUGGCACAGAAUGUUGGGCGGUGAAACAUCAACACGUACACAAAAUGGGUGUAGCGGAGAUGAGGAUGCUUCGUUGGAUGUGUGGGCACACGAGAAAGGAUAAGAUUAGGAAUGAGGAUAUCCGGGGUAAAGUAGGAGUAGCCGAAAUUGAAGGAAAGAUGAGAGAAAAUCGGUUACGGUGGUUUGGACAUGUGCAAAGAAGGCCUACUGACGCUCCGAUUAGAAGAUGCGACUAUGGGACAGAGGUUCAGGGCCGAAGGGGUAGAGGAAGACCUAGGAAAACUUUGGAAAGAGACUCUAAGAAAAGACUUAGAGUACUUGGAUCUAACGAAGGACAUGACACAGGAUCGAGCACAAUGGCGUUCUAAGAUUCAUAUAGCCGAUCCCACUCAGUGACUUGGAUUUUCCAAGUCUCCAACCGAGAAGUUUUCCUCACUCGGAAAAUUAAGGGAACACUACCCCAACCUACAUGCUCCACUCAGAAAGCUUCAACAUACAAGCUUCAACAAAAGAAAAUUCAAAGAACUUAGCGAAGAAGGCUUUGGUGUAUUUAACACAAUACGUUGAAAUGAAGGAAAGCUUAUUUAUUGAUAUCCCCGAUAAGCUACAAAUAUGUACAUAUACAUGAGUCAAAAUAAACACACAAGAGGGAGCCUUCACAAAGGUUGCUUAGGAGAAGUCUCAGCAGUCGGUAGAGCCCCAGAAAGAGAAGGCACCGGAGGGGGAUCAUUUGGAGCCUCAGUACUGGACAGAACCCUAGAAGGAGGAGGCAUCAGAGGUUGAUCAUUUGGAGCUUCAUUACGCGGUACAGCCCCAGAAGACGAAGGCAAUAAAUGCCUUUGGAACAAACCCACAAAUCUCUGAUGAUCAAGUAAAACCUGACCAUCAGUUUCCUUCAUCUGGUCAAGCUUCCUCUUCAUGUUUGUAGCAUAGUCAUGUGCGAGCCGGUGCAACUGUUUAUUCUCAUGCUUGAGCCCUCUAAUCUCCUGUUUGAGACUCAUCACUUCAGCCGCCAAUGAUUCAACUUGGCGGGUUCGAGCAAAUAGGCGUUGGGCCAUAUUAGACACAGAACCUGCACACUGAACACUGAGAGCCAGCGAAUCCUUAACAGCUAACUCAUCAGACCGUUUGGAAAGUAGUCUGUUAUCUUUGGGAGUGAGAAGGUUCCUGGCCACCACCGCAGCGGUCAUAUCAUUCUUCAUCACGGAAUCCCCAACGGUAAGAGGACCAGUAGGGGAGACGAAGGAUGGGCGCCAUAUGUUGUCUGGAGAAGGCGGGGCUGCCUCUUCAACAAGGUUCAAGUCAAAACGACGGUCGGAGGGGCCAGACAUUUUCAAAUGUGUUGAAGAGAGAAGAGGUCGGACAAAUCAAGAUCUUAGAAGUGCAAGAAUGAAGCUUCUACUGGUGGAGAUUCAAGUGUGCUUUGGAACUUAAUGCCAGCCCCUAUAAAAAUCUGCACUCGACGGAGCUUCAGAAAUCGAAGAGGCGCCUGCUCAGAAAUCGAAGAGGCGUUUGCUUUCUCAAAAGCUGGGCUGCUUAGAGAUCACGAGGGUUGAUCUCAGAAAUCGAAGAGGCGUUUGCUUUCUCAAAAGUUGGGCUGCUCAAAGACCUCGAAGGCUGAUCUCAGAAAUCGAAGAGGCGCUCGCUUUCUCAAAAGCUGGGCUCCCUAGAGACCACGAGGGCCGAUCUCAGAAAUCGAAGAGGCACCUACUUUUCCAGCCUUGUCAGCACCUGUCACACGCGCACACUCAGCUUUGCGGAAAUUAUGGGCAUUCUGUCGAAGACUUCUGGGGAAGUAGAAAAAACACAUGAAUCUUACUGUUCAAUCACCCACUUCCCACACGCAACAAUAGCUCAUGGGUACCACAGAUAACUUUGCCAAAGUUCUCUGCCAAAGUUGAGCACGUGAAGCUUGCAGCUCCCACUACAUCGCUCUGACCAAGAAGGGUAAAAGAAUAGCAAAGAAACACAGCACUAACAAAGUUUAGACCCAUAAAUUUUGAAGGUCUAGCUACCAUAUUAUUACCACACACAGGGUAAAGGAACAGUACCACUGCUGGAUAAUUGGAAAGUCCCUGUUUGUCAACCUCUGUGCUUCGUGGCAAGGUAGACUAGCAAACAUGCCCAACCUUUACUCACAUUCGAGAAAACACUCCCAAUAAGAUUGCUUGCUCCAAAAUCGAAGAGGCACCGUCCUCCGAAUCUCGAGAGCCAGACUCCCAACAUGACUACUUUCUUAAAAAUCGAAGAGAGGGUAAAGGAACAGUACCAUUGCUGGAUAAUUGGAAAGUCCCUGUGUGUCAACCUCUGUGCUUCGUGGCAAGGUAGACUAGCAAACAUGCCCAACCUUUACUCACAUUCGAGAAAACACUCCCAACAAGAUUGCUUGCUCCAAAAUCGAAGAGGCACCGCCCUCCGAAUCUCGAGAGCCAGACUCCAAACAUGAUUACUUUCUCAAAAAAUCGAAGAGACACUGCUCCCCGAAUCUUCGAGAGCCAGACCCCCAGCAUGAUUGCUUUCUCAAAAAUCGAUGAGGCAUCGUUCUCCGAAUCAAUCGAAGAGGCGCUCGCUUUCUCAAAAGCUGGGCUGCUCAGAGACCACGAGGGCCGAUCUCAGAAAUCGAAGAGGCACCUACUUUUCUAGCCUUGUCAGCACCUGUCACACGCACACUCAGCUUUGCAGAAAUUAUGGGCAUUCUGUCGAAGACUUCUGGUGAAGUAGAAAGCACAUGAAUCUUACUGUUCAAUCACCCACUUCCCACACGCAACAAUAGCUCAUGGGUACCACAGAUAACUUUGCCAAAGUUCUCUGCCAAAGUUGAGCACGUGAAGCUUGCAGCUCCCACUACAUCGCUCUGACCAAGAAGGGUAAAAGAAUAGCAAAGAAACAGCACUAACAAAGUUUAGACACAUAAAUUUUGAAGGUCUAGCUACCAUAUUAUUACCCACAAGGGUAAAGGAACAGUACCACUGCUGGAUAAUUGGAAAGUCCCUGUGUGUCAACCUCUGUGCUUCGUGGCAAGGUAGACUAGCAAACAUGCCCAACCUUUACUCACAUUCGAGAAAACACUCCCAACAAGAUUGCUUGCUCCAAAAUCGAAGAGGCACCGUCCUCCGAAUCUCGAGAGCCAGACUCCCAACAUGACUACUUUCUCAAAAUCGAAGAGAGGGUAAAGGAACAGUACCAUUGCUGGAUAAUUGGAAAGUCCCUGUGUGUCAACCUCUUUGCUUCGUGGCAAGGUAGACUAGCAAACAUGCCCAACCUUUACUCACAUUCGAGACAACAGUCCCAACAAGAUUGCUUGCUCCAAAAUCGAAGAGGCACCGCCCUCCGAAUCUCGAGAGCCAGACUCCCAACAUGAUUACUUUCUCAAAAAUCGAAGAGACACUGCUCUCCGAAUCUCGAGAGCCAGACCCCCAGCAUGAUUGCUUUCUCAAAAAUCGAAGUGGCAUCGUUAUCCGAAUCUCGAGAGCCAGACUCCCAACAUGAUUACUUUCUCAAAAAUCGAAGAGACACUGCUCUCCGAAUCUCGAAAGCCAGACCCCCAGCAUGAUUGCUUUCUCAAAAAUCGAAGAGGCAUCGUUCUCCGAAUCUCGAGAGCCAGAUACCACAUACCACUUUUUCAAAGUGCUCUGACAGAGUUAAAACAUGUGAAACUGGCAGCUCCCACUACCGUGCUAUGACCAAGCAGGGUAAAGGAAUAACAUUACUACUUGUUAGGGAGACUCCUAUAUAUGUUGACCUCCAUCCCCAACAGACAGGCAGACCUGCAAAAAUGCUCAACCCUUCAUCAUAUCUGAGAGGGCACUCCCAACGAAGCCUUUCGAAAUAUUCAGCUUUCUUUCCCCCCGAUAAUACCUCUGCAAACAAGCUAUACUAGAGCAAGAAUAUCUCAUAUCAUCAGGGUUAAAAGCAAGAGUAUCCCAUAUCAUGCUUUUUCCCUGUCUUUUCCUUUGGCCUUGUUUUUACCUGCAAGACAAGGAGAAAGAGAGCAAUCAGUCAGCACUUGGAAUCAAGCUUCCAGCUAGGAACUGACUGCCUGGAACCCCUUACCUGAUUACUUACCUGGCAUUGCUCUCGAGUACUCAUCUUCAACAUCUUAUGUUUCCAGGGAAGAUUCCGCAUCUGCUUGAGGAACAGAUAGGGCAAGUGCGAAAGAUACAAGGAAGCAUGUGGAGACAAGCGUAACAGCACACGUGCCGAUACAUCCAUUACUCUGUCAAAAGCAAAAGUAUCCCAUAUCAGCAGGGUGGAAAGUACUCUAGAUUUGAUGGACUUGUUUUGACCCUCAAAUUCUUCAGUCGACCUUAUACUCUGGAGGAAACCAGAAAACCCUCCAGCUCAGUUCAAGAAUAAGCCUGUGGAAAGUUACUUCUUCAAAAGCAAAAGUAUCUCAUAUCAUCUCUUCUCAUUUUUCUUCUCUUUAUCCUUCAUGCUGCUGCAAGAUGGGGAGAAGGUGAACAAUCAGUCGGAGCUCUGAUUGCUUACCUUGUCUGUCACCUCUUUCAGCAGACCCCUAGCUCGGCGACUUGGGGGACUCCUACUACAUGGUUUGUAUCGCGCUUGACCAAGCCUGAAACUACAAGUAAGCUUCAAGUGAAAUUGAUACAUUACCUUGUGCAUCUCCACCAGUUAAAGAUACCACCCCUGGAUGGAGGAAGAGUACUUCCAGAAAAGAUGCCACAUCUACCUAUGAGACAGAUAAGGCAAGUCAAGACGACACCACACUCCGAUACUUAGAAGUUUCGUGAUUACGAGAUCAUUCUCCCACAAUAUUUCCUAAUGUCAUUUGUACUAAAUCAUUCACUUGUACUCACUAAAGGAGAGCUUGAACCUAUGUACUUGUGUAAACCCUUCACAAUUAAUGAGAACUCUUCUAUUCCGUGGACGUAGCCAAUCUGGGUGAACCACGUACAUCUUGUGUUUGCUUUCCUAUCUCUAUCCAUUUAUAUACCUAUCCACACUAAUGACCGGAGCAAUCUAGCGAAGAUCACAAAAAGCGACCGUUUUCGCUACCUAGGAUCUUAUCUUGCAAGAGAACGGAGAAUUAGAUGGAGAUCUCAACCAUAGAAUACGAGCUGGAUGGAUGAAGUGUAAGAAUGCAUCCGGCGUGUUGUGUGACUGUCGUAGGCCACUAAAGCUCAAGGGAAAAUUUUAUAGGACGGCAAUAAGGCCAACGAUGUUGUAUGGCAUAGAAUGUUAGGCGGUGAAGCAUCAACACGUACACAAAAUGGGUGUAGCGGAGAUGAGGAUGCUUCGUGGGAUGUGUGGGCACACGAGAAAGGAUAAGAUUGGGAAUGAGGAUAUCCGAGGUAAAGUAGGAGUAGCCGAAAUUGUAGGAAAGAUGAGAGAAAAUCGGCUCCGGUGAUUUGGACAUGUGCAAAGAAGGCCGAAUGACACUCCGAUGUGACUACGGGACAGAGGUUCAGGGCCGAAGGGGUAGAGGAAGAUCUAGGAAAACUUUGGAAGAGACUCUAAGAAAAGACUUAGAGUACUUGGAUCUAACGGAGGACAUGAUACAAAACCGAGCGCAAUGGCGUUCUAGGAUUCAUAUAGCCGACCCCACUUAGUGGGAAAAGGCUUUGUUGUUCUGUUGUUGUUGUUGGAUUUUGUUUGGGUUUGAGGCCAUCAUUGGCGUUAAGACGUUUAUUAUCAGAUCGUGUGUUUUUUGCUAACUUUUAUUGGUAAUUUUAAUGUUGUUCUUAUGAUUUUGUGUGGUAGGGUUUCUGAUUUUUAUCGUUAUUCAUUUGGUUUUUUGUGUGUGUUGGUUUGUUUAUUUUGCAGGUUGUGUUUGUGCUGGGACAACAUUUUCCACCUUCUGUUUGCACUGGGAUGAUUGCGUUUUAAAACUGUUGGGGUGAGAUUUACAUAUGGAAUCAUUCCAUUUUUUUUCUUCCAAAUAUGUGCAUUUAGUUCUCUUUUAUUUUAAAUUUUAAAAAUUAAAUCGUUAUUUGAGUAAAAUGUUUUAUCAGUUUAUGUUAUGUGUUGUGACCAGGAAUUCUGUUGGAUUUGCGAAUUUUGGUUUGAUGAGAGAAAUGAGGAGUUUUUUUUGUUUGAAUUUUUUAUUGGACCGAUUUUCAAUUGGAUUGCAUUCUGCCUUUUUGCACCAUUCGUAUGCAAGCAAUUCAUUGUUUUAAAUACAAUUUGAAGAGAGCUGGGUUGCGGGUUGGAUAUAAAAUGUUAAGGUGAGAUAAAAUCGAGAUACCAAGGGUGGAAGAAUGAUUCAGAAUUGGGGGAGGAAAACAGAGGGAAGAUAGAAGAGUAUAAGAGAAGGAUAGGGUUGACCUCAUUUAGAGUUUUUAUUUACUUAUUUUUUUUUAUAAAUUGAUUCAGGACUUGCAUAUCAUUUCUAAAUUUCUAACAUUUUUGUUUAAUUUGACUCCAGUUGAUGGAAAACAGAGCUCUUACUCCUAUCAAUCAGUUGGUCCCGUACAUAAAUGCAGAAAAAUCAAGGUUCGAGUUUGCAGAGUAUGCAGACCAAGGUUUCCCGAAACUACUGGUGCAUAUUCAGGCUUGCAUUGUAUAUUACUUACCUAUUAAAAAUUUGUUUGGAAUUUGCUUUUCCCACAGAGGAGAAGAGCUGACAGUUACGCUGUGGGCAGAUGUUGCUCGAAGUAUUGCUUCUUUAUCCAUUGAAUCAUUGUCUCUGCCGAUCAUUGUGGUUUUCACAAGUUUAAAGGUCAAGCUGUACCUAGGUAUUUGACUUAGUUAAAAACUAAUCUAUUUACUAUUAAUUUUUCUAUUAUAUUCAAACGUUAUUUAAUAUAUACUCUACUAAUAUUUUCUUAACAUGUCACACAAACAUAUUCACUUCUUUUGAUCAAUUUUUUACAGCGUUUCAUAUAAAAGCUAACAUUUAGUUGAAAUUGAUUAGCAACUCUUUUCUUGCAUGUAUACAUACGAAUUAAACAAUAGUAUUAAACUAUUUGUUAUCAUUCUCAGUUUUUGUUUUAGAAUUAGAUUAAUAUAUUUAACCUGUUUUAGAAUUAGAAUUAUUUGGUAUCACUCUCAGUAUUUGUUUUAGAAUUAGAAUUAGAUUAAUAUACUGAGAUUAUUUAGACAAAUCUAGCAUUUUCUCAAAAUAUUUGACUUUUAAACUUAGAUUAAUAUAUUUAGCAGUUUUUUAACAUGCAAUUUUUCAUUAAUUUUUCAACACACAGACAAGAUAGUCUUGAACACCAUUGGUUCAUCACUUUUCUUCAUUGAUCUAGAUAUUCUGGAAGUAAAUUCAUACAAAUCAGUGUAAGUGUGUUUACUUUGUUUAAAAAAAUAUUAUAUGCUCUCACAAUAAAAGAAGGGCUAUUCUCACAAAAUUUAUGAACUAAUGUUCUGUUUUAACCUCUACAGCUUUUCCAAAUGCACAGAACCUCUAAAAAUACUGCCACCUUUUACAAAACAGGCCCGUGAAGCUCAAAUCUUGCAGACAGCGAAGGUCACAAUUGCAGACGCUGAAAUUUUCAUGCCAAAAUAUGAUGUGGAGGAUGAGAAAUUGUUUGCUGUUGUUCUCUUUUCAGUUUUGCAGGCGAUGAUCUUUUACCAAAUGUCGAGGAGCUUCCAUGGGACAUGCUCUAUGCUCUCGCUUCCCAGUUGCCUCUGUUGGGGUUGGAAAAGCUACAGAUCACAAUGUAAGUCAAAAACAGUAAAGUUCCCAAGAUGUUCUGUGCUGGAGCAGAUUUAAAGGUACGAAUUUUUAAUUUUUUUGUGAAGUCGAUGUUUUGUUUUAAAAGGAGUUAUAAUGGAUUGAUUGGACAAGUACAGAGUGUUUGUUUGUUUGGUUGAAUGUAAAAAGGAAUUGGAAGAAUGAUGAAAGUACUUGCAUUUGGUUGUAGUUGGUCAGGCACUGAAGGACCGGUCAAUACGAAGUGCAUCUGUGGGACAAUAGUUGAAAGAAGGCCAGAGCAGGAAGAGAAGGCAAGGUUUGUGAAGAAAAACAGUAAAAGGUCGUACCCAGUGCACAAGGCUCCCGCUUUACGCAAGGUCUGGGAGAGGUGAAUGUCGGCUAGCCUUACCCCCAUUCUGCUUUUGUUUAAUUAGAAGAAAUGUGCAUUUUUUUUUCCCAGUCAAAUUCUGCUUUUGUUCUGACUAUUUUCCUUACUGUAUGCUGAUUUUAUUAUUUAAUUUUUGGUUUUUCCUUGAUUGGCUUGGGAAUUACAAUCAAAUGAUGAAUCUUCAGUUUACUUGGGUAAGCAUUUUUUAACAUAUAAUUUAGCUGACCAUUUUAACUGUCAGACCAUGUUGUUUUUGGUUAUCUAAUCAUUCCAAGAUGGCAAGUUAGGAUUGGAAGGGUUGCUAGAAAUAAGGAUUAUAUCUUGGGACAUUCGGUGAGUGAUUUUUCAAACUUUCAGUUUUACAAGACAAAAUAUCUAUUUUUGUGUGUAUUCUUCAAGCAUGUUAUCAUUAUUUAGGUUGUAGGAAAAAAAGAGAGUGACUUGAGGUGUUUUUAGAUAUUUUUGUGUGUAUUCUUCACAAUGUAUUAAAAGCGCGAGGCGUGGGCGAGGCGUCCGAGGGAUAGCCCACGCCUCACGCCUUACGGGACCUAAAUUUUUUAAUAUAUACACUGAGCGUACACAUAUAUUAUAUUAAAAAAAAUUAUUAAUCAAUAAUCACCCUGAGCACACAUAUAUAUUAUAAAUACAUAUAUACACAUAUAUAUACAUAUAUAUACAUAUAUUAUGUUAUAUAUAUAUAUAUAAAAUAGAGGAUGAAAAGCACAAUGAGCACACAUAUAACAAUGCAUGCAGACAGCACACAAUAUAGUGCAAGGAAUAGGUAUGAGGUAGUUAAAACCCUACCCAAAAUCUGGGUUUGGGAGUAAAAAUAAAAAAAAAAAAAAAAAUUGCAUGAGGCGCGCCUAGACGGCUCCGACAACGCCUUCCGGCGCCUUCCGCCCACUCCCUCAAAACAAAGGCGGCAACCCUCAAGUCCAGCCUCACAGGGUGCCUAGGCGCACCCUGAGGUGAGCCUUUUAAAACAUUGAUUCUUCAAGCAUGCUAUCAUAAUAUUUGUAACUAUAAAAAAUAAUAUACUAUUAUACCUCUGUUUCUCUUUUCUUUGUUUUCAUGAGAAAUUAAUUGCCAUUGGCAGCACUAUAGAAAGCCAUCUUUCUCCAUUAUUCUCCGCUUCAUGCAUAAUUACAUAAUUCUACUAUCACAGUUGUCAGUCCUGAACAAUAAUGCAAGUCUAGUGGCAAAAACCACCUCAAUGAACAACUCACACACACACACAGACACUGAUCAUACAUCUCUAACUCUCUUUUUCAAAUAACACACUCUGAUCCAAAACAGGGUAAAUAAAAUGCACAUCCUUAUACAUUUCUAACUUUGUUUUUCGAAAUCCAAAAUAGGGUAUUCUAACUCUCUUUUUCAUUCAUUUCUUACAAACCAAUCAUACAUUUAAAAUAGGCUUUGAAUAAAAAUAGGGUAUAUAAUUAUAUACCUCAAAAUGCCUAGGAACCAACUUCCCCCUCCAACGAUUCAAAUUCUUGAAAUUGCCAACACAGUAAAUCCAUUAGUACUAUAUAAAUGAAAACACAAUUGAAACCCAUCAAACAAAACAAUCCCACAAUUUAAAUGAUUCAAUCCUACUACAAUUGAAAUUCACAGAAAGAAUGAAAAACCAGAACAAAACUGCAGCACCUAAAAAGUUGUCAUACAAAAAAAAACAUGGAAUGUAAAAAUAUGUUAAGAAAUCUAGUUCGUUAAUUUCCAGCUGCUAAGUGGCAUUAUGUAACUUUAGUAGUAUAACUAAUUAACUACUUAUCUGGUGGGUUGCACUUUUAUCCAAUUGGUAAGGAAAGGAAAAUAAAAAUCAACCCCUUGGUCUUAGUUGUGGCUGCAAAGUGCAGGCCACCACCAAGUCUCAGUGUUUGUGUUUUAGCAAAACACUUAAAUAAAUUAAAUUCUGAAACGUAAAUUAUAUUCCUAUAACUUUAAGAUGCACAUAUAGUAUUGUUGAAGUCGAACUGAAAGCACUGACAAUUCCAAGCAACAAAGCAGCAAUUAUUAAGAGCCAAAACUCAUUCCUAGUCUCCUCAUCCUGGUACUCAACUCCGUAAUCUUCUGUCAGCAUCAUUGACUGAAAUUAGGAGAGAAAAAGAAAAGGAAUUUCAGAAAUUGUCUAUGAAGCAAAGGAUACUGCAGUUACUUCAAGACAUGUAAAUUGCAUAUGUAUAAAGUAAUUUUCUACAUAAAGUAAUGAGGCAUAACUUUCUCUCUCCUCUUCAAACCCUAAACAGAGCAAAGCAAACUUUACAGAGAUUAGAAUGAGAACUGGAACUAAUCGAACAAUGACUGAAAAGUAACAUACUUGAGGAGUGAAUGAUUUAGUGUUUCCAUCAUCGGAAGCCGGAGUAAGUCGCUAAGAGAGGUCGCAAACAGCCCAAAGGGACAAACCCAGAUCCCCGGCCCCGAUCCAUACCCUUCCCCCUCAAAUCCCGACGGCCCCCAUACUUUUCUCUGACUGUACCCCCUCUCCCACUCAUGAAAUCGAGGAUCUGUCGCAAUGGUACUGAGAUCCCCACUCCUCCCUCUCCCUUUCUCUCUGUCGCUCUGUCUCCCUCUCCCUCUGUCUGUCUAUCUUUAUCCCAGAGCGGCAUGGCCUCCCAUCCCUGAAACCCUCACCGAAAGUUGGCAAUUUUGUAAAUAACUUGAAAUCCACCAACAGCAGGGGUAGAGAAUUGAAACAAACAUUUAGGCUCGUUCGAUAACCAUUUAGGCCAAAACUGAGCACACCUAAACCAUUCCUACUCGUGCCAAAUGUUAGUGGGGAAGCAAGAUGAUGACUUUAUUAUUCAAAACCAAAAGAAAAAAAGAGAGAAAACAAAAUAACAAAUGUAAUGGUUGUAGUGUAAAAGCUGAGAACGUAAAUAAACAUGCAGGGAAAAAAAUUGAAGAUACAAAGUAGCUGCAUCAUGAACACUUACUCCAAUUAGACGCAAAAAGUGAUGGUGAUGAGAAGAGAGAGAAAAUGCAGUCGUUUUGAUUUUUCUGGCUUUUAAAGGGAGCAGCUUUCUUCGACCACCAAAAAAAGGAAGCUGCUUUUCGUGUGGUUGUGAUUUCCUGAGUGUAUGUGAGCGGGUCUAUGGCACUUGCACUGUUUGUGUCGGUUACGGUAACCGGGCGAGCUGGACACGGCAGCGUGGGACUGAAUUCGGAGAGGUGAGAAAAAUUAAAAACACAAAAAGAAGGUGUUCAUUUUGUCACAUUUUUAUUACGAAAAAUUCAAUAAAGUACAUUCAUUAGUAUGGUAACUUAACUAUUUAAUUCCAUCUCAUUAAACUAAAAAAAACAAUUACAAAAAAAUAAGGAAAACCUUGUCCAGAGAGACCUGAGAGAAAGUGACGACUUCUCCUCUCAUUCAACUCCAUACUUGAUCUCUAAAGUCCAUUUGGCAUGUAAUUGAUGUUCACUUUCAAAUUUAGUGGUAGCAAUUAGCAAAGCUAAUGAAAGAAUCAAAUAAAAUGAAAGAAAAAGCAUCAUGAAAUAAAUCAAGAUGAAGAAUGAAAUUUUGGCAACUCGCCAUUCUCUUCUUUUAUAUAAAAGAUACAUCCUAUUUGUAGUGAAAACAGAUCCCGACAAACCCAGUUAUCCUCAAGAAGUAUUUUGUAUGACUUUAAAAACAUAAUCCGUGAAAUUAUCUCUUGGCUGAGAACAACAACAAAUCUUCAUGCAUAGCUUGUAGAGAAAGACAUCAGGCAUACAAAAGAACACGCAAGCAUAAAAUAAACGAAGCAGGGAAAACCAAAAAUACAAUUGAAUACGCUGUCAAAAGAACAUGAAUAAAUGAAAAUACCAAACAAAGCAGUGAUGAGAAACCAAAGUACCCAUUUCAUAAUCUAAUUGCUUUUUAGUUUGCUUGCCAUUUUUAGUUCUUCAAUUUAGAGAGACACCAUAAUUCAGCACAUGAAUAAAGUGAAAACGUAAAAGAUAUGUGGGAUAGGCUGACAGCCAUCCCUGAGUAAUGCAUUCACUUCUGAACCCCAAACACACUGAAACAAAAAUUCACACACAUGAACUACAGCUCCGCUUUGUAACAAGAAUUAAAAGCAUCUCAAAACAAAAUGGCAAACUAUAAGAGCAUUGUAAAAGUAAAAUUGCAAGAAAUCUAAUACUUGGAGGGCAAGUACUCAUCAGACGAAAAUGAAAGAUUGAACUACCUCGCGUGGAACUGUGCCUUGGUUUUUUCCCAUGCUUACAGGAAGCUUUGCACUGAGCUCUUAUAGUCCAAAUUUUCUCUGAAGGAAAAAAACACAAUUUUGAAAUAAGAUUUUCGUAUUAUACCUUAAAGAGAAGAAUUAGACAACAAAAUAGAGAACAAUGAGUACUAUUCAUCAUAUAUUGUUAGAGUAUGUGGCCCUCUGGUCCAAUGGUCCCGCAGCCAUAUUUCCUUUAUAACUCUUUCUUUUAAUCUAAAAAACAUCUUGAAUCUCAAAUUAGUAUGAAUACGGAUUCAUACUUUAUAACUAAAGAUCUUACUGCUCUUGAUAAGAUGAACAAUACGCCAUUUCUCGCAUGCAUUGCAUUACAAUCACAAUGCAACAUCUCAUUAGAAAUCCCCACACAAAUUUUUUUUAUUGCUACUUUGAUUUUAGUUUAUAUUUUUUCUGAAGCAUGAGGGAGCUAAUUUUUUUUUUUAAAUUUUUUAUUCCAAUAAUGUUAUAGGGAGGGUUGCAAGGAUAUUAUCAAUUGUAUUUGAUUGGUGGAACUUCUACAUCUAUAUUUUAGGUUUUCAAUUUUAGCACUGGGAGAGUCAUUCAUAAAAUGUUUGACAGUGAGAUUACCUCCAUGGACUAUGCUCACAAUGGACAGCUCAUUUUCCGCGGUGAUGGGACAAUAUAUUUCAGUCAUUCGCCAUUCAAUCAAUUCAAACUGAGGAACAUGCAACAUCAAGAAGAGGAUCUACCAUGUCAGGAUCACUAUCGUCCAAUUAAUACAAAAAAAUCUAGAUAAAAACGAUCAAUUUACAUAAAAGCCCUUCAUUUUCUCAGCAACCAAGCAAAAGAAAAUACCUAUCCGUUAAACACUCGAUUUGGGAGUAAAUGUUGCUGAAACUGGACUUCAAUCCCCUCAACCGCAACAACCGAAUCGAGGUGUGCAAGUCAUUGAAAAACUCACCCAAGAUUUCAAAAUCUGCAUAGAGAAAUAAAUAAGCACAUAAAUUAGCCCAACCCAUAAAUCAAAGAAAUCAAAAUCCACCCAGAAUCAAAGAAAUCAAAAUCCAUCCAGAACCAAAGAAAUCAAAAUCACACACAGAUAUGCAAGACAACGCAAAUUUGAAGCCUUACUUUUCGGGUAGCUUGGCGGCUGACAUGAGUCUUCUUCAGAGUUUCAUCCAUCCAUGGAUCCAUUUGGUCCGCCCGUCGCUUCUGGGUCGUACAAUCUUAAAAUCUGCAAAAUGAAUUUAAAGAAUCAAUUUUUACGAUUGAAAAGCCAAAAGUGCUACAAACUCCAAAUUGCUGAGAACCAAAGUGGAGUAACAGUUACAGGUCACGAGAUGAGAUGAGGACAUUGUCGGAUUUCAGGGCGAACCUGACUCUGGAAAUUGCAUCUCGGAUCGGGCUUUCGAACUUCAAAGGAGCUCCGCUCAUUGUGGUCCUUGCAGACCGAACUGGCCUAACAAUCAGCGAGAGAAAGGAGACGGCGGCAAGAUGAGGGAUACAAUGGAUGCGAGAUCGUCUGUAUCGUUCUCGCGGGGGGUUUGCAAGACGGACGAGGAAAGUAGGGUUUGAUGAGGCAUUGUCUUCGCGCGGGGUAUGUGUCCUUCCCAUUCCAUGAUUAUCAACACGUGUGCAUCAACAGAAGCGGCAGAGAGAGGCAUUAUUGUAAAUAAAGUGAAAUCGAAGGGCAAUGGCCCUUUUUUUUUUAAGGUAAUGGCAUGGCCAUAAAUAGAAUGAAAUCCAGAUCAAAACACUGUCAUUUGUACAGUACAAUUUCUCCAUCUUCUUUAGACUAAAGUAAUGUAUAUGUUAUACGCACCAACACAAGUCCUUCUUAGAUAAAUCCAAGCCAAACAAUUACAGACGAUAGUUAUUCACAAAAUCACUUUAAAGUAAGAAUUUAAUUAAUAAUACAUUACUGCACUUUCUUAACAAUUUGACUAUCACCUAGCUGACAAUGAACAUGUUAGCUAUGCGUUAGAACAUAUUGGGUUCAAUCCAUUGUCUUGAAUAUUACCCCCAGUCACAGCCGUCUCUUGGGGGCAUACAGAAGGCCUGAGAGGCAUUUGCAGACAUUCAACAUCUCCUCCAAGCAUUUCGACAACUUUGGACAUCGAAGGGCGAUCACUUGGUUUCAUUUGAAUACACCACAAGGCGGUUAUAACCACCUUUCUUAUCACUUUCUUUUCCUUCUCUGUAACAUUGUCUAUUUCCAAGUCAUUUCCCACAAAAUACUGAUCGUAUACCUACAGCGGGAAGUAGAUUUGGCUUGGAUGCUCUACCGUUGCAUUCAAAUUCUUCCUUAUGCUUGCCAUUUCCAUCAACAACAUUCCAAAACUAUAGACAUCGGCCUUGUAUGAGACACCUCCAAUAUUUUUGUAGAACAACUCAGGAGCAAUAUAUCUCAUUGUACCCCGUGCUGUCGUCAAAGAGACAAUGCUAUUAUCUACUGGAUACAAUUUUGCAAGCCCAAAGUCAGAAACCUUUGCUUUAAAGUUCUCAUCAAGAGGGAUGUUAUGAGGCUUGAUGUCAAAAUGUAGAAUUUUCAUUUUACAACCUUGAUCUAGAUAUUCGAUCCCAUGACUCCAAGAGAAAUCUUGUACAUAGUCUUGAUAGUUAAGGGAAGACUUCCUUCUUUGGAAUAAAUGUAUUUAUCAAAAGAGCCAUUAGGCAUAAAGUCAUAUAUUAGAGCGCGCUUUGAUCCCUCGACACAAUCACAAUCACAAUCACAAUCACAAUCACAAUCACAUUCCAACAUGGAAUCCUCAGACGACAUGCCUACUGCAGAACAAGUUUCAUCCUUACUUAACUUCUAUUUAGUCCACUUCCUGUUUAGAUUGUAAUCCUAGUUCUGCGUGUGUUUGUAUAGUACUCCUAUAAAUAUCAAUGAAAACCGCUCACUCUAAUUAGGAGUUGAGAUUCUGCAAAUCAUAUUUACUAUCUUUCAUGGUAUCACGAGCCAAGGUCUAACGACAACGGUUCCUGUUAUAAUUUUUUUCUCUUUUGUAGAUCCUAAACUAUGGCAUCUUCUUCCUCCUCCGAUGCUCCCUCCGUCACAAAUUUUCUUACGAUCAAGCUCGACCUCAACAACUACCCUCUCUGGCGUGCUCAAUUUCUUCCCUUGCUGCGCAGCCGCAACUUACUCUCUUAUGUUACUGGCGAAACUCAAUGCCCAUCUGCCUUUGUUCUUGAUGACAAUGGUAAAUUCACAGACAAAGUCAAUCCAUUAUAUAAUGAAUGGAUCCAGACUGACUAGAUGAUCCUAUCUUGGAUUACGAGUUCUCUUACUCCCAAGGUUCUUGCUACGAUCGUCAACAAAAUUGAUUCGACCUCUGCUUGGUUGUCAAACCCGAAUUAAUCUGAUUAUGGGGGUUUUAUUUUAUAUCAAUAUAUUGCAGCAGAAGUCGCACUUUGAAGAGUUCAUGCUGCACAGAAAGAUUCUUAAAUGCUACCUGUUGAGUCUAUCAUUGCUCCAUUGGAGACAGAGCUGAAGCUUGCUGCAGGAGUUAUACAUUUGUUAUGCAAUAUGACCCCUUUAAUUUUAUUUUAAAACUGAUACAAAAAUUUAUGUAGUAUUUUUGUAUCAGUUUUGAGUGUCUAUUUUGGCUUCCAUAUUUCGUCUGUACAUGUGAGAGGUAUAGCGUUCAAUAUGUAUUUGGUUUCUAUAUUGUUAAUGGAUCUUUUUUUUUUUAAGAUAACCAAGUUGCAGGAUGACAGCAGAACACUUGAUCUGUAGGUAAACCUUCAAUUUCCAUAUGAAGUUUGCAUGUUCGUUGUUUCUGGAAUUUGAGUUUUUAUUAUUUCUCAAUUCUAUCACAUAGAUUACGAUUUCACAUAUGGGAUUAUUAAUGGCAAUUAGAUGAUGGAAGAAUUGGGAUUGGAAGAAGAUAUUGAGUUGUUUAUUUAUGGGGAUUAGAAAAUUUUUAUCAUAAGUGUGGAUGCAAAUUUCUUCCUCCUUGAUCUUGGACAAAAUUGCACCUACAAAACAAUUAACACCUUAGGUCAAGGCCAAGAGCCUCACGCGCUCACGAUGAAGGGGGGGGCUUUGGUCGAAGAACCUCCGAUGCCAAAGUUAGAAUUUAGAGAGAAAAAGUGUUUGAGAAUUCUAGAGAAUUUUAGCAAGAGUUGCAACUAGGUUUUGGUGAGAAAUGUGGGGCUUUCUAUAGAGGAGUGGCCGGCCUCUUAGGGUGAGAAAGGACCGGUCACAUAGCCUAGUUUGUGGGUUUUGUUCAUGAUUUAAGAUGAUUUUGGGAGUUAUGUGAUUAAUUGACUAAUUAAUUAGGAAAACUAAUAAAAAGGGCUUGAAAACUUUGAGUUUUAAUGAUAAGGACAAAAUAAAGGGUAAAGUGAAUAGUACCAGGAUUGACUUUUUAGUGUAAAAAUGUGGUUUUUCGUUAAAAUGAACAGUACCGGGUGCUUUUCGUUAAAGUUCCCUAAUUAAUUUGGCGAAAUAAAAUUAUUACCAAAUGAAUUAGCUAAUUAAUGGGAUGAAAUGGGCAAAUAUCAAGAGAUAAACAAAACAUGACCAAUUCCUUUUCUAACAAUAGGUGGCCGGCCCUUCACUUGUUUUUGGGGUUGCAUGGAUGUUUUAAUUGACAAUUAAGGAAUUGAUUAGGCAAUUAAUCCCUUAAUUAGUCAAUUAUUAUGAUUUUAAAGGAAGAUUUUAGGAAAUAUGAAAGGAAUAUAUUAUUUAGCUAAUUGAUUAGCUAAAUGGAAUAAAUUAGGUUUUGGGAAUUACCUUAAAUGAGGAUGGAUGAGAUAAUUUGGAAUUGGUUACCUUUUUGGAGCAUUUUUGACUUGGUUAAGGAUGAUUGCCCGCUACUUGCGCAUAGGAAUCCCGUUAUACCUCAAGGGUAUUUUUGUCAUCUUUUACCCAAAAAACCACGUGUCACCUUGUGAUUAUUUUUGGCUCCACAAUACGAGUGAUAUUUAUUUUUGUGUGGAUUGUUAAUAUAUAAAACUAUAAGCUUUUGAGAUUGGGAGACAAAACCCACAAAUUCAAUUCAGACAAAAUAAAUAAAAAAUUUAACUGACUUAAAGAUCAAACUCCAAAAGGGUAUUAAAAACAAGGCUUAUUUGAUCCAUUGAGUGUGAAAGUUUUGAGCUUUGAAGAAGCAGAGGAGGAGAGUUGUUAACCAAGCUGCAUUAUCUAUGUAUUAGGAUGUUGAGGGUAGGCAGGAAAAAUACUUUUUGACGCCAAAUCCAGAGGAGCAUAACGACAGGCCUGCAUUUUUGCAGCAAGGACCAAAACAAGUAUAAGUGAAGGCUUGACUGUUUGGGUAUUAAUCCUAAACCUAAUUAUUCUUAUUUAGGUUUAGGAUAAAUGAUUGAGUGUGUCUCGAUGAUUGUAUUACUAUGUUUGAUGAAUGAUUUGAGGAGUUGGAAAUGGUUUAUUGCUUAUGUUUUUCUUAGGUGUGUACUUUGGUUAUUUCCGAGCUUUUCACGACUUUUGAUACCUAAUAAAGAAUAUGGAAACCCCAACUUCAAUUUUAUGAAUUGAUUUUGGUGCCUAAAAUGAAAUCUAGCAUAGUGAAAUCUUGCAUAAUGAAAUUAUGACAAAUUUCCCUUCAUCUUUAUAUUUUCAUUUAAUUCAAUUGGUAUGCAAUUUAGGGUUAUUCAAUUCAUGAGUGAUCAAAUUAUGUUUUUAAUUCCUUCUUUUGAUUUACAGUUCAACAUUGUCGUACAAAAUGAAAAAGGCGCCAGUAACAGAGUUAUGGAUUUGGAUGCCUUUAGUGGAAUAAAACUGAAUUUUUUAACUUUGUAUAGUUGUAAACAUAAAAUACUCCAUGAGGUAGACUCAUAGCUUUUGAAAACAAUCCUUGAGGAUGGCAUAACAACAUCUCCAACUUUUGUCAUGUAAUGUAUGAAUGUAAAUAGCACUUCGUAAACAUAUGGAUGUAAUAUAUGUAUAUAAACACUCUUUAGCAUGUAUAUUUUUCAAAACUUUCUACAUCUUCAACAAUGUUUCAAUGAUUUCUUGAUGUAAACAAUGAUAAUUUGAAGAACCAUUUAAAGUAUUUUGGUAAUCAUCAUACUUAAGCUUAAAUGUGAUAUAUCCGUUUAUUAUUUUUUAUACAGUGAUAAUACUCAAGUAUAAUUUACAUCAUAUAUCUUUUGAAGUACAUGAAACUAUGAAGAAAAAACCCUAAUUAAUCUGAUUAUGGGGGUUUUGUUUUAUAUCAAAAUAUUGCAGCAGAAGUCACACUUUGAAGAGUUCACGCUGCAUAGAAAGACGAUGAAAUGCUAUCUGUUGAGUCCAUCAUUGAUCCAUUGGAGACAGAGCUGAAGCUUGAUGCAGGUGGUAUACUUUUGUUAUGCAAUAUGAUCCCUUUAAUUUUAUUUUAAGACAUAUAGGGUUGAAAAAAAUUUAUGUAGUAUUUUUGUAUCAGUUUUGAGUGUCUAUUUUGGCUUCCAUAUUUGGUCUAUACAUGUGAGGUAUAGAGUGUUCAAUAUGAAUUUGGUUUCUAUAUUGUAAAUGGAUCUAUUUUUUUUUUAGGUAACCAAGUUGCAGGAUGAAAACCGAACACUUGAUCUGCAGGUAAACCUUCAAUUUCCAUAUGAAGUUUGCAUUUUCGUUGUUUCUGGAAUUUGAGUUUUUGCAGGAUGAAAACAGAACACUUGAUUGGUUAUUUCCGAGCUUUUCAUGACUUUCGAUACCCAAUAGAGAAUAUGGAAACCCCAACUUUAAUUUUAUGAAUUGGUUUUGGUGCCUAAAAUGAAAUCUAGCACAGUGAAAUCUUGCAUAAUGAAAUUAUGACAAAGUUCCCUUCAUCUUUAAAUUUUCAUUUAGUUCAAUUCGUAUGCAGUUUAGGGUUAUUCAAUUCAUGAGUGAUCAAAUUAGGUUUUUAAUUCCUUCUUUUGAUUUUCAGUUCAGCAUUGUCGUAUUUUGGAUGCCUUUAGUGGAAUAAAACUGAAUUUUUUUAACUUUGUAUAGUUGUAAACAUAAAAUACUCCAUGAGAUAGACUCAUAGCUUUUGAAAACAAUCUUUGAGGAUGGCAUAACAACAUCUCCAACUUUUGUCAUGUAAUGUAUGAAUGUAAAUAACACUUUGUAAACAUAUGGAUGUAAUAUAUGUAUAUAAACACCACUCUUUAGCAUAUAUAUUUUUCAAAACUUUCUACAUCUUCAACAAUGUUUCAAACCCCGCAGCAACGGGCGGGUACACUUGCUAGUAUACAUCUAAAAUUAUAAGACUAAAUCCUUUAGUUCUUGGAUUCAUCUAAGAACUACUUAUUCAAGCAGAUGCUAUGCUUGCACUACUAGAAUUUAUGGCUUGCCCUGUCAACUAUUGCGCGACAGAAGAUUUCGUCGGUUUCACCUUUUUUAACCGACAAAAUAUAAGUUUAGUAAGGCAAAAUCAGUCAACAAACUUGGUUUACUGAAUAGAUUUACAGGAUGUUUAGAGUUCGUAGGUUAAGACAUCAGUCGUUGGGCAAACAUUUGGAGCGAAGAUGUGAGUGUUUUAACUGACGAAUAAGCUGGUCGUCAUGUAGAUCUUCUUUCCCGACUGACGGUUCAACGGGUAGCUCUUUGGAUAACAAAUCAUCUUCAAGGGGAACAGGUUGCCCCUCAGAUGAAUGGUUAGAGGCAAUUGUGAGACUAUAAUUUUCUAGGGCCGGAAAAUCUGUAACCAUCCACCAAAUACCCCUUCUUCCCUUUCUAUUUCUCUCUCAGUAAUUUCCCCUGACCUAAUCACACAAUCCAACCAACUCUUUUUAAGCCUCCCUCAUUGAUUCCAUGGAUUUCAUGGACUUAUCCCACCCUCUCUCCUUCCCUCUAUAUAUAGCAAGUCCCCUUGCCUCAGUGUCCCUGGCAACAGAAUUUAUGGUGUGUCUUCGUUCUUUCAAUUAUUUGAAAGCUUUCCUGCCCUGCAGUCUUGUACAAAGGCGUAUGGUGUUUCAUCAGUUCCAUUUGGUGGUUGGGUGGGAAAUGAAAUUAAAACAUUGAUUUCAAAUGGUCUAAACCAAAUUGAAUCAAAUGUGAAGCAAAGGGCAAAAGGUGUAGAUUGAAGAACAAUGGCACCAAGAGCGAAAUUGAACUUGUUGACAGGAGGAAACCAAGUAACGAUAACGCGUCUAAAUCUUAUUUCGAAUCCAUUCAGCUUAUGAUGUUUUUAAUGAUGAUGAUCUGUAUACUUUGCUACAUGCUGUGAUUUUUUCGCUUUCAUGUAAUUAACGGCUUAUAUUUAUGGUAAAGAUAUUGAUUAAUUUUGAGAAAUGACAGUCUAAUUUUUGCAACUGUCUUUUGCAGGCAAAACAAAGACGUUUGCAAGGGUGAGUUUUGUAGGACCGGUGUUUAGCUUUGUUUCAUGUCCAAAGGACACUUGAGAAUAAAUGUUUACUCAUGGAUAAUAUCUAUCUAUUUGCAUGAGCAACCCUGGGUUCAUUUGUUCUGUUACUGCUGGUCAUUGCGGCAUAUCACGCCUACAGCACUGACAAAGUAAAAAGAAAAUCGAAUGAAAUUUGGUAAGAUUUUAGCGGACUACAAAGAUCUUAAGCCAAUCAUAUAUUCCCAUGCAGAUAUUAAGAGGUUUACAAAUCAAUUCAAGUACAAGUUGGGCCAAGGAGCAUACAUAACUGUUUUUAAAGGAAAGCUUUUUUCUGAAUGCUUUGUUGCCAUGAAAGUACUUAACAUUUCCAAGGGUGACGGGGAAGAGCUUGUAAAUGAAGUGGGGAACAAUGGGCCAUAUUCACCAUGUCAAUGUGGUUCACUUGGUUGGUUUUUGUGCUGAUGGAUUUAGAUGAGCUCUGGUUUAUGAGUUCUUUCCCUUUGGUUCACUUCAGGAUUAUAUGUCAUCAGUAGAUAGAUUUCUUUCCUUGGUUGGCAUAAGUUGCAAGAUAUUGCUAUCAACAUAGCCAAAGGAACCAGGGAUGUGAUCUACAAAUCCUCCAUUUCGAUAUCAAACCCCAUAAUGCUUUGCUCGACCAAAAAAUCACGCCAAAAAUCUCUGAUUUUGGUCUGGCCAAGUUAUGUUCCAAGGAUCAAUCAGUGUGACUAAAGCAAGGGGGACCAUGUGACUAAAGCACCUGAAGUGUUUUCCAGGAAUUUCGGAAAUGUGUCUUACAAGGUAGAUGUCUUGAAUGUUGCUGCUUGAAAUGGUAGGAGAAAAGAAGAAUAUUGGUUCAACCAGAGGACACGACAAAUGAAAUCUACUAUCCAAAAUGGAUUUAUAAUCUUCUAGAGGAAGGAAUGACCAACAGAUCCAUAUUGAGGAAGAAUGUUAUGGUAAGAUUCCAAAGCAACUUGCAAGUUUAGGGCUCUGGUGCAGCCAGUGGCACUUGGUGGAUCGGCGGUCCAUGAAAACGGUGGUUCGGAUGUUAGGAGGAUGAGAAAACUUGAUGAUGCAAGCAACCCUAAAAGCCUCAUACAAUUAAAAGUAAUUGCUGAAUUAGAGUAACAUAUGUAUAUGUAUACGCACCAACACAAGUCGUUCUUAGAUGAAUCCAAGCCAAACAAUUACAAACAACAGUUAUUCACUAAAUCACUUUAAGGCAAGAAUUUAAUUAAUAAUACAUUACUGCACUUUCUUAACCAUUUGACUAUCACCUAGCUGACAAUGAACACGUUAGCUCCGCGUUAGAACAUCUUGGGUUCACUUCAUUGUCUUGAAUAUCACCCACUGUCACAGGCGUCUCUAGGGGGCAUAGAGAAGGCCUGAGAGGCAUUUGCAGACAUUCAACAUCUCCUCCAAGCAUUUUGACAACUUUGGACAUCGAAGGGCGAUCACUUGGUUUCAUUUGAAUACACCACAAGGCGGUUAUAACCAUCUUUCUUAUUACUUUCUUUUCCUCCUCUGUAACAUUGUCCAUUUCCAAGUCAUUUCCCACAAUAUACUGAUCGUAUACCCAUAUUGGGAAGUAGAUUUGGCUUGAAUGCUCUACCGUUGGAUUCAAAUUCUUCCUUCUGCUUGCCAUCUCCAUCAACAACAUUCCAAAACUAUAGACAUCUGACUUGUAUGAGACACCUCCAAUAUUUUUGUAGAACAACUCAGGAGCAAUGUAUCCCAGUGUACCCCGUGCUGCCGUCAAAGAGACAAUGCUAUUAUCUACAGGAUACAAUUUUGCAAGCCCAAAGUCAGAAACCUUUGCUUUAAAGUUCUCAUCAAGAAGGAUGUUAUGAGGCUUGAUGUCGAAAUGUAGAAUUUGCAUUUCGCAACCUUGGUGUAGAUAUUCGAUCCCUUGAGCCACUCCAAGAGAAAUCUCGUACAUGUUCUUGAUAGUUAAGGGAACACUUCCUUCUUUGGAAUAAAUGUAUUUAUCAAGAGAACCAUUAGGCAUGAAGUCAUAUACUAGAGCUCGUUUUGAUCCCUCAACACAGUAUCCAACAAGUUGCACCACAUUGGCAUGGUGAAUCCUUCCGAUUGUAGCUAUUUCGCUAAUGAAAUCUUGGCCAUCAGCUUUGGGCUUGCCCAAAACUUUAACUGCUACAAAUCGACCACUGCGUAGCUUUCCCUUAAAUACAGA